This 205335-nucleotide long non-coding RNA is filed under the name Triticum aestivum (bread wheat). RNAcentral's name for it is "long non-coding RNA (TAES_LNC024154)". The stretch from base 46321 to 46407 matches the Rfam family "MIR1120/MIR1122 microRNA precursor family". Lineage: Eukaryota; Viridiplantae; Streptophyta; Magnoliopsida; Poales; Poaceae. The record is from RNAcentral.
ACCCAUCCAUCUAUCCAUCACCAGCGCCGCUCACCACCAGCGGCCAUCUCGCCUGCCAUACCCGCGCGCCUCCACCUGCUGCUGAUUCUCCUUGCCGCUCCCUUCGCCUACCUCGCUGUUGUUCUUCUUCCUGACGUCCUCCCUGCUGCCCUUCUGCUUCUCCUAUGCUUCCCCUCUCCUAGCGCCUCAACCUGCUGCUUCUUCUUCCCCAAACUUUGCUGCUGCUUCUUCCCUCUCCUCACGUCCCUGCUGCUGCACUUCUCCUCCUCCUAACCUUGCUGCUGUUCACCUCUGAACCCCCAACAUGCUGCUGCUCCUCUCCAACAACGACGCCGAUCUGCAGCACUCCCUCGUCACCAGCCUCAAGAAACGGAGCUGCUGAUCCUCUCCAACGACCCCUUGCUGAUCCUCUCCCACUUGGCUUCGCUGAUCAUCUUCGUCCCUGCUGCUCUCCUUCGCCCGCAACAUCUACAGCCUAGGAGACAACUCUGAAUCUCUCUUCUCUUACUGUAGUUUUCUGAAUUUUUGCUCUGGUUAUUCUGCAGCUUGUAGUCUGAAUCUCAGUUAACUAUUGAUGUGCCCGUGAGAAAACUAGGUGGUUCAACUUGUAAUAUUGUUCUGCUACCUGUGAUGUUUGAGAUAGUUCCAUCAUCUACUCUAUGCUACCGAUAAUAUGCUACUGAUAAUAUGUUCAGUUCGUACUUGUCAUGUGUUAAUUAGUAUUCUGCUACUGUAUGUGUGAGCUCCCUUAUGUGUUUGUUCCUUACUGCAGAAAUUUAUUCAGUUGUCCAUGUGUUAGCUCCAGUACAUGUGCUAUAUAAAUACAUGUGUGUUUUGUGAUGUAAACCAUGUCAGCUAGCUCACUGUGACAAAUUCAUGUUACUAUUUGUGAUUUUAUUUUGUAUUGAAAUUACUCUCUGUGGUAGCCAGUUGGGUGAUCAUUCAAUUUGCAGUCUAUGUAUUAGCUCUGUACCUGUAAUAUAUGUUGUGACAUGACGCAUUUUCAUCCCUGUCCAUUAUCUUGUUUCUUCCCUCUGUCAUACGCUUGUUAGAUAAAUAUAUGUGUUCAUGACCUGUUGUUUCCUUUUGUGUUAGCAUUUUAGUUUCUCAAGUAAUAGAAAAACAUCAAAAAAGACAAUAUAGACAAUCUGAACCUCCCCUUUGCUUAUUUUGCAUUUUCUUCGGCGACGACCUUCGGGAACUACCUUGUUUAGUUUAGGUUUAUUUUCUUGCAUUCAUAAUCUGAAUUGUGUUACCUAGCUUUAUCCGAGCACGAUCAUUGACUUGCCUAGUCCAUGUGGAGAACACGACACUUGCAGUUUGGGCGUAAAAACCCCGCUACACUUACUAUCGAUCAUUUUGGCGCCGUUGCCGGGGACUAGCGUCGAACGAUUGUGUGAAGCUAUAGAGUAGGCUUAGUAUAGUUUUUGUUUAAAUUUCCAUUCAAAUUUAUUUCUGUGCUUCUUUUACCUUUUUACUUUUUGUUGCUUCGGCUUAUUAGGAUACUAACUUUCUGACUAGUGUUUACUGUUUAUGAGUGUUUGUAGGAAAUCUGAACUAAUUGCAGGUUUUCUAUAGUUACACUCGGUUAAGAUGGCAUUGCUUCGUAAUCUUUGGAUGCCCAAAAGUCAGUGCUAUAUCACAGGACCGAUUUGGCCAACUAUUGAGGCAGAGAACUUCGAGCUGAAACAUAGUCUUAUUGCUUUGGUUCAACAACAACAAUUUGGAGGACUGCCUACUGAGGAUCCCUAUGAGCACUUACACUGAGUCAUGGAGUAUUCAGAUACAAUCAAGUACCAUGGAGUUCCUCAAGAUGCAAUCAUGUGCAGGUUGUUCACAUUCUCUCUUCGUGAUGAUGCUCGUGCUUGGUAUCGAUCCUUGCCAUCAAGGUCAUACAGUUGGAAUGAGAUAUCACGAGCUUUCUUGGAUAGAUAUUUCCCACUACACAAGCAGUCUGCGAUUCGAGAUGAGAUCUUCAAUUUCGUUCAACGUGAAUACGAGAGCUUGUAUGAUGCUUGGGAGAGAUACAAGGCUUUAUUCAGGAGAUGUCCUAACCACGGGCUCGAGAGAUGGUUAGAGUUGCAGAUAUUCUACAGAGGAUUGACUUCGGACACUCGAGCUUACGUCGAUAUCACUAAAAAAAGGACAUCUGUGACAUUUUGGGCCGAACGAAUUUUUUUUCCUGUCAUAUGUAUGACACUUUUAUGACGAUAAUUGUCACAAAACCCGGUAUCAUCAUAGAUGUGGUGGGCUCCUACUUCUAUGACAAAAAAUCAUGACAGAAAAUGGGCUUUUCGUCCUGGGCGGGCCGGAGACGCAGCUGCAUGACAUUCUUUGGGCCGUUCAUGAUGGAAAAAACUGUGGUAGAAGCGAGGGCGAGGAAAAUUUCGGGGAGUUCCCGGUUACGGUGGGAGGUCAGGGGCCGAGCGAUGCGCGUUUCUCUCGUACACGUACGCGCGUGUAUGCGAGGCGUUGGCUCUAACUGAACCCGAGCGAGGCGUUGGGCUCUAACUGAACCCGAGCGAUUGCACUGCAAGCUAUGCGUUACUGAACCCGAGCGAUCAAUCGAUGACUGUUAACUGAACCCGAUCGAGCGAUUCCUUCGCUACUGCUGCUAACUGAAGCCGAUCGAUGCUGCCUCUGGAUGAACAGUGAGCGUUGCUGGGGGGGUUUGGAUGAACAGUUCCCGGUGGGGGUGGAUGAACAGGACCCCGUGGUGUUGCCUUUGGAUGAACAGGACCACGAUCGAUCGAGCCGGUUGGGGCUGGAUGAACAGGACCCCGUGGAGGGCAGGAUGAACAGGACCACCCCGUGGAGGGCAGAAUGAACAGUAGACGGUGGAGGGCUGGAUGAACAGUAGCCCGUGGAGGGGUGGUUGAACAGGAGCCCGUGGAGGGGUGGUUGAACAGUAGUCGGUGGAGUAGCGCGUGGUGGAGGCUGGAUGAACAGGAGCCCGUGGAUGAACAGUCGCAGGUGGAGGUCGACGGUGGAUGAACAGUAGUCCGUGGAGGCCGGAGGGGGUCGACGGUGGAGAUGAACAGUGUCCCGUGGAGUCCCGUUUUGCGGUACGCCACACCCCUCCUGAUGAACAGGACCCCCGUUUCGACCGUAGCGCUCCAACACAAGUCCGUUUCCUCCGUUUUGCGGUACGCCACACCCCUCCCGAUCAACAGGAGCCCCGUUUCGACCGUAGGAGGUUCGUUUCCUCCGUUUUGCGGUACGCCAGACCCCUCCUGAUGAACAGGAUCCCGUUUCAAACGUGGCCGGUCGAACACAAGGCUGUUUUCUCCGUUCUGCGGUACGCCAGACCUCGUUUUCAUCGGUUGUUCCGUCCAAGCCCUCCCGAUGAACACGAUGACGCAUUCCGUUCCGACCCAGCCGGUUGGCUCCCCAUGAACACGACGACGACGCAGUUUCUCCGUUCCGACCCAGCCAUGUACACGAGCCCUGGCCGUACGUAUGCGCGAGUAGGCGUUCGAGACCCUGCCCGUAUGUACGUACGUGGUCGUAUUUUCUUUCUUGCACAUUGGCCGCUGUACGUACCUGUACAUGCUACGUGCGUGCCUCUACUACGACACGUGCGCGCCUCUACAUCGACCAGUAUUUACGUAUACGUUCGCGACCAGAAUGACAAUGCUACGUACGCUUCGACCAGGUGGGUCCCGACUGUCAGGCACUUCCUUGCCUGCGAAGAUGUAGCUGGUGGGUCCCAGCAGUCAGGGGGGCGAAUCGUUUUUUUUGCCCGGACGCACUUCCUUGCGUGCGAAGAUGUAGCUGGUGGGUCCCCGCAGUCAGAGGGAAACUUUUUUUUGUGAAAUACGGUGGCCCGUCCGGUGGGUCCCCGCUGUGAGGUGAAGGAAUCAUUAUUUUCCGCGUAAUAAGGAGGCACUUCCUUGUUGCGGCCAUGGACCUAGCUGUCAGCCUCUUCACGUACAGUCCACGUCCGAUGGAAGUCGUUCCUUGACCACGUUGACCACGCCGCGCCGAGAGCACCAGGGCGGUGGACGACAGCGAGGCCUAGGAAGGGGACGACGGGGAGCCGGGGAAGACGCGACAGUGGAAGCCCGCGCGGAGAGGAGUAUGAGGGUUCACUGGUUCGGCUGCGGUGUGAGGCUGCCGUCGCCGCAGGGCCUGGCCAGCGGUGGGAAUAGUAGGGGCGGUAAGGCCUCCGCGACAGCACAGCCGGCCAGGGGAGGCAGGAGCAUGCGGCACGACCGGCGCUGCUUUGGGCAGCUGGAGCAAGAAGACCAGAGGUUGAAGAAGCACUACGGCCGUUGGAUGGACAUUGUACGGUCACUGGAGCUAGAAUCGUUCAUAUUGACUAAAGUUGACAAAGGCCCCCGUCCCAGUCAACUUAGUAGGCCCACAAGUCAGCCUCCCACCAUGGUGGGUCCCAGCUAGCCGGGGGAGUAUUCAUUUUUUUGUGCGUAAUAAGGAGGCAUUCCGGUGGGUCCGAGCUGACAGCGGGGGAACGUUUUUUUUCGCGAAAUACGCUGGCCCGUCUGGUGGGUCCCAGCAGUCAGGGGUGAAACGUUUUUUCGCGAAAUAAGGUGGCCUGUCCGGUGGGUCCCUGCUGUCAGGUGAAGGAAUAAUUAUUUUGCGCGUAAUAAGGAGGCACUUCCUUGCGGCCGCCUGGACCCAGCUGUCAGCCUCUCCACGUACAGUACUCUUCCGAUGGAAGUCGGUCGUUGACCACGUUGACCACGCCGCGCCGAGAGCACCAGGGCGGUGGUCUGGACGACGGCGAGGCCUAGGUAGGGGACGACGCGGAGCCGGGGAAGACGCAGCAGUGGAAGCCCGCGCGGAGAGGAGUACGAGGGUUCACUGGUUCGGCUGCGGUGUGAGGCUGCCGUCGCCACAGAAUAACAGGGGGUGUGGGUGAGUAGAGGGAUGGCCUGGCCAGCGGUGGGAGUAGUACGGGGCGGUGAUGCCUCCGCGGCAUCACAGCCGGCCACGGGAGGCAGGAGCACGCGACACGACCGGCGCUGCUUUGGGCGGCUGGAGCAAGAAGACUAGAGGUUGAAGAAGCACUACGGCCGUUGGAUGGACAUCGUACGAUCACUGCAGCUAGAAUCAUUUAUAUUGACUAAGUUGACAAAGCCCUUGGUACGCGUCAACUUAGUAGGCCCAUAGCUCAGAUUUGGCAGAGAACAUAUAGCCCAUUUGCGAUUUGUAAGAAUGUACAACCCAUUUUUUAAUUCUAAUGGAAUUUAGUACAACCCAUUUACAGUUUGUUAAAAGUACAACCCAACUUCUAGCUAGGACAACGAUUAAUAAUUUCAAACAACCGCUCAAAACAGAAUUCAAAAAAAAUUCUCACAUUUUGAUGGGAUCCGAAAUAUUUUUAUCCGAAAUUUCUAGUCAGGUUAAAUAUAAUUUCAAAAUAAAGUUGUAUUACGUUAAAAUCCAACGAAAUAUUGCGCGCGCAACAAGUAAUGAAAUGAAAAUUUUCAAAUUCCAAAAAUAAUAUAUUUUUCAAACUAAUUACGUGUUUGGUGCAUAGUAACUGUCCAGUUAUUAUUUCUUAAAGUCCAUUUUUUUGUUAAGCCUAAUGCAUACCUCCUAGGAAAGUUUGCAGCCCAGCGGGGCGGAGAAUAACAAGUUGACCCGGAUAUUGUGUACAACUGUCGGCCCAGUUGCAUUGCUGAUGUUGAAAAAAAGGCCUGUGUAGUACAGUACAACCUAACAUGGUUACUCAGCCCACAUUCAACGACGCCGGAAAGGCCCAAACAAGGCUUCUGUACAACUUUUUGAAGUCACUAAGCUCAAUUAAUAACUUAAGAAAAAAGUUAGAUUACAGUGGAACCUAAUUAAAAGCUGUCACAAGCAAAUAAAUAAUUCAACGGGUCCCACUUAUGCGUGUGCGCGUGUGUGUGCGUGUGUGUGUGAGAGAGAGAGAGAUAGAGAGACCCAUCGGUCGAUGCUCGUAAAUACAUCUUUCAGCCAUAUGCAUUGCUGAUGCUCACUAAAAACUUAUAUAGUUGACACAAUCAUAUAGAAUAUCAUAGCACACUGAACUUGCAUACAAAAAUUUCACGCAGGCGGUACAAUCAGGAUGAAAGCAGUGGAUCGCUACGGGAAGGGCUAUGUUGAAACCAACGAAGUCGUACAUAACGGUUCAUCGUCUUUAUCAAUGACGGGGAAAUAUCUUGAAUGUUGUGCAAAAAAAAAUGACAGACAACACAAUAAGUUCUGCUAGCACAUUAAGUUGACGUACAACCCUUUCUAAAAAAAGUCCAGGUACAAAAUUAGAACAGGUCACAAUCAAAUGUACUGGCAUAUCAGUGCUUCACACCCAUAGCUCGGAUUUAACUAGUAUCUGACAAGAUUCAGUUGUUACCUUAAAUUAGAGCACAUCCAGGCAGCCAGCCCUGCCUCUUCUCCCAAAGAAGCAGUGGCCUCCGCCGAGCGAUGGAGUAGGCCCUGUGCCAUCCAUCGUUCCGAGCAACACGGGGAAAGUCUGACGCUGACUCCUGUAAUGGACGUCGUCGACGGACCCUGGCACCAGCGGCGGCGGCAGGACUUCGAUUGAUGGAUUGACCACUUCUUCGACAUGCACGAACACUCGAUACAGGUACAUCCCUAACGUGGUACACGGCGGCCUUGGUGGCGACGAAUAGUACAACCCCGGUUCUUGCACCGGUAUCUCAACACCAAUCACCUUCGGUAUGCUGGACGGCUUCUUCAUCCAUGCCAUAACCGUCAGAGCCCAGCUGUCUGGAGGAACAAACAUACUUACGAGCUUGUAACGCCCACGAUGCGGCUAUAUCUCCCACGUGUCGAGGCACGACUUAGAGGCAUAACCGCGUUGUAGGUAUUGUCGCAAGAAGGGUCAUCUUCACACAAUCCCAUGUAAUGAACAAGAAUGGGAUAACGAGAGUUGGCUUACAAUCGCCACUUCACACAAUACAUAAAUUUAAUUCAUACAUCAUCCAAAAUCCACACAUAGACCGACUACGGUCAAAUCCAAAUGAAAAGAAGAUAACCCCAAAUUCUAGAUCCCCGAUCGUCCCAACUGGGCUCCACUACUGAUCAUCCGUAAACGAAACAUAGUAACGACCACGUUCCUCGUCGAACUCCCACUUGAGCUCGGUUGCAUCAUCUGCACUGGUAUCGUCGGCACCUGCAACUGUUUUGGUAGAAUCUGUGAGUCACGAGGACUCAGCAAUCUCACACCCGCGAGAUCAAGACUAUUUAAGCUUAUAGGAAAGGAUGGGGUAAUGAGGUGGAGCUGCAGCAAGCACUAAGCAUAUGGUGGCUAACAUACGCAAAUGAGAGCGAGAAGAGAAGCAACACAAUGGUCGCGAAGCUAGAAAUGAUCAAGAAGUGAUCCUGAAACUACUUACGUUCAUACAUAACCCAGACCGUGUUCACUUCCCGGACUCCGCCGAAAAGAGACCAUCACGGCUACACACACAGUUGAUGUAUUUUAAUUAAGUCAAGUGUCAAGUUCUCUACAACCGGACAUUAACAAAUUCCCAUCUGCCUCAUAACCGCGGGCACGGCUUUCGAAAGAUAAUACACUGCAGGGGUGUCCCAACUUAGCCCAUUAUAAGCUCUCACGGUCAACGAAGGAUAUUCCUUCUCCCGGGAAGACCCGAUCAGUCUCGGAAUCCCGGUUUACAAGACAAUGGUAAAACAAGACCAGCAAGACCACCGGACUGUGCCGACAAAUCCUGAUAGGAGCUGCACAUAUCUCGUUCUCAGGGCACACCGGAUAAGCGAAGCGUACAGGUACCAACGUAACCCAAGUUGCCAAGGGACGGUCCCGCACGGUGCUCUAGUUUGGACCAACACUCAGAGGAGCACUGGCCCGAGGGGGGGGGGGUUAAAUAAAGAUGACCCUCGGGCUCGCGAAAAUCCAAGGGAAAAAGGCUUAGGUAGGCAAAUGUAAGACCAAGGUUGGGUCUUGCUGGAGGAGUUUUAUUCAAGGCGAACUGUCAAGGGGGUCCCAUAAAUCACCCAACCGCGUAAGGAACGCAAACUCAAGGAACAUAACACCGGUAUGACGGAAACUAGGGCGGCAAGAGUGGAACAAAACACCAGGCAUAAGGCCGAGCCUUCCACCCUUUACCAAAUAUAUAGAUGCAUUAAUUAAAUAAGAGAUAUUGUGAUAUGCCAAAAUAUCCAUGUUCCAACAUGGAACCAACUUCAACUUUACCUACAACUAGCAACACUGUAAGAAGGGCUGAGCAAAAGCGGUAACUUAGCCAAACAACGGUUUGCUAGGAAAGGAUGGUUAGAGGCUUGACAUGGCAAUAUGGGAGGCAUGAUAUAGCAAAUGGUAGGUAGCGCAACAUAGCGAUAGAGCGAACAACUACCAAAGCAAAGAUAUAAGUGAUUUCGAGGGUAUGGUCAUCUUGCCUGCAAGGUUCUCAGAGUUGUCGAAAGCUUGAUCCUCGUAAGCGUUCUCAACAGGUUCCUCGAAAGCGUACUCGCCUCUCGGCUCUACCCGAAGCAAGAACACAAACAAAGGACCAACAAUCAAUCACGGGAAAUGCACAAGCAACAUGAUGCAAUACAUGCAUGAUAUGAGAGAUGUGAUAUGCGAUGCAUAUGCGUGCUCCAAAAGGGAAAAGAUGAACAAGGCAUCAACUUGGCAAACCAAGUAUGCCACUGGAAAGAUGAGAUGAUUUCGGUCGAAAUCGAUAUAAAGAUCACAGGAAACGGAUGCACGGUUUGCAAAUGGCAAGCAAAACAAGAAUGACACAAUUCUGCGAUUAACAGCAUGAUAGCACUUAGAAUACAUCAAGAAACUAUGCUACAGCACCCCAACAUAGCAACAAAGCAUAUGGAAGUGAUCUACAAGAGAUUCUUGACAAAAGAUGAACACUGAGCUACAGCUAAAUCACACAAUAACAGGUUCAAACAAGCAUGGCAAAAGUGCAAAAGAUAUCAGCUUCACAGACUUGGUGAAAAUACUGAACAUGGCAUCAACAUCAUCAGGUAGCACCGUUCAGAGCAAGCAAUCAACAUGCUACAGGAACUUAUCAUAGCAAAACAAGGCUUGGCAUGAAUCUACUAAAUGCAUAGAACAAAAGUACCUUACUGAUCAUGAGCCAAAAAGGAUCAGAAGAUAUGAUGGCACCCAUGUAUCUCAAAAUAAGUCCCUUACUGUUCAAAACAUCCUUACUGAAGUAUCUCAAAAUAAGCAUGGAUCUCACUAUAGCAUCAAGGAUACAUGGCAUCAAAAUAACAGCAGGUAAAGGACUUAGCAAAAUCCUAAGUCCCUGAAAACAAAAACAUCACGAAGCCUAGUUUGCAUGCUUGUGCUAGUCACCACAUAGAUCACAAAAAUACAUGGCAUACACCCCUGUAAAGAUGGCAUGGCAUAGAUCAAAACAAAUGUAGAGCUCAUGCUCAGAAGAUGCACACAUCAAAUGCAACAAAAAUAACAAAACAUCAAGUUCUGAUAAGUAACAGCAGUAAACAACACAUAGCACUCUUGCACCAGCGAUUUGGGCAUCAAGAUGAACUCAAACAAGCAGGACACAAUGAAACAAAAUGAAGAGCAUCUCCUGAUGAACAUUUUGACAUAUCAUGCGCAUGAAACGGAGAAGUAUGCAAGGAGAUAUGAUGCGAUGAACAGAGCCACAUAAUAUAAGCAAUUCGGGACUUGGCAGAAAAACGAGGGGGGGAAUCAACCUCGAUCUAGGGUUUCGUGGGCACGUGAGCCGAGGUUCACCAGAACUUUGCCGGAGUUGGAGGAAGGGCGGCCGGAGCUCGGGGAAGCUCACCGGAGGGCAGGGGACGCCGGAUCCGGCGCGGAGGGGGCUGGGCGGCGGCGGGUCGGGCGGAGAAGACGGUCGGGGGCGCUGGGCGGCGAGGUCGGCGNNNNNNNNNNNNNNNNNNNNNNNNNNNNNNNNNNNNNNNNNNNNNNNNNNNNNNNNNNNNNNNNNNNNNNNNNNNNNNNNNNNNNNNNNNNNNNNNNNNNNNNNNNNNNNNNNNNNNNNNNNNNNNNNNNNNNNNNNNNNNNNNNNNNNNNNNNNNNNNNNNNNNNNNNNNNNNNNNNNNNNNNNNNNNNNNNNNNNNNNNNNNNNNNNNNNNNNNNNNNNNNNNNNNNNNNNNNNNNNNNNNNNNNNNNNNNNNNNNNNNNNNNNNNNNNNNNNNNNNNNNNNNNNNNNNNNNNNNNNNNNNNNNNNNNNNNNNNNNNNNNNNNNNNNNNNNNNNNNNNNNNNNNNNNNNNNNNNNNNNNNNNNNNNNNNNNNNNNNNNNNNNNNNNNNNNNNNNNNNNNNNNNNNNNNNNNNNNNNNNNNNNNNCGGCGAGGGAACGGGUCCCGCGGGCCAGGCGGGGGCCUCGCGGGCCGGUGGGAGCCGCGGGGCGGCGGGUGCCCACAUGGCGGCGGCGGAGUGGCUCCAGGUGGUGGCGAGGCUGACGUGGCGGCUAGCUAUUGGCCGGGCGACGUGGCAGAGGUCGUGUCCGGCGGCGCGGAGGAGCGGGGCUAGGGUUUCGGGACCCGUGAUUUCGGAGGAGUGCACAUAUUUAUAGCUAGAGGGAGCUAGGAGACUCCAAAUGAGGUGCGGUUUUCGGCCACGCGAUCGUGAUCCGACGACGGAGGGAUGGAAGGGGUUUGGAUGGGUUAUUGGGCUGUUUGGAGGGGUGUUUGGCUGCAACACACAAAAGGCCUUUGCGGUUACCCGGUUAACCGUUGGAGCAUCAAACGGCCUCCAAAUGGAAUGAAACUUGACAGGUGGUCUACCGGUGGUGUACCAAGGCCACUUGGCAAACCUCAGUCCAUUCCGAGAACGUUUGACACCCGCUCACGAAAAGAGACAAGAGGGGUGCGCCGGUGCAUGUGGGAGUGUCGGAUUGCAAAACGGACAACGGGGAAAAUGCUCGGAUGCAUGAGACGAACACGUAUGCAAAUGAGAUGCACAUGAUGACAUGAUAUGAAAUGCAUGACAUGAACUAAAUGCAAAACGAGAGACAAAAAGCCAACCACGAAGGGAAUAUCAUAACACAUAGCCGAAAAUGGCAAGAGUUGGAGUUACAAAUAUGGAAAGUUACACCCGGGGUGUUACAACACUCCACCACUACGACAGGAUCUCGUCCAGAGAUCUAGGACUGAAAGAACUCCGGAUAUUCGGAACGGUGGUGGUCCUCGCGCUCCCAGGUGGCUUCUCGGUCGGAAUGGUGUGACCACUUCACUUUCAGGAAUUUAAUUGACUUGUUGCGAGUCUUGUGCUCAGUUUCUUCAAGAAUAGCAACGGGGUGCUCAUGAUAAGAUAGAUCUUCUUGGAGAUCAAUCUCUUCGAAGUUGAUGGUGCGCUCAGGAGUCUUGAAGCACUCGCGAAGCUGUGACACGUGGAACACAUCGUGCACAUUCGCGAAGUUGGAGGGAAGCUCAAGUUGAUAGGCGAGGUCGCCUCUUUUGCCAAUGAUCUUGAAAGGACCCACAUAUCUAGGGGCAAGCUUCCCUUUGAUACCGAAGCGACGAGUGCCUUUCAUUGGAGAUACGCGGAGGUAGACAUGGUCUUCGAUCUCAAAAGCCAAGUCACGGUGCUUGCUAUCAUAGUAACUCUUCUGGCGCGAUUGCGCGGCUUUGAGAUUUUCACGGAUGACUUUACACAUUUCUUCAGCCUCUGUGAUUAAGUCAUUGCCAAGAGUUGGCGUUCACCUGUCUCGGACCAAUUGAGAGGAGUACGGCACUUCCUUCCAUACAGAAUCUCGAAUGGGGCCUUGCCCGAACUCGCUUGGAAGCUGUUAUUGUAGGAGAACUCGGCAUAUGGGAGGCAAUCUUCCCACUUCAUGCCAAAAGAAAUGACACAAGCCCUGAGCAUAUCUUCAAGGAUUUGAUUGACUCGCUCGACUUGGCCACAAGUUUGAGGAUGGAAAGCUGUGCUGAAGCGAAUGUUGGUGCCCAUGGCCUUCUGGAAGGAGUCCCAAAAUUUAGAAGUGAAGAUGCUUCCACAAUCUGAAGAUAUCAAUUGUGGAAUGCCGUUCAAGGAGACAAUCCUGGAGGUGUAUAGCUCUGCCAACUGAGCUGCUAUGAUAGAUUCUUUGAUUGGAAGGAAAUGAGCCACUUUAGUAAGCUUGUCAAUGACAACGAAGAUAACAUCAUUUCCACACUUGGACUUCGGAAAUCCAGUCACGAAGUCCAUUUCGAUAUGAUCAAACUUCCAUUCUGGAAUAGCAAGAGGUUGGAGGAGACCAGCUGGUCGUUGGUGUUCUGCUUUCACCCUUCGACAGACAUCACAUUCAUUCACGAAUUGAGCGAUUUCUCACUUCAUUCGAGUCCACCAAUACGACUGCUUGAGGUCAUGGUACAUCUUCGUACUUCCAGGAUGAAUGGAAAUAAGAGAAUUGUGUGCCUCGUUCAUAAUGACUUUCCUUAGAUCACCUUUAGGAAUCACAAUCCGGUCCUCGAAGAAUAAAGUGUCUCGGUCAUCAAUGCGAUAAGACUUGUAUUUGGAAAUGCCCUUGUCAAUACCACAUUUCACCUUCUUCACCAUGGCAUCAAGAAGUUGUGCCUCACGAAUUUGAUCUUCCAAAAUAGGAGAGACUUGGAGAUUGGCAAGAAAGCCUUGAGAAACAACUUGGAGAUUGAGUUUGCGGAAAGCUUCGCAAAGAUCCGGUUGGAAGGGCUUAAGAAUUAAGUUGUUGCAAUAAGCCUUCCUGCUCAAAGCAUCUGCAAUGACGUUGGCCUUGCCUGGAGUAUAUUCAAUACUCGGAUUGUACUCUUGAAUCAUUUCGACCCAUCGAGUUUGUCUAAGGUUGAGGUUGGGCUGAGUGAAGAUGUACUUGAGACUCUUGUGAUCGGUGAAUAUGUCCACUUUCCUUCCCAACAAGAGAUGUCUCCAUGUUAUUAAUGCAUGAACAACUGCCGCCAACUCGAGAUCGUGAGUGGGGUAGUUCUUUUCGUUGGGCUUCAACUGACGAGAGGUAUAGGCCACAACUUUCUUCGAUUGCAUUAACACAACACCGAGACCUUGAAGAGAAGCAUCACAGAAAACUUCGAAUGGCUUGGAUUCGUCAGGAGGAGUCAAGACAGGAGCUGUGACGAGUUUCUCUUUGAGAGUGUUGAAAGCAACGUCACACUCAGGAGUCCAGACAUACUUCACAUGCUUCUGGAGGAGGUUGGAAAGAGGCUUUGCAAUCUUAGAGAAAUUCUCAACGAAUCUUCGGCAAUAGCUUGCAAGCCCAAGAAAACUGCGAAGCUGCUUGACAUUCUGAGGAGGUUCCCAAUUCAUAAUUGCAGACACCUUCUCGGGAUUAACAGUGUUGCCCUUGGCAGAGAUGAUAUGACCAAGGUAAAGAACUUCAUCAAGCCAAAACUCACAUUUGGAAAACUUUGCAUAGAAUUGAUACUCUCUGAGCUUGUCGAGCACCAAUCGCAAAUGUUUGGCAUGAUCCUUCUUAUUCUUGGAGAAGACCAAGAUAUCGUCGAGAUACACCAGGACGAAUUCAUUGGUGUAGGGGUUGAAGAUGAAAUUCAUCAUUCGAGAGAAUGUUGUGUCACGACCGGUUUUUCAAUAAAAUAAUUAUUGAGAGACCAAUCCCUUUUACGGACCAGCGAAGAAGAAUUCCUUCUCACUGGUAGACAAUAAUCUUGGUCACAGAAGAAAAAUACCAGGAGUACUAAAUAUAACACAAGGUUGAGCAGAGGCUGCUCAACAAUUUAUUACAUGCACGCCGCUAAAACAAUGCGGCGGAUAGGGUGGCAACUACUAACUCACGAUGAUAAAGGUGGUGGAAAUAUCACUGCAAAGCGAGUGACAUGAUUCCAGAAGACUACAACUCAUCGAGCGUCGGAGUGAGGCUCGAGAAGACUUAUUGCGGGUGGCGGAAGCGUAAACAACAUAAGUGACCAAUAUCCGGGAUCGCGCAGGACUGACUGGGACACCUCUAGGCAUCGGACGCGCUAUCAAAAUCUUCAUCCAAGAGAUCGCCUUCGUCAACAUCUGGCCAAAUCAACAAGCCAGGUGAGUACUAUGAAAGUACUCGCAAGACAGUUCAGACAUAAGGUAUAACAAAUGUAAACAUGAAACAUAUGAACAAGUUAACCAGUGCGAUCAGACAUAGAGGUAAUAAAUACUGGGUGCCAAGCGAGGGUCCGAAUGACGCCUCGAGCGGAAACUGCAGAAUAGUAAUGCGGGUGCCAAACGAGUGUCUGAAAGACUCCUCGAGAGGAAAAUGCGGAACGUUAAUACAGGUGCCAAACGAGUGUCUGCAGGACUCCUCGAGAGGAAAAUGCAGAAUAGUAAUGCCACAGUCGGGCGUCGGGGCGACACCACAUAAAGGGCUUAUAGCAGAAAAUAAAGACAGUGCAUGCCGCAGUCGGACGUCUGAGCGACAUCGCAUAAAGGGCUUAUAUUUAAAGUGAGAAACGAGUACACGCCACAGUCGGACGUCUGCACGACGUCUCAUAAAGGGCUUAUAUUGUAACACAAUAAUACAAUAGUUCGGGAACAUAACUUAUCACAAGCACGAGACAAAUAUAAAGUUAGUCCAUCCACCGGAAUGACAAUAAAACUGAAUUACCAUUUGAGUUUGUUCACCGGGGGCAAGUUUUGUCACAUAGAUAGAUAUGGAUAUCAUUCUUACACUGCUUGAUCAUGGGUACGAUGAUUUGGAAAGAAUUGACUCUGCAGAGUUUGUACUUAACCACAGCCAACGGAUUUCAGUAGUCACGGGGACUAGUUCCGUCUACGGUGUUUUGGAAGAAACACGUCUAACCAGUACACACCCAAUUCAACCACCCGAAGCCAGGGAUCACCCUCGGCCACAUUCAAGAAAAACCUUGAGUCGGGGAGGCUACAACCUCGCGUAGCAUGGGAUCAAAUUUCUAUACGCGCGCUCUAAGGGGUGCCCCCCCUCUCGGUCCCAACCGGAAACACCCAUGCCCCCUGACCGGAUGACUGGCUUUAAUCCUGGGCCAAGGUACCAUCAUCCCGGCCUCUCUGUUUGGUGUGUACACGGAAAGAGGUUACCAACUUACUAAACCGUAUCCUGGCAAUGAGACAUGUGGUAGCACGGAAAAGGGAAGGCACGGUAACACGGCUCCAACCAUGUUGACGUCGGAAAAGUCGGAUGACGCAAGGCUGGCAUGCUACAACAAUACCCCCUUGUUGCCCUUCAUGUCAUCACAUGAUUAGGCCACCUCUCAUCAGAGAUCAUCGCAACUUCGGAACAUGCGGGAAAAGAACGACAACGUAGCUCCACCCACAUUAACGUCGCAGAGAGUUGGAUGACGCAAGGCUGGCAUGCUACAACAGUACCACCUUGCUGCCCUUCAUGUCAUCACAUGAUUAGGCCACCUCUCAUCAGAGGUCAUCGCAACUUCGGAACAACCGGGUCGUUGCCUUACGAGCGACGCGGUAAUAAUCGACACUCACAUGCCACGCACAAACUUUCACAUGAACAUGCAAAACAUCUGCCAUAUCAAAUGUUCAAAACAUGCUUGCCUGGUUCGGAGAAGUCGGAGUCUAGCUCGGCGAAGUUCGCGGCUCCGUCACCUCUCCCGGAACCUACGGCAAUCACGAAACGGGUACUAACGUGAAAACCAACACAUGCACAGAAACUUUUCCAAAUAUUUUUCAAAUAAAUCCCAUAAAAAACUAGACAAAAUUUGAAGAUUGUCAGAAAAAGAAUCACUCACAAAUACCUUUUUAUUAAAAAGUUAUAAGGGUUUCUGUCCAGGGACUUAUCUGUAAUGAAACAAAAAAGUUCCAGGGUUUUAACUGAGAAAACAGAAAACGCUUCGGCUGGGAAUGCGCAAGCGCAAAGGAGAAACGUAUUUCGCCUGAAGGCGUCAACAGAAAACGGUUCGCGAAUAAAAGAACAGAGGCUGACACGCGGGGUCCACAUGUCAGGUUUGAAAAGCUCGCCGGCGCCCGAAGACUGCGGUGGACGCCGGCGUCGAACCACGGCGAGUUAGGAGAAACGGAGGGUACCAAGAGCUUCAGCGUCCUCUUCCGCGUCGGUGGGUGGUGGACUCGUCCAACGGGGAGCACCACGUCGACGGCGACACUUUCUCCGGCGGACGGCGGCUCGGGUGAGGAUGGGGAACUCCGGUGGAGGGCUGCAAGCUUCAAAUUGAAGUGCGGGUCAGAGAGAGGGAUGCAUGGUGAAGCUACUGGCAAGUGAAUGGAGGCGGAGGAGCACACACGGGGGCGAAUCGGGCUGGAUCCCGUGGUGGCUCGCGGCGGCCGGAGUCGAGGAAGGAGACCUCCUCGGGGCUCUUCCAGUGGCUAGGCGUGCUCUAGGGGGAGUGCAGGGCUGGUGGGUGCUCGAGUUGAAGCUCGGGGCCCCUAUUUAUAGGCAGAUCGACGGGAUGGCCGUGAACGGUGGAUCUCCGGCGAGCGAUUACGGCGGAGCAGUGGGUUGGCAGGGGGUUUGAGCGGUCGGGCAGCAUCAGUGGAUGUUACUGGACUCGAUUUGCAGCUAAACGGGGUCGGUCUUGGCGUAAUGGCGUCGGUCCACGGUGAGGUGACCGCACGGGCUCAACGGCGGCAGAGAGCGCGCUCCGCGCCCUGCGGUUCACGACGAGAGCGGCAGCGCGUUCGGGGGAGUGGAAGGCCACGCGGCGAGCUCCGGUGAUUUGGGCGGCGUUGGGUGGCGUCGUCGGCGCCGUGUCUCCCGCUGGCGCCCGCAAAGCCGCCGCCGGCGUUGGUCACGGGGUGGCGCACCUUCUGCUGCUCGUCGCCGACGCCCGCAAGGUGCCAGGCACUCGUGCGGUGCAGGAACAAGGGGGCGAGGACGAGGAGCAAGGCGACGCGGUGGCACUGGCGAGAUCGAUGUCCAUCUCUGAAGAAAACGACAGCGAGCACUGAACUGAAUCUCUGAACUUCUGAACUUGACAAUGACCAUGCACUGCAGGUGUUCGACAGGAGGUUUUGGCUAUGAGAUAAAUUUUUCUGGAGCUGUAACUUGGUGAGAUGAUCACUCAAAGCACCCAGGGGCUGCCUGAAUUUACUUGGAAUUUUUGGAGAAGGUUUUGAAUGAAUUUCACCAAAUUUGCCAAAUCUGGUCCAAACUUGCAGCAGGUGUAGUUUGAAAUUUUUGAACUGAAGACUAAUGGAUCUUCAUGGUUCCAGGUUGAGGGUUCAAAGGACUAGGAGGGGAAAGAAGUUUGGUGGUAAAAGUCCAAACAGAAAAUGGAGUUCCUUUGUAAAUCCCCAAGUGGUAGAAUAGAAGGCAGAAUUUUUUUUGAAUGAAAUUUGAAUGGGAAUAAUCACAUGGGGAGGUUCAACUUGCUGGAUUAGGUGUAAAACAUGAUCCAAAGGUGAGGGAAGGAUUUGGGGAGAGGAUUUGCACAAAUGUCAUGGUAAGAAGGGAAAGUUGAAAGUGGUGAAGGACUUUCCAAAAGCCAUAGUGCAAAUUCAAAAAGAUUUUCAGGAGUUAUUUUCCCAAAUGAAAAACAUUUUGUUUUGAGUCCAAAUGAAAAGUAAGAACUUCCAAGACCAAAGGCAGAUCUUGGGUGAAUCCAAACAAAACUUUUGCCAUAAGGAAAAAUAUAUGAGAGGGGGAGUUCUCUUAAAGAAAAAUUUAAAUUGCUCCCCUCAAGUCAAAAUAGAAAUCUUUUUUGAAAAAACCAAAUAAAAACUUGGGUGUCACAACACCUACCCCCUUAGGAAAAAUCUUGUCCUCGAGAUUUCGGCUGAUCCUCAAAUAGAUAUGGAUACUCUGCUCGGAGGAAAUCUUCCCUCUCCCAUGUGGCUUCAUCCUCAGUGUGGUUGCUCCACUGAACUCUGAAAAAUCUUGUCGUUUUCUGACGGGUCCUCCGUUCAGACUCUUCUAAAACCUUUACUGGCCUUUCUCUGUAGGUUAGAUCUGGUUGCAUAUCAAUGUCCUCAUGAGGUACAUGUUUUUCUGGAUUGCUCACACAUUUUCUUAACUGUGAGACGUGGAACACGUCAUGGACGUCUGACAGCUCCUUGGGGAGGUCUAGUUGGUAGGCCACCGUGCCUCUUCGUGCCUUUACACAAAAUGGUCCAAUAAACCUUGGGGCUAGCUUCCCCUUAAUUUUGAACCGUUGCAGACCCCUCAUAGGAGAUACUCGGAGGUAUACGGAAUCACCGGGUUCAAAGCUGACCUCACGGUGCUUCUGAUCAUAGUAGCUCUUUUGGCGGCUCUGUGCUGUCUUGAGUCUGUCCCUGAUUUGCUUAACUUUCUCCUAGGCCUCUUUGAGCAUGUCUGGGCCGAAGAUACGGCUGUCACCGGUUUCCGACCAAUUCAAUGGGGUACGACACCUUCGCCCGUACAGCGCUUCAAAGGGUGCCAUUUUCAAGCUGGCUUGGUAACUGUUGUUGUAAGCAAAUUCGGCAUACGGCAAACUCUCUUCCCAACUGGAUCCAUAGGUGAGUACGCAGGCUCUUAGCAUAUCCUCUAGGAUCUGGUUCACACGUUCCGUCUGUCCAUCAGUCUGAGGGUGGUAUGCUGUACUGAAAGCUAGUUGCGUGCCCAGAGCUUGUUGUAGGUGAUCCCAAAAUUUGGAGACGAAUUGGGUGCCUCGGUCUGAUAUUAUAGUCUUUGGGACUCCGUGCAAGCAAACUAUACGGGAGAGAUAGAGUUUUGCCAGUCUUUGUGUGGAGUAGGUAGUCUUCACGGGAAUGAAGUGAGCAACUUUGGUUAGUCGGUCUGUGAUGACCCAGAUGGCGUCAUUUCCACGCUGUGAUCGGGGUAAUCCGACAAUGAAGUCCAUUCCGAUUUCAUCCCAUUUCCACUCCGGUAUCCUGUUAGGCUGGAGUAGCCCUGCUGGCUUUUGGUGCUCGGCCUUGAUGCGCUGACAUGAAUCGCAACAAGCAAUGAAUGUGGCUAUAUCUCUUUUCAUACCGUGCCACCAAAAUCUUUCCUGAAUGUCCUUGUACAUUUUGGUUCCUCCAGGAUGGAUCGAGUAUGGAGCGGUGUGGCUCUCCGUCAAGAUCUGUUGCUUGAGUCCCUCAAUGUUAGGUACGCAAAGUCUGUCUCGGUACCAUAACGUCCCUUCACUGUCCGUGAUGAAUUCUGAAGUCUUGCUAAGGUUCAUUUUCUUCUUUAUGCCUCCGAUACUGGGAUGUCCCUGUUGAGCCUUCUUGAUUUGUUCCACUAGGGUGGGUUGUAUCUCCAGGUUCGAUAUGGUGCCCUCAGAGACUAACAUCAUGUUGAGCCGAGUGAACUCUCGCUGAAACUCAGGCCUCAAACUUUGCUGACCGUAACUGUCCGGGCUGGGGUUUCGACUAAGGGCAUCGGCCACUACAUUUGCUUUCCCUGGGUGGUAGUGAAUACCGACGUCAUAGUCCUUGACCAGUUCCAACCAGCGUCGUUGGCGUAAAUUCAGCUCUGGCUGUGUGAAAAUAUAUUUGAGGCUCUUAUGGUCUGUAUAUAUUUCACAGCGAUUUCCCAACAGAAAGUGCCUCCACUCCUUGAGUGCAUGUAUAACUGCUGCUAGCUCCAGGUCAUGUGUUGGGUAAUUUUCCUCAUGUUUUCGCAGUUGCCUGGAGGCAUAUGCGACAACUUUGCCAUCCUGCAUUAGCACACAUCCGAGACCUUUUCGGGACGCGUCACAAUACACCUCAAAGCUCUUGUGUAUGUCUGGCACAGUUAAGACUGGUGCGGUUGUUAGCUUCUUCUUGAGUUCUUGGAAGCUCUGCUCGCAUGCUUCUGUCCAUACAAAUUUCUUGUCCUUCUUGAGUAACUGUGUUAUAGGUUUUGCCACAGUGGAGAAUCCUUCAAUAAACCUCCUGUAAUAUCCGGCCAUUCCUAGGAAACUCCGCACAUCUGUAACAUUCGCGGGUGGCUUCCAGUCCAGUAUGGCCUUGACUUUUUCUGGGUCUACGGCCACGCCUUCUUGGUUCAAUAUAUGGCCCAAGAAACCAACUUGUCUUAGCCAAAAUUCGCAUUUGCUAAAUUUGGCGUACAACUGAUGUUUCCUCAAUUCUCCCAAAACAAUUCUGAGGUGCUCAGCAUGUUCUUUUGGUGUCCUUGAGUAAACUAGAAUGUCGUCAAUGAAUACCACCACAAAUUUGUCCAUGAAUUUCAUGAACACUUUGUUCAUGAGGUGGACGAAAUAUGCGGGGGCGUUUGUUAGUCCAAAAGGCAUCACUGUAAACUCGUAUAACCCAUAUCUGGAAGUGAAAGCUGUCUUGGGAAUAUCUUCCGUUCGUACCUUCAACUGGUGAUAUCCCGAUCUCAAAUCAAUUUUCGAGAAUACCUUGGCCUGUGCGAGCUGGUCAAACAAAUCAUUUAUUCGUGGCAUCGGAUAUUUGUUUUUGAUGGUGACCAUAUUGAGGGCUCGAUAGUCUAUGCACAGCCUUAGUGUCCCAUCCUUCUUUUUGGCGAACAACACAGGCGAACCCCAUGGUGAGGAGCUGGCUCGAAUAAAUCCUUUGUCCAACAAUUCCUUUAUCUGCUUCUUUAACUCCACCAAUUCUGAGGGUGCCAUUCUAUACGGCUUCUUAUAAAUGGGAGCGGUGCCAGGUGCUAGUUCGAUGCUGAAUUCGAUCUCUCGGUCUGGUGGCAUGCCUGGUAGUUCUUCCGGGAACACAUCAGGGAACUCGCAUACCACUGGCACUUUUCUUAAUUCUGCGAUGUCCAUCUUGUUCAGUUUUGGUUUCUGUGAUCGUGGCCUUUCUUGAGCGGAAACUCUUAUAGUCUUGCCGUGAUGGUGAGUGAGAAUCACUGUCCGAUUGAAACAGUCGAUGAAUCCUUUGUUGGUGGUUAACCAGUCCAUUCCUAAAAUGACAUCCAGUCCUUUACUUUCCAACAUGAUGAGAUUCGCGUGGAAUGGUAGUCCUUCGAACUCAAUGACCACUCCUUGGCAGUAACCCUGAGCAAUUUUCUUAUUCCCGAGGGACUAGAUGAUCAUAGAUUUUUCCAAGGGAAGUAUCGGAAAACCGUGUUGUGAAACAAAACUCUUCGAAACGAACGAAUGGGAAGCUCCAGAAUCAAACAAAACCGUGGCAGGUACUGUGUUGACAGGGAACGUACCGAGCACGAUGUCUGGGGCGUUCUGCGCUUCUUCCCUGGUCACAUGGUUCAGGUGACCCUUCCUGUGGUUGUUGCUGGGGUUGAAGUUGUUGCGCUUGGGGGAUGGAUUGUUCCCACCAUUGUUCGGCUUGGGUGCCGUGUCUCUUGGCUUCGGGCACUGUUUAGCAUAAUGCCCUUGUUGACCACAAGCAUAGCAGGUGACCCCUGGACGGUAUGUGAACUCCUUAUCUCUGGCAUGAAACUGCCCGACGGGCCUUGGCUCAGUAGUCGUGGGUCUCCUUGCGUCUGUCCUUGGGCUCUCAGUCUUGCCUCGGUUGCUGCGGGUAAGAGUCGUCUUGUCCCUCUUUCGUUUGCGGAUAUCUUCCAGACUACGGCGCUCAUUCUCCAGGGUGAUGGCCUUGUCCACCAGCGUCUUAAAAUCCGGAAAGGUGUGUACAAUCAGUUGGCAUCUCAGUGCUGGUGCCAGGCCGUCCAGGAAUUUUUCCAUCUUCUUGUUUUCUGUCAUGUGCUUGUCGUAGGCAUAGCGAGACAGUUGGGUAAACUGGCCGUUGUAUUCUGUGACGGACAUGCCUCUUUGCUUCAGGUCAUCAAACUCUCUUUUCUUGAUCUUUAGGAUGCUCCUGGGAAUGUGUGCCCCACGGAAGCCUUCCUUGAAUUCUUCCCAGGUGAUGUUGUGUUCCCUGGGGUGCAUGUGUAGGAAGUUUUCCCCCCAUGCUGCCGCUGCUCCAGUAAGGUAGUGUGGUGCAUAAAGCACCUUCUCAUGAUCUGAGCACUGAGCGAUAAUCAGUUUCCUUUCAAUCUCACGAAGCCAAUCAUCGGCUUCAAGUGGCCUGUCGGUGUGAGCAAAAGUUGAGGGGCGAGUCUUCUGUAACUCAGAUAACUUGGAAUGUGGUUGAUAGGGUUCACGGUGGUUUCCCAUUAUUGAUGACAUGGUUCAUCAUCUCCUGGUGCUGUUGCUGGCUUUGCUCGAAGAGACGGCAUACUUGAGAUAGUGCCGCUUCGCUGUCCUGUUGGCUGGACUGACCCUGAGUGAAAUUGUUGCUGGUCUGUGUUCCGUAAACCUCUUCUGGCUGAUUGGGCAUAGAGCGAGUCCAUGGGCGAGACAUUUUUCCAGUCUGGGGUAUCAUUUGCAAAACCCAUGAGAAAAACUGUGUAGCGCAGGAAAAAUCUUGCAAAGGUAAUAAUCAAAAAGGCUUCUAGGUUUUCAAAGAAACACAAAUGAUUUUUUUCGGAGAAGAAGUGCUUAACACAAAUCUUACAUGCGAAAGCAAACACAAGAUACAGCACUCAGGUUGUGCGUAGACAAUCCUGACAUGUUAUUAAAAACUAGCGUACUACUCCGGAAGGCAGCAAACACACCAACACAAACUAGCGUACAGAUAAAAACAACACAUCAUACAAGCAGGCAUAACACGCGGCUACUCGGUGCUCUCAGUCGGAGAUGGUGAAGAUCUCCUUCCCCUUGCCGAUGGCAAGGCUCAGCGGUCCAGGAGAAUCAACCUCCUCCUCUCUAGUUGGCUCCUGGCGUGCGACGCUGCGCGGCGGUGAUGGUGCGGGGGGCGACUGGUGGUAGAGCGCGUGCGGCAGGCGGUGCGGCUCUGACUGGAGUAGGAGCGAUGACUCGGUCGAACUCCUCAGUGGUAGGCAGACAACGAGCAGUGGCCAAAACGGCCGGUGCAUACGAGGCUGAAGACGAGACGAAUGUCAGAGGCGGCGCUGUGUGGAGAAGCUCCUUCCUGCUGGCAGGACCGCCCCGGACUAAGUCCAUGCGGGCAGCCACAAGAUCAUCUACGAGGUUGUCGAAAGACUCCUCCAGUGCCUUGAGAUACUCCACAACCAUUUCGAUGGCUUCAUCUCGUUCUCCCCGAUGGCAGGCGAACGCAUAGUGGCUGGUGUAAGGCACAUGGCAUGGGAGGUAGCGGUAGCGACGAGUCUUCAUCGUAGGAAGGAUGUCCCGAAGGCGAGCUAUCGCCUCGCGGGCAGCCAUCUGCAUGGCAUGCCUCUCCAUAGGCAUGGCCCUUCCCACAAAACGGAAGUGGCGUGCAGCUGAACGUCCUCCCUUGAACUGCACCACAGCCUGGUGCAUAGACAGGUCGUCACUGAGCUUGUGCUGAUAGAGUGUGAACUCCGGGCGAGCUGCUGGCCCGAUCGCGAGCUUGGUGAUGGAGACGAGGAGCUUGACAAACCCCUCGGGCACGUUGGUGAACACUCGAUUCUCACAGCUGCUGCCAGCCAUCUACAAAAGUAGGCAAAAAUUCUGAGUAGUCAUGUCAUAAAUUUUAUGAUGACCAACAGAAAAUAGCUACAAUUGUAAAAUGCUGAAAAAGCACAAAAGACGCUAAUAACCGAUUAGCGAUCGCACCUAGUGGCUUCCUACAGUCAGCCUGGCUCUGAUACCAAGCUUGUCAUGACCGGUUUUUCAAUAAAAUAAUUAUUGAGAGACCAAUCCCUUUUACGGACCAGCGAAGAAGAAUUCCUUCUCACUGGUAGACAAUAAUCUUGGUCACAGAAGAAAAAUACCAGGAGUACUAAAUAUAACACAAGGUUGAGCAGAGGCUGCUCAACAAUUUAUUACAUGCACGCCGCUAAAACAAUGCGGCGGAUAGGGUGGCAACUACUAACUCACAAUGAUAAAGGUGGUGGAAAUAUCACUGCAAAGCGAGUGACAUGAUUCCAGAAGACUACAACUCAUCGAGCGUCGGAGUGAGGCUCGAGAAGACUUAUUGCGGGUGGCGGAAGCGUAAACAACAUAAGUGACCAAUAUCCGGGAUCGCGCAGGACUGACUGGGACACCUCUAGGCAUCGGACGCGCUAUCAAAAUCUUCAUCCAAGAGAUCGCCUUCGUCAACAUCUGGCCAAAUCAACAAGCCAGGUGAGUACUAUGAAAGUACUCGCAAGACAGUUCGGACAUAAGGUAUAACAAAUGUAAACAUGAAACAUAUGAACAAGUUAACCAGUGCGAUCAGACAUAGAGGUAAUAAAUACUGGGUGCCAAGCGAGGGUCCGAAUGACGCCUCGAGCGGAAACUGCAGAAUAGUAAUGCGGGUGCCAAAUGAGUGUCUGAAAGACUCCUCGAGAGGAAAAUGCGGAACGUUAAUACAGGUGCCAAACGAGUGUCUGCAGGACUCCUCGAGAGGAAAAUGCAAAAUAGUAAUGCCACAGUCGGGCGUCGGGGCGACACCACAUAAAGGGCUUAUAGCAGAAAAUAAAGACAGUGCAUGCCGCAGUCGGACGUCUGAGCGACAUCGCAUAAAGGGCUUAUAUUUAAAGUGAGAAACGAGUACACGCCACAGUCGGACGUCUGCACGACGUCUCAUAAAGGGCUUAUAUUGUAACACAAUAAUACAAUAGUUCGGGAACAUAACUUAUCACAAGCACGAGACAAAUAUAAAGUUAGUCCAUCCACCGGAAUGACAAUAAAACUGAAUUACCAUUUGAGUUUGUUCACCGGGGGCAAGUUUUGUCACAUAGAUAGAUAUGGAUAUCAUUCUUACACUGCUUGAUCAUGGGUACGAUGAUUUGGAAAGAAUUGACUCUGCAGAGUUUGUACUUAACCACAGCCAACGGAUUUCAGUAGUCACGGGGACUAGUUCCGUCUACGGUGUUUUGGAAGAAACACGUCUAACCAGUACACACCCAAUUCAACCAUCCGAAGCCAGGGAUCACCCUCGGCCACAUUCAAGAAAAACCUUGAGUCGGGGAGGCUACAACCUCGCGUAGCAUGGGAUCAAAUUUCUAUACGCGCGCUCUAAGGGGGUGCCCCCCCUCUCGGUCCCAACCGAAAACACCCAUGCCCCCUGACCGGAUGACUGGCUUUAAUCCUGGGCCAAGGUACCAUCAUCCCGGCCUCUCUGUUUGGUGUGUACACGGAAAGAGGUUACCAACUUACUAAACCGUAUCCUGGCAAUGAGACAUGUGGUAGCACGGAAAAGGGAAGGCACGGUAACACGGCUCCAACCAUGUUGACGUCGGAAAAGUCGGAUGACGCAAGGCUGGCAUGCUACAACAAUACCCCCUUGCUGCCCUUCAUGUCAUCACAUGAUUAGGCCACCUCUCAUCAGAGAUCAUCGCAACUUCGGAACAUGCGGGAAAAGAACGACAACGUAGCUCCAACCACGUUAACAUCGCAGAGAGUUGGAUGACGCAAGGCUGUCAUGCUACAACAGUACCACCUUGCUGCCCUUCAUGUCAUCACAUGAUUAGGCCACCUCUCAUCAGAGGUCAUCGCAACUUCGGAACAACCGGGUCGUUGCCUUACGAGCGACGCGGUAAUAAUCGACACUCACAUGCCACGCACAAACUUUCACAUGAACAUGCAAAACAUCUGCCAUAUCAAAUGUUCAAAACAUGCUUGCCUGGUUCGGAGAAGUCGGAGUCUAGCUCGGUGAAGUUCGCGGCUCCGUCACCUCUCCCGGAACCUACGGCAAUCACGAAACGGGUACUAACGUGAAAACCAACACAUGCACAGAAACUUUUCCAAAUAUUUUUCAAAUAAAUCCCAUAAAAAACUAGACAAAAUUUGAAGAUUGUCAGAAAAAGAAUCACUCACAAAUACCUUUUUAUUAAAAAGUUAUAAAGGUUUUUGUCCAGGGACUUAUCUGUAAUGAAACAGAAAAGUUCCAGGGUUUUAACUGAGAAAACAGAAAACGCUUCGGCUGGGAAUGCGCAAGCGCAAAGGAGAAACGUAUUUCGCCCAAAGGCGUCAACAGAAAACGGUUCGCGAAUAAAAGAACAGAGGCUGACACGCGGGGUCCACAUGUCAGGUUUGAAAAGCUCGCCGGCGCCCGAAGACUGCGGUGGACGCCGGCGUCGAACCACGGCGAGUUAGGAGAAACGGAGGGUACCAAGAGCUUCAGCGUCCUCUUCCGCGUCGGUGGGUGGUGGACUCGUCCAACGGGGAGCACCACGUCGACGGCGACACUUUCUCCGGCGGACGGCGGCUUGGGUGAGGAUGGGGAACUCCGGUGGAGGGCUGCAAGCUUCAAAUUGAAGUGCGGGUCAGAGAGAGGGAUGCAUGGUGAAGCUACUGGCAAGUGAAUGGAGGCGAAGGAGCACACACGGGGGCAAAUCGGGCUGGAUCCCGUGGCGGGUCGCGGCGGCCGGAGUCGAGGAAGGAGACCUCCUCGGGGCUCUUCCAGUGGCUAGGCGUGCUCUAGGGGGGGUGCAGGGCUGGUGGGUGCUCGAGUUGAAGCUCGGGGCCCCUAUUUAUAGGCAGAUCGACGGGAUGGCCGUGAACGGUGGAUCUCCGGCGAGCGAUUACGGCGGAGCAGUGGGUUGGCAGGGGGUUUGAGCGGUCGGGCAGCAUCAGUGGAUGUUACUGGACUCGAUUUGCAGCUAAACGGGGUCGGUCUUGGCGUAAUGGCGUCGGUCCACGGUGAGGUGACCGCACGGGCUCAACGGCGGCAGAGAGCGCGCUCCGUGCCCUGCGGUUCACGACGAGAGCGGCAGCGCGUUCGGGGGAGUGGAAGGCCACGCGGCGAGCUCCGGUGGUUUGGGCGGCGCUGGGUGGCGUCGUAGGCGCCGUGUCUCCUGCUGGCGCCCGCAAAGCCGCCGCCGGCGUUGGUCACGGGGUGGCGCACCUUCUGCUGCUCGUUGCCGACGCCCGCAAGGUGCCAGGCACUCGUGCGGUGCAGGAACAAGGGGGCGAGGACGAGGAGCAAGGCGACGCGGUGGCACUGGCGAGAUCGAUGUCCAUCUCUGAAGAAAACGACAGUGAGCACUGAACUGAAUCUCUGAACUUCUGAACUUGACAAUGACCAUGCACUGCAGGUGUUCGACAGGAGGUUUUGGCUAUGAGAUAAAUUUUUCUGGAGCUGUAACUUGGUGAGAUGAUCACUCAAAGCACCCAGGGGCUGCCUGAAUUUACUUGGAAUUUUUGGAGAAGGUUUUGAAUGAAUUUCACCAAAUUUGCCAAAUCUGGUCCAAACUUGCAGCAGGUGUAGUUUGAAAUUUUUGAACUGAAGACUAAUGGAUCUUCAUGGUUCCAGGUUGAGGGUUCAAAGGACUAGGAGGGGAAAGAAGUUUGGUGGUAAAAGUCCAAACAGAAAAUGGAGUUCCUUUGUAAAUCCCCAAGUGGUAGAAUAGAAGGCAGAAUUUUUUUUGAAUGAAAUUUGAAUGGGAAUAAUCACAUGGGGAGGUUCAACUUGCUGGAUUAGGUGUAAAACAUGAUCCAAAGGUGAGGGAAGGAUUUGGGGAGAGGAUUUGCACAAAUGUCAUGGUAAGAAGGGAAAGUUGAAAGUGGUGAAGGACUUUCCAAAAGCCAUAGUGCAAAUUCAAAAAGAUUUUCAGGAGUUAUUUUCCCAAAUGAAAAACAUUUUGUUUUGAGUCCAAAUGAAAAGUAAGAACUUCCAAGACCAAAGGCAGAUCUUGGGUGAAUCCAAACAAAACUUUUGCCAUAAGGAAAAAUAUAUGAGAGGGAGAGUUCUCUUAAAGAAAAAUUUAAAUUGCUCCCCUCAAGUCAAAAUAGAAAUCUUUUUUGAAAAAACCAAAUAAAAACUUGGGUGUCACAUGUUGGAGGAGCAUUGACAAGGCCGAAAGACAUGACAGUAUAUUCAUAAGAACCAAAGCUUGUUCUGAAUGCUGUCUUGGGAAUAUCUUCUUCACGAAUGCGAAUCUGAUGAUAACCCAUCCGGAGGUCAUGCUUGGAGAAGACUUUAGCACCUUUAAGUUGCUCGAAUAGCUCAUUGAUGUUGGGAAGUGGAUACUUGUUCUUGAUUGUCUUCUUGUUCAAUGGCCGGUAGUCGACACAAAGUCGGUUCGUGCCAUCCUUCUUCUGGACAAAAAGAACACCACAACCCCACGGAGAUGAACUUGGUCAGAUCAAACCCAGACGCUCUUGUUCAUCAAGCUGUUUCUUCAAUUCCUUCAGCUCCUUGGGUCCAAGCUUGUAUGGACGCUUGCAAACGGGUAGUUCCGUGCCAGGCUCAAGAUCGAUAACGAACUCGACUGGCCAGUGAGGAGGCAUACCCGGAAGCUCUUCUGGAAAAACAUCUUGGUACUCACAAACGACUGGAAUCCGAUAGAUUGCGUCUAGCUCGCCCUUGUCAUUGAGAGAGAAUAACCGAAUGGUCUCAUCACGAGCGGCAUAGAUGAUCACAUCCUCAGAAGAGUGUGUCAAUUGAAUUUCCCUGGCAGCACAAUCAAGUUGAGCCUUGUGCUUAGAAAGCCAGUCCAUCCCGAGAAUUAGAUCAAUAUCCGAGUCACCAAGGACAAUUGGAGAAGAUAGAAAUUUAUAGUCGCCCAUCUUGAUAGAGACAUCAGGAACUAUCGAGUUGGCUCUCAUUGACUUCCCCGGAGAAACAACACCCAAAGGUUUAUCCAGGUAAGACCAAGUAAAAUCAUUCUUUGCAAAGAACGAUCUUGACAUGAAACAAAGCGAUGCACCAGUAUCAAACAAAACUUUUGCAGGAAUAUCAUUAACUGAGAGAUUACCCAUUAUCACAUCAGUAGAUUCCUCCGCUUGAGCUGCAUUCAUCAUGUUCACCUUUGUAGACUUGGGAUUAUGCUUGACCACUGCAUUGCUGGAAGAUCUCACAGGAGGAGGAGGCGGAAGGCGCCUUUGGUUGAAGCACUUGUUAGCAUAGUGACCUUUCUGCUGACAUUUGUUGCAAGUCACCUCCGAGAGCGGACGAUGAUAAGGAGCAUUAGACCUCGGAGCUUGAUUCUAAGACUUGUUCUGAUAGCCAGGGUUGGGUGGGUGGGAAGAUCCAUGGCCACCUUUGUUCUUCUGCUGGAAAGGCUGACGAAACGGAGGAGGAGGAGGCAACCAGAACUUCUGUUGCUUAGCAGCCACUAGUGAGGAAGAAGAAGACUGAACUGCGUCCCUGACUCUCUUCUUAGAAGCCUCACACUUGAGCUGAGCAGCCUCUUGCUUCAGUGCCAUGUUGUAGAAAUCAUCAUACUUGGUCCGCUCAAAAAGUACGAGAGGUAAUUGCAGAUCUUCUGUGAGGCCACCUCUAAAUUGAUAGAUCAUGCUCUUUUCAUCAAGAACGUCUUGCUUAGCGAAGCGAGCGAGUUUCUGAAACUGGGUAUUGUAUUGAUACACGGACAUGCUACCUUGCUUGAGAUUGCGGAACUCCUCACGCUUGCUCUCAACAACACUUUGUGGAAUGUGGUGAGCUUUGAAGUCUCGGCGGAAAUCAUCCCAGGUAAUCACACGACCUCCUCUGGAAUCUUUGUAUUGUUGAUACCACUCGGCAGCUUGAUCCUUGAGUUGAAAUGAAGCAAACUUGACAAAGUCCUCAGGCCUGACAUUGCUACAUUCAAAAUGCUUGUUGAUGUCCACGAGCCAAUCAUCGGCGUUUGUGACCUCGGCACAGUAGCUGAAAGACUUCGCCUGAUUUGCGAGGAACUGGUUGAGGGUAGCGAAGUGUGGCUGAUAGUUGCCUUGGCCUUGAUUUCCUUGGUUGCCUUGCCCUUGGGUGCCCUCUUGCAAGAGUUGCAAAAUCAUCUGAGCAUUGGCGUUGGUGGCUGCCAUGAUAGCUUGCCAUGCCUCCGGAGGCGGAGGUGGUGGCGUAGGGUUCGCCUGACUCCCAUCAUUGCGUUCCGAAUUCUGACGCGUUGGCGGAGCCAUCCUGAAGAGGGUGACAUCCGUUAGCAUCUUGAUAGACAGAUAGACAAGUUGAAUCAACGGAUAGAAAUUGCAACAUAUAGUCUUCACAAUAAACAUUCGAACGAGGAUGAACGAAUGAAUUCCAUAGUAAAUCAUCACACUUCCAUAAGGUGAGAAGCCACUUGAUAAGAAAUUGAUGAAUGAAAUAACAAGGUGCAACUGGAACAAAUAAGUGGUAAGGAUUACCCAAUCACAAACCAAAUAUCUGCGGGAAGAAAUGCUAAGAGCUACUUGAAUCCCACCUAUAAACUCCCGAAACUUUCUGGUUAUGCAAUCUGGUGUUGGGGAUACAGGGGACACAAAAUAUAUCACCCAAACUAGCAAUCCCUAGAUCCAGCUGUAUCCAUCCAUCAACACAUAACCAAGAAACCUUCGGAAAUCGUGUACCUCAACCUUCGAAAAGCGUCCGUUAUAUGAGUUAUGGCAAUACUCCCGAACUCCCGCCCCAGUACUGGGUAGCGUCGAGGUGAUCUCACCAACAACUGCAUAAAAGAGAUUUUCGUUGUCGGCGAAACUCAGGUAUUCCAGAACUGCAACGAUAAAAUUGUUACGACAACACCUCGGAGCUCAACUCCGCGGGACACUGCGACAACCCCUAAAUGUCAGGAGGCACCAAGAACAAUGUUCUCGUCACAAAACCAUCGGAACGAUUCCAAGAUACCCGCGUGAUCCUAAAUUUUUUUUAGUGAAAUUUGAGAAGAGGAAAGAGAAAACAUCUACGUCAGGAAACCUCACCAGAGCGACGAAGGGACUGAGGAGUAAAAAGAAUCCUACUCUCCGAUAUAUAUAAUCCUAAGACUCAAAACAUUUUUUUUGUAGACUCAACAACGCUAGCGAUUCGAUCAAGCAGGGGGCUCCUAAGUCGGGGAUGGCUCUGAUUACCAACUUGUAACGCCCACGAUGCGGCUAUAUCUCCCACGUGUCGAGGCACGACUUAGAGGCAUAACCGCAUUGUAGGUAUUGUCGCAAGAAGGGUCAUCUUCACACAAUCCCAUGUAAUGAACAAGAAUGGGAUAACGAGAGUUGGCUUACAAUCGCCACUUCACACAAUACAUAAAUUUAAUUCAUACAUCAUCCAAAAUCCACACAUAGACCGACUACGGUCAAAUCCAAAUGGAAAGAAGAUAACCCCAAAUUCUAGAUCCCCGAUCGUCCCAAUUGGGCUCCACUACUGAUCAUCCGGAAACGAAACAUAGUAACGACCACGUUCCUCGUUGAACUCCCACUUGAGCUCGGUUGCAUCAUCUGCACUGGUAUCGUCGACACCUGCAACUGUUUUGGUAGAAUCUGUGAGUCACGAGGACUCAGCAAUCUCACACCCGCGAGAUCAAGACUAUUUAAGCUUAUAGGAAAGGAUGGGGUAAUGAGGUGGAGCUGCAGCAAGCACUAAGCAUAUGAUGGCUAACAUACGCAAAUGAGAGCGAGAAGAGAAGCAACACAAUGGUCGCGAAGCUAGAAAUGAUCAAGAAGUGAUCCUGAAACUACUUACGUUCAUACAUAACCCAGACCAUGUUUACUUCUCGGACUCCGCCGAAAAGAGACCAUCACGGCUACACACACAGUUGAUGUAUUUUAAUUAAGUCAAGUGUACGGUUCUCUACAACCGGACAUUAACAAAUCCCAUCGGCGUCAUAACUGCGGGCACGGCUUUCGAAAGAUAAUACCCUGCAUGGGUGUCCCAACUUAGCCCAUUAUAAGCUCUCAUGGUCAACGAAGGAUAUUCCUUCUCUCGGGAAGACCCGAUCAGUCUCGGAAUCCCGGUUUACAAGACAUUUCGAAAAUGGUAAAACAAGACCAGCAAGACCACCGGACUGUGCCGACAAAUCCCGAUAGGAGCUGCACUUAUCUUGUUCUCAGGGCACACCGGAUAAGCGAAGCGUACAGGUACCAAUGUAACCCAAGUUGCCAAGGGACGGUCCCGCACGGUGCUCUAGUUUGGACCAACACUCAGAGGAGCACGGGCCCCGGNNNNNNNNNNNNNNNNNNNNNNNNNNNNNNNNNNNNNNNNNNNNNNNNNNNNNNNNNNNNNNNNNNNNNNNNNNNNNNNNNNNNNNNNNNNNNNNNNNNNNNNNNNNNNNNNNNNNNNNNNNNNNNNNNNNNNNNNNNNNNNNNNNNNNNNNNNNNNNNNNNNNNNNNNNNNNNNNNNNNNNNNNNNNNNNNNNNNNNNNNNNNNNNNNNNNNNNNNNNNNNNNNNNNNNNNNNNNNNNNNNNNNNNNNNNNNNNNNNNNNNNNNNNNNNNNNNNNNNNNNNNNNNNNNNNNNNNNNNNNNNNNNNNNNNNNNNNNNNNNNNNNNNNNNCUCGCGAAAACCCAAGGGAAAAAGGCUUAGGUAGGCAAAUGUAAGACCAAGGCUGGGUCUUGCUGGAGGAGUUUUAUUCAAGGCGAACUGUCAAGGGGGUCCCAUAAAUCACCCAACCGCGUAAGGAACGCAAACUCAAGGAACAUAACACCGGUAUGACGGAAACUAGGGCGGCAAGAGUGGAACAAAACACCAGGCAUAAGGCCGAGCCUUCCACCCUUUACCAAAUAUAUAGAUGCAUUAAUUAAAUAAGAGAUAUUGUGAUAUGCCAAAAUAUCCAUGUUCCAACAUGGAACCAACUUCAACUGUACCUACAACUAGCAACGCUGUAAGAAGGGCUGAGCAAAAGCGGUAACUUAGCCAAACAACGGUUUGCUAGGAAAGGAUGGUUAGAGGCUUGACAUGGCAAUAUGGGAGGCAUGAUAUAGCAAAUGGUAGGUAGCGCAGCAUAGCGAUAGAGCGAACAACUACCAAAGCAAAGAUAGAAGUGAUUUCGAGGGUAUGGUAAUCUUGCCUGCAAGGUUCUCAGAGUUGUCGAAAGCUUGAUCCUCGUAAGCGUCCUCAAUUGGUUCCUCGAAAGCGUACUCGUCUCUCGGCUCUACCCAAAGCAAGAACACAAACAAAGGACCAACAAUCAAUCACGGGAAAUGCACAAGCAACAUGAUGCAAUACAUGCAUGAUAUGAGAGAUGUGAUAUGCGAUGCAUAUGCGUGCUCCAAAAGGGAAAAGAUGAACAAGGCAUCAACUUGGCAAACCAAGUAUGCCACUGGAAAGAUGAGAUGAUUUCGGUCGAAAUCGAUAUAAAGAUCACAGGAAACGGAUGCACGGUUUGCAAAUGGCAAGCAAAACAAGAAUGACACAAUUCUGCGAUUAACAGCAUGAUAGCACUUAGAACACAUCAAGAAACUAUGCUACAGCACACCAACAUAGCAACAAAGCAUAUGGAAGUGAUCUACAAGAGAUGCUUGACAAAAAAUGAACAAUGAGCUACAGCUAAAUCACACAAUAACAGGUUGAAACAAGCAUGGCAAAAGUGCAAAAGAUAUCAGCUUCACAGACUUAGUGAAAAUACUGAACAUGGCAUAAACAACAUCAGGUAGCACUGUUCAGAGCAAGCAAUCAGCAUGCUACAGGAACUUAUCAUAGCAAAAAAGGCAUGGCAUGAAUGUACUAAAUGCAUAGAAAAAAGUACCUUACUGAUCAUGAGCCAAAAAUGAUCAGAAGAUAUGAUGGCACCCAUGUAAACAUAGCAAGUUCCGUUAACAGGUUUCAAACUUAGCAGAAAACAGAGCAUGGCAUUAACAGAAUUAUGAAGGCAUCUUUGUGAGAUCGAUUCACUCAUCACAAAGCAAUGCAUGACAAAACAAGCAUACCAACAGCAAGAAUACAUGUUCAUGAAGCUAUCCAUGGCAAGAGCAAGUUCAUAGCAUGUAUGGAUCAACUACAACAACCUUGGCAAAAUUGAAUAACAUGUAAACAGUCUGUCAGGAACAUUUUAGAGCAAGAUUGAGACAUGCUAGGGCACUCCAUAAUUGCAAACAGGGGCAUGGAUGGAUAGAGCACAACUAUAUGUUCAAAACAUCCUUACUGAAGUAUCUCAAAAUAAGCAUGGAUCUCACUGUAGCAUCAAGGAUACAUGGCAUCAAAAUAACAGCAGGUAAAGGACUUAGCAAAUUCUAAGUCCCUGAAAACAGAAACAUCACGAAGCCUAGUUUGCAUGCUUGUGCUAGUCACCACAUAGAUAAAAAAAUACAUGUCAUACACCCCUGUAACGAUGGCAUGGCAUAGAUCAAAACACAUGUAGAGCUCAUGCUCAUAAGAUGCACACAUCAAAUGCAACAAAAAUAACAAAACAUCAAGUUCUGAUAAGUAACAGCAGUAAACAACACAGAGCACUCUUGCACCAGCGAUUUGGGCAUCAAUAUGAACUCAAACAAGCAGGACACAAUGGAACAAAAUGAAGAGCAUCUCCUGAUGAACAUGUUGACAUAUCAUGCGCAUGAAGCAGAGCAGCAUGCAAGGAGAUAUGAUGCGAUCAACAGAGCCACAUAAUCUGAGCAAUUCGGGACUUAGCAGAAAAACGAGGGGGGGGGGGAAAUCAACCUCGAUCUAGGGUUUCGUGGGCACGCGAGCUGAGGUUCACCGGAACUUUGCCGGAGUUGGAGGAAGGGCGGCCGGAGCUCGGGGAAGCUCACUGGAGGGCAGGGGAUGCCGGAUCCGGCGCGGAGGGGGCCGGGCGCCGGCGGAUCGGGCGGAGAAGACGGUCGGUGGUGCUGGGNNNNNNNNNNNNNNNNNNNNNNNNNNNNNNNNNNNNNNNNNNNNNNNNNNNNNNNNNNNNNNNNNNNNNNNNNNNNNNNNNNNNNNNNNNNNNNNNNNNNNNNNNNNNNNNNNNNNNNNNNNNNNNNNNNNNNNNNNNNNNNNNNNNNNNNNNNNNNNNNNNNNNNNNNNNNNNNNNNNNNNNNNNNNNNNNNNNNNNNNNNNNNNNNNNNNNNNNNNNNNNNNNNNNNNNNNNNNNNNNNNNNNNNNNNNNNNNNNNNNNNNNNNNNNNNNNNNNNNNNNNNNNNNNNNNNNNNNNNNNNNNNNNNNNNNNNNNNNNNNNNNNNNNNNNNNNNNNNNNNNNNNNNNNNNNNNNNNNNNNNNNNNNNNNNNNNNNNNNNNNNNNNNNNNNNNNNNNNNNNNNNNNNNNNNNNNNNNNNNNNNNNNNNNNNNNNNNNNNNNNNAAGGGCGCGGCGGCGGCGGUCGGCGCUCUUGGGCGCGGACGCCUGCGGGCGGCGGCGGCGAGGGAACAGGCCCCGCGGGCUAGGCAUGGGCCUCGCGGGCCGGUGGGAGGCAUGGGGCGGCGGGUGCCCACGUGGCGGCGGCGGAGUGGCUCCAGGCGGCGGCGAGGCUGACGUGGCGGCUAGAUAUUGGCCGGGCGACGUGGCGGAGGUCGUGUACGGCGCCGGGCGGACACGUCCGGCGGCGCGGAGGAGCGGGGCUAGGGUUUCGGGACCCGGGAUUUCGGAGGAGUGCACAUAUUUAUAGCUAGAGGGAGCUAGGAGACUCCAAAUGAGGUGCGGUUUUCGGCCACGCGAUCUUGAUCCAAAGACGGAGGGCAUGGAAGGGGUUUGGAUGGGUUAUUGGGCUGUUUGGAGGGGUGUUUGGCUGCAACACACAAAAGGCCUUUGCGGUUACCCGGUUAACCGUUGGAGCAUCAAACGGCCUCCAAAUGGAACGAAACUUGACAUGUGGUCUACCGGUGGUGUACCAAGGCCACUUGGCAAACCUCGGUCCAUUCCGAGAACGUUUGACACCCGCUCACGAAAAGAGACAAGAGGGGUGCGCCGGUGCAUGUGGGAGUGUCGGAUUGCAAAACGGACAACGGGGAAAAUGCUCGGAUGCAUGAGAUGAACACGUAUGCAAAUGAGAUGCACAUGAUGACAUGAUAUGAAAUGCAUGACAUGAACAAAAUGCAAAACAAGAGACAAAAACCCAACCACGAAGGGAAUAUCAUAACACAUAGCUGAAAAUGGCAAGAGUUGGAGUUACAAAUAUGGAAAGUUACAUCCGGGGUGUUACAGAGCUCACCUCCAAGGUCGUUGAUAAGCUCGUUCAUGGACUCGCUGUUCCAAGAACGUCGAGGCAUGCCGUGGAAGGUAAGCUUUGUUAAAAACUCAAGCUCAGAGGGCACCGAGCCCCAUCCUGGGUGCCACCGAUCAAAGCUCACCAGCGCACCAUCGCAGAACAAACGCCGGGAAGAUUUGAACACACGACUGCAGUCGAAAGUUGUCCGGAACCUGACGAAGAAAUCAGCCGGUGGCGGACAGACUUCAACGAGAAGUCACUUAUUUGGAUGCCGUGCGCAAUGCCAAGAGCUUUGACAAGGUUGUCCGGCGAGAUGGGAGGCCGGUCGCCGUUGAUGGUUACCAUCAGCACUUUGCCGACAAACUGGUCGUCAAGCGCCGCCAUGCCACUGUUGAGCGACAGCACGCAGCGACCGAAGGCAAGACGGACCUCAGGAUCUCCGGCUCGGAGAUCCGUGUUGACCGGCGACAUGAUAGUGCGCUUGAGUACAGGGAGUAUAGGAGGGGGAUUUGGGGGAACUGGAGUAGGAAUCGAGAUUCCAGAGGUGGGGGAGGGGCGGGAGACUGGGGAUGAAAAGGUAGCAUGAAUUUCGAGCACGCGCCAAUAUGCUCUCGGCGCGCAAGCCCACGAAAACACCGGUGGCGCCCACAUGUCGGCCUAAGAGUCCUUAUUCUUUCUUUUUUGGAGAGCCCGGCCUUUUUUUUCAGGAUCUUUUGAGAGCCCGGCCUGAGAGUCAUAAUUGACCUGUUUGGCAUUGCGUUACUACUCGGCCCAUAUUCAACGACACCUCACUGGCCCAAACAAGUGUACAUCUUUGAAAAGACACUGAGCUCAAAUUAUAUAACUUGAAAAAGGAGAUAUACUCUGAACACUGGAGAAUGGUGAUGCCCUCAUUUAGCCCACCAGUAGUUUGAGACAAUAAACAGUUUGAAACAACGAUAUAUACAACAUUCAAACAUUGACUAGUGACUACUACUGACAUAAACAACAAGACAUGAUAGUUCAUAAGAAGUCUUGCUACACCACCAAAACGCACCCAUCUGCAGCGCUCAGACUCUCAUGAUCCAGACGAGAAUGCCAUUCUAAACAGAAGCAACUAUUACAUAGUAAGUGUGACAUAGACGAGGAUGACCAAAUGACAAGGAAUAUGCAUAACAAAAGAAACAACUACCCAUCCAGAACCAGCAGCAAAGACAACAAAGUCAUUCGAAGAGAUGAUCCAACACCAUCAUAAUUUGCAGCCCCGCUUCAGCGACCAGUGAUCCGGAGACACUAGUACUCCACCCUUUCGAUGCAACAGCCCAAGUACCUAUCAACCUAAAGGCUUGAACCACAUCACUGCCUGUCGUAAUUGAGACAUCCAAGGAUCAAAGUCAAUCCGGAUGCCUUUGUCAUUCUCACCUUCUUUUGGCUGCAGGCUGUAUCGUUGACAAUCAGGGGAGUUUGCUCCUGAACUCCUAGGGCUCGCCGUGUAGACACAGUUUUCCAUAGCAAACAGAGCCUCUCUGCCAUCAAGGUCCUUGCCAACGGUGAUCUCCUGGUUAAUCGGAUAAUUGAGUCCGAGAAACAGAGAGUGUGAACCAAGGCUGUUUACUCGCCUCCAACUAAAAAAUCCUAAAGGCCCCAACAAGCUGGUAUCCUGCUCAUAGACGUAACAACCACUGUCCGGAUACUCACGUAUUACACGGUGCUUGUAUACAGUGGGGUUUUUGCAAUAUAACUUUUCCGGCUCAUGUGUCCGAAUGAUCAUCAGUCUUUUGCCAUCGUCUGAUCAAGCGAGGAACCAGUUGUGCUUCCCUGUUUUUGGCAAAGGUGGUGUGAUUACAAAGGGAAGUAACCGUAGGAACACUGCAUCAUAUUAAAAAGGACAUGCAUUGUUAAUGUAAGACCAACAUUGUUCAGAGUAUGAGUAGGAUAAUGCAAGAAACAACAUUGAUAUGUCCCUGUUGGAAUUGGGAGGAAAAUACAGGGAAAUGUAUACUGGGUUCAAAAAUAUAGAAGUGCCAUGCAUGGUUAUACUCAUGUUAUCUCGCAAUCGAUUCUUCACAGGAAACUACCAUGUCAUGCAUGUUAUGUACUCCCUCCAUUCCCAAAUAUUUGUCUUUCUAGGCAUUUCAAAUAGACACAACAUACAGAUGUAUGUAGACAUAUUUUAGAGUGUAGAUUCACGCAUUUUGCUCCGUAUGUAGUCACUUGUUAAAAUCUCUAGAAAGACAAAUAUUUGGGAACGAAGGGAGUAAUCAUGUUCUGUCCUCACAAACAAAUUCUUCAAGGUAACUAACAGACCAUGCAUUGUUAUAUACUUGUGUUCUGUGGUCAAACUUUUUGUGAGGAUAUUAUUCUAGCCAUUGAUUGCUGAAGGGCGAAUAUAGGUAUGUACACAUGGUAAGCACUGCAGGAUUUCACUACUUCCAAAUAUAGAGUUCUCCAUAUGCACAUUUACUUCCCUAAUGUAUGGUUAGAUGAAACCAACAGUGUGGUGCAUGUUUCUACAUCAUGAAAAUGAGGAAACUAACAUGGCCAUUGAUACACACUCAUUUUUAGUAGUAGUAUAUAGAUUACUGUAAAAUAAGGAUAAUAUCCAUAUAUUCCUAACCGUUUGAUUAUUCAGGGUACAAUUGGCUGUAAUGACAUGGUCACAAUCGCAUGAAUUAACUCAUUCCAAAUAUAGCUGAUUUACGGCGUCUCUAAUACAUUGCCAUAGUUCCACUCAAAUUCUGCUCAAACAGGGAUAUGCCAAUCAUCACAAAAAGUUCAAACAGUGUCAUGGCGUCAACAUUAACAUGAGACAAAAACAACUUACACGCGCCGUCCCAGCAAUACGUGGUGCCAUCUGCUUUGUCGAUCGCGUAGAUGAUGCCAUUGUGUUCAAUAGCAUCACAGAAGUGUGUCUCAGCUUUGACGAUGAUCCACUGCGAGCCGAGUUGUCUCCAGCUAAAGAAGGCACCAGCGUAAAGAUAGGCGAGUCUGCGGUCGAACAAGGCAAUUAGCUUGAAGUCUGCGUAAUUCCAAUGUCGUGUGGGCACUUGGCAGAUUACAAUCUUCUGCAAAACAAGGUCCGUCCAACUGACGUAGUAAUCUAGAUGACUUGGACCGCGAUGGUAAUACUCUAUAUAAUCCAACGGAGGAAGGAUAAUCUCAUGGGAGGUCUGGAAGUUCACGAGCACCAACUUUUUACCGUCUUAAGGCAGCCAUCCAGUGGGAGUUCAUGCCGACCCAGUACAUACCUGCCAAGAAGUUUCGGGCGAUGGUGAUCGGAUCGAUGUCGAGAGAAAUGAUGUACGGCGACCCACUACAUACCUGCAAAGAAGUUUCGGCUAAUGGAGAUCGGAUUGAAGUCGAGGGGCAUCAUGCACGCCUCCGUAUCAUGGUGAGGCAAUCUCGCAAGACCAGAUAGCAGCAAGCAGGGUGUCUUGAAAAGCUUAGGCCUCGCUUUGACGAUGGCCGUGUGCAUGUCCCUCGAGCAUGCAGCCAGCCGCAGGGCGCUCAACAUAUCCAUACACGAACAGCAGAGGUCGAGGAUGUCACUGGGGAGAUUGCUCCAAUCGCGGCUCAUAUGGAUGCUGCGUGGUUCGCGUUCGGCCAUGGUGGAGUUUGGAAGGGGGCUGGAUUUACGGGGGAGAAGGAUGUCGGUGCUGGAGCGGCUAGCGAGGGAAUAGUGGUACUGGGGGAGGCGAGUGAGGCGACGGUACACGGGGGCACAGUGAGAUGGAGACGGAGACGGAGAAGGACAUGGAGAUGGAGUGGUGCUAUGGGAGCGGAGAGGGAGACGAGGCAAGGCGCCAAUGUGUUGUACAGCGGCGGUGACAGACUACACAGUGCACAGGGUGAGGCUGACUUUGGUAACCCGAACACGCCGCUUGGACUAGUGUCAGGCGCAGGGUGUUGUCACUUCACUGUGAGGACCAGAUGAAUAGUAUUUUGACCAUCAAGUGUACCACAGUUGUACUACUACUACUACUACUACUACUACUACUACUACUACUACUACUACUACUACUACUACUACUACUACUACUACUACUACUACUACUAGUAGGAACAUGAGUACUCCAGUAUUGUAUAGCGGAAAUAGGUCUCCCGUGCUAGCAUGCCUGUUCACUUCAUCGUUCAGGUAUCAUCCAUAUUCCGAGCAUAACCAAAUUCUCGUGCAUGCCCAAUCAACGCCCUGCCGCGAUGCAUGCAGUGGUCGUUCUGGUGCAUCAAGGACGGCAUGCAGAUCGUUCCACACUUGAGAAGAGGAAAAAUGGAAAGGUAGAACGCGGCAACAGAGGAAGAGAACGUUGGCUAACGAGGCUGGGAGGGGAUCGAGCAGGAAGUUAAUGCUCCACGCCUAAAGGUUUUGGGAAAACCUGAUUUUCAUAAGGUGACUUAUACUCACCUAAAUGGAGGGAGUAUUCCUUAACCAGAGAAUGUUGUGUCUCCCACUCACGCGCUCAAAAAAACUACGACACAUUUUUUUAUCUGUUUGCAUAGGUCCCACCUAUCAGGAAGGAUGGGCACAUACAUGAACAGGUACGACUCAUCAGUCUACCUGCAUAGCCUUUUCGUUUAGUCUACCUAGCCGUCUAAUCAAAUGCCUGCACGCCACUUCUCGCAUUUACUUCUCCAUCGGGAACCGAUUCUCCUUGGCUUCUCCACCUCCCCUUCGUCUUCAUUUGCAUCCAAACCCCACUGCGUUCACAUUGUUUUAACCUCUUUAAAUAAUCAUCUACUACUUCAGUUAGACUAGCCAUCUAAUCCUAAUUCUCCAAACCAUAGCCCUCCGUUCCAACGGUUCCAAAUGGCGAAAGAGAUCGAGAUGCAGGUUUUUAGCGUCCAACAUGUCCUCGUCGAAGGCUCGAUGCGCAUAGUUGCCACCGUCACCGUCCACCCAAGGGUUGUUCGGCAGUGGAUCAACAAUGUAUCCAACUCCCUCGAAAAGGUAGAGACGAGGGUCAUCGGUCUCGACGCAGAGUACACGGAGCGUGCCCCUGGGAAGAUCCAGCGCGCCGCCGUCCUUCAGCUGUGCCUUGAAGAUGAUGUUUUGGUGUACCACAUCAUACACUCGCCCUCCAUACCAGGUGAGCUUCACAAUUUCCUGUCUCGGGAGGACGUAUACUUCUGUGGGGCAGCCAUCGAAGGGGACAAACAGAAGCUGGAGUCGUACAACCUUGAUUUGAAAAGCAUCGCUGACCUACAAACCAGAAUCAAAAUUCCUGUAGAAGAUUGUGAUAAACAAACACCAUCCCUAUUCGACGUAGCAAAUUUUGUGCUCGGUACAAAUCUUCAGAAGGGUGACGAGAUGGUGGCAUUAAGGUCGUCUGGAUGGGAGAAUUAUCCCUUGACGUACGAGCGGAUAAAAUAUGCUGCCCUCGAUGCCCGUGUGAGUUUCGAGAUAGCUGCAAGGUCCAAAGAGCUUGUUGCGAAGCCGUCUCCCACAGAGAAUGAGAACAAGAAGAAGAAGAAGAAGAAAAGGUUGCACCAGCAGGAGGGUAUUAUGGAUGGAUGAACUAUUUCCUCUCUUGUAAAAAAAAUUAUUCCCUCUCGGUAUUGAUAUAGAUGGACUAUUUCGAUGGUGUGCAUGUCUUUGGAACAGAGUAGUAGCGUGGGUCCGCUUGACUAUAAGGAACUAUUUAUCUGCAUAUAUAGCUUUCUUUGCUACUCCUUCCAGUGAUCGGUAUGCAGUGCAUGUGUCCGUAGACAUGACAGCUUGUACAUGGAAGUUCAACUACGGCGACCAUCACGUUUCAUCUCGUGAUUCCCACGACGCCUCUCCAACCCACGACACCACGCCCCCGACGUGCGCCUCACCCCUCUCGGCCGCACCACCCCUCUGCCUUUGUGUGCAUGACAUGUGGGCCACCUAAAAUGCGGCGAGCAUCAUGUUUCUACCACAGCCACCCGCGAUUCCCACGACGCCGCUCGAACCCAUGAAACCACACGUCCCCUGACCUGCGGCUCACCCCUCUUGGCCCCACUGCCCCUCUGCCUACGGGAGCAUUACAUGUGGACCACUUACCUGUCGGGUCCACAUGUUAUUGACUCAAAGGUAGGUGUAGUAAGGUACUGAAGCUCAGUCCCGACGGCCCUGAGAGGGAAAUGUAACUCCUGCGCCAGGGCUUGUGGUGCUCCCGCAGCACGAACUCGUGCCAAACUCGAGAUUUGUUUCUUUACUAUACAUGCACGCAACGAUUUAAUGGGCAUUGUAAUCUGAACAUGUGAUGGGGAGCUCUAAAUUUGAAUUUGAAACUUAUAAAACAAAAAGAUUCAAAACAAAUAAACUGGGAGAGAGGGAGUAUAUCGUAGGAUGUGUCCCAUACAAAAUAAGUCCCCUGGUUUGUCACCGCGAAGGUGCGGUUAGAAAGGAUGAACAUCAAGAUGCAUUUGUUUUUCAACUACGGCCACGCCGCGCUGGAGAGACCCCCAAGGAAACAUCCUCGUGCGUUCCAUGGAACAUCAAGAUGCAUUUGUUUGAGUAGUUUAUCUUGUGAGAGAAAAGGAUGAACGAGGGAAGGCCUCUAGAGAUAGAGAUGGACACUACUACUACCAAUGUGCUGGCCCGUGCGUUGCAAUGGAUCCAAAGUAGUAGAAUAAUACUUUUUCACGUGCUUGAAAUAUAAACACUCUAGUUUUGAUAUACAUGUGUCAGCAGACAUGACAGCUUGUCCAUGGAAGUUGAACCACGGCGACCAUCACGUUUCUUGUUUCUACCACUGCCACACCCACACGUGAUUCCCACGAUGCCGCUCCAACCCACGGCACGACGUCCCCCGACGUGGACAUGGAUCCUCUGACGUGGCUAUCACUGCCUUGCUCUGCCUUUCCUUCGCUGAUAGGUGGGACCCACGCUUAUGGGUCCCACAUGUCAGUGACAGAAUGGUAGGAUUGUUCGCGUCAGGGGAUCCUCAUCCCCCCGACGUGCCCCUCAUCCCUCUCGGCCCCACCGCUCCUCUGCCUUUGUGUGCAUGACAUGCGGGCCAGCUGAACUGCGGCGACCAUCAACUUUCUACCACAGACACACCCGAUUGGACGCGGUUUGCCUGCUCCGCUGCUGUGCUCCGAUCCGUACUCCCGCACCAUCAAAUUUUCAUCCAGCGGCUGUGACACAUUUCGUCCCGGUCAUCAAUCCUCAACUGGGAGUACUUAUGUACUACAGGUAGUACCCGCCGGUGUGGCCAUCUAUGCCUCGUAACGCCCCGACGCCCAGCUGUGGCACCCUCGCCACGGCCAUGCCACCACCGGCCGGUUCAUCUCGAAUGAGUGAGUCGCGAACCAUGCCACCACCAUGAGAAUGACAUGUGGGCCAGCCGCAUUUAAGGUCUGCAUGUCAUUGACUCAUAGGCCGGGCACUAAGCCACUGAAGUUCGGUCCCGUGGGCCCCGAGAGGGAAAUGUAACUCCUGCGGCAGGCCUUGUGGUGCUCCCGCAGUACGAGCUCGUGCCAUAACUGGAAUUUGUUUCUUACUACUACCAACUAGUACUUGUAAGGUACACGUGCAUUGCACGCAUGAGAUUCUGGUGGUUUGUGCAUUAUGCUUCUACAUGUGGAGCUUUCCGGAUUCUAACAUGUGGCAAAAUCUGGUGGAAUGUAAGGUUAGGCAAGUUUGAUUAACUUAGGUGAGUGUUUGGUUCAAGCCACACCUUAGGCAAGCCACACUAAGGCCCCACAUGAGAUACACACAAAAAAUGUGGCAAGAUUCCCUUAGGCUUGCCAACUUGUGGCUCUCAUUUUGAAGAACUAAUAACUUUGCCUAAGCUUAGUUGUGGCAAAGUUAGUCAUGAAUUAAGUUCAACCAUGGAGUCUUCUAGAUUAUACAUGUGGCAGAAUCUGGUGGAUGAUAUCCAACGGCCAGUAGUGCUCGGAUUUGCCAUCUUUGUACAGUCGGAUUGGCUUCAUCCAACGACCAGCUUUCAAAGUUUUUCAUACACUAUAUAGGGGGUAUAGAUAUAGAUGUGCCGUUCCGUUGCAAUGGAUCCAAAGUAUAUCUAUUUAGUGGAGUGCACUCUAAACACAUUAUCUAUUUAUUUUUCUCUAACCUUCCGUAGCCAUGCAACCCAGCCACAUAAGCUUCAUGGGUGCCCCCCACAUCAUAUUAUUCACACUACGUUGAUUGAAAAAAAGAUAAAUCACCCAAAACAAGAUCUUCCCGUUUUUUGUUCCUACGAUGUUGUGUCGUGCACGUACCUACUAGUUGUAUAGUGGUAGUACUAGUAAUAUAGUAUUAGGAGUACAAACUUGGUACUAGUAGGAGUAGUACUAGUACGGAAUGCUCCUACUCUAUCAACGAGCCCCGUCUGACACCAAAUUUCUUGGCUUCCGUGCUACAACUAGAUCUUCCCCUCGUUUCUGUUUUCCAACCCGGCGGCGGGCGGGGUGUCGGUUUGCUCAAUGGCGGUCCCACAUGAAAGUGAAAAUGCUAGGCAACACGCCUUCCGUAAGCUAUGUGUCGUGCCGGAUGGGCCGUGUUGUACUCCCGAUUCCCGGGCGUGUGGGGGUGCGACGCGAACGCGACAGACCUUUUCCUUUUACCAGCAAUGUGCCCGUGCGUUGCGACGGAUCCAAAGUAGUAGAAUAGUAGUAUUUGUUCACAAACUUGAAAGAAAUCACUAUUGUUUUGAUAUACUCCUAAUAUAUUACUCCCUCCAUACCUAAAUAUUUGUCUUUUUGAGAUUUCAAAUGGACUAUCACAUACGGAUUAUAUAGACAUAUUCUAGUGUUUCUAGCAAGAUGCCCGCGCAUUGCACGAAGUUGAUGGAAAAGGUAAGCACAACUUAUAAAUUGACAGAUGGAGUACUAGUUACAGUGAUGCAUAUAAUUAAGCAAAGGGAUCGCACAUGUCGGUAUUGACUGGAACGAGAAUGCAACAUCACAAUAAGAAUUAAGGCCACGAUGAUGCGAUCGCAGUGGUGGUUACAGAAGGCAAGAAGAAAGAUGGAUCCACGAACGUACGACCUCCUCCUCCUCAACUUAGUGCGUCGGGCCACCGACCGGCGGCUAAGGAGCGGCGGCUUUUGUGGUGAGGUCGAGGUGCUUCUCAGCAAAGGCAUCCAAGUCUUCCAGUCGGUUGAGGAAGGCCAACGUCGUAGCGUCCUCACUGGCCUUGUAGAUACCUAUGUACACGAUUUGCUUGUACACGUGGAUGUGUAGGUCGACGAAUUCUUGCAGGGCGAGGCGCCUCGCAGCGAGCGCGACCUCCAGGUGGACAUUCUUCGUGGCGUCGGCGGGCAGUCGCAGGGCCACCAGUGCUUGAAAGAGGUUCCGGCCAUGGAGGCCGAUUAGGGUGGCAGGCAAUGAGGAGCCCGGGCGCCCGGGCUGGAGGAGUACGACGAUGUCGUCCGCGAUCUUCUUGAGGACGGUGAACUUGUUGCUGGUGGCAACGAUCAUCUGGUCCAACUAAGAGUCAUAGUUGGCGUCGACGGCGGCCAUCCACCAGCCGGUCUCCAACACCGUUUGGAGACGAUCCUCGGCGCCAUGCCGCAGGCCUGCGUCAUGGACCAUCUGGCGCAGGCACUGGUCGCUCACGCGCAUCGCCGCCAUGGGUCUGGAGUGAGCUCUUUUGCGCUUAGUGUAGGUGCUUAGGCAAAUGCUUAGGUGCGUACGAUGUGGUAGAUGCAUUGGAAUGGAGGGGCGCCUUUAUAUGAGGGCAAUGAGGGCAAACUGCGUUGCAUUCACAUCGUGCAACCUCUUUUCCCGGACCUCCUCCCAUUACUUCCCUCAUGCAUUAAUUGAAGGAGGAUGCAUUGGCUAUUCAACAUAUCGGGAACCGCUACUCCCUCCCUCGUCUGCAUUAAAGCCGUAUCGGGAACUGCGCCGCCCGCUGUCAAAUCGAAUACUCCCUCCGUCUAGGUGAGUAUUAAGUCAUCUUACGAAAACCAAAUAGUAAACACAUAGGCGUGGUGCAUUAACUCUCACGUUGUUUCUUAUUUUUUGACAUAAAUAGAGGAAUCAAGCAAGAAGAGAUGUGGGGCUUGUAUGCUUUUAAUGACUUGAGACUAUCAAACAUGACAUGCAGUGGUCAGUUCGUUGCACAAGAACAAAUACAACCCACGUCAGCACACACGCAUCUUAUAUAGCAUCACAUCCAAUGGCUAUAAAAGAUGAAUGAGACCAAAUUAUAUCUCAUCUAGAUGAGUUCUAGCAAAACUGUAUUAAUAAUACUAAGUACUCCUGCGCCAUGUAUCAUAUAUUAGUAUCAUGUAGUACUUUAUUUAUUGCCAUGUAUGACACAUAGUACUCAACUCUCUCUCUUUCUUCAUUUAAUUCUAUGACACCUCAUCAAAAUUGCUAUGGCUAGUACCAUUACAACCAGCCUUAGCAAAUACUAAACAUUAAGUUCUCUCGUUUUCCUCUCCACCUUGGUCACCUAGAUGGAGGGAGUAUACUGCGCGGGCUUUUCCUGCGCGGUAGGCGGGGCAGUUCCGCCUAGUCGGUUCGACAGAGAAGCGAGAAGACGAGGGAGUAGGCUGCUGCAAACGUAGGGCUGUGUGAUUUGACAGCGAGUUAUUGCUGGACAGGUGGGGCCCUGUGAUUUGACUUGCCAUUAUCAUUUUAACUGCAGCGCUACGACCGGCGUGAAUCUCCCGAUUCCUGACCACCUCCAUACAGGUGCCUCUCCCAAUGCUCCAGCAUGUAGUAGAGGCUGGCUCUUGCAUGAGAGCCCACUUCUCCACUUUUUCCUUGCCUCUCUUUCCUCCACAUAUGCAAAAAUGCCAUGUAAAGCGCACUAUUGUACUUACUUGCUCCUACAGGUGCUUAAGCUUGCCACAUAGGCAUAAAGCCUGAUGUGGCAAGUUAAUCAAGAAGAGAGAGACUAGUUUGGUGACCCAAGGAAGAAACGGUGCUAAGCGCGUGUACCAAGGUGAAAAGACAAUUUUGAGUCUAUAGCUAAUCAAAUGAAGCAAACUUAGCAACACCAUUUCAUUGGAAGAGGUCACUCCUUGGCAAUGCAAUAAAUACUAGUACUCCCUGUGUCCCAUAAUAUAAGAACGUUUUUGGCACUACACUAGUGUCAAAAACAUUCUUAUAUUAUGGGACGGAGGGAGUACGAAGAAAGAGAUAGAGAGAAGUAAAAAAAUAAAUACACUUAUAGCCAACCUUAUAGCCAAAACCUUGUUGUAGUACGAGUGACUAAGUGAUGACUAUGUAUGACAUGCCAACAUCAGAUAGCCUAACGCACCGUGUUAAAUCUCCAAGGGCGCGACCACACGAGCGACGCGACGGUCGUGGUAGGCGCGACCACGAUACGGGCUGCUGGCAGCCCUUGGAUCUCAGAUCAAACGGUCGCAUGCUAAGUUGCUGAAAAUUUGCAGAAUAACCCUCCAGGAUAGGAUUUCACCCAUAGGUCUAGAAUCACACCAUGCAACUGUUCGAUCUCAGAUCCAAGGGCUCUCGGAAGCCCGUAUCAUGGGAGAAUGGAAAGCCACUACCCUGCCGUUCGCACGCUGGCAGUUCGCUCCUACUCGUCCCCGCACGUCCUUCAAUACUACGGCGGUUCGCUCCUAGUCGUCCCGUCCAUUCACAUUACGGAAGUUCCACUAAUCCUAACCCUCCUCCCAAAUCCAUGGCGUCCCAAAUCUCCCCGAUCGGCGGUGAGUACAAGGUUAGAACCAUCACCGGCAAUGAGUUCGACGUCAUCUACACCCGUUCUUCCGCGACGGUGAAAGGACGCCUUUCUCGCUUCAGACGCAUGUUCGAAGACUCAGAUGAUGAGUGGGUCACUGGGCUAGAUGUUGAGUACACCACAGUCCUGGCAUGAGAGAAGGAUCUAAAGGACGAAGAGAGGAAGAAGCCCGCCGUGAUCCAGGUUUGCGUGCAUGACUUAUGCUUGGUCUACCACAUAUGCCAUGCCGACGUUGGGUGCCAGGAUUUUAAGGACUUCCUCGAGAGCAACCUAGUCAAAUUCUUUACUGUAGACUUUGGUAACGACAAAGAAGUCCUGCGUCGGAUAGGCCUCGUUGUAGGCAACACCUUCGACCUCCAGAAGAAUCGGCUGGUGUCCUCUCGUCAGCCUUCAAUGCUGACCCUGGCAGGAGCCAUGGUUCAUCCUUCGUACGGUAAACUGGAGAAACCUCCAUACACGUUUCAUGGUCAUGCAUGGCAGCGGAAUGUACUAGAUAUAGACCACAUCCACUAUGCUGCAAUGGAUGGCUACCUUUGCUUCAAUAUCUACAAGGGUUGGAUGAAGAGCAACAACCAAGUGUGCGGUUCAAGCAAAGAAGUAUUGGCCAAGAGGAAGAGGGACAAGGACGAAGUCGAGGACGUGGACGAGGACUCCGAGUAAGGUGGCAGUGUCGUUGCUCAUGGUGGUUCUAAUGCAGUGUCUACCGGAAUAGUUGCAAAGUUUAAUUUCAGGUGUGCUUAAUUUAAUUUGAGGGGUGUGUUGUGCUGAGCCCCCAGCAGAACUAUGUUAUGUUUCUUCUUGUUACUUUAACUCUUCAGUACGUACAUACUAGUAUUUCUUACAUUUCAUCUUUUAGUUGGUAUGGUACUACCACUCGUUUCUUCACAUUAUAUACGUACAAUAUAUAUGGCCAACAUCAUAUAGCCAGCAGUUUAGUUGUCAAAGAAUUUCAGGGUGCUUAGUUUUGUCAAAGAAUUCCAGGGUGCUUAGUUUUAUUUGAGGGGUGGGUUGUGCACUUGGGCUGGACACCAUUAUUGUGACAAGCCUUUUUAAUAGUACUAUAUGCAUAAUUUGGCGACGAGCGUUCUCUAUAUGUACCACCUUUUUUUUAAUUUCAAGUUUUGCUCCAUGGCGCAAUCCAUCGAUACUACUACUGUUCAAAAGUGGAGUAUAUACAUUUUUUAAAAGGCUAGAGGGCAGGGCAGUCUAGCUCGGUCGGUUUCACGAGAGGUGAGGGCCUUUGUGAUUUAACGACUCAUUACUGCUGUUAAAUCAAAUAGUACUGCGCCGCCCGCUGCACGCCCGGUGCCUCCAUUAAACCCCUCCGUUAAACUCGCAUGCAAACCGUGAAUCCUACUCCUGCCACACGUCCGUUCAUGAGCGGGCCGGAAUUAAACGCAACACCGGCCGAGCUCCUCCCGUCCGCCCUCAGUUUAAACGAGGCCAGACGCCGGCCAAGCUCCUACCAUCCGCCCUCUAUUUACACGAGGCCAGACAGACAGCGGGCAAGAAUCGCACCCCUCCGCCGCUCCCCAAUCUCCUCCUUCACCAUUUUCUCCACUCUUCCGAUGGCUUCCGAUGAGCCGUUCUCCGGCAUAUUACUCGGCUGGGUGGCCCGCCGAGCCCUCCGGAUACGGGCAAGGCCGCUCGGUGCUUCACCAACCUCGCUUGGCCUGACGGAGCCAGUUGCCGCCCCAAGCAGGCGCGUGGUUCAGCAACUCGCUGCUCCAGUUCAGCUCGAUGAGGAGUGGCGAGUUGCUCCACGCCGGCACGGCGGCUAGCACGCCGGUACGGGUGCCAUCGUUGCCGCGUCGUACCGCGCCACCAGUGUCUGCGGUGGCUGCGCCUCCCGUGUCUGUGGGCGUGCCUCCCGUGCCUGCGGCAGCGCCUUGCAGGCAGAGACAGAAGCCGGGUGCGUGGAGAGCGACGAGUCGGUGGCCAGCUUCUCCGUGUCCGCCGCCAUCAUCGAGGAGAAGUAGAACACGGGAGGCCGCCACCACUUGGGACCCAUGAAGGCCACCGCCGAGGUGACGACCGCGGAUUCAGGUGGUUUCUUUGCUGCUUCGUCUCUUCCAAGGACCUUCGUCGACCCCGCAAGUGUCUGAUGGACAUGAGGAAGACAAAGGGAUCCGCGGGCAGCCAUUUAGAACUAAAAUAAGUCUAGAUACAUCCAUUUCUAGGACAAGUAUUUCCGGACGGAGGGAGUAUUAAUUAUACAAGAGAGCCGGAUUGGCACCUCUUAGUUCAUGUAAAUGUAAUGAAAUCCAUCAUGUUUAUAUGAAGAUCCGGCUUUUUAUACGAAAUCCUUCAUGCUUAUAUGAAAUCAGUCCGUGUUUGCACGAAUUUCAUCUGGUUGGUUAGAGUUGUAAAAAUGUAUGCCGCUGGCGUUUGAUGUCGUCCUCCGCUUAAGGAAGCAGGAGGAAAUUUGUCGGCUGCCGUUGGAGAUGCUCUUUAUGCUGGAAAUAAUAGAGUGACAUCCAAUCCAUUUGAGUUAAUUGACUGUAUGAUUGUCCCUCUAUAAAAAGUUAAUUGCAUGUACAGUGUACACGUGACUUGCAGGGUGGCUACAGCUUCGUACAGAAAGUUAAAAAGAAACAAGUCCAUCCUUAAUCUUGUAUUCUAAGUACUCUGUGGGUUCCACUGUCAGUACAGUAGCGAAAGAAGUAUAUAUUAAAUAAGUAGAGUAAUAUAUAAUAUAAAAAUAUAAAGUUAAAAGACAGAAUUCAAACUCAUGUCAUCGCGUUGCGAGCAUCCGGCGCUAACCAGCCCAACACAUUUUUGUUGUAGACCAUGCUGGAGAUAUAUCUCCAUGUCUACUCUUAUAUAUACUCCAUUCGUUCCUACAUAUUUGUCUUUUUUAGAUUUCAAAUGGACUACCACAUACGGAUGCGAUGUAGACAUAUUUUAGAGUGUAGAUUCACUCAUUUUGCUCCGUAUGUCUUUUCAAGAAGGGGUCAGAUUUGUCCUUGAUUUAUUUAUGAGGUAUCCAGAUGGCACUGCACCGCCAAGAAAAGAGGGUAACAUCAAAAUUAUGGACUACUUUUUUGAGUAUGUUGGUAAGGUCCGGUCAUAGUCACUUGUUGAAAUCUCUAAAAAGACAAAUACUCCCUCCGUCCGGAAAUACUUGUCAUCAAAAUGGAUAAAAGGAAAUGUAUCUAGACGUAUUUUAGUUUUAGAUACAUCUCUUUUUAUCCAUUUUGAUGACAAGUAUUUUCGGAUGGAGGGAGUAGAAAACAGAGUUGGUGAUGAUGGUGUGCGUGCCAUCCUGCAAUAUAGGCCGUCGGAUUUAUAUCUAACGGAUAGGAAAGAAACUAUGGCAAUUUUGCAAAAAUAUACCCACACGUCUCUCCACGUUCGCAANNNNNNNNNNNNNNNNNNNNNNNNNNNNNNNNNNNNNNNNNNNNNNNNNNNNNNNNNNNNNNNNNNNNNNNNNNNNNNNNNNNNNNNNNNNNNNNNNNNNNNNNNNNNNNNNNNNNNNNNNNNNNNNNNNNNNNNNNNNNNNNNNNNNNNNNNNNNNNNNNNNNNNNNNNNNNNNNNNNNNNNNNNNNNNNNNNNNNNNNNNNNNNNNNNNNNNNNNNNNNNNNNNNNNNNNNNNNNNNNNNNNNNNNNNNNNNNNNNNNNNNNNNNNNNNNNNNNNNNNNNNNNNNNNNNNNNNNNNNNNNNNNNNNNNNNNNNNNNNNNNNNNNNNNNNNNNNNNNNNNNNNNNNNNNNNNNNNNNNNNNNNNNNNNNNNNNNNNNNNNNNNNNNNNNNNNNNNNNNNNNNNNNNNNNNNNNNNNNNNNNNNNNNNNNNNNNNNNNNNNNNNNNNNNNNNNNNNNNNNNNNNNNNNNNNNNNNNNNNNNNNNNNNNNNNNNNNNNNNNNNNNNNNNNNNNNNNNNNNNNNNNNNNNNNNNNNNNNNNNNNNNNNNNNNNNNNNNNNNNNNNNNNNNNNNNNNNNNNNNNNNNNNNNNNNNNNNNNNNNNNNNNNNNNNNNNNNNNNNNNNNNNNNNNNNNNNNNNNNNNNNNNNNNNNNNNNNNNNNNNNNNNNNNNNNNNNNNNNNNNNNNNNNNNNNNNNNNNNNNNNNNNNNNNNNNNNNNNNNNNNNNNNNNNNNNNNNNNNNNNNNNNNNNNNNNNNNNNNNNNNNNNNGAUAGAUUAGUAUCAAGACCGAGGUGUCACCCUACUCCUUCGGUGUUGGGAAGUGUGGGUGUGUGUAUGUGCGCGGGGGGGGGGGGGCAGUGACACUCACAUAUCUCUACUCUUAUAAAAACAGAGUUGGUGAUGAUGGUGUUCCUGCCAUCCUGCAAUAUAGGCCAUCCGAUUUAUAUCCGACGGACAGGAAGGAAACUAUGGCAAUUUUGCAAAAAGAUACCCACACCCAUCUCCGCAUUUGCAAAUAAGGCAUUCCCUCGUUCAUCCUUUUCUCCAACAAGAUAAACUUCUCAUACAAAUGCAUCUUGAUGUUCCGUGCAACGCAUGGGCAUCUUGCUAGUAUGGAGAAGGAGUUUGUGUGACACAUAUCUAGCUAUAUUAAGGGAUAGGUAGAUAGCAUAUGUGUGAGAGACAUUAUUAUACUUUGAGACAUUAGUGGCUGUGGGUGGGCGGAAUUAAAGGGGUGGGUGUGUUAGACAUAGAGAGCGUAUGUGUUUCUGUGUGAGAGACUUGUAGGACGGGGUAGAAAGACGAAUUUAACCCUGACGGAGGGAGAGAAAUACACGAAGUGCGCGUGUGUGAUUCCGAUGCCCACAGGGAAAUGAGAUAUGUAUGCGUGUGAGAGAGAUUGCACAAUUCAUUCACGUAUCACUAUCUAGCGAUCGUGGACGUGCAUCGCUUGAACAUAAGUCAAUAUCUACUUCGUAUCAUGGCCAAAGGUACAAUAUCGAUUCAACGCUAUAAAGAUUGGACACUCACAUAUCACAUUUUUCUAUUUAAAUAAACCUUUUCAGUUGUGCAUGCCAAAGUUACAGUGAUGUUUCUUCAAACAACCAAUGUAGCUAUCAUGUAUAUGCACCAUUGUUACUCUUGCAUUCAAAUUCAUUAGUCUGGGAUGAUUUAAGUUUCUAUUUUGAAGUAAUAUAUGUAAUAUUCAUAUAUGAAUUCAACGGGUACGCAAUUUAUGAAAUGGAGGCUAUGUAAUCAUAUGAGGUAACACUUUUAAGUUGCUGACUACAAUAUCCAUUUCUUUUUGUGCGCCUCUACACUAACACGUCAAUGCAUUAUGUUUAAAGUAAAUAACCAAUGGCACUAAAUUAUCUAUUUACAUGAGAAAUACAUAGGCUGAGCGUUUGAUCCCUUUUUUGUGAACGCGCCACUACACCCGUACGAUUGGCCGCGCCCGUGUGAACGUCCAAGUUAUCGGCGCAUCAUCCCGAGUUAUUGUCUUUUUUCUGGGGUGGACUUCACACCAGUUAUUAACUGCUGACGCGUGCCCCGUGUACACAGUCUAGCAUGACCUUCCCGCUAGCACGGUCCAAAAUUAGUUGAAACUGGAUACGAACGAUCCCGCGGGCGGCAAAAUCUCCCGCCUCCUUCUAAAAUUUCCGCCACCUUAGUCUUUAGCAUGCGAAAUCCCCCUUUUGUCCUUGGUGCAAGGAGACCAACAGUUACAAUACCGCCCUCAUCUACAUGAUAGGUCGGGGCUGCUUUGGUAACUUCCGGUUCCCCCACUACACGGCACCCCCAUUUCCUCUCCCCCUCCCGCAAAAACGACUAACUCCAUAGCACCAGAGCAUCUUACAUCACGCCGUCCGUACUUCAUCGCCCUUUCUCCCCUCCCCUCUCGAAACCCUAGACUGCUCAUCCACCGGCGUACCAUAGCCCAUUCACUGCCAGCGGCGUCCNNNNNNNNNNNNNNNNNNNNNNNNNNNNNNNNNNNNNNNNNNNNNNNNNNNNNNNNNNNNNNNNNNNNNNNNNNNNNNNNNNNNNNNNNNNNNNNNNNNNNNNNNNNNNNNNNNNNNNNNNNNNNNNNNNNNNNNNNNNNNNNNNNNNNNNNNNNNNNNNNNNNNNNNNNNNNNNNNNNNNNNNNNNNNNNNNNNNNNNNNNNNNNNNNNNNNNNNNNNNNNNNNNNNNNNNNNNNNNNNNNNNNNNNNNNNNNNNNNNNNNNNNNNNNNNNNNNNNNNNNNNNNNNNNNNNNNNNNNNNNNNNNNNNNNNNNNNNNNNNNNNNNNNNNNNNNNNNNNNNNNNNNNNNNNNNNNNNNNNNNNNNNNNNNNNNNNNNNNNNNNNNNNNNNNNNNNNNNNNNNNNNNNNNNNNNNNNNNNNNNNNNNNNNNNNNNNNNNNNNNNNNNNNNNNNNNNNNNNNNNNNNNNNNNNNNNNNNNNNNNNNNNNNNNNNNNNNNNNNNNNNNNNNNNNNNNNNNNNNNNNNNNNNNNNNNNNNNNNNNNNNNNNNCGUCGACACCAUCCUUAACCCAACCACCGGAGCAGCUUCUGACGCCCCGUCCCCGGCCGCAGAUCCGCGUCGUCGACACCAUCCUUAACCCAACCACCGGAGCAGCUUCACCUACGCCCUCGUCCAUGGCCACAGAUCCGCUUCGCCCACACCGUAGUCCACCCUACCGGAGCCGCUCCACAAACACCCUACUCAACGGUUCUAGAUCUCCUUACCGGACCCCGACAGCCAGCGCAGCGUCAUCACCCUCGACGUUUCUAACCUGAUUCCCACCGUCUAGAGAGAUGCCAAGCACCCGCCACGGCGUAGGUACUUGUCACCUUUAAACCCGUCCAGCAUCACCUGCCCGAUGUACUUCAAAUAUACUAACCGGUCGCUGUUACCUGUUAUGCAGCUGGCAAAAACUACAAGGACGAUGUUUCUUCUGGAUCUAACAGCUUGGCCAACCAAGAUCCUGGACUGAGGCAUUGCUAUGAUCUUGUAAGCGCGUCUCUCUCUUGUAUUGUUCUAUGCCUGCCAGCGUGCUUUGCUAGGAUUUUCGACCAUUAAUCCCUUUGUGCAGACAAUGAUUUCUACUACUGGCUGCUAAAUUAGAUAUGUAGAUGUCAUACAUGAUACUACCUCGUACCUCCAUUCCUAAAUAUAAGUCUUUCCAGAGAUUCCACUAUAGGCUACAUACGGAGCAAAAUGAGUGAAUCUACACUCGAAAAUGCAUCUAUAUACAUCUGUAUGUGGUCCAUACUGGAAUCUCUACAAAGACAUAUAUUUAGGAACAGGGGCAGUACAUUACACAAAAUCGUAGGUGGUAUGUAGGAAUUCCAGUGCACUACAUUAGGCUCCCUUAGAGUGCCUGCUAGUCCAGCAUACAGAGUCAUGGCUAGUUUAUGGUACGCACACAAUCGUUAAUUGGUGGUUUAAAUAUGCGCAAGGGAUAUGCAAUGUAGUAUCAUGUAGAGAUGUCUGAAAUUAGCCGUGUCAACUUGUAGAUAGGGUUACACAAUGAAAAAGUACAAGAUGUAUGUGGCAAUUUCAUGGAACAUCGCAAAAAAAUGAGAGGCAGCGGUGAGCCUAUACAGUGUGCUAUGGUACGUCACUCCUCCAUUGCAAUCAUCGUGACAUGUUAUUUGUAUGCCAGUUCUAUUAGCCAAGUUUCUUAGGGACAGUUAGUAUGACUUAUCCUAAGAAAAUAAGCACCUGUGAAUAUAAGCUCCAUGUAAUAAGCCAACCAGUUCUUUUCAUUGCAUUUUCAGCUUAUCUUUGGUAUGAUCAGUGGAAAGUCUAGAUUGCAUUAUAUUUUUUUCAUUUUGCUGCCCAUAUGGAAAUUAAUUUGACUUGCAAACAUCACAAAUUGAACCCAGUGCAGUAAUUAAUAUGAUAGGAAAACAGACCAUCACUAUUUGCUCAAAAUGCAAAUACAAAGAUACCAUCUACUUGGCACAAUCUACUUUGGUCAAUGUUUUCCAUAGAGAUCCCAUUGCCUAAUUUAAACGAAGAACGCAUGACCCACAUUUAAAUGAAGAACAAUUAUUUAUUGAAAUUCGAUGGUCCAAGUGGCUGGUUAUGAUCGUAUAGCACCACCACCUGAAAGCAUCAUAUAGCAGCAGCAGCAGCUCAUAGCAACUCAUCAUACAGCAGCAGCAGUCUGCAAUUCAUCAUAUACCAGCAGCAACUCAUAGCAAUUCAUCAUAUAGCAGCAGCAGGAGCAGCUCAUACCAAUUCAUCAUAUAGCAGCAGCAGGAGCAGCUCAUAGCAAUUCAUCAUAUAGCAGUAGCAGGAGCAGCUUGUAGCAACUCAUCAUAUAGCAGCAACAGCAGCUCAUAGGAAUUCAUCAUAUAGCAGCAGCAGCAGCUCAUAGCAACUCAUCAUACAGUAGCAGCAGCUCAUAGCAAUUCAUCAUAUAGCAGCAGCAGGAGCAGCUCAUAGCAAUGCAUCAUAUAGCAGCAGCAGAAGCAGCUCAUAGCAAUUCAUCGUAUAGUGGAUCAGAAUGAAAAUUUGGCAAAAAAUCAGAGGAGAUCCUCACCUUGUUGGAUGAGCUCAUCCUUCAACAGCACCUCAAGGCCAUGGCCUGGGAGGAGGGGAGGGGGAAUAAGGUGCCUUCUGCCGCAGUGUGGCAUCAACCGUAGUUGUGCAGCGCCCGCCGGAGUAGUGCGUUGGACGAACCACAGCGGAGCAGCUGCUGGAGACCAUGAGAAUGACGGGCGGCGCCAGAGGGAGGAGCAGCCAGGGAGAUUUGCCCCUACCCGCCGGCCAUGUAGCCUAGCUGGACAUAGCAUCGUCGAGGACCAGGCCAGAUGGGACCAGUGGCGACGGCUCGCUGGAGGAACCCUAGUGCUGCAGGCAGGGGAUCGAGGUAGAGGGAAAGGGGAGAGGAGAUGCAAGCGGGCAGGGCAAUGAAUGCUUGCGUGUUUGUUUUUACUUGAGGGUCAGGUGUGAGACGGGCGUCAGCAGUUGCAUUUUGAGUGUAAUAUAGGCAAACAACAAAGUCAUUUCACUAUUCCCCUUCCCUUCAAUUUUUAGUGAGGUUCUACCCGAAACACCCCCCUCCAAAGCGAAAUUAGUUAAGCCCAAGCCCAUAACUCAAAAAUGACUUCUUUAUAUCUUUUAUGGCUUAUUUUGACAAUAUGCCCUGAAAAGGCGGAAUCGAACUGGCCCUUAACCUGCAAUUCAAUUGUGCGUGCAAUGAUGAAUCACUCCUGCCUGCUAUCUGUACAUUUAGGCAUCAUCAUACAUGGCAUAACCUAAUACAUGUGCAUUCCAUUGUAGAAUCUGGAAUAUGCAAUGUUUAUGUUAGUUCAUACGUUGCACAUGAUAUUUAAAUGCCCCUUAAAUCUGGUCAGUCAAGUGAUGGUCUUUAAGCCUCCUUCUUUGCUUCUUUUCUUGAUAUGUAAGAUUUGCUCACACAUCUGUUCAAUUGCUUGUUUGCAUCAGCCAGCCAUACUAGGACUGUUUGCUUUGAUUACUUGAUGUUCUUGACCUAACACUCUAACAGAGCUUGUCAACGAUUUAAACACUAAGGGCUGCUGUAGUGGGGCCUUGUCUAACUCAUAGGUGACAUAAAGGUUUGGCUGUACACUAUAGUAGGCUCUCCAAGAGUACCUGGAGAUCCAGUUCGAAGGUAUGCCUAGUUUUUACAUAGUGCAGACAUAGUAAAUGCUCAUUUCAUUGUGUGCAAGUGCAAGAGAUGCGGCAUGUUUCAUUAUGUGGUGUUGUUUUGUUAUAAUCUCAUCCUUUUGUGUUCACAGACUGGAAAGUAUGCAUAUUUAUCUUCCAAGGAGACGAGUAACUAGUUUGUGUCACCUUGCAGAGGGGGUGCAAUGAAGAUAAGAUUGAGGAUUUCCAAGUACAAGAUGUUAGGAAGGAGCCUUGCAAGAGAAGGAGCUGCGCUGAGCCUCUUCAACCUGCGAAGGUAAGUCAAUGUAUGCAACUCAACAGUUCAAUUCCUUGUUUGUUUCAGGCAUAGUUAAUUUUCUCUUUUCAAUUGCUUUAUUUGUCCUCAGUUAAUGAGAUGCCCAAAUAAUCAUGCCUGAUGUUCGGUACUUGUAUCACUAUUAGUUGACAUAAUUAAAGGCCUUACCAUUUAAUUACUCUGCCGAAGUGUGCCUGAAGCUUUGAAGUCUAUUAACCAACUAUUAUUGCAUGAGGCUCACAAUCUAGUUUAUACUACGCUAAUGAUUGCAUAGUUUUGCCUGCUGUAGUAUGUUUGUAUGAAACCCUCUGCUGUUCAUUAUGCUCCCUAAGACUUUAAUUGAGGCACAGAAUGGUCAACUGCUUGCUUACUUAUACGCAACGUGCUGUCUAAAUUUGUAACUUGUCUGUGUUUUCGAUUGGGCCCCAACAUCAUGCUCCUCUGGUGAGCUAAGAGGGAUUUCUGUAUGCAGGCUGCACACACUAUCUUUUUUAUAAUUUUUAAAAUAUCACCUUUUUAUGCUUCAUGACGUGUAACAUUUUUUUUGAAAGUGACGUGUAACAUUAUUGUUAGUCCUGUUUUGCCAUGUAGUACAAAAUAGUGUCUUGUUCGCUUCACUGUUGUAACUAUAUUUUUGCCCUAGUCAUGUGUACUUACAGAAACAUUUCAGGAUGAAGUGACAUCAACACAAAGAUCUGCGAGCAGUGCGGCAUGGCCGUUACCGAAUGAUGAUGGAUUGGAAUUGGAAUGUGCUGAUGUUCUCGAGCAUCAACUAGAGGUGGCAAGACAACGUGUACAUGAUUGUCAACGUAUAAUCAACAAGUUGAGACUGGACAUGCAGGUAUUAGAUGCAGGAGUCAAAAAAAUGAAACAAGACACUGAGGUAACCAUGAAGGAAUUGGAGAUUUUUCAGACUGAAAUUUGUGCUAUCUGAAUCCGGCCAAUCCUAUUUUCUGAAGAGAUUAUAGUUCAAAUGGAGUUAAGUUGAUGCGCGUCCAUGAUGUUUGAGCUGUAUUUGCCCAGUGUAUGUAAUUUGCUGUUUGUGUAUGCUUUAUUAUCACCUGUGCCGAACCAUAAUGCCUAGUGGGUAUAAUCGGCUGUAAUUUGUUUAUUGUAUAGUGUAGGAUUAUUCUACCUUUCUAUGCCUUGAUCUCUUUGUUGUAUAGUAUUGAGUAGGAUAAUUCUUUGAAUAUGCUAUAUCGUUCAAACGGGGGCCAACUCGCCCGACCAUGGCCCUUCACGGGCCGUCGGAUCCAUGGGCCUUCUACGUCUCCUAGGAUCCAUGGGCCUUCUACGUCUCGUAGGAUCCAUGGGCCUUCUACGUCUCGUAGGAUCCACGGGCCUUAUACGUCUCGUAGGAUCCAUGGGUCUUCUACGUCUCGUAGGAUCCAUGGGCCUUCUACGUCUCGUAGGAUCCAUGGGCCGCCGACUCAUUUAUGGGUCUUGUACGGGCCUUUAAUGGGCCGUAGACAGGCCUUUAAUGGAAAUCAUACGUUUUAUGGGCUGACCAUAACGGGCCGUUAAUAGGCCGUAUUUGGUGAUGCUAUGAAAAUGGCCCAACAGACUAACGGUCCACAAACGGGCCGACUGUAACGACGGGCUGAAUUUGGCCCACAAGCAGAAAAUGACAGUAACGGGCCGUAAGUAACCGAAUGCUGCAAAUGAGCCCAAGAAUAAAUGGGCCCUCAGAAGGCCGAAAGUUAACUUGGGCUGGAAACGGCCCAACGGAAUAACGGGCCGUCAAUGGGUAUAAAGUGAUACACUGUUCAUUACGGGCCAGUUUCACCACGGGCCGUUAAUGGGUGUAAAGUAAUACACUGUUCAUUAUGGGCCAGUUUCAGCACGGGCCGCUAAUGGGCCAAGAGUUACAAAGGGCCUCAUAUGGGCCGAAAGACGUCAUGGGCUAUACAUGGGCCAGAAGUGAAAACAGGCUGGAAUCAUAUUGGAUGGCCCAGAUGAUGCUACUGGGCCUAAUUCGGAUAGGGCGUAACGGGCCUUGGGUUAGCGGGCUGUAAAUGGGCUAUAUGCGAACAGGCCGUCAACAGGCUUUCCAUGGGCCGGCCCGCCAGCUUUUGACCAAGUCAAACGGGCCAGCCUUUUCACAGUAAUGGGCCACUGUUGGGCCGUGCCAUGUGUCGACGUAUCAUAGGCACCUUCUGUCCAGUGAGUGGAUGACAUCUGUCCCAACGAUGAGCCGACACGUGUUUCCUCUAGCCAAUGAUGAUUUUACACGUGGAAAAUCCCCAUUGGUCGGGGCUGUUAACGGUUAUCGGAUCCAAAAACCCGAUAGCUUAAUGGCGUUCCGUUACGGUGGAUGCCACAUGUCGGUCACCCUUGACAAAAGAACUUCUGUGACGCGCGAUUUAUCGUCAUGAAAGUGGACACUUCCGUGAUGAUAAUUUUGGUAAUGUCAUGGAACACUUCUACGACAGCACAUGUAUGACUAUCUUGAUUCUGUCAUAAAUUUGUCAUCGAUGUACAUGCAUGACAAAAAACGUGACCUACUGUGACAAACACGUAUCAUCACGGAAGUGUAUUUUUUUGUAGUGUAUGGCAGCGGGUGGAGCUAUUACAAACAAGACACUUGAUGAUGCUUUUCUGCUGAUUGAGAGUAUAGCCUUCCACCAACUUCAGUGGUACAAUGAGAAGCCCAUCUCUGAUUCAGUUGCUUGUUUGCAACAAAUCACUUCAUCUCAGCAAGAAUCUCUUACACAAAAGUCAGAACCAGUUUCUCCGUGUAACAAGAUUGAGCUUUCAUGGAUUAUCUUUGAUGAUGAUGACACCAUCCUAGUUGACACACACACUUCAGAUCAUAUGGAUACUAGUGUUGGAGAUUUAGUUUUGCAUUGUGAUGAUUCUUCCAUGGAUGAGCCAGAGCUGCAGUUAGUUGUUUUUUAUAUUGAGGAGUCACCUUUAGUUGAUAUUGAUCAUGUGCUGCUAGAGCCAGAUAUGGAGAAGUUCACCUUCAAUGAUGUUAGCCGCAUUGAUUCCUCAACACUUGAGCCUGAGAUGGAGAGCUUCAUGGUUAAUUAUGAUGAGGUGGAUUCAGAUGUCAAGGAGCCAAGCUCUAGUAUUUCACUUGUUGACAUGAGUCCGGUGGAAAUUUCUACUACCACACCUCACUUGGUAUCUUCAAUUGAGGUAGUCCUGAAGUUUCUUCCCAAGUAUCUCAGGUAUGAUAUCAACUUUCUCGACAAGAUAUGCCAUAUCAUGGAUACUGCCUAUGCACCAUGCGAUUUAUUGAUGAUAUCUAUUUAUCAUAUGUUCAAUAGAUAUGCUUAUGUGAUAGGAUACUCUAUUGAUGACUUAGAGGGCAUUGUCCCUAUCAUUUGUUUUGGCCUUGUUGUUGAGUGUUCUUUCAGGUUUACGCUUGUGCACCAUUCAUUGCGGGCUGACCAAGUUCGAGUUGACAUCCCAUGGGAUCCUGGUGGAUUCACGGCAUGGUGAUGAGGAGAAGCAAUGUGCACACAUGAGGAAGAGCGAAGCUGGAGCAUGUAUGAGGAAGCAAAAAGGAGAGGAGCUGCAGUUGGUGAGGUGAUCGAGCGAGUGCUACAUCAUCAAAGCCCGGUGAGCUGUUUCAUGACCCAUUUUGCAGUCAUCAUCCAUUAAUGCUUGGUGAAUUAAAUUUCUAUUUGGGUUGCUUGUGCCAUUUCUUAAAUGUUGUCCCACUGAAUUUCACCUUUGACAUAUGGUGCUUGAUGGGAAUAUGUGAACUCAUUUCUGAAUGCCUUGUAAACUAGUGAUCUAUACAAUGAUUGCUUUGCUGAAAUUAGUGAGAACUAUUAGUUUUGAGUGCUCAAAUCCCUAGUGCACUAGUAAACUUAAUCAUUUUCUGCAUUUACCUUGAUACACCUAGAUCACUAUGUUCAGAUGAUGUAUUUGUGCCAAGUGUGUUCCCAUUUAGAGCAAUAACUUUACCACUAUGGACUAGCAUGGUAUGUUCCCUGGAUCGGUAGCAUGUGAACCAGACAUCACUACAAAAAAAAGACACAUCCAUGACAUUUUGGGCCUAAUGAAAAUCUUUUCUGUCAUACUUAUGACACUUCUCUGACGAUAAUUGUGACAAAACCCGGUAUCAUCAUAGAUGUGGUGGGGUCCUACUUAUAUGACAAACAAUCAUGAUAGAAAAUGGGCUUUUCGUCCUGGGCGGGCCGGAGACGCAGCUGCAUGACAUUCUUUGGGCCGCCCAUGACGGAAAAAACUGUGGUAGAAGCGAGGGCGCGGAAAAUAUCGGGGAGUCCCCGGUUACGGUGGGUGGUCGGGGGCCGAGCGAUGCAUGUUUCUCUCGUACGUAAGCGCAUGUGUGCGAGGCGUUGGGCUCUAACUGAACCCGAGCAAUUGCACUGCAGGCUACACGUUACUGAACCCAAACAAUCGAUCGAUGGUUGUUAACUGAACCCGAUCGAGCGAUUCCUUCGCUACUACUGCUAACUGAAGCCGGUCAAUGCUACCUCUGGAUGNNNNNNNNNNNNNNNNNNNNNNNNNNNNNNNNNNNNNNNNNNNNNNNNNNNNNNNNNNNNNNNNNNNNNNNNNNNNNNNNNNNNNNNNNNNNNNNNNNNNNNNNNNNNNNNNNNNNNNNNNNNNNNNNNNNNNNNNNNNNNNNNNNNNNNNNNNNNNNNNNNNNNNNNNNNNNNNNNNNNNNNNNNNNNNNNNNNNNNNNNNNNNNNNNNNNNNNNNNNNNNNNNNNNNNNNNNNNNNNNNNNNNNNNNNNNNNNNNNNNNNNNNNNNNNGGACCCCGAUCGAUCGAGCCGGUUGAGGCUGGAUGAACAGGACCCCGUGGAGGGCAAGAUGAACAGGACCACCCCGUGGAGGGCAGGAUGAACAGUAGACGGUGGAGGACUGGAUGAACAGUAGCCCGUGGAGGGGUGGUUGAACAGGAGCCCAUGGAGAGGGCUGGUUGAACAGUAGCCGGUGGAGUAGCGCGCGGUGGAGGCUGGAUGAACAGGAGCCCGUGGAUGAACAGUCGCAGCUGGAGGCUGGAGGAGCUCGACGGUGGAUGAACAGUAGCCCAUGGAGGCUGGAGGGGGUCGACGGUGGAGAUGAAUAGUAUCCCGUGGAGUCUCGUUUUGUGGUACGCCACACCCCUCCCGAUGAACAGGACCCCCGUUUUGACCGUAGCGCUCCAACACAAGUCCGUUUCCUCCAUUUUGCGGUACGCCACACCCCUCUCGAUCAACAGGACCCCUGUUUCGACCGUAGGAGGUCCCUUUCCUCCGUUUUGCGGUACGCCAGACCCCUCCCGAUGAACAGGAUCCCGUUUUGAACGUGGCCGGUCGAACACAAGUCCGUUUCCUCCGUUCUGCGGUACGCCAGGCCUCGUUUCCAUCGGCUGUUCCGUCCAAGCCCUCCCGAUGAACACGAGGAUGCAUUCCGUUCCGACCUAGCCAGUUGGCUCCCCAUGAACACGACGACGACGCUGUUUCUCCGUUCCGACCCAGCCAUGUACACGAGCCCAGACCGUACACAUGCGUGAGUAGGCAUUCGAGACCUUGCCCGUAUGUACGUACGUGGCCAUAUUUUCUUUCUUGCACACUGGCCGCUGUACGUACGUGUACAUGCUACGUGCGCACCUCUACUACGACACGUGCGCGCCUCUACAUCGACCAGUAUGUACGUACACGUUCGCGACCAGAAUGACAACGCUACGUACGCUUCGACCAGGUGGGUCCCGACUGUCAGGCACUUCCUUGCCUGCGAAGAUGUAGCUGGUGGGUCCCAGCAGUCAGGGGGCGAAUCAUUUUUUUUGCCCGGACGCACUUCCUUGCGUGCGAAGAUGUAGCUGGUGGGUCCCAGCAGUCAGGGGAAACGAUUUUUUCAUGAAAUACGGUGGAUCAUCCGGUGGGUCCCCGCUGUCAGGUGGAGGAAUAAUUAUUUUGCGCAUAAUAAGGAGGCACUUCCUUGCUGCGACCGUGGACCCAGCUGUCAACCUCUCCACGUACAGUCCAUGUCUGAUGGAAGCCGUUCCUUGACCACGUUGACCACGCCGCCCGAGAGCACCAGGGCGGUGGACGACGGCGAGGCCUAGGAAGAGGACGACGUGGAGCCGGGGAAGACGUGGCAGUGGAUGCCCACGCGUAGAGGAGUACGAGGGUUCACUGGUUCGCUACGGUGUGAGGCUGCCAUCGCUGCAGAAUAACAGGGGGUGUGGGUGAGUAGAGGGAUGGUCUGGCCAGCGGUGGGAAUAGUAGGGGGCGGUGAGGCCUCUGCGGCAGCACAACCGGCCACGGGAGGCAGGAGCAUGCGGCACGACCAGCACUACUUUGGGUGGCUGGAGCAACAAGACCAGAGGUUAAAGAAGCACUACGGCCGUUGGAUGGACAUCGUACGGUCACUGGAGCUAGAAUCGUUUAUAUUGACUAAGUUGACAAAGCACUCCGUCCCCGUCAACUUAGUAGGCCCACAAGUCAGCCUCCCACCAAGGUGGGUCCCAACUUGCAGGGGGAGCAUUCAUUUUUUUGUGCGUAAUAAGGAGGCACUUCCUUGCAUGCGAAGAUAUAGCUGGUGUGUCUGACCUGUCAGCGGUGGGAACGUUUUUUUUGUGAAAUACAGAGGCCCUUCCGGUAUGUCCCAGCUGUUAGGUGGAGGAAUCAUUAUUUUGCACGUAAUAAGGAGGCAUUUCCUUGCGUGCGGCCGUGGACCCAGCUGUUAGCCUCUCCACGCACAGUAUACUUCCGAUGGUGUCGUUCGUUGACCACGUUGACCACUCCGCGCCGAGCGCAUCCAAGGUGGUGGACGACGGCGAGGCCCCGGACAGCAACGAGCCGGAGAUGUGAAGACGCGGGAGUAGAGUCGCAGACGGAGAGGUGUACUGUGACACCCCAAAAUUUUGACCUUUGUUUUAUAAAUUAAAAAUUUGCCAAGAAAUUAAACUUUUCCAUUUAUCUAGAUUUACCCUUUUGAUAUUGUGGGUUUUACCUCAAGUGGAAACUUUCCAAAAGUAUUAUUGGACUUGUAUGCUCUCUCUAUGAAACAAUUCUUUAUCAGUGGAUUUAAUUGCAAGGUUUGCUUUUUCUUGAGCUUUACUCUUUUAAAAUGAUCUUUCAUGAAUUUGGAGCCUGUUUUGCACUGCAACCAUUUGGCAAAUACCUUUAAAAUUUCCACCAAAAUUUGGGGAUUCCAUGUGAUGUUUCCACAUCACUUCUAUGCAAAAAUAUCUUUUGGUUAUUGGAGAUUUUUAGCUCUACAUCAACUUUUCAAAUCUGGUCCAGUUGGCAUUUUUGCACUACACCUACUUAAGUAUUUCUUUAAAAAUUCUUCCAAGUGUUUGGGGAUGUCAGUAGAUGCAUAUAACUCAACUUCAUGCAAAAACCCAGUGUUGUUCUUUGAAAAAUUUGAGUGAAUCAACCUCUUUUUCAUUCUGGUCCAGUUUGGUGAUUUGUACUGCAACCCUAUUUUAUUUUGCUCUAGUGCCCCUGAACUUUUUCCUGCUUGUAGCCCUCCCUGCAAAACCCUUAAGUCCAGGAGAGUGGACUCAUUGGAGGAUUUAAAUUUCAUGCAAUGAGACCUUUUUCUUUCUGUCCAAAACUGUAGUUUUGCAAAACUUGCACUAGCAAGUUUCUGGUUUUGCCCAAAUGAUCUUGCCAUCAUCACCUACAUCUAGGGAGACACUGGUCUGGAGUUUUUGGCUACUCCAAGAGUUGCCUAGAUGCACUUAGCAUUAUCUCGAACACCUUGUGUUCAUGGACAGUUUUUGGCAUAGUUUCUAGUUUGCAUUAUGAUCUUGUUCCACUGACCCAGCAACCUUGUCCACUAAGCUCCUACCUAUCCCUAUCCCUGUCCUGUUAUUUGCCAGCCUCCCUCUAGCACUCUAGGCUGCCCUGGCAUUUCGUCGAGCAUGUCCCGUGCGUGCUCUGGGCGCCCCCAGAGCGCACGUUUUGCACGCGCGCGCAUCGAGCCGCCGCGUCGCACUGCCGCCCUCGCCGCGCCCCGCCCCUGGCCCUUGCUCGCCUGCAGAGCCGCGCCCUGCACUCGCCCACUCGCCAGAACCCUCCAAGCCGCCCCUGGCGCCCUACAGCGCCGCCGUCAGAGCCUUUGGCGGCACGCCGGCGUCGGCAGUGAGCUCCUGCCAUGGACGGCGCCGCCCAAGCCACCCGCGCGCGCCAGCUGCCCCUGUGAACAGCUCGAGCUUAUCCUGAAACCCGUCGGCACGCGCUCGUCGCCGCCACGUCACCCUGCAGCUACAGCACGGCGGUCGCCGGCGUUCUUAUCCACGGCCGCCGCGGGACCAGCCUCGAACGCCUAUAAAAGGAGACCCCGAGCCCCUCCGAGCGCUCAGGCGACCUCAGGCCUCCCUCCUAGUGCUCCCCUAGCCGUGGAUUGACCGGAAGAGGCCAUCUCCCCCACCUCCGGCCGGUUCGGCCGCCGCUGCCUUCCGGUGCCAUUCGUCGCAAUCGGACACUCCCCCGCCGAUCCAGCGCCACCACUCGCUUCCCCUUGUUCUUGCGGAGCUGCCCAGUGCCUCAGCCUCGAUCGGAAACCACCGGAGCCCAAAACCCCCUUCACUCCCGUAGCCCCCUCCGCCGCGGAGCUCGGCGCCGGCGACUCCUCCCACCACCGUUGACCCAACGACCACCGAGAGGACCGCCCCGGUCUGGCAGGUCCAUCCCCGCCCUCGGAUACCCGUGGGGAGCUGCCGUUCGUCGACGGCGAUCGCCGGAGUCCCGCCCCGUUCGGGCAGAGGAAGAGGAGGGAGAGGGGGGAAUAGUCAAACCUGACCAGUGGCCCCCCCUGGACCCACUGUCAGCAACCCAGCCCCGCCGACGCAUGUUUUAAGUGGAGACGUGUUUCGCAAAAUACGUUUUCUCUGAACAGAAAGCGUAAGCCCCUCCGAAACGUUUUCUUUUUCUGUUUUAUUUAAAACAGAACUUUGACUGGCUAUAUCUUUUAAAAUAAAACUCCAAAUGAGUUGAUUCUUUUUCCUACCUCUCUCAAAUUUCAUCUAGUUUAUUUUAAGAUUUAUUUCAAAAAUAUUUGAGACAACUUUUUUACUGUUUUUGAAAUAUUUGUUAUUUGAAUAUUUUUCAAAAUAGGAAAUGGAGAGAGAAGAAAACUUUCAAAAAGUGCACCCCCUUGCAUACUCUUGAAGGCAAGCAUUCUGAACUCUGGCAUAAUAUUUUUGUGUGGUGUUUUGAUACGGUUACAACACCACUUUGACUUGGAGCAUACGUUAUUUUUAUGUAACAAUAAAGUCACACGCAUCAGUGCAUACUGGAGAUGCUUUACUGUUAGAAUGGAUAUGCGGGUAAUAGUGAUCAUCCUCGCGAGCUUUUCAUGCAUACCGGCAGGAAGCCGGGAGAGUCGUGGUCUUGGGUAGACACGAGCUUGUCCCUAGUUCCUCGUCGAGACGAGUGUGUCUGGUAUGGCAUGAUGAGGUUUGAUGAGCGGUGAUUCUGUCUGUCAAUGGGAUAUAUAUUAGUUAUGCUAAUCAUUCGGAGAAUACUUGGACCUCCUGAGUCGGCCGUAGGUCGAGUCUUGAUUAGUAACUUCCUCUACUUGUUUUGUACUACCACUUGUCCCUGCCGCAGGUAGGGUAUGGUUCAGUAAGUUGUCAACCCCUUACCAAAGCACACACCGUACAGAGAGGCCAUGGUGGAAGAUACCGGAUGCAUCCGGUAGGCAUGCCACUUGGUCCGGGGGCAUGGGUGUUUCCGGUUGGGACCGAGAGGGGGGCACCCCUUAGAGCGCGCGAUAUAAAUUUGAUCCCAUGCUACGUCGAGGUUGUAGCCUCCCCACUUAGAGUUUUUCUUGACAGGUGUCGUGGGUGAUUCCAGACACCGGUAAGUUAAGCUGGUGUAUGCAGGUCAGGCGUGUUUUCAAUUAAAAGGCCGUAGGCGGAAUUAGUCCCGAUGGACUAAAUAAAUCCGUUACUCGUGGGUAAAGAGUACACCCUCUGCAGAGGUCAUAUCUAUUUGGAUAGCCAUGUUCAUGGGUAAGGACUUCAGUCUGAGAUGGGUCUAGUGACGGUUUUCGGAUGGAGAAACGGCUAGACUAGAACUUUGUUUAUGACCUGUGACGUAUUGUGACACCCAAGUUUUUAUUUGGAUUUUUCAAAAGAUUUUAUUUGACUUGAGGGGAGUGAUUUAAAUUUUUUCUUCAAGAGAACUCUCCCUCUCAUAUAUUUUUCCUUAUGGGAAAAGUUUUAUUUGGAUUCACCCAAGAUCUGCCUUUGGUCUUGGAAGUCCUUGCUUUUCAUUUGGACACAAGACAAAAUGUUUUUCAUUUGGGAAAAGUAACUUUUGAAAACCUUUUUGAAUUUUGCACUAUGGCUUUUGGAAAGUCCUUUGCCACUUUCAAGAAUUCCUCCUUGCCAUGGCCCUAGUGCAAAUGAUCUCUCCUAACCCUUCCCUCACCUUUGGAUCAUGUUUUACACCAAAUCCAGCAAGUGGAACCUCCUCAUGUAUCUAUUUCCAUUCAAAUUUUAUUCAAACAAAUUUCUGUCCUCUAUUCUACCACUUGGAGAUUUACAAAGGAACCCCUUUUUCUGUUUUGAUUUUUGCCACCAAACCAACUCUCCCUCCUAGUCCUUUGAAACCCCAACCUAGAACUAUGAAGAUCCACUGUUCUUCAGUUCAAAAUUUUCAAACUACACUUGCUACAAGUUUGGACCAGAUUUGUCAAAUUUGGUGAAAUUCAUUUAAAACCUUCUCCAAAAAUUCCAAGUAAAAUCAGGCAGCCUCUGGGUGCAUUGAGUGGUAACUCACCAAGUUACAGCUCCAGAAAAAUUUAUCUCAUGGCCAAAACCUCCCGUCGAACACCUGCAGUGCAUGUUCAGAGUUUCAGAGAUUCAGUCAAGUGGCUGCUGUCGUUUUCUUCAGAAGCGGACGUCGAUCUCGCCAGUGCCACCGCGUCGCCUUGCUCCUCGUCCCCGCCCUCUUGUUCCUGCACCACACGAACGCCUGGCGCCUUGCGGGCGUCGGCGACGAGUAGCAGAAGGUGCGCCACCCCGUGACCGACGCCGGCGGCGGCUUUGCGGACGCCAGCAGGAGACACGGCGCCGAUGAUGCCACCCAGCGCCGCCCAAACCACCGGAGCUCGCCGCGUGGCCUUCCACUCCCCCGAACGCGCUGCCGCUCUCGUCGUGAACCGCAGGGUGCGGAGCGCGCUCUCUGCCGCCGUUGAGCCCGUGCGGUCACCUCACCGUGGACCGACGCCAUUACGCCAAGACCGACCCCGUUUAGCUGCAAAACGAGUCCAGUAACCUCCACUGAUGCUGCCCGGCCGCUCAAACCCCCUGCCAAUCCACUGCUCCGCCGUAAUCGCUCACCGGAGAUUCUCCGUUCACGGCCACCCCGUCGAUCUGCCUAUAAAUAGAGGCCCCGAGCUUCAACUCGAGCACCCACCAGCACUGCACUCCCCCUAGAGUACGCCGAGCCACUUGAAGAGCCCCGAGGAGGUCUCCUUCCUCGACUCCGGCCGCCGCGACCCGCCACGGGAUCUAGCCCGAUUCGCCCCCAUGUGUGCUCCUCCGCCUCCAUUCUCUUACCAGUAGCUUCACCAUGCACCCCUCUUUCUGACCCGCACUUCAAUUUGAAGCUUGCAGCCCUACACCGGAGUUCCCCAUCCUCACCCGAGCCGCCGUCCGCCGGAGAAAGUGUCGCCGUUGACAUAGUGCUCCCCGUUGGACGAGUCCACCACCCACCGAUGCGGAAGAAGACGCUGAAGCUCUUGGUACCCUCCGUUUCUCAUAACUCGCCGUGGUUCGACGCCGGCGUCCACCGCAAUCUUCGGGCGCCGGCGAGCUUUUCAAACCUGACAUGUGGACCCCGUAUGUCAGCCUCUGUUCUUUUAUUCGCGAACCAUUUUCUGUUGGCGCCUUCGGGCAGAAUACGUUUCCUCCUUUGCGCUUGCGCAUUCCCAGCCGAAGCGUUUUCUGUUUUCUCAGUUAAAACCCUGGAACUUUUCUGUUUCAUUACAGAUAAGUCCCUGGACAGAAACCUUUAUAACUUUUUAACAAAAAGGAGUGAUUCUUUUUCUGACAAUCUCCAAAUUUUGUCUAGGUUUUUUAUGGGAUUUAUUUGAAAAAUAUUUGGAAAAGUUUCUGUGUAUGUGUUGGUUUUCACGUUAGUACCCGUUUCGUGAUUGCCGUAGGUUCCGGGAGAGGUGACGGAGCCGCGAACUUCGCCGAGCUAGACUCCGACUUCUCCGAACCAGGCAAGCAUGUUUUGAACAUUUGAUAUGACAGAUUCUUUACAUGUUCACGUGAGAGUUUGUGCGUGGCAUAUGAGUGUCGGUAAAUACCUCGUUGCUUGUAAGGCAACGACCCGGUUGUUCCAAAAGUUGCGAUGACCUCUGAUGAGAGGUGGCCUAAUCAUGUGGUGACAUGAAAGGCAGCAAGGUGGUACUGUCGUAGCAUACCAGCCUUGCGUCAUCCGACUUUCCCCAACGUUAACGUGGUUGGAGCCACGUUAUCGAUCUUUUUCCGCAUGUUCCAAAGUUGCGAUGAUCUCUGAUGAGAGAUGGCCAAAUCAUGUGGUGACAUGAAUAGCAGCAAGGUGGUACUGUUGUAGCAUGCCAGCCUUGCGACAUCCGACUUUCUCCGACGUUAACGUGGUUGGAGCCGCGUUACCGUUCUUUCCCCUUUCCGUGCUACCACAUGUCUCAUUGCCAGGAUGCGGUUUAGUAAGUUGGUAACCUCUUUCCGUGUACACACCAAACAGAGAGGCCGGGAUGAUGGUACCUUGGCCCAGGAUUAAAGCCAGUCAUCCGGUCAGGGGGCAUGGGUGUUUCCGGUUGGGACCGAGAGGGGGGGCACCCCCUUAAAGCGCGCGUAUAGAAAUUUGAUCCCAUGCUACGCGAGGUUGUAGCCUCCCCGUCUCAAGGUUUUUCGUGAACGUUGCCGGGGGUGAUCCCUGGCUUCGGAUGGUUGAAUUGGGUGUGUACUGGUUAGACAUGUUUCUUCCAAAACACCGUAGACGGAACUAGUCCCCGUGACUACUGAAAUUCGUUGGCUGUGGUUAAGUACAAACUCUGCAGAGUCAAUUCUUUCCAAAUCAUCGUAUCCGUGAUCAAGUAAUGAGAACAUUAUAUCCAUAUCUAUCCGUGUGAAAAACUUGUCCCCGGUGAACAAGCUCAAGUGGUAAAAUUCAGAUUUAUUGUUAUUCCUGUGGAUGGACUAACUUUAUUUUGUGUCUCAUGCUUGUGAUAAUUUAUGUUCCCGAACUGUUGUAUUAAUGAGAUGUGAUAUAAGCCCUUUAUGUGACGUCGCGCAGACGUCCGACUGUGGCGUGUACUCGUUUCUCACUUUCAAUAUAAGCCCUUUAUGUGAUGUCGCUCAGACGUGCGACUGCGGCAUGCACUGUCUUUAUUUUCUGUUGCAAGCCCUUUAUGUGGUGUCGCCCCGACGCCCGACUGUGGCAUUAUUAUUCCGCAUUUUCCUCUCGAGGAGUCUUUCAGACCCUCGUUUGGCACCUGUAUUAUUAUUCCGCAUUUUCCUCUCGAGGAGUCUUUCAGACACUCGUUUGGCACCUGUAUUAUUAUUCCGCAUUUUCCUCUCGAGGAGUCUUUCAGACACUCGUUUGGCACUCGUAUUAUUAUUCCGCAUUUUCCUCUCGAGGAGUCUUUCAGACACUCGUUUGGCACCUGUAUUAUUAUUCCGCAUUUUCCGCUCGAGGAGUCUUUCAGACACUCGUUUGGCACCAGUAUUACUAUUCUGCAGUUUCCGCUCGAGGCGUCAUUCAGACCCUCGCUUGGCACCCAGUAUUUAUUACCGUUAUGUCUAAUCGCACCAUUAACUUGUUCAUAUGCUUCAUGUUUACAUUUGUUAUACCUUAUGUCCGAACUGUCUUGCGAGUACUUUCAUAGUACUCACCUGGCUUGUUGAUUUGGCCAGAUGUUGACGAAGGUGAUCUCUUGGAUGAAGAGUUCGAUAGCGCGUCCGACACCUAGAGGAGUCCCAGUCAGUCCUGCGCGAUCCCGCAUAUUGGUCACUUGUAUUGUAUACGCUUCCACCACCCGCAAUAAGUCUUCUCGAGCCUCACUCCAACGCUCGAUGAGUUGUAGUCUUCUGGAAUCAUAUCACUCGCUUCGCGGUGAUAUUUCCACCACCAUCAUUGUCGUGAGUUAGUAGUUGCCACCCUAUCCGCCGUUUUGUUUUAGCGGCGUGCAUGUAAUAAAUUUUUGGGCAGUCUCUGCUCAACCUUGUAUUAUAUUUAGUACUCCUGGUAUUUUUUCUUCUGUGACCAAGAUAUUGUCUACCAGUGAGAAGGAAUUCUUCCUCGCUGGUCCGUAAAAGGGAUUGGUCUCUCAAUAAUUAUUUUAUUGAAAAACCGGUCGUGACAAGCUUGGUACCAGAGCCAGGAUGACUGUAGGAAGCCACUAGGUGCGAGCGCUAAUCGGUUAUUAGCGUUUUUGUGCUUUUUCAGCUUUUUGCAAUUGUAGCUAUUUUCUGUUGGUCAUCAUAAAUUUAUGACAUGACUACUCAGAAUUUUUGCCUACUUUUGUAGAUGGCUGGCAGCAGCUGUGAGAAUCGAGUGUUCACCAACGUGCCUGAGGGGUUUGUCAAGCUCCUCGUCUCCAUCACCAAGCUCGCGAUCGGGCCAGCAGCUCGCCCGGAGUUCACGCUCUAUCAGCACAAGCUCAGUGACGACGUGUCUAUGCACCAAGCCGUGGUGCAGUUCAGGGGAGGACGUUCUGCUGCUCGUCACUUCCGUUUUACGGGAAGGGCCAUGCCUACAGAGAGGCAUGCCAUGCAGAUGGCUGCCCGCGAGGCGAUAGCUCGCCUUCGGGACAUCCUUCCUAUGAUGAAGACUCGUCGCUACCGCUACCUCCCAUGCCAUGUGCCUUACACCAGCCACUAUGCGUUCGCCUGCCAUCGGGGAGAACGAGAUGAAGCCAUCGAGAUGGUUGUGGAGUAUCUCAAGGCUCUGGAGGAGUCUUUCGACAACCUCGUAGAUGAUCUUGUGGCUGCCCGCAUGGACUUAGUCCGGGGCGGUCCUGCCAGCAGGAAGGAGCUUCUCCACACGGCGCCGCCUCUGACAUUCGUCUCGUCUUCAGCCUCGUAUGCACCGGCCGUUUUGGCCACUGCUCGCCGUCUGCCUACCACUGAGGAGUUCGACCGAGUCAUCGCUCCUACACCAGUUAGAGCCGCACCGCCUGCCGCACGCGCUCUACCACCAGUCGCCCCCGCACCAUCACCGCAGCGCAGCGUCACGCGCCAGGAGCCAACUAGAGAGGAGGAGGUUGAUUCUCCUGGACCGCUGAGCCUUGCCAUCGGCAAGGGGAAGGAGAUCUUCACCAUCUCCGACUGAGAGCACCGAGUAGCCGCAUGUUAUGCCUGCUUGUAUGAUGUGUUGUUUUAUCUGUGCGCUAGUUUGUAUUGGUGUGUUUGCUGCCUUCCGGAGUAGUACGCUAGUUUUUAAUAACAUGUCAGGAUUUUGUACGCGCAUCCUGAGUGCUGUAUCUUGUGUUUGCUUUUCGCAUGUAAGAUUUAUGUUAAUCACUUCUUCUCCAUGAAAAAUCAUUCGUGUUUCUUUGAAAACCUUGAAGCCUUUUUAUUUUUUCCUUUGCGAGAUUUUUGUGCUACACAAUUUUUCUCAUGGGUUUUGCAAAUAAUACCCCAGACUGGAAAAAUGUCUCGCCCGUGGACUCGCUCCAUGCCCAAUCAGCCAGAAGAGGUUUACGGGACACAGACCAGCAACAAUUUCACUCAGGGUCAGUCCAGCCAACAAGACAGCGAAGCGGCACUGUCACAAGUAUGCCGUCUCUUCGAGCAAAGCCAGCAACAGCACCAAGAGAUGAUGAACCAUGUCAUCAACAUGGGAAACCACCGUGAAGCCUAUCAACCCCAUUCCAAGUUAUCUGAAUUACAGAAGACUCGCCCCUCAACUUUUGCUCACACCGACAGACCGCUGGAAGCCGAUGAUUGGCUUCGUGAGAUUGAAAGGAAACUGAUUAUUGCUCAGUGCUCAGAUCAUGAGAAGGUGCUUUAUGCACCGCACUACCUUACUGGAGCAGCCGCAGCAUGGUGGGAAAACUUCCUACACAUGCAUCCCAGGGAACACAACAUCACCUGGGAAGAGUUCAAGGAAGGCUUCCGUGGGGCACACAUCCCCAGGAGCAUCCUAAAGAUCAAGAAGAGAGAGUUUGAUGACCUGAAGCAAAGAGGCAUGUCAGUGACCGAGUACAAUGGUCAGUUCACCCAGCUGUCUCGUUAUGCCUACGACGAGCACAUGACAGAAAGCAAGAAGAUGGAAAAAUUCCUGGACGGCCUGGCACCAGCGUUAAGAUGCCAACUGAUCGUGCACACCUUUCCGGAUUUUAAGACGCUGGUGGACAAGGCCAUCACCUUGGAGAAUGAGCGCCGUAGUCUGGAAGAUAUCCGCAAGCGAAAGAGGGACAAGACAACUCUUUCCCGCAGCAACUGAGGCAAGACUGAGGUCCCAAGGACAGACACAAGGAGAUCCACGACUACUGAGCCAAGACCCGUCGGACAAUUUCAUGCUAGAGACAAGGAGUUCACAUACCGUCCAGGGGUCACCUGCUAUGCUUGUGGUCAACAAGGGCAUUAUGCUAAACAGUGCCCGAAGCCACGAGACUCGGCACCCAAGCCGAACAAUGGUGGGAACAAUCCAGCCCCCAAGCGCAACAACUUCAACCCCAGCAACAACCACAGGAAGGGUCACCUGAACCAUGUGACCAGGGAAGAGGCGCAGAAUGCCCCAGACAUCGUGCUCGGUACGUUCCCUGUCAACACAGUACCUGCCACGGUUUUGUUUGAUUCUGGAGCUUCCCAUUCGUUCGUUUCGAAGAGUUUUGUUUCGCAACAUGGUUUUCCGAUACUUCCCUUGGAAAAAUCUAUGAUCAUCAAGUCCCCCGGAAAUAAGCAAAUCGCUCAGGGUUACUGCCAAGGAGUGGUCAUUGAGUUCGAAGGACUACAAUUCCACGCGAAUCUCAUCGUGUUGGAAAGUAAAGGACUGGAUGUCAUUUUAGGGAUGGACUGGUUGACCACCAACAAAGGAUUCAUCGACUGUUUCAAUCGGACAGUGAUUCUCACUCACCAUCACGGCAAGACUAUAAGAGUUUCCGCCCAAGAAAGGCCACGAUCACAGCAACCAAAACUGAACAAAAUGGACAUUGCAGAAUUGAGAAAAGUCCCAGUGGUAUGCGAGUUUCCUGAUGUGUUUCCUGAAGAACUACCAGGCAUGCCACCAGACCGAGAGAUCGAAUUCAGCAUUGAACUAGCACCUGGCACCGCUCCCAUCUAUAAGAAGCCUUAUAGAAUGGCACCCUCAGAAUUGGUGGAGUUGAAGAAGCAGAUAAAAGAAUUAUUGGACAAAGGAUUUAUUCGAGCCAGCUCCUCACCAUGGGGUUCGCCUGUGUUGUUCGCUAAGAAGAAAGAUGGGACACUGAGGCUGUGCAUAGACUAUCGAGCCCUCAAUAUGGUCACCAUCAAAAACAAAUAUCCGAUGCCACGGAUCAAUGAUUUGUUCGACCAGCUCGCACAAGCCAAGGUAUUUUCAAAGAUUGAUUUGAGAUCAGGAUACCAUCAACUGAAGGUACGGACAGAAGACAUUCCCAAGACAGCUUUCACUUCCAGAUAUGGGUUAUACGAGUUUACAGUGAUGCCUUUUGGACUAACGAACGCCCCCGCAUAUUUCGUCCACCUCAUGAACAAAGUGUUCAUGAAAUUCAUGGACAAAUUUGUGGUGGUAUUCAUUGACGAUAUUCUGGUUUACUCAAGGACACCAGAAGAGCAUGCUGAGUACCUCAGAAUUGUUUUGGGAGAAUUGAGGAAACAUCAGUUAUACGCCAAAUUUAGUAAGUGCGAAUUUUGGCUAAGACAAGUUGGUUUCUUGGGCCAUAUAUUGAACCAGGAAGGCGUGGCCGUAGACCCAGAAAAAGUCAAGGCCAUACUGGACUAGAAGCCACCCGCCAAUGUUACAGAUGUGCGGAGUUUCCUAGGAAUGGCCGGAUAUUACAGGAGAUUUAUUGAAGGAUUCUCCACUGUGGCGAAGCCUAUAACACAGUUACUCAAGAAGGACAAAAAAAUUGUAUGGACAGAAGCAUGCGAGCAGAGCUUCCAAGAACUCAAGAAGAAACUGACAACCGCACCGAUCUUAACUGUGCCAGACAUACACAAGAGCUUUGAAGUGUAUUGUGACGCGUCCCGAAAAGGUCUCGGAUGCGUGCUAAUGCAGGAUGGCAAAGUUGUCGCAUAUGCCUCCAGGCAGCUGCGAAAACAUGAGGAAAAUUACCCAACACAUGACUUGGAGCUAGCAGCAGUUAUACAUGCACUCAAUGAGUGGAGACACUUUCUGUUGGGAAAUCGCUGUGAAAUAUAUACGGACCAUAAGAGCCUCAAAUAUAUUUUCACACAGCCAGAGCUGAAUUUACGCCAACGACGCUGGUUGGAACUAGUCAAAGACUAUGACGUCGGUAUUCACUACCACCCAGGGAAAGCAAAUGUAGUGGCCGAUGCCCUUAGUCGAAACCCCAGCCCGGACAGUGAUGGUCCGCAAAAUUUGAGGCCUGAGUUUCAACGAGAGUUCACUAGGCUCAACAUGAUGUUAGUCUCUGAGGGAACCGUAUCGAACCUGGAGAUACAACCCACCCUGGUGGAACAAAUUAAGAAGGCUCAACAGGGACACCCCAGCAUCGAAGGCAUAAAGAAGAAAAUGAACCUUUGUAAGACUUCAGAAUUCGUCACGGAUAGUGAAGGAACAUUAUGGUACCGGGACAGGCUUUGCGUACCCAACAUUGAGGAACUCAAGCAACAGAUCUUGACGGAAAGCCACACCGCCCCAUACUCGAUCCAUCCUGGAGGAACCAAAAUGUACAAGGACAUCCAGGAAAGAUUUUGGUGGCACGGUAUGAAAAGAGAUAUAGCCACAUUCAUCGCUUGUUGCGAUUCAUGUCAGCGCAUCAACGCCGAGCACCAAAAGCCAGCAGGGCUACUCCAGCCUAACAGGAUACCGGAGUGGAAAUGGGAUGAAAUAGGAAUGGAUUUCAUCGUCGGACUACCCCGAUCACAGCAUGGGAAUGACGCCAUAUGGGUCAUCACAGACCGACUAACCAAGGUUGCUCAUUUCAUUCCCGUGAAGACUACCUACUCCACACAAAGACUGGCAAAACUUUAUCUCUCCCAUAUAGUUUGCUUGCACGGAGUCCCGAAGACUAUAAUAUCAGACCGAGGCACCCAAUUCGUCUCCAAAUUUUGGGAUCACCUACAACAAGCUCUGGGCACGCAACUAGCGUUCAGUACAGCAUACCACCCUUAGACUGAUGGACAGACAGAACGUGUAAAUCAAAUCCUAGAGGAUAUGCUAAGAGCAUGUGUGCUCACCUAUGGAUCCAGUUGGGAAGAAAGUUUACCGUAUGCCGAAUUUGCUUACAACAACAGUUACCAAGCCAGCUUGCAAAUGGCACCCUUUGAAGCAUUGUACGGACGGAGGUGUCGUACCCCACUGAAUUGGUCAGAAACAGGUGAGCCGUAUCUUCGGCCCAGAUAUGCUUAAUGAGGCCAAGGAGAAAGUUAAACAAAUCAGGGACAGAAUCAGGACGGCGCAGAGCCGACAAAAGAGCUACUAUGAUCGGAAGCAUCGUGAGGUCAGCUUGAACCCGGUGACUCUGUAUACCUCCGAGUAUCUCCUAUGAGGGGUCGGCAACGGUUCAAAAUUAAGGGGAAGCUAGCCCCAAGAUUUAUUGGACCAUUUUGUGUAAAGGCACGAAGAGGCACGGUAGCCUACCAGCUAGACCUACCCAAGGAGUUGUCAGACGUCCAUGACGUGUUCCACGUCUCACAGUUAAGAAAAUGUGUGAGCAACCCAGAAAAUCAUGUACCUCAUGAGGACAUUGAUAUGCAACCAGAUCUCACCUACAGAGAAAGGCCAGUAAGGAUUUUAGAAGAGUCUGAACGGAGGACCCGUCAGAAAACGACAAAGUUUUUCAGGGUUCAGUGGAGCAACCACACUGAGGAUGAAGCUACAUGGGAAAGGGAGGAUUUCCUUCGAGCGGAGUAUCCAUAUCUAUUUGAGGGUCAGCAGAAAUCUCGAGGACGAGAUUUUUCCUAAGGGGGUAGGUGUUGUGACACCCAAGUUUUUAUUUGGAUUUUUCAAAAGAUUUUAUUUGACUUGAGGGGAGUGAUUUAAAUUUUUUCUUCAAGAGAACUCUCCCUCUCAUAUAUUUUUCCUUAUGGCAAAAGUUUUAUUUGGAUUCACCCAAGAUCUGCCUUUGGUCUUGGAAGUCCUUGCUUUUCAUUUGGACACAAGACAAAAUGUUUUUCAUUUGGGAAAAGUAACUUUUGAAAACCUUUUUGAAUUUUGCACUAUGGCUUUUGGAAAGUCCUUUGCCACUUUCAAGAAUUCCUCCUUGCCAUGGCCCUAGUGCAAAUGAUCUCUCCUAACCCUUCCCUCACCUUUGGAUCAUGUUUUACACCAAAUCCAGCCAGUGGAACCUCCCCAUGUAUCUAUUUCCAUUCAAAUUUUAUUCAAACAAAUUUCUGUCCUCUAUUCUACCACUUGGAGAUUUACAAAGGAACCCCUUUUUCUGUUUUGAUUUUUGCCACCAAACCAACUCUCCCUCCUAGUCCUUUGAAACCCCAACCUAGAACUAUGAAGAUCCACUGGUCUUCAAUUCAAAAUUUUCAAACUACACUUGCUACAAGUUUGGACCAGAUUUGUCAAAUUUGGUGAAAUUCAUUUAAAACCUUCUCCAAAAAUUCCAAGUAAAAUCAGGCAGCCUCUGGGUGCAUUGAGUGGUCAUCUCACCAAGUUACAGCUCCAGAAAAAUUUAUCUCAUGGCCAAAACCUCCUGUCGAACACCUGCAGUGCAUGGUCAUUGUCAAGUUCAGAGUUUCAGAGAUUCAGUCAAGUGGCUGCUGUCGUUUUCUUCAGAAGCGGACGUCGAUCUCGCCAGUGCCACCGCGUCGCCUUGCACCUCGUCCCCGCCCUCUUGUUCCUGCACCGCAUGAACGCCUGGCGCCUUGCGGGCGUCGGCAACGAGCAGCAGAAGGUGCGCCGCCCCGUGACCGACGCCGGCGGCGGCUUUGCGGACGCCAGCAGGAGACACGGCGCCGACGACGCCACCCAGCGCCGCCCAAACCACCGGAGCUCGCCGCGUGGCCUUCCACUCCCCCGAACGCGCUACCGCUCUCGUCGUGAACCGCAGGGCGCGGAGCGCGCUCUCUGCCGCCGUUGAGCCCGUGCGGUCACCUCACCGUGGACCGACGCCAUUACGCCAAGACCGACCCCGUUUAGCUGCAAAACGAGUCCAGUAACCUCCACUGAUGCUGCCCGGCCGCUCAAACCCCCUGCCAAUCCACUGCUCCGCCGUAAUCGCUCACCGGAGAUUCUCCGUUCACGGCCACCCCAUCGAUCUGCCUAUAAAUAGAGGCCCCGAGCUUCAACUCGAGCACCCACCAGCACUGCACUCCCCCUAGAGCACGCCGAGCCACUGGAAGAGCCCCGAGGAGGUCUCCUUCCUCGUCUCCGGCCGCCGCGACCCGCCACGGGAUCCAGCCCGAUUCGCCCCCGUGUGUGCUCCUCCGCCUCCAUUCUCUUACCAGUAGCUUCACCAUGCACCCCUCUUUCUGACCCGCACUUCAAUUUGAAGCUUGCAGCCCUACACCGGAGUUCCCCAUCCUCACCCGAGCUGCCGUCCGCCGGAGAAAGUGUCGCCGUCGACAUAGUGCUCCCCGUUGGACGAGUCCACCACCCACCGAUGCGGAAGAAGACGCUGAAGCUCUUGGUACCCUCCAUUUCUCCUAACUCGCCGUGGUUCGACGCCGGCGUCCACCGCAAUCUUCGGGCGCCGGCGAGCUUUUCAAACCUGACAUGUGGACCCCGCAUGUCAGCCUCUGUUCUUUUAUUCGCGAACCGUUUUCUGUUGGCGCCUUCGGGCAGAAUACGUUUCCUCCUUUGCGCUUGCGCAUUCCCAGCCGAAGCGUUUUCUGUUUUCUCAGUUAAAACCCUGGAACUUUUCUGUUUCAUUACAGAUAAGUCCCUGGACAGAAACCUUUAUAACUUUUUAACAAAAAGGAGUGAUUCUUUUUCUGACAAUCUCCAAAUUUUGUCUAGGUUUUUUAUGGGAUUUAUUUGAAAAAUAUUUGGAAAAGUUUCUGUGUAUGUGUUGGUUUUCACGUUAGUACCCGUUUCGUGAUUGCCGUAGGUUCCGGGAGAGGUGACGGAGCCGCGAACUUCGCCGAGCUAGACUCCGACUUCUCCGAACCAGGCAAGCAUGUUUUGAACAUUUGAUUUGACAGAUGCUUUACAUGUUCACGUGAGAGUUUGUGCGUGGCAUAUGAGUGUCGGUAAAUACCUCGUUGCUUGUAAGGCAAUGACCCGGUUGUUCCAAAAGUUGCGAUGACCUCAGAUGAGAGGUGGCCUAAUCAUGUGGUGACAUGAAAGGCAGCAAGGUGGUACUGUCGUAGCAUACCAGCCUUGCGUCAUCCGACUUCCCAAACGUUAACGUGGUUGGAGCCACGUUAUCGAUCUUUUUCCGCAUGUUCCAAAGUUGCGAUGAUCUCUGAUGAGAGAUGGCUAAAUCAUGUGGUGACAUGAAUGGCAGCAAGGUGGUACUGUUGUAGCAUGCCAGCCUUGCGACAUCCGACUUUCUCCGACGUUAACGUGGUUGGAGCCGCGUUACCGUUCUUUCCCCUUUCCGUGCUACCACAUGUCUCAUUGCCAGGAUGCGGUUUAGUAAGUUGGUAACCUCUUUCCGUGUACACACCAAACAGAGAGGCCGGGAUGAUGGUACCUUGGCCCAGGAUUAAAGCCAGUCAUCCGGUCAGGGGGCAUGGGUGUUUCCGGUUGGGACCGAGAGGGGGGGCACCCCCUUAAAGCGCGCGUAUAGAAAUUUGAUCCCAUGCUACACGAGGUUGUAGCCUCCCCGUCUCAAGGUUUUUCUUGAACGUUGCCGGGGGUGAUCCCUGGCUUCGGAUGGUUGAAUUGGGUGUGUACUGGUUAGACAUGUUUCUUCCAAAACACCGUAGACGGAACUAGUCCCCGUGACUACUGAAAUCCGUUGGCUGUGGUUAAGUACAAACUCUGCAGAGUCAAUUCUUUCCAAAUCAUCGUAUCCGUGAUCAAGUAAUGAGAACAUUAUAUCCAUAUCUAUCCGUGUGAAAAACUUGUCCCCGGUGAACAAGCUCAAGUGGUAAAAUUCAGAUUUAUUGUUAUUCCUGUGGAUGGACUAACUUUAUUUUGUGUCUCAUGCUUGUGAUAAUUUAUGUUCCCGAACUGUUGUAUUAAUGAGAUGUGAUAUAAGCCCUUUAUGUGACGUCGCGCAGACGUCCGACUGUGGCGUGUACUCGUUUCUCACUUUCAAUAUAAGCCCUUUAUGUGAUGUCGCUCAGACGUCCGACUGCGGCAUGCACUGUCUUUAUUUUCUGUUGCAAGCCCUUUAUGUGGUGUCGCCCCGACGCCCGACUAUGGCAUUAUUAUUCCGCAUUUUCCUCUCGAGGAGUCUUUCAGACCCUCGUUUGGCACCUGUAUUAUUAUUCCGCAUUUUCCUCUCGAGGAGUCUUUCAGACACUCGUUUGGCACCUGUAUUAUUAUUCCGCAUUUUCCUCUCGAGGAGUCUUUCAGACACUCGUUUGGCACUCGUAUUAUUAUUCCGCAUUUUCCUCUCGAGGAGUCUUUCAGACACACGUUUGGCACCUAUAUUAUUAUUCCGCAUUUUCCGCUCGAGGAGUCUUUCAGACACUCGUUUGGCACCAAUAUUACUAUUCUGCAGUUUCCGCUCGAGGCGUCAUUCAGACCCUCGCUUGGCACCCAGUAUUUAUUACCGUUAUGUCUAAUCGCACCAGUUAACUUGUUCAUAUGCUUCAUGUUUACAUUUGUUAUACCUUAUGUCCGAACAGUCUUGUGAGUACUUUCAUAGUACUCACCUGGCUUGUUGAUUUGGCCAGAUGUUGACGAAGGCGAUCUCUUGGAUGAAGAGUUCGAUAGCGCGUCCGACGCCUAGAGGAGUCCCAGUCAGUCCUGCGCGAUCCCGGAUAUUGGUCACUUGUAUUGUAUACGCUUCCGCCACCCGCAAUAAGUCUUCUCGAGCCUCACUCCAACGCUCGAUGGGUUGUAGUCUUCUGGAAUCAUAUCACUCGUUUCACGGUGAUAUUUCCACCACCAUCAUUGUCGUGAGUUAGUAGUUGCCACCCUAUCCGCCGUUUUGUUUUAGCGGUGUGCAUGUAAUAAAUUGUUGGGCAGUCUCUGCUCAACCUUGUAUUAUAUUUAGUACUCCUGGUAUUUUUUCUUCUGUGACCAAGAUAUUGUCUACCAGUGAGAAGGAAUUCUUCCUCGCUGGUCCAUAAAAGGGAUUGGUCUCUCAAUAAUUAUUUUAUUGAAAAACCGGUCGUGACACGUAUGAGGAUUAUGUUUAUUAUUAUGGACUAACCAUUUACAUUAUUUGAAUUAUUGAGUAUCCCUGGGAUGGUUCUACCUCCUGGAUAUUCACUGUGAUUAUUCUUAUAUAAGCCCUUUAUGUGGUGUCGCUCAGACGCCCGACUGCGGCAUGCUUGUUAUUUAAUUUUUCUUUAUAAGCCCUUUAUGUGGUGUCGCUCAGACGCCCGACUGCAGCAUGCUUGUUAUGUGGUGAGUGCACGCUGCACCGGCAGCUAGCACGCCGCGCACUACCGCAGUACGACCUAGAUGCCCUACGCGCUAGGCGUCGCCGGUAGAGGAAGCGCGCGAGAGAAGAGAGAGCCAGAGGUAGAAGAAGAGGCCGAUAUUGGGCCCUGGGUCCACCUGUCAGCCAGAGAGAGCACUGUGCUCUCGGGUGCGACCAGCGUAUUUUAGUAAUUUAGAAUCUAUUCUAAAUUACUAUAUCCACGUAGAAAUAUCUCGUUUUUCCCCGACCAUGGAUUUUUCCACGCAACGCCAGUAGAUCGCACUGUGGUUUUACACCACUAAUUGCCCUCUCACUGUAGCUACAUUGUUAUUGCAUAGUAGCAUAUUGUUUUCUUUUGGUAAGAGCAAUGUUUGUUCAAAACAGCUUUUAACAAAUCUCGAGGACGAGAUUUUUCUUAAGGGGGGUAGUGUUGUGACACCCCAAAAUUUUGACCUUUGUUUUAUAAAUUAAAAUUUUGCCAGGAAAUUAAACUUUUCCAUUUAUCUAGAUUUACCCUUUUGAUAUUGUGGGUUUUACCUCAAGUGGAAACUUUCCAAAAGUAUUAUUGGACUUGUAUGCUCUCUCUAUGAAACAGUUCUUUAUCAGUGGAUUUAAUUGCAAGGUUUGCUUUUUCUUGAGCUUUACUCUUUUAAAAUGAUCUUUCAUGAAUUUGGAGCCUGUUUUGCACUGCAACCAUUUGGCAAAUACCUUUAAAAUUUCCACCAAAAUUUGGGGAUGUCAUGUGAUGUUUCCACAUCACUUCUAUGCAAAAAUAUCUUUUGGUUAUUGGAGAUUUUUAGCUCUACAUCAACUUUUCAAAUCUGGUCCAGUAGGCAUUUUUGCACUACAACCUAUUUAAGUAUUCCUUUAAAAAUUCUUCCAAGUGUUUGGGGAUGUCAGUAGAUGCAUAUAAUUCAACUUCAUGCAAAAACCCAGUGUUGUUCUUUGAAAAAUUUGAGUGAAUCAACCUCUUUUUCAUUCUGAUCCAGUUUGGUGAUUUGUACUGCAACCCUAUUUUAUUUUGCUCUAGUGCCCCUGAACUUUUUCCUGCUUGUAGCCCUCCCUGCAAAACCCUUAAGUCCAGGAGAGUGGACUCAUUGGAGGAUUUAAAGUGCACGCAAUGAGACCUUUUUCUUUCUGUCCAAAACUGUAGUUUUGCAAAACUUGCACUAGCAAGUUUCUGGUUUUGCCCAAAUGAUCUUGCCAUCAUCACCUACAUCUAGGGAGACACUGGUCUGGAGUUUUUGGCCACUCGAAGAGUUGCCUAGAUACACUUAGCAUUAUGUCGAACACCUUGUGUUCAUGGACAGUUUUUGGCAUAGUUUCUAGUUUGCAUUAUGAUCUUGUUCCACUGACCCAGCAACCUUGUCCACUAAGCUCCUAGCUAUCCCUAUCCCUGUCCUGUUAUUUGCCAGCCUCCCUCUAGCACUCUAGGCUGCCCUGGCAUUUCGUCGAGCACGUCCCGUGCGUGCUCUAGGCACGCCCAGAGCGCACGUUUUGCACGCGCGCGCACCGAGCCGCCGCGUCGCACUGCCGCCCUCGCCGCGCCCCGCCCCUGGCCCUUGCUCGCCUGCAGAGCCACGCCCUGCACUCGCCCACUUGCCAGAACCCUCCAAGCCGCCCCUGGCGCCCUACAGCGCCGCCGUCAGAGCCUUUGGCGGCACACUGGCGUCGGCAGUGAGCUCCAGCCAUGGACGGCGCCGCCCAAGCCACCCGCGCGCGCCAGCUGCCCCUGUGAACAACUCGAGCUUAUCCUGAAACCUGUCGGCACGCGCUCGUCGCCGCCACGUCGCCCUGUAGCUACAACACGGCUGUCGUGGAAUUAUCACGGCAGAUGUCCUCAAGCUAGGACUUAGUCGUGGAGCCAUCGCUGCUAGGAAGCUUGAAGGGGUUAAACGGGACAAGGAACACGAGGGUUUAUACUGGUUCGGCCCCUUACGGUGAAGGUAAAAGCCUACGUCCAGUUGAGGUGGUAUUGAUUAGGGUUUCGAUGACCAGGGAGCUUAACUGCUAUGCCUGGCUCUCGACGAGAUCUUUCUUCCCCCUAAACCGCUGCCGGGUCGUCCCUUUAUAUAGAGAGGCUGACGCCCCGCAGCUUCUGAGAGUCCCGGCCGGCUCAUAAGAGUGUCCGGCUUGGACUCUCAACUAUUCUUGCCUUAUACUACAAGCUCUACCUUAACGACGGUUGUAACUACGGGCCUUAAGCCACCUCCAUGUCUUAAGCCCAUCUCUGGCCCACCGUCUUCAAGCUUGGCGCCGGGCUUCAGGUGAUGAUCCUUAUGUGUAACCCUGCCCCGUCGGGCGGGUGACUCUAAGGGUUAUAUCCUCAACAUUAGGCCCCAGAAUUAUUUGAGCCAGCUCAUGUCAAUCUUCAACUCUUUCGACAGAAAAGCUCCGGCUUACAAUUGUGUAAAGGCCAUAACCCGGCGUGACGUCAUCCUCUGGAUUCCGGGUAAUCCGCCGUGACGUCGUCUUCCAUUAAGUCCAUUUUUUAUUCCACCAUAUCCACAAUGGAUCUUUAUCUUUACUGCCAUCCCGAAAAUUGAGGCGUUUUUAUGGUGAGAUAACCGCGCCGUGGCUUCCUCGUUUCUCGCGCCCACUUAUGAGCUUGUCCUUAUAAGUAGCCCGGCCCGAUGAGUCUUCAGCCACCCGUCUUCCUCCUCGCGCCACUGUUCUUCCGCUCGUGCUCCGUUGCCGUCGCCACCGCGGGUCUUCUCGUCUUCGCUGACUCCGGCCGCUGCAUCAACCUGUUGCGUCCAGAGAAAACGGCGGUGACCUCCGCAACUCACCAGCACUUGUAAGCCCUUGCUGCCCCGUAGAACAGAUCUGCAGUAGGGUUUCCCCCUGUUCUUCGCGUGUUCUUCACCGUUCUUCGCGGAUUCUCAGUAGAUUUGAUUUUUACCACCCUUCUUGAUCUUAGACUUGUAUAGAACCGCUGCGGUAACUGUUUGGCACCCAUUUCAAAUGCAAAUAGAUCUCUUUUCAUUGCAUAAAAGCUCCGUUCGGACCCAAGAACUUCUCUUGCGUCUGUUUUUAGGUCUAGGAAAUUUCCUUUUUAGCCAACCGUUUUGAUCCAAAUUCAUUACUGCGACGUGUGAAACCUGUUUUCACCACACUUAGUAAAAAAACUGCACCUGCUGGGUCAUGGCGGUUUACAUUUCCGGCUUAAAGAAGCUACGCACUGUAAAACCUUCCGGCUCAAAGAAAACACGCGCCGUAAAAUUUGCCGGCUCACUUACAACAAGGCUGUAGACGAUUAAAUUACUCUCAAUGCUUCCAAAAGCUUGGAUAACCCGAUGCACUUAGAUAUAUGUCAUUAGGCCCCUCCAUAAACCGCCACUUUAAACAUUGAACUGCAAAUUUCCUCCGGCUUAUAGUUAAACCGGACAUUUUUCCUUUUAUCAUAGGCUUCCGACUUUCACCAUGCCUCCCAAAGCUCCCUAAGCACCCAUCACUUGCAACUAGAUGAGGUCCAACGUCACCGACGAGACCUUAGCGGAUUUUGUGAAGUCAGGUUACCUGCCCAAGAAGGACGUCAUGUCCUACCGUGCCCCCGACCCAUCAGAGGAAAGACCACAGCCAAGAGACGGGGAGGUGGUAGUUUUUGCGGAUCAUAUGAGCCGGGGCUUCGCAUCGCCCGGCUCAAAGUUCUUCAGGGAUGUUCUGAAUUUCUUUGACCCGCGGCCCCAAGAUAUAGGACCCAAUUCGGUGUCGAACAUAUGCAACUUCCAAGUGUUCUGCGAGGUCUACCUUGGAGAGGAACCCAGCCUUUUGCUCUUUAGAGAGCUGUUCUAUUUGAAUCGCCAGAACGAGUGCGCCAACGGGCCGAGCUUAGAACUUGGUGGAAUCUCCAUUCAGCGACGGAGAGACUGCCUUUUUCCUUACGCCGAGCCGCCCAGCCACCCAAAGUACUAGAACCAGACGUGGUUCUACUGCCAAGACACGUCGCCGGCUGACGAGAGCCCGCUGCCCGGCUUUCGACCUUCACGUCUGGAACCAACUCACCCUCUGUCUGACAAGUUAACUCAGGCGGAGCGCCAACCUCUGAUCCCCACCAUCAACAAAAUCAAGGCUCUCCUGGGAAAUGGCCUUAAUGGCAUUGAUCUGGUCCGAGUCUGGAUCUCGUGGCGGGUGAUCCCCUUAAGCCGCCGCCCCGGCUUAAUGUGCGAGUAUACGGGCCGGAAAGAUGACCCCUUGAGACACAGCCGCAACGAUCUUCCUGAAGACGUUGCUGAGGAUAUGACCAAGGCUCUCUUGAACGAGAGUUUGGCAGACUGCGGGAGGACCGGCUUAAGCCCCUUCUGCAAGACCAACCCGGCCCCAGCGGUAAGCCGCUGAUCUGAACAUCUUAUUUUCUUCUGUAGAUAGCUUUCAUCUGAACCUUAAGAAAUCGUCAUUGUAUUUUUCAGGCUGAUGACAAAUUCUGGAAGGUCAAAUAUGACCAUGAGGCGGCCAAGAAGGCCAGGAAGGCUAAGAAAGCCGCCAAGAGAGCCGCUCCCCGCAAGAAGGGAAGUAGGCCUACUGCUUCAGAGCUGCUGCAACUAAGCGACAGCUCCGAGUCAGAGGUAACCCCUGAGCCUGUAAGCUCUUAUUGUAUUUGUUGUUUAUUUCUGUCCACCUUAUCAAUACUGUUCAUCAACAGGAUGACACCGGAGCAAGUAACCCGGUCGUUGAAGAGGUAAUGACACUUUCCUCCGACUCGGAGCCCUUGCCAAGGCUGAAAGUCCGAAGGGUAACCCGGAAAGUAAGAUUUUCACAUCCUUUAGCUUAUCAAGAUCCUCAAUUUCUUUUGAAGCAACCGAUUCAUGAGAGCCGGCAGCACACCCGGACCAACAAGGACGCUGACCUCUCCUCCGGUUUACCUGACGCGUCAAGGAAACGCCGGACCGAGGUUAUCUCCCACUUGUACCCUUUUCAUCCUUUGGCGGGUGUUAUACGUCAACCGCUCAAUUCUUCCGAUUAAAACUAUCAGGAAACCUCACCCUCCUCUGGUGACUCGAUGCAAUCAAACCUGCCGGCCUUCAAGACCGUACCCGGGUAAUGAUGAUCAUCUCUUGUUGUGCUUAUCUUUACUCAUGCUUUUGUACUAACCUUUUUGUACUUUCAGUGCCCAGGCAAAGCUCAGCAAGAGGGCGAAAAAGAACAAGCCGGUCGAAGAGCCGGACUUGCCUGAACCGGAGGCUGCAGCUCAAGAACCGCCAGUUGCCUCUGCUCCUGCAGCCGCCGCUCCAACCGACAAGCCAAUCACAGAAACUUCUGCUAACCCGGAGACCUCCAGCCUGGCUCACCCGGCCGAUGACCCGGACGUGGUAAUCACCCGGACGGAGUUUGUUGAGCUGGGAAGACCCACUGCAUUGGCCAAGUGCUCUGCCAAAGAAGAACUGCUAGAGCACCGCCGGGCCAAUCUGGACCUUACCGACUAUGCCAAUCUGAGCAUCGGAGAGAUCGUCUCCGGCUAUGUCAGUCAGGUGCACAAGAGCCGGGACUUAGAGAUCGACAUGGUGAAUCAGAUUCAGCAGAAGUCUGAGGUACCACUCUUCUUGCUUACUGCAUAGUUAUCUUUACCAUACUAGCCCCCAAGUCGACGAUUUUAGAUUGAAUAUGUUGUAGACUUAAGUUCCGGCUUACUUCCAUGAACCGGUAAUUUGUAGAUAGAAACGUUCGAUAUGCAUUAGCCCCCAAGUGCCAAGUGUCUUUGCUUGGAAAACGCUUGGGACUUUAAAUUUGCAUAGUAACUGUUCAUACUAUAACCCAGAAUUUAUGCAGGCUGCUUGCAAGAAGUUUGAGGCUGGCAUCUCCGAUCUAAAGACUCGCCUGAGGACGCAAGAAACUGAGACCCGUAAGGCCAACGCCAAAUUUGUGUCCAGUAUUGCUGCUCAAGAUAAGCUGAAAAAGGACUUUGAAGCUGAACGGAAAACUUUGGGCCAAAGAGAAGGCUACUCUGGUGAGCCGGGCCGAACAGGCGGAGAAGGCUCUGACAGAGAAAACCACCGAGCUCUCCGGCUUAAAACGCCACGUGUCCUAGAUGGUUGCCGCGAUCUUCGGUAAGUCAUGCCACCGGCUCUCGUCCAGUUUAUAACCUUUAUAUCGCAUAACGCACCAUUGCCAGCGGCUUAUCUUACUUUGUUAAACAGGUCCCAGAAGCGCCAACCUCAACCAAAGUGUGCUGACCAAGCUGAAGGCCGUGUACACCCUGGUGGAGCAACUCUACACUGGGUCACAGCGCGCCUUGGCCGUGGUGGCCCUAUCCAAUGAGGUGCCGACUCACCUGGCGGAAGUUCUUCGCCGGCUUGCCGUUCUUCCUCAACAUGUCCAAGAGCUGCGAUGGGCCUCUGCAAGAGCCGGCGCCAUAGCUGCUCUGAGCCGGGCCAAGGCGUUCCUUCCAGAACUAGACCCGGCGGACAUUGCCCUUGGCUACCCUAGCUUGAAGGAAGACGGCACCCCCUUCGACCAAAAGGACUUUGCAGCCUGCGUGAAGAUUGUACGCCCGGUGGCCACUCUGAUUGGAAAUGACACGGAUCUGACCAAGUACCAGCCGGGUUACGAUGCGGAGAAUCAGAGGAUCCCCACUCCGCGUUAUGAAGCCAUCAGCUUAGUCCCGCCGACUCGUAAGCACACCUUUGCCCCGGAAAUUGACCCGGCCGGGUUAAUUGACGAGGAAGCUCGAUUUGAGGCUCUGAGCGGCAUUGACUGGAAAUCAUCAACUUUCCAGGUCUUGGGAACAGCCGAAGGAGCGGAGAGGGAUGAGCCGGAAGAUUCAACCCAGCAAGCAUCUUAACUCUGUAGGCGGCUUAUUAAAACAAUGCUUCACCCUUUUGGACUCAAUGAGUCUUGUAAUAGAAUAGGACCAACACUUUAACUUUGCCGUGCCAUCGUGCACGCGUUGAAUGCUGAAUUCCAUUGAAGUUGCUUCCUUAUAUUUCUCCGGGUCAUAGUUGAUCAGUCAUGUUCCUUAAGCUUAAAUAGUUGUCUUUAACUAUCCUGCAUAGAAAGACAAAUCACAAGUCUCUAGGCGGCUUACCGCACGGAGAAUCAUAGUCUUAUGCAUAUAACCCGGAAUAUGAAUCACAAAAGACUGGUCCUCAAUUAUGUCCUUGAUAUAACCGUAACAACACACUUAUCGGCCUGCAAGCACGCUUCCGGCUUAGAUAACCCGGGUAACAAGGUUGGUACCUCAAUUCCGGUUUACCAGUCUUAAUAACCCCGAUUGUGUUCGACUAAUACUGUAAAUCAAAAUUAAGCCGGCAAAGUGAGACCCGCCGUGCACACUUGAAAUAAUCAGAAGAACUCGCUAUAAAUCAGAAAACUUAGGGGCUUCCGGUUCGAAUACGACCAGAGACCCGUCCCAAAGGGGUUAUGCUCGGAUUCGAAUGCGAUCAUAUAGCCCCCAGUGGGUGUGGCGAUGCCAAUCAAGAGGGUACCAACAGCUAUGUUCUCUUUGGUUCGAAUACGACCCAUGUUUGAACAGGAAGCCCCCAAAUGACCUUAAGAAUUGUUUAACGACGCUGAUUCGAAUACGAUCCCCGUCGGUUCCCAAAGGGGGUUGAACUGUGAUUCAUAUAUGAUCAAAGAAAACUCCCCAAUGAGCUCGGCCCCUUGCCGAGCAAAUGGGUAUCGACAGCUAUGUUCUCUUUGGUUCGAAUACGACCUAUGUUUGAACAGGAAGCCCCCAAGUGACUACAUUGCGUAUGGCUAGAUUCGAAUACGAUCAUAAGCCGGAUCCCCCUUCAAGUUAUCAUGUGAUCUUGCAAUGAAAACAACACGUUCACCUUUGGAGAAGAAAAAAGGACAGAGGUCCUGCUUUAUUGCUUAUCAUAAUAUAUACAUGGCUUAGAGAAAUAUGUACAUUAUAACAGCCGGUGGCUCAAGUAUAAUAAGGCCGAAGCUGUGCUAUGUUCCAUGGCCGACGGGUCUCUUCCUCCGACUUACGUGAAUCUUUGUGCUCCCGAAUGUCAAUGAGGUAAUAUGACCCGUUGUGCAAAUUCUUGCUGACCACAAAGGGCCCUUCCCAAGGUGGGGAUAGCUUGUGCGCAUCUGUUUGAUCUUGGAUGAGCCGGAGCACCAGAUCGCCUUCCUGGAAGACCCGGGAUUUAACCCGGCGACUAUGAUAACGGCGCAGAUCUUGCUGGUAAAUCGCCGAACGAGCUGCUGCCACAUCACGCUGUUCGUCCAACAAGUCAAGAGCAUCUUGGCACGCCUGUUCAUUAUCCGCCUCCACAUAAGCCGCCACUCGAGGUGAGUCAUGACGGAUGUCACUAGGGAGAACUGCUUCCGCUCCAUAAACCAUGAAGAAAGGCGUGAAACCUGUAGACCUGUUAGGAGUAGUGUUGAUGCUCCACAACACGGAGGGUAACUCCUCCACCCAACAACCCGGCGUCCGUUGUAAAGGGACCAAAAGCCGGGGUUUGAUGCCUUUGAGAAUCUCCUGAUUAGCCCUCUCAGCCUGACCAUUGGAUUGAGGAUGAGCCACUGAUGAAACAUCAAGUCGAAUAUGCUCUCGUUGACAAAACUCCUCCAUGGCGCCUUUGGAUAGAUUGGUACCAUUGUCAGUUAAAAUGCUGUGUGGAAAGCCAAAACGAAAAAUCACCUUUUUCAUAAACUGAACUGCCGUGGCUGCAUCACACUUGCUAACUGGCUCCGCUUCAACCCACUUGGUAAAUUUGUCAACUGCCACCAAGAGGUGGGUCUUCUUAUCCUUGGACCUUUUAAAAGGCCCAACCAUAUCAAGCCCCCAGACCGCAAAGGGCCAAGUAAUUGGGAUCAUCCUCAGCUCCUGAGCCGGCACAUGAGCCCAUCAUGAGAACCUUUGGCAACCAUCACAUUUACUGACCAAGUCCUCCGCAUCAGCAUGAGCCGUCAGCCAAUAAAAACCAUGACGAAAAGCCUUGGCCACAAGAGACUUUGAGCCGGCGUGAUGGCCACAAUCCCCUUCAUGAAUCUCACGCAAGAUCUCUUGACCUUCCUCAGGGGAGACACAACGCUGGAACGCUCCCGUAACACUGCGGUGAUGCAACCCGCCAUUGAUAACAACCAUUGACUUAGACCGCGGGGUUAUUUGUCUGGCCGAAGUUUCAUCCUCAGGCAAAUCUCCCCGGGUCAUGUAAGCCAGAUAGGGCACUGUCCAGUCCGGUAUGAUGUGGAGAGCCGCCACCAGUCGUGCCUCCGGGUCAGGGACAACCAAGUCUUCCUCUGUAGGCAACUUAACAGAAGGGUUAUGCAGGACGUCCAGGAAAGUAUUAGGCGGCACCGGUUUUCGCUGAGAGCCCAGCCGGCUUAAAGCAUCAGCCGCCUCGUUCUUCCUGCGAUCGAUGUGCUCUACUUGUUAACCCUGAAAGUGCCCAGCAAUGGCAUCAACUUCGCGGCGAUAAGCCGCCAUGAGAGGGUCCUUGGAGUCCCACUUUCCUGACACUUGUUGAGCCACCAAGUCUGAGUCACCGAAGCACCUUACCCGGCUUAAGAUCAUCUCCCUACCAUCCGAAGACCGUGGAGCAAGGCCUUGUACUCUGCUGCAUUGUUGGUGCAAGGAAACAUCAAUUGUAGCACAUAAUGGAACUUGUCACCUUUAGGGGAUGCCAAUACGACUCCAGCCCCCGAACCCUCCAAUUGCCUGGACCCAUCGAAGUGAAUAGUCCAAUAUGUGUUAUCCGGCUUUUGUUCGGGCACUUGUAGCUCUGUCCAAUCAUUGAUGAAAUCCACCAAGGCCUGAGAUUUAACAGCAGUGCGUGGCACAUAUUUCAGACCAUGAGGUCCGAGCUCUAUAGCCCACUUAGCCACUCUCCCUGUGGCCUCUCUGUUUUGAAUGAUAUCUCCAAAGGGGGCAGAACUGACCACAGUGAUGGGGGAACCCUGGAAAUAAUGCUUAAGCUUCCGGCUUGCCAUGAACACACCAUAAACAAGCUUCUGCCAAUGCGGAUACCGCUGCUUGGACUCAAUGAGUACUUCGCUGACAUAAUAAACCGGCCGCUGAACCGGAUGCUCCUUACCCUCUUCCUUGCGCUCCACCACCACGGCCACACUGACGGCUCGUGUGUUAGUAGCCACAUACAACAAUAAAGGCUCCUUGUCAACCGGAGCAGCAAGGACUGGGGGCUCGGCCAGCUGUAUCUUCAAAUCCUCAAAAGCAGUAUUAGCUGCAUCAUUCCAGACAAAGUUAUCAGUUUUCUUCAUCAACUGAUAUAAUGGCAUGGCCUUCUCCCCCAAACGGCUUAUAAAAUGGCUUAAAGCAGCAAUACGACCAGCCAGGCACUGGACGUCGUUUAUACACGCCGGCUUAGCCAGGGAGGUGAUGGCCUUGAUCUUCUCCGGGUUAGCUUCAAUGCCUCUGUUAGAAACCAAGAAACCCAAGAGCUUGCCUGCAGGAACACCAAAAACACACUUGGCCGGGUUAAGCAUCAUCUUGUAGACCCGGAGAUUAUCAAAGGUUUCCCUCAGAUCAUCUAUCAAGGUUUCCUCCUUCCUAGAUUUAACCACAAUAUCAUCCACAUAAGCAUGAACAUUGCGCCCAAUCUGGUUAUGAAGACAGUUCUGCACGCAACGCUGAUAAGUCGCCUGUGCACUCUUGAGUCCAAAGGGCAUAGAUACAUAGCAGAAGGCUCCAAAGGGAGUGAUGAACGCCGUCUUCUCCUGGUCCUUAACUGCCAUUUUAAUCUGAUGAUAUCCAGAGUAAGCAUCCAAGAAACUUAGGCGCUCACAACCCGCCGUAGCAUCAAUGAUUUGAUCAAUACGGGGAAGGGCGAAAGGAUCAGCCGGACACGCCUUGUUCAAGUCCGUGUAGUCCACACACAUCCGCCAGGUGCCGUUCUUCUUGAGUACGAGCACCGGGUUAGCUAACCACUCUGGGUGAAAGACUUCAACAAUAAACCCGGCCGCCAAGAGCCGGGCCACCUCUUCACCAAUAGCUUUCCGCCUUUCUUCAUUAAACCGCCGAAGGAAUUGCCUGACCGGCUUAAAUUUCGGAUCAACAUUGAGAGUGUGCUCAGCGAGUUAUCUAGGUACACCUGGCAUGUCAGAAGGUUUCCAUGCAAAAAUGUCCCUAUUCUCACGAAUGAACUCGAUGAGCGCGCUUUCCUAUUUUGGAUCCAGAUUGGCACUGAUGCUAAACUGCUGAGAUGAAUCACCUGGAACGAAAUCAACAAGUUUGUCUCAUCAGCCGACUUAAAUUUCAUUGCCGGCUCAUGCUCCGUAGUUGGCUUUUUCAGAGAGGUCAUAUACGUUGGCUCAACAUUGUCCUUGUAGAAUUUUAACUCCUCUGUUGCACAAACAGAUUCUGCGUAAGCUGCAUCGCCUUCCUCACACUCCGAGGCCACCUUUCGGCUGCCAUGAACCGUAAUGGUCCCAUUGAGACCCGACAUCUUAAGUUGUAAAUACACGUAACACGGCCGUGCCAUGAACUUGGCGUAAGCCGGCCGCCCGAAUAUGGCAUGAUACGGGCUCCUUAUCUUGACCACCUCAAAGGUCAAUUUUUCCACCCUGUAGUUGUGCUCGUCUCCAAAGGCCACUUCCAACUCGAUCUUGCCGACUGGAUAAGCCAACUUACCAGGUACCACACCAUGGAAAAUAGUGUUUGACUGGCUGAGGUUCUUAUCAAUCAACCCCAUAUGACGGAAAGUCUCAUAAUAAAAGAUGUUGAUGCUGCUGCCUCCAUCCAUGAGCACCUUAGUGAACUUAUAUCCUCCCACCUGAGGAGCCACCACCAAGGCCAAGUGACCCGGAUUAUCCACCCGGGGAGGGUGAUCCUCCCUACUCCAUACUAUAGGCUGCUCGGACCACCGUAAAUAUCGUGGAACCGCCGGCUCAACAGCAUUUAAAGCCCUCUUAUGAAGCUUCUGAUCUCGCUUACACAGACUGGUGGUAAAUACAUGAUACUGUCAACCGCUAAGCUGCUUUGGAUUGGUCUGAUAACCCCCCUGCUGCUGUUGAUGACCCUGGCCAGACUGCUGAUUAAAGCCCCCUUGACCGUUCUGGGGAUUAGAAUUUGAGCCGCCGCCCGGGCCAUGAAAACCGCCAGCGCCUGAGCCACCGCUCGGGCCGUUGUUGCCAUUAAAGGCGUUGGAAUUCUUAAAGGCCUUCAUGAUCGCACAAUCCUUCCAUAAAUGAGUAGCUGGCUUCUCCCUAGAGCCGUGCCUUGGACAAGGUUCAUUCAACAGCUGCUCCAGCGUCGGGCCUGACCCGCCGGCUCGGGGAGGUGGCCUCCCCUUGCGUCGCUGGUUAUUACCCUGUGAGCUGGCGUUGGCCACGAACUCUAGGCUGCCGUCGGCCUUGCGCUUGCCACCUCCUUGGCUCCCCGGGUUAUGCUGAGGACCCUUGCCAUUGCCGUUCUUCUUUCCCUUCCCUGUCCUUUCAUCAUCUGAAGCGGGGUCCUUGGUACUAUCAGAAUCGGCGUACUUGACGAGAGCCGCCAUCAGCGUACCCAUGUCAUUGCAAUCGCGCUUAAGCCGCCCGAUUUUCAUCUUCAGGGGCAGAAAGCGACAAUUCUGUUCCAGCAUUAAAACUGCAGAGCCGGCAUCCAUCUUAUCAGAUGAAUGUAUUAUCUCCUUAACCCGGCGAACCCAUUGCGUCGUAGACUCGCCCUCCUGUUGCUUACAGUUAGUCAAAUCCACUAUUGACAUAGAUAGUCUACAGGUGUCUUUGAAGUUUUGUAUGAACCGGGCCUUCAGCUCAGCCCAAGAUCCAAUGGAAUUCGGCGGUAGCCCUUUCAACCAAGUGCGGGCAGUCCCAUCUAGCAUCAUGGUGAAGUACUUGGCCAUCGCCGCCUCACUGACCUCCAGCAGUUCCAUGGCCAUCUCGUAACUUUCGAUCCAGGCUGCGGGUUGUAAGUCAGCCGUGUAAUUAGGCACCUUCCUAGGGCCUUUGAAGUCCUUGGGUAGCCGCUCAUUGCGGAGAGCUGGCACUAAACAAGGGACACCUCCGGUCCUGGUAGGGAUACCCACGUCGACGGAGGUCGUCGCAUAAGCCGGGGGAGUCUGGUAAGCCGUCAACUGAGGCACCUGCUCCGCCUCUUGCCACGCUCUGUCUUGGUCUGCUGCGUGAAAGGCUCCGUUAUGAGCCGGGCCAUAGCCAGGGGGCGGCUCAUGGCGUCGGACAUUACUUGAGCCGGUCGCUGAGACCAUGUGUCUGCUAUAACUCGGGCUCCGGCCUGGACGAGGGGUCGAGUGGAUCCUGUCCCGGCUGUACGAGUACGCCUCUUGCUGUGCCAGCGCUGUCUGAAGGAGUUCCCUGACCCGGCGGGUUUCAAUAGCCGUCGGAGAGUCGCCGUCAAUUGGGAGGGCCGCCAGCCAUGCUGCUGCGGCGACCAUGUUCUCCAGCGGGUUAGCAUAAUGACCCGGUGGUAUCGGCACAUACUGAGGCGGGGCAGGGUUUGCCUGGGGAGGCCCCAUCACUUGUGGCUGAACAGGGGUCCCAGACCCAGGCACUAUGAUCCCUGGCGGGUUACUAGACCCUGCACCUGGCGUGUUGAAGAGGUUUCGAGGAUCAUAGACCGGAGGGAGUUGAGAUUGGGCCUUUUGAUGCCUCCUUCUCAUGACCUCGUUGGACGUGUUCUGAUCCAUCGUGAGCCGGAGGGACUGCGCCUGAAUCAACUGAGUUUGGGCGUCGAGGGCCGCCCUCUCCGCGGCCAUCCUGAUCCCUUCUGCUGCCAGAUCGUCCUUGGCUUUCACUAGAUCUAACUUUAACUGCGCCACCUCCGCGUCAUGCUGAGCUUGAUCCGCCGGGUCAACCGCGGCGGUCAACAGGGCCGUCAUCUUGUCCGUGAGAUCCAUCAACACCUGAGCCGGCGAGGGCACCGGGUUUCCUGCCCCAGCAGCAGGGUUCUGAACAGGCUGCGCACCGGCCAUGAAGAUUCCGACCCGGCUCGGCGGCUCAAACGGGUCCGGAAUACUGUCACCAUCGGAACAACCCAUGAGCCUACCAUCUUGAAGUUGAUACAACGAGUUUGACUCAUCUGUGGACGACUCGCCGUCAGAGCCGGCGGCCGUCUCAUCACCAGAUCCAGACCUAUGAGAGUGCCCUCCAUGGACACAUCCCACAAAAGCAUGCCUCAAGGCAGGCAGGGCCCGGGCGGGUCGUGCGCGCUGAGCCAUCUCGACGAGAUCGGCGCAGAGACCCGACUCAGGGCCCGGCUCACCAAUCUUGCCAAUGAAAACAUGAAUUCCGCCGAAGGGGACCCGGUAUCCGUACUCGAUUGAGCCGGCAUCGGGGCCCCAGUUUGCAUCGUCGAUGUAGAGCUUGCCGCGACGACUCUUGGUCAUCCGGCCCACAGCGUAUCCCUUGAGCCCCUCGAAGCUGCCCUUCAAGAACUCAAAUCCACCGUGCGCUGGCCCCACGGUGGGCGCCAACUGUCGUGGAAUUAUCACGACAGAUGUCCUCAAGCUAGGACUUAGUCGUGGAGCCAUCGCUGCUAGGAAGCUUGAAGGGGUUAAACGGGACAAGGAACACGAGGGAUUAUACUGGUUCGGCCCCUUACAGUGAAGGUAAAAGCCUACGUCCAGUUGAGGUGGUAUUGAUUAGGGUUUCGAUGACCAGGGAGCUUAACUGCUAUGCCUGGCUCUCGACGAGAUCUUUCUUCCCCCUAAACCACUAUCGGGUCGUCCCUUUAUAUAGAGAGGCUGACGCCCCACAGCUUCUGAGAGUCCCGGCCAGCUCAUAAGAGUGUCCGGCUCGGACUCUCAGCUAUUCUUGCCUUAUACUACAAGCUCUACCUUAAUGACAGUUGUAACUACGGGACUUAAGCCACCUCCGGGUCUUAAGCCCAUCUCUGGCCCACCGUCUUCAAGCUUGGCGCCGGGCUUCAGGUGAUGAUCCUUAUGUGUAAGCCGGCCCCGCCGGGCGGGUGACUCAAAGGGUUAUAUCCUCAACAACGGCGGUUGCCGGCGUUCUUAUCCACGGCCGCUGCGGGACCAGCCUCGAACGCCUAUAAAAGGAGACCCCGAGCCCCUCCGAGCGCUCAGGCGACCUCAGGCCUCCCCCUAGUGCUCCCCUAGCCGUGGAUUGACCGGAAGAGGCCAUCUCCCCCACCUCCGGCCGGUUCGGCCGCCGCUGCCUUCCGGUGCCAUUCGUCGCAACCAGACACUCCCCCGCCCAUCCAGCGCCACCACUCGCUUCCCCUUGUUCUUGCGGAGCUGCCUAGCGCCUCAGCCUCGAUCGGAAACCACCGGAGCCCAAAACCCCCUUUACUCCCGUAGCCCCUUCCGCCGCGGAGCUCGCCGCCGGCGACUCCUCCCACCACCGUCGACCCAACGACCACCGAGAGGACCGCCCCGGUCUGGCAGGUCCAUCCCCGCCCUCGGAUGCCCAUGGGGAGCUGCCGUUCGUCGACGGCGAUCGCCGGAGUCCCGCCCCGUUCGGGCAGAGGAAGAGGAGGGAGAGGGGGGAAUAGUCAAACCUGACCAGUGGGCCCCCCUGGACCCACUGUCAGCGACCCAGCCCCGCCGAUGCAUGUUUUAAGUGGAGACGUGUUUCGCAAAAUACGUUUUCGCUGAACAGAAAGCGUAAGCUCCUCUGAAACAUUUUCUUUCUCUAUUUUAUUUAAAACAGAACUUUGACUGGCUAUAUCUUUUAAAAUAAAACUCCAAAUGAGUUGAUUCUUUUUCCUACCUCUCUCAAAUUUCAUCUAGUUUAUUUUAAGAUUUAUUUCAAAAAUAUUUGAGACAACUUUUUGUACUGUUUUUGAAAUAUUUGUUAUUUGAAUAUUUUUCAAAAUAGGAAAUGGAGAGAGAAGAAAACUUUCAAAAAGUGCACCCCCUUGCAUACUCUUGAAGGCAAGCAUUCUGAACUCUGGCAUAAUAUUUUUGUGUGGUGUUUUGAUACGGUUACAACACCACUUUGACUUGGAGCAUACGUUAUUUUUAUGUAACGAUAAAGUCACACGCAUGAGUGCAUAUUGGAGAUGCUUUACUGUUAGAAUGGAUAUGCGGGUAAUAGUGAUCAUCCUCGCGAGCUUUUCAUGCAUACCAGCAGGAAGCCGGGAGAGUCGUGGUCUUGGGUAGACACAAGCUUGUCCCUAGUUCCUCGUCGAGACGAGUGUGUCCGGUAUGGCAUGAUGAGGUUUGAUGAGCGGUGAUUCUGUCUGUCAAUGGGAUAUAUAUUGGUUAUGCUAAUCAUUCGGAGAAUACUUGGAUCUCCUGAGUCGGCCGUAGGUCGAGUCUUGAUUAGUAACUUCCCCUACUUGUUUUGUACUACCACUUGUCCCUGCCGCAGGUAGGGUAUGGUUCAGUAAGUUGUCAACCCCUUACCAAAGCACACACCGUACAGAGAGGCCAUGGUGGAAGAUACCGGAUGCAUCCGGUAGGCAUGCCACCUGGUCCGGGGGCAUGGGUGUUUCCGGUUGGGACCGAGAGGGGGGCACCCCUUAGAGCGCGCGAUAUAAAUUUGAUCCCAUGCUACGUCGAGGUUGUAGCCUCCCCACUUAGAGUUUUGCUUGACAGGUGUCGUGGGUGAUUCCAGACACCGGUAAGUUAAGCUGGUGUGUGCAGGUCAGGCGUGUUUUCAAUUAAAAGGCCGUAGGCGGAAUUAGUCCCGAUGGAGUAAAUAAAUCCGUUACUCGUGGGUAAAGAGUACACGCUCUGCAGAGGUCAUAUCUAUUUGGAUAGCCAUGUUCAUGGGUAAGGACUUCAGUCUGAGAUGGGUCUAGUGACGGUUUUCGGAUGGAGAAACGGCUAGACUAGAACUUUGUUUAUGACCUGUGACGUAUGAGGAUUAUGUUUAUUAUUAUGGACUAACCAUUUACAUUAUUUGAAUUAUUGAGUAUCCCUGGGAUGGUUCUACCUCCUGGAUAUUCACUGUGAUUAUUCUUAUAUAAGCCCGUUAUGUGGUGUCGCUCAGACGCCCGACUGCGGCAUGCUUGUUAUUUAAUUUUUCUUUAUAAGCCCUUUAUGUGGUGUCGCUCAGGCGCCCGACUGCGGCAUGCUUGUUAUUUAAUUAUUCUUUAUAAGCCCUUUAUGUGGUGUCGCUCAGACGCCCGAUUGCGGCAUGCUUGUUAUUUAAUUAUCCUUUAUAAGCCCUUUAUGUGGUGUCGCUCAGACGCCCGACUGUGGCAUUAUUAAUUUAUUUGUACCCUUUCGAGGAGUCAUAUCAGAUACUCGAUGAGUGCAUUCUAUUACUACCCCGUAUUGCAUGUUCAUAUUUUUCCCGCAUGCGUGCAUCACGGAUUUCGCUUAUUUCGUGGCAGACGUUAUCAUCAUAAAAUAUUUCGGAGCAUGAUUACCCCUUGUUAUAUUAUACCCGUGUUCUUGAUGUUUGCGAGUACAUUCAAACGUACUCACUGGCUUGUCGCUGGCUAUUGUCUUGUCCAGAUUCCUUGCAUGGAGAAGAGCGUUACGACGACAACCCCGGAACCCAUGUAAAGGUGAUAGCAGCCUCGCGAAGAUAGGAGUUAUCCUGGUCUGCUGUUCUUGUGGGAAAUGGAGUCCCAUAGACGCAGAUGUACCGCAAACCGCUUCCGCCAUCAACCACUAGAAACCAAGUGUUGUACUCAUAGGCCACAAUGGUCUUGUACUACAUAUUUUUUACUUUGCUUGGAAUUCUUGUAUCAAGUUGGUACCUCAUCAGCUAACAGUAAUCCUGGGGCUGGUGAGCACAAAGGCCAUUUUUUGGGAAAUUAAUAUCCCGAAAAUCCGGUCCUGACAUGUACGAGGGUUAACUGGUUCUGGUGUGGUGUGGUUCGGCAGUUGUUGGAGAAGAACAGGAGGUGUGGAGGGGUGGAGGGAUGGCCUGGCCAACGGUGAAGUAGGGCUUCACAGCGAAGUGUGCUAAGCAGAGCUGCUAUCAGCAGGAGGCGGGAGGAGGUGGUCCCGGCGGCGCUGGAGGAAUAAGAUGAGAGAUUGAAGAUGGAUGCUAGUCGUUGGAUGUAAAUCCAACGGCUGUCGAUGUCAAAAUCAUUUGUUGACUAAGUUGACAUUGACUUCCAUUGGCUUCGGCCUAUUGGCCCACAUUUCAGCCUCCAAAAAUGUGGCACGUAUUCAACCCAUUUUUUAAGAAUUUAAAGUCUUUUUUUUGCGGGGUAGAAUUUACAGUCCAUUUGAUCUCUAUUUUUUAAUUACAAUCCAUUAGCUGGGCUGGGUGAACAAAUAAUGUAGCGUCCAUGCGGCCCAUUUAUGUUUUUCCUAAAAAAUUACAGGCCAUUUGCACUUUCUCGAAAUACACGAUUUUGCUAGGCUGAUUCUAAUUAUAAUGUUGGGGUGGGCGCAUCAAUGUUAUCAAAAAAAACAUGGGCUGAGCAUUUUGUUAUAUAUAUAUAUUUAAAUAAUAAGUGAUUUAUUAUUACAUUGGUCCUUAAAUCUUACCAAGAUUUUGUACACAAUCACCAGGAUUUUCCUUGCCAAAAAAUUCUAGGAUUUUAUUGUUAAGAAAUUAUCUAUACUACUAUAUAGUGUAUCAGUUUCGAACUAGACCUAGAGCAUCAAUCAUAGCCGUUGGUCACCUAAAUCCAAUGGCUGGGAUCAUCAGGAUUUGUCGGCGUCCUGGGAACGGGGGUCCCCAGACUUGCCUGCCUGCGGCCCACGGCGUGGCUAAGCUAGUAGGCCGUACGGCCCAUCUUCACCGACAAGGCAUCCAAGACCCUCGCGAGGAGGACGACGCAAGACCUCUUCAGGAGUGGCCUAGUCAGGCAGGCUCGCGAGGAGCGGAGAUAUCAAGGCGGGCCGAACCUCACGACGCUCUCGUGACGUAAGCCAUCACGAUCGGCGCUAGGCGGGCGCCAGCGCGCGCAGCGUCCUUGUUUCCUCUUUGGUGCUAAGGAAGCAGGUGCAGGCGAGGAGCACCGAGGCAUCAGACAAAGGUUGCUAUAUCAGAGCAACGGGACCAAGACCAGGACGGCGGCAAGACAGAGGUCAUCGUGGAGCCCAAGACGGAGUCACCACUAGAGCCUUUUGCAGGCGAAGACCACUUUUGUCAGGAUAGCUUGUACUAUCUGUCCCCCUUCAAAUUUGCCCGCCGUUGUUGGCUCCCUUCCCGUUCAAUAUUUGGGAAGAGGACCAAGGCCUAUAUAAGUAGAACUAGCCACCACAGUAGGGGCAUCGAGCAGUUCAUCCAGAUAUCACCCGCUAAGUCACCAAGCACAAGAACACCUCAACCUCAGGAGGCUGUUCUUCACUCUGAACUAUUCAUCAGCCCAAGAGGCAAUCCACCACCCCCACACUGGAGUAGGGUAUUACACCACAACGGUGGCCCGAACCAGUAUAAAUUCCGUGUCUCUUUGCGUUGUGAGUUCAUCGAGUUCGUCCGCAAGAUCUUAGCGAGCUAGGGCGUAGAUCGGUAGGAGGGAAAGACUUCGCGCGCACCCCAGUGUUCGAACCUUAAGGGUUUGCCGGAACCCCACAUCCGACAUUUGGCGCGCCAGGUAGGGGUGUGCCGGAGCUCCUCUCCACCAACCUGCGCCCCGUUCCACUACACUUCGCUCCCAUGGCGGGUGCCCCGCCACCCACCUCUGCGGCCGACAUCGACAGCGGGGCGUCAGGGUAUCGAGCCCUGGCCCCCGCCCUGCGGCGGGUGCGGUGGCCGACCAAGUUCAAGCCAGAGAUGCCGCCGCGUUACGACGACGCGGCAGACCCGACGCCGUUCCUGCUGGCGUACGAGGACGCUGUCCUCGAAGCCGGAGGUGACGACAAGAUCAUGGCCAACUGGUUCCCCAUGGCCCUCGCAGGCGAGCCACGCGCCUGGCUGCUCAACCUCCCGGGAUCCAUGGUGGCCUCCUGGGGGAACUCUGCGACCUCUUCGCCGCUCGCUACGCGGUGCCGGCACACCACGCAGUCGCGGCCCUGCUGGGCGGCUCUCAAGCACCACCUUCAGAACGCCACGUCAAGCCGUUCCUCCGUUAGAUCAGAGCCACAUCCAAGCGCCCGGGGGCUCCGCCGGGUUGGGCCGCGCCAGAGGCCGACCUCACCUUCGGGUCAGAAGACCACCCUGACUCCACCGCCGGCUCCGGAAUGCUCCCGAUGCUCUGCACGCCCACCAUCUGCAACGUGGCCGUUACCAAGACCCUCAUCGACGGCGGUGCUGGCCUCAACUUGCUCCCCGUAGAAGCCUUCAGCCUUCUUCACGUGCCGCUUGAGCGGCUCGGCCUCAGCAAGCCCUUCUCGGGAGUGGGUGGUGGAGCUGCUCACUCUCUGGGGAAGAUCCGCCUCCCUGUCACCUUCGGCACACGCGACAACUACCGCACCGAGCUGGUGGACUUCGACAUCGCCCGCAUCGGUCUCCCGUACAACGCCAUCCUUGGGUACCCGGCUCUCGCUCAGUUCAUGACGGCGACUCACCCGGCUUACAACCUCAUGAAGAUGCCAGGAAGCAAGGGCGUCCUCACCAUCAAGGGGGACACUAAGGAGGCCGUGACGGCACUCAGGCUCGCCUUCAAGACCGCAGCAGCAGCACAGCCCGCCGGCGCCGGUACCCCCGAGGCCAAGGAGGCCGCGCCUACCAAGAAGAAGCAGCUAUUCACCCAAGACAAGGCGGAAACCAAGCAGGUGCCGGUCGAUGAGGACGGGUCUUCAGGAUCCACCUUUACCAUCGGAGCCGGCCUCGACCCGGAACAAGAAAAAGCCUUGGUGAGGUUCUUGCACGCGAACAAGGAGAUCUUUGCGUGGGAGCCUAACCAGCUGGUAGGGGUUCCGAGGGAGGUGAUCCAGCAUCAUCUAAAGGUGUGCCCCAAUAUACGCCCCGUGAAGCAGCAAGCAAGACAGCAGUCCACUGAAAAGCAGGCCUUCAUCGUCCAAGAGACUCGCAAGCUGGAGGCGGCGGGUGCCAUCCGAGAAGUUUGAUAUCCCGAAUGGCUGGCGAACCCCGUCAUAGUGCCGAAGAAAGGCGGAAAGGAACGGAUGUGCGUCGACUUCACCAACCUCAACAAAGCCUGCCCCCAAGAUCCAUUCCCACUCCCGCGCAUCGACCAGAUUGUCGACUCCACCGCCGAGUGUGACUUGUUGUGCUUCCUGGACGCGUUCUCAGGGUAUCAUCAGAUCAAGAUGGCGGUGGAAGAUGUGGAGAAGACAACCUUCCUGACCCCAUGUGGGGUGUACUGCUACACCUGCAUGCCCUUCGGGCUGCGCAACACGGGCGCGACCUUUCAGCGGUUGAUGCACAUCGCCCUGGGGCGGCAGCUCGGGAGAAACACAGAGGCCUACGUCGAUGACAUAGUGGUAAAGUCUCGCGAGGCGAGGACAUUGAUUCAAGACUUGGAGGAGACCUUCGAGAGCCUGCGCCAAGUGAACUGGAGGCUUAACCCGGAGAAGUGCGUGUUCGGCGUCCCCUCCGGAAGCUACUGGGUUUCCUCGUAUCCCACAGAGGGAUCGAGGCGAACCCAGAGAAGAUCAAGGCCAUCGAGGACAUGAGCCCACCACAGACCCUCAAAGAGAUGCAGAAACUAGCGGGGCGGGUAACUGCGUUAGGGCGUUUCAUCUCCAAACUGGGAGAGCGCGCCUUGCCCUUCUUCAAGCUCAUGAAGAAGAAGGGCUCGUACGAGUGGACCCCGGAGGCCGACCAGGCCUUCCAAGACCUCAAGAAGUACCUUACCAGUCCCCCGGUGAUGGUGGCACCACGGCCUCUCGAGCCUCUGGUACUCUACCUUGCCGCCACCCCGUACUCCGCCAGCGCGGCGCUGGUGGCGGUUUGGGAGGAGCGCCAAGCCAAGGGGGCGCCGCGCCAAGCCGGAGCUGAAGUGGCGAGGGUUCAGGAAGGCGCAGCAAAGGCAUCAGCGGUGGAAGAUCAAGCUCAGUAGGACAACAUCACAGAAGCUCCUGAGGACAGUCAAGUCUCAGGAACCCCUCCACCUUAGGACAUGCCCCGAUCUCCGCAGGGCCCUAGCCUUGAUAGUGUGCCUACCCUCGUCGAGCACCCGGUGUACUUCGUCAGCACCAUACCGCGGGACGCGAGGGCACGCUACCCCAUGCCCCAGAAACUACUGCUCGCACUCCUGGUGGCCUCACGGAAGCUGCGACACUACUUCCAGGGACACCCCAUCAAGGUCGUCUCAGCCUACCCAUUGGAGAGGGUACUCAGGAGCCCUAACUCAGCCAGAAGGGUCACCGAGUGGAACAUCGAGUUGCAAGCAUUCCAGUUGGAGUUCAGCACCACCAGGGUCAUCAAGGGGGCUGCGCUCGCUGACUUUGUGGCAGAAUGGACGGAUGCCCCAACACUUGAGGAAGGAGAAGACCGGUCCACCUCCCCAGGAAGUGAGGCUCCAGACGGCUGGGUCAUGUAUUUCGAUGGCGCCUUCGCGCACCAGGGCGCGGGGGCUGGAGCCGUGCUCAUCUCGCCCACUCAGGACAAGAUCUACUACGCCGUGCAGCUCUGCUUUUAGCACGGCGAGAAGGUCUCCAACAAUAUCGCAGAAUACGAAGGCCUCAUAGCUGGCCUGAAGGCUGCGGCGGCUCUAGGGGUGAAGCGCCUCACUGUUAGAGAUGACUCGCAACUCCUCGUCAACUUCUCCAACAAGGCGUACGAGCCAAAGGACGAGCAUAUGGAGGCCUACCUGGCAGAGGUGCGCAAGAUGGAGAAGCAAUUCUCGGGCCUGGAGCUGCAGCACGUGCCCCGGGGCACCAACAAGGAAGCCGACGACAUCGCCAGGAGGGCAUCCAAGCGGCAGCCGCAGGAGCCCGGUGUCUUUGAGGAGCGGUUCUUCAAGCCAUCAGCUACGCCUCCUCUUUCAAGCAUGACUCAGCCUCGGGAGGAGCUCCCAUAGCCUCCGGCCACGGGAGCCCUAGCCCGUGGCCCAACCUCAGGAGCUCGGCUGCUCUUGGCGCUCGAGCCCCAGGAGUAAUGCUGGACCAAGGAAUUCAAGGAAUACCUGACACACCGGACGCUGCCGGAGAAGGAAGAGGACGCGGAGCGCGUGGCCCGGCAAGCCACGGCAUAUUGUAUCCAAGACGGUGAGUUAUAGAGGAAACGACCGAACGAUGUCACGCUGCGCUGCAUCUCCAGCGACCAAGGAAGGGAGUUGCUAAUUGACAUACACGGCAGGGACUGCGGACACCACUCAUCGUCACGGACCCUCGUCGGCAAGGUGUUGCGCAAUGGAUUCUACUGGCCUACAGCACUCAACGACGCAGCCGAGCUGGUGAAGUCCUGCGAAGCUUGCCAAUUCCAUGCCAAGAAAAUCCAUCAGCCUGCUCAGGGCCUCCAAACCAUCCCGCUCACAUGGCGGUUCGCGGUCUGGGGGUUGGACAUCCUAGGCCCGUUCCCUCGGGCGCCAGGGGGCUACCGCUAUCUCUAUGUCGCCAUCGACAAGUUCACCAAGUGGGCGGAAGUAGAAGCCGUCCGUACCAUCCCAGCCGGCUCUGCUGUCAAGUUCAUCAAGGGCCUCGUGAGCCGCUUCGGGGUCCCCAACUGCAUCAUCACAGAUAACGGCUCGCAGUUUACUAGCAACCUUUUCAAAACCUAAUGUGCACCUUGGAACGCAGAUCUGCUACGCUUCGGCAGCGCACCCCAUGAGCAAUGGCCAUGCCGAAUGUGCCAACGCGGAGGUCCUGAGGGGCCUCAAGACCAGGACCUUCAAGAAGAAGCUGGAGGCCUACGGCAGGGGCUGGCACGAUGAGCUCCAGUCCGUGUUGUGGUCCAUCCGCACCACCGCCAGCAAGCCAAUGGGCGAGACUCCAUUCUUCCUCGUCUACGGAGCUGAAGCAGUCCUCCCUCAUGAGGUCAAGCAUCGCUCCGCACAGGUCCUGGCGUUCGACGAAAUGCAGCAGGACGCCACGCGGGGGAUGGAUCUCGUGCUGGGGGAGGAACGUCGCCGCGAAGCUGCGUUAAGGGUGGCAAGGUACCAACAAGCACUGCGGCGAUACCACUGCCGCAACGUCCGCUCCAGGACGCUCGAGGUGGGCGACCUCAUCCAGAGGCGGGUCCUCCCCAGGGAAGGGCUGCAUAAGCUUUCACCAAUGUGGGAGGGCCCGUUCAAGGUCGUCCACAUCUCCAGGCCUGGUGCCGUGCGCCUGGAGACACAAGACGGGGUACCUAUCCAAAACGCCUGGAACAUCCAGCACCUCCGGAAGUUCUAUCCAUGAAGCAAGGCCCAGAGCCUGUGAAGAAAGGCCAAGAGCCUGUGAAGAAGGCCCAGAGCCUGUGAAGAAGGCCUAGAGCCUGUGAAGAAGGCCCGGUGCCUGUGAAGUAUCGCCGCCCGUGACACUCUCAAGUAAUAAUGAGUUGGGGCUAUACAUGCCCCGGAGUCUCAGGAGCACCGGCCUCAGGCCCUGGGGCUCCCGCCCACGCCUAGUGGCAGCACUUAGCUCCGCACUGGUGAGAAGACAUGAAGACUAGAUUAGGUGCCGGACGCGGCUUUUCAUUUGCUUUCCGUAGUUGGCUCGCCUUUCCAUAACCGGAGUUUGCUUUUGGUGUUCCUUGCUGAUUUGAUUCCCUCGCCUCUUACCGCUUUUUCCGGCUCUAGUUUGCUCGUGUUCUCUCUCUCGCAUACCUUGCGAGGGGGCUAGGCAGGUGCCCUCAUGAGCAUUUUUCUCUUCUCUGCCUUCUCGCGAGCCACCCUCGUUCGAGCCCAAAAGCUGGCGCACCUCUCCUAGUCCGUGCCCCAUGGGUACCGCGAUACAAAGCGCCAGGUCAGGGCCAGGGUGGACGACAAGUCCUUUAACGCACUUCCUAACGAGUUUGUGCAGUUCCUGAGCGAAUGCAGGCCACCAAGGCAAGAUGUUCACGAGGAAAUAAGCGCUUCGUAAGGAAGAAGGGCAUCCUGAACGCACCAGGUUAAGUUAUCUUUGCGCAAAAUAACAACACGGCACGGGAAUAACAAGCAUAGUACCAAGGAACCACAGUUCGAUACACGCCCCUCUGGGCCCAUACUGGUUUCACUUUUUGAUGCAGGAAAAAAGAGCAAAACAAAGCGGCGUUGCGGCGAUCCGCGGUGGCAGGGCCCUAGCGACGCCCCGAGCCUAGCCAGAUCCCUCCUCGCACUUCACGGAGGCGCGGCGACGAGAUGACCCACUGCCGCCUUCGAAGCGGGCGCGGCGGCUGGUCGUAGCCACCACUGCUGGAGCUAUCGCUGGAGGAAGAGCCACCGUAGCUGGAGGAGACACGGUCGCCGCCGAAGGCAGGCUCGCCUUCGUCCUCGCCGCGACCGUCACCAAGGCCGAGCACCUCCUCAUCGUCGUUCGUCUCAGGGCAGCACCCGGCGCGGCGACCAUCUUCCCCAAACACCCUCACGUAGAGGGUCGAUCCACCAUCGUACUUGAAGUGGAGAGUGCACCGCCUGCCCAGGCCGUGCGCGCGGGCAAACGUCUGCCAGCCGCGGGCCAGGGCUAUGUUGCGUGCGGCGGAAGUCUCGACCGCGACCCAAGAGGCCUUGCUGCAGCAACCAUCCGCCUGCAACCAGAGUCCGCCUGGACCAGGGGCCGACAGUCCGUCGACGAAGAAGCGCGGAAGCUGGAGCCAGUUGCCGGCCGGGUUCUCCGAGUAGACGACGAACUCCGGCGACACCUCCGCUGAAUGGAAGCGCGGACGAGGAGGCUGCGCCACCAUAGCACGCCUCCCCUCGUUAACUGGAUCGCCAUGGCUAGGCGACCGCCUCCGCGUGUCGCGGUGCCGCCUCAACAGUGGGCCACGGCGGGGGACGCGGCGUGCUUGCGCGGACGGCCGCACCCGCUCUUGGGCGUCGGGGAGCCGGGUCCCUCGCGAGGGGCCUUUCCCUUCUCGGCGGCGGAGAACUUCCUUCAUGGCACCAUUGGUGGCACUGCAAGCAAUGGAGCGAGGAAGAAGAAGCAAGCAAGCAAGGAAGAGACGGGCGACGGGGGCUCCGCCCCCUCCCCAUUUAUAGCAGGAGAAGGCCAACCGGCGCCUCCCACGAUCGCAGGUAAUGAUAGUUUUCCUUGCAUGUCACAGGGACUUGUCAAGUCGAGCAGUUGCCGAGGCAGCGUGGGGAAGCGGAGACGCCCACGUCCAAUCAACUGCCACGCGUCAACCGAGGCCACAGGCUUUUGGGGCUCGCGGUGCUCUGUACUUGACCCUUGGCUUCUCCGUGAAGCCAAGCCCGAGCACACCUUGGGCCCAGGGGCUACUGUCGGCGUCCUGGGAACGGGGGUCCCCAGACUUGCCUGCCUACGGCCCAUGGUGUGGCUAAGCUGGCAGGCUGUACGGCCCAUCUUCACCGACAAGGCAUCCACGACCCUCGCGAGGGGCCAAGCCUCGCGAGGAGGACGACGCAAGACCUCUUUAGGAGUGGCCUAGUCAGGUAGGCUCGCGAGGAGCGGAGAUAUCAAGGUGGGGUGAACCUCACGAGGCUCUCGUGACGUAAGCCAUGACGAUCGGUGCCAGGCGGGCGUCAGCGCGCGCAUCGUCCUUGUUUCCUCUUUGGUGCUAAGGAAGCAGGCGUAGGCGAGGAGCACCGAGGCAUCAGGCAAAGGUCGCUAUAUCGAUGCAACGAGACCAAGACCAGGAGGACGGCAAGACGGAGGUCAUCGCGGAGCCCAAGACGGCGUCACCACCAGAGCCUUUUGCAGGCGAAGACCACUUUUGUCAGGAUAGCUUGUACUAGCUGUCCCCCUUCAAAUUUUCCCGCCGUUGUUGGCUCCCUUCCCGCUCAAAAUUUGGGAAGAGGACCAGGGCCAAUAUAAGUAGAACUAGCCACCACAGUAGGGGCAUCGAGCAGUUCAUCCAGCUCUCACCCGCUAAGUCACCAAGCACAAGAACACCUCAACCUCAGGAGACCGUUCUUCACUCUGUACUGUUCAUCAUCAGCCCUAGAGGCAAUCCACCACCACCACCACACUGGAGUAGGGUAUUACACUACAACGGUGGCCCGAACCAGUAUAAAUUCCGUGUCUCUUUGCGUUGUGAGUUCGUCAAGUUCGUCCGCAAGAUCUUAGCAAGCUAGGGCGUAGAUCGGUAGGAGGGAAAGACUUCGCGUGAACCUCAGUGUUCGAACCUUAAGGGUUUGCCGGAACCCCACAUCCGACAGGAUUCGCCAUGAACAGUAGACUGAUACUGCCUCUACUGUGUUCUGGAACAAUCACGUGACCUUUCAAGAACAAAAGAAGCCCAUGUUCCCUGCCUCAUGGGCCGUAUUGCCGCUUGAGUACAUGGCAGUUUGAGCCCAAACGAGAUUGUUUGGGAGUAAAACAGGGAGCAAAAAGUAAGGUGCAGUCUUUGUAGAAAUGCACAUACAGUUUCUCGUAUGAAUAAUAAUCCCUACCUUUAUAAUACUUAUCAAUCAUAAUUAAUUAAUAUGUACAUUCGCUCAUUUAUAUAUUUUCUUUUUGCCUUUUAUCUAUCAGCAAAUCUAUGGCUUAUUCUCUUUUACCAAAAUCACUCUCUUCAACUAAGACGUGCCUUGCACGUGUAUACAUACUAGUUUUUAUAAGUUAACAAGAUGUGGGAUAUUGUUUUCUUACAUAUGUAAGUAUCUGUUAAAUAUAUGAUGACAAUAAAAAUAAUAUAUAAUAACAUAUAAAAUAAUUUAAAUAUAUAUAAUAUAGUUAGAAGGGAAACAUAAGUUGGACCAGGCGUUCCUAUUCUUAUAUAGAAAAAUAGAACAGACCUCUGCGUUUUCUUCAAAAAAAUACCUAAAUUGGGCUGCCGAUGUUUCAGGAAAAAUAAAACCUCGGAUGGGAGGUCCAUAGGCCGGUCGAUACAUGACGGCCCUCAAGAAAAUACAAACAGCCUUAUGGACCUCCCAUCCGAGGUCGUGGGCUGCACAUGUUAAAAAAGAAAGCCUAGACGGGGCAGCUGUUCCGCCAGGGUUCGAUUCCACCUAUGCAGAGAAAAUAUCUCCAAAUUUUUUGCCUCCGCCUUUAUUGACAUGUGGGUCCCAAUUGUCAUCUACGCACACCACGUCCUACACUUGUCAAAACUUCGUCCCUCGUUUUCUCUGUUUUUCGCACACUCGACAUUGUGUGGGCAUUUUGAAAAUAGCAUAUCUUUUUGACUGUGCAUCAUAUGAAGAUGUGCUAUGCAUGAAUGUUGAUCAACAUGAUGUUAACUGGCUGGUAGUUCCAGUUUCCACCAUGAAUAAAACUUCCAGCAUGAUGUUAACACUGUUUGAAAAGGCCGUGUUAAUAUAAAUGAUAUGCCUCUGAAAGUUGCAGUUUCUUAUCUGAAACUGAACUUGGAGUUUCUUAUCUGAAACUGAAACUUGCAGUUUCUUCUCUGAGAAUCACAUUGUUUGCACUUUUAUACUCCUAUGAAACUACAUUUUUUUAAGUGCUAAAAAUAGAUCUCUAGAAUUCAUAAAAUACUUCAGCUGUCAAUACUGCAAAUCUGAAAUUCAAAAGACAUUCAUAUCUGAAAGUACUCUCAAAAUACACAACACAAAACACAAUUCACAACAUGCAAAUACUAACAACCCUAAGCUCCUCCUGACAAUUCACAACCUGCCCGACUAUUGGUCUGGGGGGGCAAAUCCCUCCUAUUCCUUGGCGGCAGACAGCCGCCCCGUGAGACGAUGUGAACGGCAAGGGAGAGGAUGACGGGGAAGCGUCAUCGGCCAACUGUUUUUCUCCUCUUGUAGUUGGGUUCGGUCCACGAGGACUCCAGCGGCUCGCUCUGGCAUGUCACCCUCACAAACGGCACCCUGUAGAUGCUCAAUCCUUCAAUCUCUGGUGGAUGCUCCAUCUGGGAUCGAUACUCCCACCACCACUCCCUCACGAUCGGAUUCGGUGAAUCUGUUUGCUCCAUGGCCCAGAGGAGCAGGUCUGUGUACUCCCAUGCGACUCCCUCCGGGAGUAUCGCCGCCUUUUCGCUCUGUUGCAGAUAUUUGGCCAUGGAUGUCGCCAUCACCGCUAGUUGGUCCUUGUUGUCAAACCAAGACUGUAUCUCCAACAUCCUAGCUAGCUUCACAGGGUCGCCGUCUGUGAUCCUCACGUAUCGGUUGUACUUCUCCAUCGAUCUUCUUCUCCACAGCACCUUCACUCGCCGGGGGUGGUUUUUGAAUGGAAGAGGAGAGGGGCAGCGCUGGUUUUGGUUUAGAACGGGAGAGGAGCGACACUGGUUUUGGAUUGGAACAGGAGAGGAGGGGUGUUUGUUUUGAAAUGGAAGAGGAGAGGAGCGGUGCUGGAUUUAGAUUGGAAUAGGAGAGGAGCGGCGGUGGUUUAAGAGGAGAAGAGCGGAAGACCGGCGCUGGUCUUGGAAGUAUUUUUUUUGUUUUCCGUAUUUUUGGUCAAAGUUUGACCAUGUACUCUAUUUGACAAGAAAAAUGUGAAUGCAUGUCACCAAAAUUGUAUCGUUUGGUUCGUAUCUGAAUGUACUUUCCAAUUAUAUUAUUUUUGCAACGUAUAGCAUAUAUUUUAUUUGCAAAAAUCAUGGUCAAUUAUGACCCAGAAUAAAAGGGAGACUAGUUAAUGUGGGGUCACUUUCUUAAUUGAAGGGUAAAUUGAUUUUGAUUUUGAUCCCGUCACAGUGCGCCGGCCCUCUCGUCCAAUCCUAAAUCGCUGCCGCACGCUCCUCUCCCUCUUCUCCAUUGCAAAACCACCUCCUCUCCUCUCCAUCAUCUCCAUUCCAAAACCACCGUCUCACCUAUCCCUCUUCUCCAUUGCAAAACCACCUCCUCUCUCCUCGGACGAGGAUCCCCAGACGUAGCCCAUCCUGCCAUUGAGACACUGACACAUGGGUCCCACCAAGCGCGGGGCCACCUGUUAGUGACCGAAAGGCAGGGGAACCUCUCCUCUCCAUCAUCUCCAUUCCAAAACCACCGUCUCGCCUCUCCCUCUUCUCUAUUGCAAGACCAUCGUCUCUCCUCCCAUCUUCCAAAGCUAGCACCAGACCACUCAGAAGGACAUCUAUGGAGGGGAUGCAGUAGCAAAUCUGGCAGAUCGCCGGCGACGACCAGGCAAAGUUAGCCAGGUUGAAGGAGAUCCUUACUUGGUUUGACAAUGAGUGGGAGAUUUCGAGGACGGUGAGGGCCAUGUGGCAAUGUAUGCGAAAGAGCGAGACGACGCCGAUGAGGGCGGCGAUGUACUCCUCGGCUGCAGUCACGCCGCAGUCCUUCGAGUUCAUCGAGUAUCUCCUCUGGGCGAUGGAGCAGAUAGAUUUGCUUGAGGCGAAAGUCAGGCGGAGGUGGUGGGCGUACAGGUCAAAAGUCGAGCACCCAGAGGAUAACGAAUCGAUCGAGUACGGUGUGCCGUUCGUGAGGGUGCAGAGAAAGCCGGAGCCACAGGAGUAUUCUUUCUCCCACCUCAAGAGGAGGCCGGAUGGCGCGACGUCGCUUCCCCGCCGUUCUCCAUGGUUCCCUUGACGCUCGCCACAUUUCAACGGUGUCGGUAGGGUUUAAGGUAAGCUUCGCACUAACCUAAUCUUCCAUCUGCUCAUGCUUACAAUCAGUGUGACAACUAAUAAAAAUCAUGCUUACAAUCAGCCUCCGAGUACUACGCCAAUCACCCUAAAAUAGCUCUACCUUUGUGUCAAAGUUGUGACACUGUGUACAAAUAAUGAAAAAUAGAUUGGUGCUACUUUCAGAAAAGAGUACACCCCUAGAAAACUGCCAAUAUAAGCUACUAGUAUUUUAUUAAGUUUAAGCUACUAGUAUUUGGUUAGAGGAUUUGCUGCUGAGAAAGAUCCAUCCACAGUGAGCGCCACACAUCCCACUAAUGGUGGUGGAUGCCAAUGCUUAGAUGGAGCAGGGUUGGUGUCCGUAAUUUUUACUUGGCACCUAGCACUCUGCAUAUAUGCCGGUUCCAUCCAUACAUUUGUGCAGUUCCACCAAAAUGCAGCUGAAUAACCCUGUUUGCACAGAUAAUGAAAACGUGUGAUUACAUUAUAGUGGCACUAGUUGAUGAAACAUACACUAAUAAACAGAAGAAAAUAUUACAUCAUACUGGAAAUCGAUGAACAUCAGUGUACAGCGGUAGUACAAGGAGGGGCCUUGAGACAUUCAAAUCUCUAUUUUUGUGCAGAUCAACUCAAAUUAAGCACCCCAGUUUGCAGAAACGCUUAAACAUUAACAAUGGGACUAGUUGAUGAAACAUACAUUAACAAAGAGAAGCACUUUCUUUAUCUACAUUGGAAAUGAAAUGAUAAAGAGGAAACUCGCUCUAUUUUAACUGUAUUAUUACUUCAUUUUAUAAGUGACACUAGGGUCGAGCAGGUGGCAAACGAGGUGUACCAUGUGUCACAAGGAUGAAGGCCAAGGGUGCUUAGACUGGGAUGCUGAAGCUGGCUCUUUCAGUACCUAUCUUCCCCCUGAUGUUUCUGUGGUAGCAUUUGGGUUGUAAUCCACACUUGGUCGAGCUGGUGCUGCGUCCCCCUACCUGCCUAGCUUAUGUGGCGAACUUGUCUCCUGCUAGUACUCAGUCUGUUCUAGUAGUAGUUGCAUAACUGCCCAUUUACACUGAGAUGUUGUCGGAUAAUGGUUCUCUAUGGUUGGGUUUCUUUAAUGAAAUCGGAGGGAACCCUCUCUUUUGAUAUAUAAAAAACAGUGGCACUAGCGGUGCCAAAACAUUGCCUCAAAUUAAUAGUGCCACUAGAUUAAGGUGCAAAAUAAUAACAUUACUGCUUUAUCAUGGCAAUGCCAAAACAGUAGCACAAGAGCAUGAUCAACAUGCAGGAUCUUUGGCAAACGGUCAGACCAAAAAGGAACAUACUUCGUGAUGGGAACCAUAUCUACAGUCAACGCCAUCGUAGAAGGGAUGACACCAGUCACCAACAUGGAUGAUUCAAUUCAGGGGACCUUUUGGUGCAGUUCACCUAAAAUGAAGCAAUGUCCCAUGAGCUAGCAGCUUCUUCUUCUUCUUCUUUUAAGAAAAGGGCUCCAGCCCCGGUUCCAUUUCCAUCAGAAAAUGAAACCAACAAAGCUUCUUCAUUAGUUGCAAUAAAAUUGAGCAACAUCAUGGUUGGUCGUGAAGCUCCUGGAGAGUAGGCGGACCAUGACAGUUGCAUCUCUAAUGAAAAGAAGCAACUUAUCUUAAUGGGAAAUUUAGCAGGACGUGAAAAAAGUGCCAUUGAUUCAUAUUACUGGAGGCAUUACAUUGAAAACAACAUUGGUUUAACGUGUCCUUACUUUUAACAGUGCGACUGCUACAUUUUACCAGCGGCAUUACAUAAGAGCGGCUCGGGGCAACAAACAUCAGAAGAGGAUAUCUGGGCUGGUCCCAUUUUUGUUCGGUAUAUAGCCACCUUAUACUGUGUGAGGCUAGCAAAUCUAGUGCUGGACUUACUCUGUUGACUUGUCCCCCAGUCCCCACUUUCUUUCAUUUUUCAACCAAUAGAUCGGGUUUAUAUUGAGUUUGUAUUGCGUUCCCUUUAUUUCCCUAUUAGACCUAGAGACCAGUUGGAUAGCCAGUCUCUGCUACUUUUCGCCCCCAUUAUUUCCUCUUUCGACCAAGUCCUAGAUUCACGUAACAAAUCUUCCUCCACCCCCACCCCCUUUCUUCCAUGUUUGAACCAAGUACUACUAGAUUCGAGUGCAUGAACUAGUUUUACCUCUUAACAGUAAAAAAUUAGGUGGUUUUCGAACAGCCGAUCGAUCCUAUCUACACGAGGGGCCUGAGAAAUAGUAAAAGAUACAAAUGCAGUGAAGUCAGGAGCUCGGGAAGUAGAGCAAGGCUGGUUUCGAAGGAAGUUAUACCUAAGGGUCGCCGGGAUGUCGCUAGGUGGGCGGCGGGAGGCCGGAUCUGCCCACACUACGGCAGCGAGGAAGAAGGGGUGGGAGGCCCUCCCUCGCCAAUGAUGCUUGGGAGAGAACAACAAGGCACGCUGAUCGAGACGCGCCGGCAGUGGGUAAGAGCAGUCGCCGAGGACGACCGCGUGAACGUUGCACCUUCUCACCCUCCCCGGCAGAGAGGAUCCGGCAGGAUCUGUGACCAGCGGUGAGUAGAGAGAGAGAGAGUGUGGCCACCGCUGUCGUGUUUAGAUCUGGAGAGGACGAGACAGUGUGAAGAGAGCAACACUAGCAAGCAAGCGCGGAGGCUCCUGCCUAUAUAGUGGAGCACUAGUUUUCUUUUGUCUACCGGCCGGAGCCGGCUUGACCUCGGCAAUGACUGUCGAGAAGUCUUCAUGCACGUGCCCGGAGGCGCAGUUGUCGUCAUUUUGAUCUGAAGCACCGGAUUAUAACAUAUAACACGAAAAAAUGCCACAUGACAAGAAAUCAUAACCUCACUGCCCAAAGGAGACAAGAUGAAUCCCGACGGACAAACUAGACGAGGAUCAAAGCUCAAAUUAAAGAUAAACUCGUAGAAAAGGGGUCCGUCGAUAGUAGUCUUCGUGCAUGUUCCCCCAAUGACUAGCCCAACUCAGUUGUCGCUGUUUAACCCUCGCAGUGAUCCGAAGUACCUGACACCUAAUUUUGCGAGAUGACAAGAAACCUUUUUUUAGAUUUCUCACCAGAACUACAGCCCUGUACAACACAGCCUGCACGAUAUGUAGACGAUAGCCAAUCUAGGCAUGUCUGCUGGAGUCUGGUCACAUGCAUGGACGAACUGAUCUUCCGUGUCUUGCAGGGAUCGUCCAGGUACCAAGGUGGAGUAUGUGCUUCUAUUAACUCAGCCGACUUGCGGGGCCGGGGAGUGUGCCUAUGGUCGGUUCUCAAUUGCGGUCCCACAUGUGUGUGCAAACGCAAUAUGACGCGCGUUCCAUUCGGAGAGCGGCGUGCCAGACCGACCGACCGUCUGUGGUGCGACGCGAACGCGACGGCCGUGCUGUAUACUCUGUACAUGUGUACCGCCGUUUUCUUGAGGCUUUGCUCCAUGGCGCAAUCCAUGGAUACAAAAUUAGUAUACUGUACUAUUUAAAAGUCGAGGGCGGGGCUUUUCCCACGCGGUAGGCAGGGUAGUUCCGCCUAGUUGGUUCGACAGAGACGCGAGAAGAUGAGGGAGUAGGCUGCUGCAAACAUAGGGCUGUGUGAUUUGCCAGUGAGUUACUGCUGGACAGGUGGGGCCCGGUGAUUUGACUUGCCAUUAUCAUUUUAACUGCGGCGCUACGACCGGCUUGAGUCUCCCAAUUCCUGACCACCUCCAUACAGGUGCCUCUCCCGAUGCUCCACCAUGUAGAGGCUGGCUCUUGCUUGAGAGCCCACUCCUCCACUUUUUCCUUGCCUCUUUCCCCCACAUAUGCAAAAAUGCCAUGUAAAGCGGGCUUAUAGCCCACUAUUGUACUUGAUCCUACAGGUUCUAAGCCUGCCACAUAGGCAUAAAGUCUGAUGUGGCAAGUUAAUUAAGAAGAGAGAGACUAGUUUGGUGACCCCAGGAAGAAACGGUGCUAAGCGCGUGUACCUAGAUGAUAUACUAGUUUGGUGGUAGGCGCGACCAUGAUACGGGCUGCUGGCAGCCCUUGGAUCUGAGAUCGAACGGUCGCAUGCUAAGUUGCUGAAAAUUUGCAGAAUAACCCUCCAGGAUAGGAUAUUCACCCAUAGGUCUAGAAUCACGCCAUGCAACCGUUCGAUCUCAGAUCCAAGGGCUCUCAGAAGCCCGUAUCAUGGGAGAAUGGAAAGCUUCGUAUCACAUGUAAUUUUCCCGAUGCUUGACAUGACAUCGAAAGCCAUUUAAUUGGGCGUGUAGUAGACAUGACAUCUAAUUGGGCCCCCAUAGUACUGUGCAUGAAUCCAUUUAUCCACCAGGCAAGCCACUGCCCUGCCAUUCGCACGCCCCCCCCACUCGAUAUUUUUACAAUCGAUAAACCGCUCCUAGUCGUCCCGUCCUUUCACAUUACGGCAGUUCCACUAAUACUAACCCUCCUCCCAAAUCCAUGGCGUCCCAAAUCUCCAUGAUCGGUAGUGAGUACAAGGUUAGAACCGGCGAUGAGUUCGACGUCAUCUACACCCGUUCUUCCGCAACGGUGAAAGAAUGCCUUGCUCGCUUCAAACGCAUGUUCGAAAACUCAAAUGAUGAGUGGGUCGCUGGGCUAGAUGUUGAGUACACCACAGUCCUGGGAAGCGAGAAGAAACUAAAGGAGGCAGAGAAGAAGAAGCCCGCCAUGAUCCUAGUUUGCGUGCAUGACUUAUGCUUGGUCUACCACAUAUGCCAUGCCGACAUUGAGUGCGAGGAAUUUAAGAAGUUCCUCAAGGGCGGCCGAGUCAAAUUCGUUAAUGUAGACUUUAGGAACGACAAGGAAAUCCUGGGUCGGAUAGGCCUCGUUGUAGGCGACCCCUUCGACCUCCAGAAGGAAGGGCUGGUGCCCUCCCUUGAUCAGCCUUCCAUGCUGACCCUGGUAGGAGCCAUGUGUAAUGCCCACGAUGCGGCUAUAUCUCCCAUAUGUCGGGGCACGACUUAGAGGCAUAACCGCAUUGUGGUUUUGUCGCAAGAAGGGUCAUCUUCACACAAUCCCAUGUAAUGAACAAGAAUGGGAUAACGAGAGUUGGCUUACAAUCGCCACUUCACACAAUACAUAAAUUAAGUUCAUACAUCAUCCAAAAUCCACACAUAGACCGACUACGGUCAAAACCAAAUGAAAAUAAGAUAACCCCAAAUGCUAGAUCCCCGAUCGUCCCAACUGGGCUCCACUACUGAUCAUCAGGAAAAGAAACAUAGUAACGACCACGUUCCUCGUCGAACUCCCACUUGAGCUCGGUUGCGUCAUCUGCACUGGCAUCGUCGGCACCUGCAACUGUUUUGGUAGUAUCUGUGAGUCACGAGGACUCAGAAAUCUCACACCCGCGAGAUCAAGACUAUUUAAGCUUAUAGGAAAGGAUGGUGUAAUGAGGUGGAGCUGCAGCAAGCACUAAGCAUAUAUGGUGGCUAACAUACGCAAAUGAGGGCGAGAAGAGAAGCAACGCAACGGUCGCGAAGCUAGAGAUGAUCAAGAAGUGUUCCUGAAAACUACUUACGUUCAUGCAUAACUCAAACCGUGUUCAUUUCCCGGACUCUGCCGAGAAGAGACGAUCACGGCUACACACACGGUUGAUGUAUUUUAAUUAAGUCAUGUGACAAGUUCUCUACAACUGGACAUUAACAAAUUCCCAUCUGCCUCAUAACCGCGGGCAUGGCUUUUGAAAGAUAAUACCCUGCAGGGGUGUCCCAACUUAGCCCAUUAUAAGCUCUCACGGUCAACGAAGGAUAAACCUUCUCCCAGGAAGACCCGAUCAGUCUCGAAAUCCCGGUUUACAAGACAUUUCGACGAUGGUAAAAGAAGACCAGCAAGACCACCCGCUGUGCCGACAAAUCCCGAUAGGAGCUGCACAUAUCUCGUUCUCAGGGCACACCGGAUAAGCUAAGCGUACAGGUACCGACGUAACCCAAGUUGCCAAAGGACGGUCCCGCAUGGUGCUCUAGUUUGGACCACUAGGCAAAUGGUAAAACCAAGGUUGGGACUUGCUGGAGGAGUUUUAUUCAAGGCGAACUGUCAAGGGGGUCCCAUAAAUCACCCAACCGCGUAAGGAACGCAAUCUCAAGGAACAUAACACUGGUAUGACGGAAACUAGGGCGGCAAGAGUGGAACAAAACACCAGGCAUAAGGCCGAGCCUUCCACCCUUUACCAAAUAUAUAGAUGCAUUAAUUAACUAAGAGAUAUUGUGAUAUUCGAAAAAUAUCCAUGUUCCAACAUGGAACCAACUUCAACUUCACCUGCAACUAGCAACGCUAUAAGAAGGGUUGAGCAAAAGCGGUAACUUAGACAAACAACGGUUUGCUAGGAAAGGAUGGUUAGAGGCUUGACAUGGCAAUAUGGGAGGCAUGAUAUAGAAAGUGUUAGGUAGCACAACAUGGCAAUAGAACGAACAACUAGCAAAGCAAAGAUAGAAGUGAUUUCGAGGGUAUGGUCAUCUUGCCUGCAAGGUUCUCAGAGUUUUCGAAAGCUUGAUCCUCGUAAGCGUACUCAAUAGGUUCCUCGUUCAAGAACUCGUCUCCCGGCUCUACCCACAACAAGAACACAAGCAAUGGAACCACAAUCAAACACGGAAAAUGCACAAGCAACAUUAUGCAAUACAUGCAUGAUAUGCGAGAUAUAAUAUGCGAUGCGUAUGCGUGCUCCGGAAGAAAAAGGAUGAACAAGGCAGUAACUUGGCAAACCAAGUAUGCCACUGGAAAGAUGAGAUGAUUUUGGCUGCAAUCGAUAUAAAGAUCACUGGAAACGGAUGCACGGUUUGCACAUGGCAAGCAAAACAAGAAUGACACGAUUCUGCGAUUAACAGCAUGAUAGCACUUAGAAUACAUCAAGUAACUAUGCUACAGCACCCCAACAUAGAAAAAAAGCAUAUGGCAGUAAUCUACAGGAGAUGCUUGACAAAAGAUGAACAGUGAGCUACGGCUAGAUCACACAAUAACAGGCUCAAACAAGCAUGGCAAAAAUGCAAAAGAUAUCAGGUUAACAGACUUAGAGAAAAUACUGGACAUGGCUGAAACAGCAUCAGGUAGCAAUGUUCAGAGCAAGCAAUCAACAUGCUACAGGACUUAACAUAGCCAAAGAAGGCAUGGAAUGAAUCUACCAAAUGCAUAGAACAAAAGUCCCUUACUGACAAUCAGCCAAAAAGGAUCAGAAGAUAAGAUGGCACCCAGGUAAACAUAGCAAGUUUCGUUAACAGGUUUCAAACUUAGCAGAAAACAGAGCAUGGCAUUAACAGCAUUAUGAAGGCAUCUUGGUGAGCUUGAUUCACUCAUCACAAGGCAAUGCAUGACAAAACAAGCAUACCUACAGCAAGAUGGAAUGUUUAUGAAGCUAACCAUGGCAAGAGCAAGUUCAUAGCAUGUAUGGAUCAACUACAACAACCUUGGCAAAAUUGAAUAUCAUGUUAACAUUCUGCCAGACAUGCUAGGGCACUCCAUAAUUGCAAACAGGGGAAUGGAUGGAUAGAGAACAACUAUAUCUACAAAACAUCCUUACUGAACAUACUCAAAAGAAGCAUGGAUCUCUCUGUAGACACAUGGAUACAUGGCAACAAAAUAACUGCAGAUAAAGGACAGCAAAAUCCCAAGUCUCUGAAAACAGAAACAUCACGAAGCCUAGUUUGCAUGCUUGUGCUAGUCACCACAUAGAUCACAAAAAUACAUGGCAUACACCUCUGUAAAGAUGGCAUGGCAUAGAUCAAAGCACCCGUAGAGCUCAUGCCCAUAAGAUGCAUACAUCAAAUGCAACAAAAAUAACAAAACACCAAGUUCUGAUAAGUAACAGCAGUAAACAUCAUAUAGCACUCUUGCACCAGAGAUUUGGGCAUCAAGAUCAACUGAAACGAGCAUGGCACAAUGGAACAAAAUGAAUAGCAUCUCGUGACGAACAUUUCAAUAUAUCAUGCACACAAAAUGGAGCAGUAUGCAAAGAGUUAUGAGGUGAUGAACAGAGCAACAUAUGGUGAAAACUUCGGGACUUAGCAGAAAAUGAAGGGGGAAAAGUCAACCUCUAGAUCUGGAUCGGGGUCCGCACGGAAGCCGAGGCGGCCGGGAUUCCUCGCUGGAGAUGGAAAGGAGGAGGUCGGAGGAGGCGUCGGGCGGACGGGGACGGAGGAGGCCGGCCGGAGGAGGAAGGCGCCGGCGGGGUCGCGGGUGCACGCGGGCGUCGGCNNNNNNNNNNNNNNNNNNNNNNNNNNNNNNNNNNNNNNNNNNNNNNNNNNNNNNNNNNNNNNNNNNNNNNNNNNNNNNNNNNNNNNNNNNNNNNNNNNNNNNNNNNNNNNNNNNNNNNNNNNNNNNNNNNNNNNNNNNNNNNNNNNNNNNNNNNNNNNNNNNNNNNNNNNNNNNNNNNNNNNNNNNNNNNNNNNNNNNNNNNNNNNNNNNNNNNNNNNNNNNNNNNNNNNNNNNNNNNNNNNNNNNNNNNNNNNNNNNNNNNNNNNNNNNNNNNNNNNNNNNNNNNNNNNNNNNNNNNNNNNNNNNNNNNNNNNNNNNNNNNNNNNNNNNNNNNNNNNNNNNNNNNNNNNNNNNNNNNNNNNNNNNNNNNNNNNNNNNNNNNNNNNNNNNNNNNNNNNNNNNNNNACGCUCGGCGGCGGGAGGUCGCGGGAGGAGGCGGCGUGGGGCGCGCGUGGGCACAGGCGACGGACGGCGGACGGGCCGGGAUGGCCCGACUCGGGCUCUCCGGGCCGCGACCGGUGGAUGGCGGCGGCGGGACACGUGUCACGACACGGUUGGACGCGGGCGGUGGCAGCGCUGAUGUGGCGGCGGCGGAUUGGCCGGGGUGAGGUGGCGGCGGUUGUGUCGGGCACCGGGCGGACACGUCCGGCGGCGCGGAGGAGUGGGGCUAGGGUUUAUCUGCGAUUUGGACGCAAAUUUCGGAGGGGGAGGUGUUUAUAUAGGAAUAGGGAGCUAGGAAAGUCCAAAUGGAGUGCGGUUUCGCCCACACGAUCGUGAUCGAAUGACCAAGAGCAUGGAGGGGAAUUAGAUGGGUUAUUGGGCUGUUUGGAGGGGGGUUUUGCUGCAACACACAAAAGGCCUUUGCGGUUACCCGGUUAACUGUUGGAGCAUCAAACGACCUCCAAAUGGAACGAAACUUGACUGGUGGUCUACCAGUGGUAUACCAAGGCCACUUGACAAACCUCGGUCCAUUCCGAGAACAUUUAACACCCACUCACGAAAAGAAACAAGAGGGGUGCGCCGGUGCAAGUGGCAGUGUCGGAUUGCGAAACGAACAACGGGGAAAAUGCUCGGAUGCAUGAGACGAACACGUAUGCAAAUGAGAUGCACAUGAUGACAUGAUAUGAGAUGCAUGACAUGAACAAAAUGCAAAACGAAAGACAAAACCCAACCACGGAGGGAAUAUCAUAACACAUAGCCGAAAAUGGCAAGAGUUGGAGUUAAAAAUAUUGAAACUUACAUCCGGGGUGUUACAACACUCCACCACUACGAGAGGAUCUCGUCCCGAGAUCUAGGACUAAAAUAACUCUAGAUAUUCGGAACGGAGGUGGUCCUCACGUUCCCAGGUGGCUUCUCGGUCGGAAUGGUGCGACCACUUCACUUUCAGGAAUUUGAUUGACUUGUUGCGAGUCUUGCGCUCAGUUUCUUCAAGAAUAGCAACGGGGUGCUCAUGAUAAGACAGAUCUUCUUGGAGGCCAAUCUCUUCGAAGUUGAUGGUGCGCUCAGGAGUCUUGAAGCACUUGCGAAACUGAGACACGUGGAACACAUCGUGCACGUUCGCGAAGUUGGAGGGAAGCUCAAGUUGAUAGGCGAGGUCGCCUCUUUUGCCAAAGAUCUUGAAAGGAACCACGUAUCUAGGGGCAAGCUUCCUUUUGAUACCGAAGCGACGAGUGCCUUUCAUUGGAGAGACGCGGAGGUAGACAUGGUCUCCGAUCUCGAAAGCCACAUCACGGUGCUUGCUAUCAUAGUAACUCUUCUGGCGCGAUUGCGCGGCUUUGAGAUUUUCACGGAUGACUUUACACAUUUCUUCAGCCUCUGUGAUUAAGUCAUUGCCAAGAAGUUGGCGUUCACCAGUCUCUGACCAAUUGAGAGGAGUACGACACUUUCUGCCAUAUAGAAUCUCGAAUGGGGCCUUGCCCGAACUCGCUUGGAAGCUGUUGUUGUAGGAGAAUUCGGCAUAUGGAAGACAAUCUUCCCACUUCAUGCCAAAGGAAAUGACACAAGCCCUGAGCAUAUCUUCAAGGAUUUGAUUGACUCGCUCGACUUGGCCACUAGUUUGAGGAUGGAAAGCUGUGCUGAAACGAAUGUUGGUGCCCAUGGCCUUCUGAAAAGAGUCCCAGAACUUAGAAGUAAAGAUGCUUCCACGAUCUGAAGAUAUCAAUUGUGAAUGCCAUGCAAGGAGACAAUCCUGGAGGUGUAUAGCUCUGCCAACUGAGCUGCUGUGAUAGAUUCUUUGAUUGGAAGGAAAUGAGCCACUUUUGUAAGCCUGUCGAUGACAACGAAGAUAGCAUCAUUUCCACGCUUGGACCUUGGAAAUCCAGUCACGAAGUCCAUUUCGAUAUGAUCAAACUUCCAUUCUGGGAUAGCAAGAGGUUGGAGGAGACCAGCUGGUCGUUGGUGUUCUGCUUUCACCCUUCGACAGACAUCACAUUCAUUCACGAAUUGAGCGAUUUCUCGCUUCAUUCGAGUCCACCAAUACGACUGCUUGAGGUCAUGGUACAUCUUCGUACUUCCAGGAUGAAUGGAAAGAAGAGAAUUGUGCGCCUCGUUCAUAAUGACCUUCCUUAGAUCACCUUUAGGAACCACAAUCCGGUCCUCGAAGAAUAAAGUGUCUCUGUCAUCAAUGCGAUAGCACUUGUAUUUGAAAAGACCCUUGUCGAUACCACGUUUCACCUUCUUCACCAUGGCAUCAAGAAGUUGUGCCUCACGAAUUUGAUCUUCCAAAGUAGGAGAGACUAUGAGGUUGGAAAGAAAGCCUUGAGGAACAACUUGGAGAUUCAGUUUGCGGAAAGCUUCACAAAGAUCCGGUUGAAAUGGCUUGAGAAUUAAGCUGUUGCAAAAAGCCUUCCUGCUCAAAGCAUUUGCAGUGACAUUGGCUUUGCCUGGAGUAUAUUCAAUACUCGGAUUGUACUCUUGAAUCAUUUCGACCCAUCGAGUUUGUCUGAGGUUGAGGUUGGGCUGAGUGAAGAUGUACUUGAGACUCUUGUGAUCGGUGAAUAUGUCCACUUUUCUUCCCAACAAGAGAUGUCUCCAUGUUAUUAAUGCAUGGACAACUGCCACCAACUCAAGAUCGUGAGUGGGGUAGUUCUUUUCGUUGGGCUUCAACCGACGAGAGGUAUAGGCCACAACGUUCUUCUCUUGCAUUAACACAGCACUGAGACCUUGAAGAGAAGCAUCACAGAAAACUUCGAAUGGCUUGGAUUCGUCAGGAGGAGUUAAGACAGGAGCUGUGACGAGUUUCUCUUUGAGAGUGUUGAAAGCAACGUCACACUCAGGAGACCAGACAUACUUCACAUGCUUCUGGAGGAGGUUCGAAAGAGGCUUUGCAAUUUUAGAGAAAUUCUCAACGAAUCUUCGGCAAUAGCUUGCAAGACCAAGGAAACUGCGAAGUUGCUUGACAUUCUGACGAGGUUCCCAAUUCACAAUUGCAGACACCUUCUCGGGAUUAACAGCGAUGCCCUUGGCAGAGAUGAUAUGACCAAGGUAAAGAACUUCAUCAAGCCAAAACUCACAUUUGGAAAACUUCGCAUAGCAUUGAUACUCUCUGAGCUUGUCGAGCACCAAUCGCAAAUGUUUGGCAUGAUCCUUCUUAUUCUUGGAGAAGACCAAGAUAUCAUCGAGAUACACCAGGACGAAUUCAUUGGUAUAGGGGUUGAAGAUGAAGUUCAUCAUUCGAGAGAAUGUUGGAGGAGCAUUGACAAGGCCGAAAGACAUGACAGUAUAUUCAUCAGAACCAAAGCUUGUUCUGAAUGCUGUCUUGGGAAUAUCUUCUUCACGAAUGCGAAUCUGAUGAUAACCCAUACGAAGGUCAAGCUUGGAGAAUACUUUAGCACCUUUAAGUUGCUGGAAUAGCUCAUUGAUGUUGGGAAGUGGAUACUUGUUCUUGAUUGUCUUCUUGUUCAAUGGACGGUAGUCGACACAAAGUCAGUGCGUGCCAUCCUUCUUCUGCACAAAAAGAACACCACAACCCCACGGAGAUGAACUCGGUCUAAUCAAACCCAGACACUCUUGUUCAUCGAGCUGUUUCUUCAAUUCUUUCACCUCCUUGGGUCCAAGCUUGUAAGGACGCUUGCAAACGGGUUCCGUGCCAGGUUCAAGAUCGAUAACGAACUCAACUGGCCGGUGAGGAGGCAUACCCGGAAGCUCUUCUGGAAAGACAUCUUGAUACUCACAAACGACUGGAAUUUGAGAAAUAGCAUCCAACUCGCCCUUCUCAUUGAGAGAAAAUAACCGAAUGGUUUCAUCAUGAGCGGCAUAGAUGAUAACAUCCUCAGAAGAGUGUGUCAAUUUCAUUUCCCUGGCAGCACAAUCAAGUUGAGCCUUGUGCUUAGAAAGCCAGUCCAUCCCGAGAAUUAGAUAAAUAUUCGAGUCACCAAGAACAAAAGGUUUAGACAGAAAUUUAUAGUUGCCCAUCUUGAUAGAAACAUCCGGAAUCAUUGUGGUAGCCCUCAUAGAAGAGCCCGGAGAAACAACUCCCAUGGGUUUUUCCAACAUUUUCGAAAUGAAAUCAUGCUUUGCAACAAAUGAUCUUGACAUGAAACAAUGCGAUGCACCAGUGUCAAAAAGAACUUUUGCAGGAAAGUCAUUAACAGGAAGGUUACCCAUUAUCACAUCAGUAGAUUCCUCCGCUUGAGCUGCAUUCAUCAUGUUCACCUUUGCAGACUUGGGAUUAUGCUUGACCACUGCAUUGCUGGAAGAUCUCACAGGAGGAGGAGGCGGAAGGCGCCUUUGGUUGAAGCACUUGUUAGCAUAGUGACCUUUCUGCUGACACUUGUUGCAAGUCACCUCUGAGAGUGGACAAUGAUAAGGAGCAUUCGACUUUGGAGCUUGAUUGUGAGACUUGUUCUGAUAGCCAGGGUUGGAUGAGUGGGAAGAUCCAUGGCUACCUUUGUUCUUCUGCUGGAAAGGCUCACGAAACGAAGGAGGAGGCAACUAGAACUUCUGUUGCUUAGCAGCCACUAGUGAGGAAGAAGAAGACUGAACUGCGUCCCUGACUCUCUUCUUAGAAGCCUCACACUUGAGCUGAGCAACCUCUUGCUUCAGUGCCAUAUUGUAGAAAUCAUCAUACUUGGUCGGCUCAAAAAGCACGAGAGGUAAUUGCAGAUCUUCUCUAAGACUACCUCUGAAUUGAUAGAUCAUGCUCUUUUCAUCAGGACCGUCUUGCUUAGCGAAGCGAGCGAGUUUCUGAAACUGGGUAUUGUAUUGAUACACGGACAUGCUGCCUUGCUUGACAUUGUGGAACUCCUCACGCUUGCUCUCAACAACACUUUGUGGAAUGUCGUGAGCUUUGAAGUCUCGGCGGAAAUCAUCCCAGGUAAUCACACGACCUCCUCUGGAAUCUUUGUAUUGUUGAUACCACUCGGCAGCUUGAUCCUUGAGUUGAAAAGAAGCAAACUGUGACACCCAAGUUUUUAUUUGGAUUUUUCAAAAGGCUUUUAUUUGACUUGAGGGGAGUGAUCAAAAAAUUUUCUUCAAGAAAACUCUCACUCUCAAAUAUUUUCUUUAUGGCAAAAGUUUUAUUUGGAUUCAACCAAGACCUGUCUUUGGUCUUGGAGGUUCUUGCUUUUCACUUGGACUCAAGACAAAAUAUUUUCACUUGGGAAAUGACUUUUGAAAAUCUCCUUGAAAAUUUGCACUAUGGCUUUUGGAAAAUUCUUUGCCACUUUCAACAAUUCCUUCUUGCCAUGGCCCUAGUGCAAAUCCUCUCCCCUAACCCUUCCCUCACCUUUGGAUCAUGUUUUACACCUAAUCCAGCAAGUUGAACCUCCCCAUGUGUUUAUUUCCAUUUAAAUUCUAUUCAAAUAAUUUUCUGCCUCCUUUUCUAGCACUUGGAGAUUUGCAAAGGAACUCCACUUUCUGUCUUGAUUUUUGCCCCCAAACCUUUUUCCCCUCCUAGUCCUUUGAACCCUCAACCUAGAACCAUGAAGAUCCACUGGUCUUCAGUUCAAAAUUUUCAAACUACAUCUGCUGCAAGUUUGGACCAGAUUUGCCAAAUUUGGUGAAAUUCAUUCAAAACCCCUUCCAAAAAUUCCAAGUAAAAUCAGGCAGCCUCUGGGUGCAUUGAGUGGUCACCUCACCAAGUUACAGCUCCAGAAAAAUUUAUCUCGUUGCAAAAACCUUCUGUCGAACACCUGCAGUGCACUGUCUAUGUCAAGUUCAGAAAAUUCAGUGAUUCAGUCAGUGGCUUGCUGUCGUUUUCUUCAGAGAAGGACGUCGAUCUCGCCAGUGCCACCGCGUCGCCUUGCUCCUCGUACCCGCCCUCUUGUUCCUGCACCGCAUGAACGCCUGGCUUGCGGGCGUCGGCGACGAGCAGCAGAAGGUGCGCCGCCCCGUGACCGACGCCGGCGGCGGCUUUGUGGACGCCAGCGGGAGACACGGCGCCGACGACGCCACCCAGCGCCGCCCAAACCACCGGAGCUCGCCGCGUGGCCUUCCACUCCCCCGAACGCGCUGCCGCUCUCGUCAUGAACCGCAGGGCGCGGAGCGCGCUCUCUGCCGCCGUUGAGGCCGUGCGGUCACCUCACCGUGGACCGACGCCAUUACGCCAAGACCGACCCCGUUUAGCUGCGAAACGACUCCAGUAACCUCUACUGAUGCUGCCUGGCCGCUCAAACCACCUGCCAAUCCACUGCUCCGCCGUAAUCGCUCGCCGGAGAUUCUCCGUUCACGGCCACCCCGUCGAUCUGCCUAUAAAUAGAGGCCCCGAGCUUCAACUCGAGCACCCACCAUCCCUACACUCCCCCUAGAGCACGCCUAGCCACUGGAAGAGCCCCGAGGAGGUCUCCUUCCUCGACUCCGGCUGCCGCGACCCGCCACGGGAUCCAGCCCGAUUCACCCCCGUGUGCGCUCCUCCGCCUCCAUUCUCUAGCCAGUAGCUUCACCUUGCAUCCCUCGUUCUGAACCACACCUCAAUUUGUAGCUUGCAGCCCUCCACCGGAGUUCCCCAUCCUCACCCGAGCCGCCGUCCGCCGGAGAUAGUGUCGCCGUCGACGUGGUGCUCCCCGUUGGACAAGUCCACCACCCACCGACGCGGAAGUAGACGCUGAAGCUCUUGGUACCCUCCGUUUCUCCUAACUCGCCGUAGUUCGACGCCGGCGUCCACCGCAGUCUUCGGGCGUCGUCGUGCUUUUUAAACCUGACAGGUGGAACCCGCCUAUCAGCCUCUAUGCUAUUCUCCUUCGAACCGUUUUCUGUUGGCGCCUUCGGGCAAAUACGUUUUCUCCUUUGCGCUUGCGCAUUCCCAACCGAAGCGUUUUCAGUUUUCUCAGUUAAAACCCUGGAACUUUUCUGUUUCAUUACAGAUAAGUCCCUGGACAGAAACCUUUAUAACUUUUAAAUAAAAAGGAAUUUUUGAGUGAUUCUUUUUCUGACAAUCUUCAAAUUUUGUCUAGUUUUUUAUGGGAUUUAUUUGAAAAAUAUUUGGAAAAGUUUCUGUGCAUGUGUUGGUUUUCACGUUAGUACCCGUUUCGUGAUUGCCGUAGGUUCCGGGAGAGGUGAAGGAGCCGCGAACUUCGCCGAGCUAUACUCCGACUUCUCCGAACCAAGCAAGCAUGUUUUGAACAUUUGAUAUGACAGGUGUUUUGCAUGUUCGCGUGAAAGUUUGUGCGUGGCAUAUGAGUGUCGGUAAAUACCUCGUUGCUUGUAAGGCAACGACCCGGUUGUUCCAAAGUCGCGAUGAUCUCUGAUGAGAGAUGGCCGAAUCAUGUGGUGACAUGAAGGGCAGCAAGGUGGUACUGUUGUAGCAUACCAGCCUUGCGUCAUCCGACUUUCUCCGACGUUAACGUGGUUGGAGCCACGUUAUCGUUCCUUUCCCGCAUGUCCCAAAGUUGCGAUGAUCUCUAAUGAGAGAUGGCCGAAUCAUGUGGUGACAUGAAGGGCAGCAAGGUGGUACUGUUGUAGCAUACCAGCCUUGCGUCAUCCGACUUUCUCCGACGUUAACAUGGUUGGAGCCGCGUUACCGUUCUUUCCCUUUUCCGUGCUACCACAUGUCUCAUUGCCAGGAUGCGGUUUAGUAAGUUGGUAACCUCUUUCCGUGUACACACCAAACAGAGAGGCCGGGAUGAUGGUACCUUGGCCCAGGAUUAAAGCCAGUCAUCCGGUCAGGGGGCAUGGGUGUUUCCGGUUGGGACCGAGAGGGGGGGCACCCUGUUAAAGCGCGCGUAUAGAAAUUUGAUCCCAUGCUACGUGAGGUUGUAGCCUCCCCGUCUCAAGGUUUUUCUUGAAUGUUGCCGAGGGUGAUCCCUGGCUUCGGAUGGUUGAAUUGGGUGUGUACUGGUUAGACGUGUUUCUUCCAAAACACCGUAGACGGAACUAGUCCCCGUGACUACUGAAAUCCGUUGGUUGUGGUUAAGUACAAACUCUGCAGAGUCAACUCUUUCCAAAUCAUCGUAUCCAUGAUCAAGUAGUGUAAACAUUAUAUCCAUUUCUAUCUGUGUGAAAAGCUUGCCCCGGUGAACAAGCUCAAGUGGUAAAUCCAGUUUUAUUGUUAUUUCUGUGGAUGGACUAACCUUAUUUUUGUCGCAUGCUUGUGAUAAUUUAUGUUCCCGAACGAUUGUAUUAUUGAGCUGUGAUAUAAGCCCUUUAUGUGACGUCGCGCAGACGUCCGACUGUGGCGUGUACUUGUUUGGCACCAGUAUUAUUAUUCCGCAUUUUUCCGCUCGAGGAGUCUUUCAGACACUCGUUUGGCACCAGUAUUAUUAUUCCGCAUUUUUCCGCUCGAGGAGUCUUUCAGACACUCGUUUGGCACCACUAUUAUUAUUCCGCAUUUUUCCGCUCGAGGAGUCUUUCAGACACUCGUUUGGCACCAGUAUUAUUAUUCCGCAUUUUUCCGCUCGAGGAGUCUUUCAGACACUCGUUUGGCACCAGUAUUACUAUUCUGCAAUUUCCGCUCGAGGCGUCAUUCAGACCCUCGCUUGGCACCCAGUAUUUAUUAUCUCUAUGUCUGAUCGCACUGGUUAACUUGUUCAUGUGCUUCAUGUUUACAUUUGUUAUACCUUAUGUCCGAACUGUCUUGCGAGUACUUUCAUAGUACUCACCUGGCUUGUUGAUUUGACCAGAUGUUGACGAAGGCGAUCUCUUGGAUGAAGAGUUUGAUAGCGCGUCCGAUGCCUAGAGGAGUCCCAGUCAGUCCUGCGCGAUCCCGGAUAUUGGUCACUUGUUUUGUGUACGCUUCCGCCACCCGCAAUAAGUCUUCUCGAGCCUCACUCCGACGCUCGAAGAGAUGUAGUCUUCUGGAACCAUAUCACUCGCUUCGCGGUGAUAUUUCCACCACCGUUAUUAUCGUGAGUUAGUAGUUUGCCACCCUAUCCGCCGCCUUGUUUUAGCGGCGUACAUGUAAUAAAUUGUUGGGCAGUCUCUGCUCAACCUUGUAUUAUAUUUAGUACUCCUGGUAUUUUUUUCUGUGACCAAGAUAUUGUCUACCAGUGAGAAGGAAUUCUUCCUCGCUGGUCCGUAAAAGGGAUUGGUCUCUCAAUAAUUAUUUUAUUGAAAAACCGGUCGUGACAAGCUUGGUAUCAGAGCCAGGCUGACUAUAGGAAGCCACUAGGUGCGAUCGCUAAUCGGUUAUUAGCGUCUUUUUUGUUUUUUUCAGCAUUUUGCAAUUGUAGCUAUUUUCUGUUGGUCAUCAUAAAUUUAUGACAUGACUACUCAGAAUUUUUGCCUACUUUUGUAGAUGGCUGGCAGCAGCUGUGAGAAUCGAGUGUUCACCAUCGUGCCCGAGGGGUUUGUCAAGCUCCUCGUCUCCAUCACCAAGCUCGCGAUCGGGCUAGCAGCUCGCCUGGAGUUCACACUCUAUCAGCACAAGCUCAGUGACGACGUGUCUAUGCACCAAGCUGUGGUGCAGUUCAAGGGAGGACGUUCUGCUGCUCGCCACUUCCGUUUUGUGGGAAGGGCCAUGCCUACGGAGAGGCAUGCCAUGCAGAUGGCUGCCCGUGAGGCGAUAGCUCGCCUUCGGGACAUCCUCCCUAUGAUGAAGACUCGUCGCUACCGCUACCUCCCAUGCCAUGUGCCUUACACCGGCCACUAUGUGUUUGCCUGCCAUCGGGGAGAAAGAGAUGAAGCCAUCGAGAUGGUUGUGGAGUAUCUCAAGGCUCUGGAGGAGUCUUUCGACAACCUCGUAGAUGAUCUUGUGGCUGCCCGCAUGGACUUAGUCCGAGGCGGUCCUGCCAGCAGGAAGGAGCUUCUCCACACGGCGCCGCCCCUGACAUUCGUCUCAUCUUCAGCCUCGUAUGCACCGGCCGUUUUGGCCACUGCUCGCCGUCUGCCUACGACUGAGAAGUUCGACCGAGUCAUCGCUCCUACUCCAGUCAGAGCCGCACCGCCUGCCGCACGCACUCUACCACCAGUCGCCCCCGCACCAUCAUCGCAGCGCAGCGUUACGCGCCAGGAGCCAGCUAGAGAGGAGGUGGAGGUUGACUCUCCUGGACCGCUGAGCCUUGCCAUCGACAAGGGGAAGGAGAUCUUCACCAUCUCCGACUGAGAGCACCGAGUAGCCGCGGGUUAUGUCUGCCUGUAUGAUGUGCUGUUUUAUCUGUACGCUAGUUUGUAUUGGUGUGUUCACUGCCUUCCGGAGUAGUACGCUAGUUUUAAAUAACAUGUCAGGAUUGUGUACGCACAUCCUGAGUGCUGUAUCUUGAGUUUGCUUUUCGCAUGUAAGUUUUAUGUUGAGCACUUCUUCUCCAUGAAAAACCAUUUGUGUUUCUUUGAAAACCUUGAAGCCUUUUUAUUAUUGCCUUUGCGAGAUUUUUCUUGGACUACACAGUUUUUUUUCUCAUGGGCUUUGCAAAUAAUACCCCAGACUGGAAAAAUGUCUCGCCCAUGGACUCGCUCCAUGCCCAAUCAGCCAGAAGAGGUUUACGGGACACAGACCAGCAACAAUUUCACUCAAGGUCAGUCCAGCCAACAAGCAAGCGAAGCAGCACUGUCUCAAGUAUGCCGUCUCUUCGAGCAAAGUCAGCAACAACACCAAGAGAUGAUGAACCAUGUCAUCAACAUGGGAAACCACCGUGAACACUAUCAACCACAUUCCAAGUUAUCUGAGUUACAGAAGACUCGCCCCUCAACUUUUGCUCACACCGAUAGGCCGCUGGAAGCCGAUGAUUGGCUUCGUGAGAUUGAGAGGAAACUAAUUAUUGCUCAGUGCUCAGAUCAUGAGAAGGUGCUCUAUGCACCACACUAUCUUACUGGAGCAGCCGCAGCAUGGUGGGAAAACUUCCUACACAUGCAUCCCAGGGAACACAACAUCACCUGGGAAGAGUUCAAGGAAGGCUUCCGUGGGGCACACAUCCCCAGGAGCAUCCUAAAGAUCAAGAAGAGAGAGUUUGAUGGCCUGAAGCAAAGAGGCAUGUCAGUGACAGAGUACAAUGGUCAGUUCACCCAGCUGUCUUGUUAUGCCUGCGACGAGCACAUGACAGAAAGCAAGAAGAUGGAAAAAUUCCUGGACGGCCUGGCACCGGCACUGAGAUGCCAACUGAUUGUGCACACCUUUCCGGAUUUUAAGACGCUGGUGGACAAGGCCAUCACCUUGGAGAAUGAGCGCCGUAGUCUGGAAGGUAUCCGUAAGCGGAAGAGGGACAAGACGACUCUUGCCCGCAGCAACCGAGGCAAGACUGAGGUCCCAAGGACAGACGCAAGGAGAUCCACGACUACUGAGCCAAGGCCCGUCGGACAAUUUCAUGCAAGGGAUAAGGAGUUCACAUACCGUCCAGGGGUCACCUGCUAUGCUUGUGGUCAACAAGGGCAUUAUGCUAAACAGUGCCCGAAGCCAAGAGACUCGGCACCCAAGCCGAACAAUGGUGGAAACAAUCCCGCCCCCAAGCGCAACAACUUCAACCCCAGCAACAACCACAGGAAGGGUCACCUGAACCAUGUGACCAGGGAAGGAGCGCAGAAUGCCCCAGACAUCGUGCUCGGUACGUUCCCUGUCAACACAGUACCUGCCACGGUUUUGUUUGAUUCUGGAGCUUCCCAUUCGUUCGUUUCGAAGAGUUUUGUUUCGCAACAUGGUUUUCCGAUACUUCCCUUGGAAAAAUCUAUGAUCAUCAAGUCCCCCAGAAAUAAGCAAAUCGCUCAGGGUUACUGCCAAGGAGUGGUCAUUGAGUUUGAAGGACUACAAUUCCACGCGAAUCUAAUCGUGUUGGAAAGUAAAGGACUGGAUGUCAUUUUAGGGAUGGACUGGUUGACCACCAACAAAGGAUUCAUCGACUGUUUCAACCGGACAGUGAGUCUCACUCACCAUCACGGCAAGACUAUAAGAGUUUCCGCUCAAGAAAGGCCACGAUCACAGAAACCAAAGCUGAACAAAAUGGACAUCGCAGAACUGAGAAAAGUUCCAGUGGUAUGCGAGUUUCCUGAUGUAUUCCCUGAAGAACUACCAGGCAUGCCACCAGACCGAGAGAUCGAAUUCAGCAUUGAACUAGCACCUGGCACCGCUCCCAUCUAUAAGAAGCCUUAUAGAAUGGCACCCUCAGAAUUGGUGGAAUUGAAGAAGCAGAUAAAGGAGUUGUUGGACAAAGGAUUUAUUCGAGCCAGCUCCUCACCGUGGGGUUCGCUAGUGUUGUUCGCCAAGAAGAAGGAUGGGACACUGAGGCUGUGCAUAGACUAACGAGCCCUCAAUAUGGUCACCAUCAAAAACAAAUAUCCGAUGCCACGAAUAAAUGAUUUGUUUGACCAGCUCGCACAGGCCAAGGUAUUCUCAAAAAUUGAUUUGAGAUCGGGAUAUCACCAAUUGAAGGUACGGACGGAAGAUAUCCCCAAGACAGCUUUCACUUCCAGAUAUGGGUUAUACGAGUUCACAGUGAUGCCUUUUGGACUAACGAACGCCCCCGCAUCUUUCGUCCACCUCAGGAACAAAGUGUUCAUGAAAUUCAUGGACAAAUUUGUGGUGGUAUUCAUUGACGAUAUUCUGGUUUACUCGAGGACACCAGAAGAGCAUGCUGAGCACCUCAGAAUUGUUUUGGGAGAAUUGAGGAAACAUCAGUUGUACGCCAAAUUUAGCAAGUGCGAAUUUUGGCUAAGACAAGUUGGCUUCUUGGGCCAUAUACUGAACCAAGAAGGCGUGGCCGUAGACCCAGAAAAAGUCAAGGCCAUACUGGACUGGAAGCCACCCGCCAAUGUUACUGAUGUGCGGAGUUUCCUGGGAAUGGCCGGAUAUUACAGAAGAUUUAUUGAAGGCUUCUCCACUGUGGCAAAACCUAUGACACAGUUACUCAAGAAAGACAAGAAAUUUGUAUGGACGGAAGCAUGCGAGCAGAGCUUCCAAGAACUCAAGAAGAAGCUGACAACCGCACCGGUCUUAACUGUGCCAGACUUACACAAGAGCUUUGAAGUGUAUUGUGACGCGUCCCGAAAAGGUCUCGGAUGUGUACUAAUGCAGGAUGGCAAAGUUGUCGCAUAUGCCUCCAGGCAGCUGCGAAAACAUGAGGAAAAUUACCCAACACAUGACUUGGAGCUAGCAGCAGUCAUACAUGCACUCAAGGAGUGGAGGCACUUUCUGUUGGGAAAUCGCUGUGAAAUAUAUACAGACCAUAAGAGCCUCAAAUAUAUUUUCACACGGCCAGAGCUGAAUUUACGCCAACGACGCUGGUUGGAACUGGUCAAAGACUAUGACGUCGGCAUUCACUACCACCCAGGGAAAGAAAAUGUAGUAGCCGAUGCCCUUAGUCGAAACCGCAGCCCGGACAAUGACGGUCAGCAAGAUUUGAGGCCUGAGUUUCAGCGAGAGUUCGCUAGGCUCAACAUGAUGUUAGUCUCCAAGGGCACCGUAUCAAAUCUGGAGAUACAACCCACCCUGGUGGAACAAAUUAAGAAGGCUCAACAGGGACAUCCCAGCAUCGAAGGCAUAAAGAAGAAAAUGAAUCUUCGUAAGACUUCCGAGUUCGUCAUCGACAGUGAAGGAACAUUAUGGUACCGAGACAGACUUUGCGUGCCUAACAUUGAGGAACUCAAGCAACAGAUCUUGACGGAAAGCCACACCGCUCCAUACUCAAUCCACCCUGGAGGAACCAAAAUGUACAAGGACAUUCAGGAGAGGUUUUGGUGGCACGGUAUGAAAAGAGAUAUAGCCACAUUCAUUGCUUGUUGCGAUUCGUGUCAGCGCAUCAAGGCCGAGCAUCAAAAGCCAGCAGGGCUACUCCAACCAAACAGAAUACCGGAGUGGAAAUGGGAUGAAAUAGGAAUGGAUUUCAUCGUCGGACUACCCCGAUCACAGCAUGGGAAUGACGCCAUAUGGGUCAUCACAGACCGACUAACCAAGGUUGCUCAUUUCAUUCCCGUGAAGACUACCUACUCCACACAAAUACUGGCAAAGCUUUAUCUCUCUCGUAUAGUUUGCUUGCACGGAGUCCCAAAGACUAUAAUAUCAGACCGAGGCACCCAAUUUGUCUCCAAAUUUUGGGGUCACCUACAACAAGCUCUGGGCACGCAACUAGCUUUCAGUACAGCAUACCACCCUCAGACUGAUGGACAGAUGGAACGUGUGAACCAGAUCCUAGAGGAUAUGCUAAGAGCCUGUGUGCUCACCUAUGGAUCCAGUUGGGAAGAGAGUUUGCCGUAUGCCGAAUUUUCUUACAACAAUAGUUACCAAGCCAGCUUGCAAAUGGCACCCUUUGAAGCAUUGUACGGACGAAGGUGUCGUACCCCACUGAAUUGGUCAGAAACAGGUGACAGCCGUAUCUUCGGCCCAGACAUGCUUAAAGAGGCCGAGGAGAAAGUUAAGCAGAUCAGGGACAGACUCAAGACAGCACAAAGCCGCCAAAAGAGCUACUAUGAUCAGAAGCACCGUGAGGUCAGCUUUGAACUCGGUGAUUCCGUAUACCUCCGAGUAUCUCCUAUGAGGGGUCUACAACGGUUCAAAAUUAAGGGAAAGCUAGCCCCAAGAUUUAUUGGACCAUUUUGUGUAAAGGCACGAAGAGGCACGAUAGCCUACCAACUAGACCUACCCAAGGAGCUGUCAGACGUCCAUGACGUGUUCCACGUCUCACAGUUAAGAAAAUGUGUGAGCAACCCAGAAAAGCAUGUACCUCAUGAGGACAUUGAUAUGCAACCAGAUCUCACCUACAGAGAAAGGCCAGUGAAGAUUUUAGAAGAGUCUGAACGGAGGACCCGUCAGAAAACGACAAAGUUUUUCAGGGUUCAGUGGAGCAACCACACUGAGGAUGAAGCCACAUGGGAAAGGGAAGAUUUCCUCCGGACAGAGUAUCCAUAUCUAUUUGAGGUUCAGCAGAAAUCUCGAGGACGAGAUUUUUCCUAAGGGGGUAGGUGUUGUGACACCCAAGUUUUUAUUUGGAUUUUUCAAAAGGCUUUUAUUUGACUUGAGGGGAGUGAUCAAAAAAUUUUCUUCAAGAAAACUCUCACUCUCAAAUAUUUUCUUUAUGGCAAAAGUUUUAUUUGGAUUCAACCAAGACCUGUCUUUGGUCUUGGAGGUUCUUGCUUUUCACUUGGACUCAAGACAAAAUAUUUUCACUUGGGAAAUGACUUUUGAAAAUCUCCUUGAAAAUUUGCACUAUGGCUUUUGGAAAAUCCUUUGCCACUUUCAAUAAUUCCUUCUUGCCAUGGCCCUAGUGCAAAUCCUCUCCCCUAACCCUUCCCUCACCUUUGGAUCAUGUUUUACACCUAAUCCAGCAAGUUGAACCUCCCCAUGUGUUUAUUUCCAUUUAAAUUCUAUUCAAAUAAUUUUCUGCCUCCUUUUCUAGCACUUGGAGAUUUGCAAAGGAACUCCACUUUCUGUCUUGAUUUUUUGCCCCAAACCUUUUUCCCCUCCUAGUCCUUUGAACCCUCAACCUAGAACCAUGAAGAUCCACUGGUCUUCAGUUCAAAAUUUUCAAACUACAUCUGCUGCAAGUUUGGACCAGAUUUGCCAAAUUUGGUGAAAUUCAUUCAAAACCCCUUCCAAAAAUUCCAAGUAAAAUCAGGCAGCCUCUGGGUGCAUUGAGUGGUCACCUCACCAAGUUACAGCUCCAGAAAAAUUUAUCUCGUUGCAAAAACCUUCUGUCGAACACCUGCAGUGCACUGUCUAUGUCAUGUUCAGAAAAUUCACUGAUUCAGUCAGUGGCUUGCAGUCGUUUUCUUCAGAGAAGGACGUCGACCUCGCCAGUGCCACCGCGUCGCCUUGCUCCUCGUCCCCGCCCUCUUGUUCCUGCACCGCACGAACGCCUGGCGCCUUGCGGGCAUCGGCGACGAGCAGCAGAAGGUGCGCCGCCCCGUGACCGACGCCGGCGGCGGCUUUGCGGACGCCGGCGGGAGACACGGCGCCGACGACGCCACCCAGCGCCGCCCAAACCACCGGAGCUCGCCGCGUGGCCUUCCACUCCCCCGAACGCGCUGCCGCUCUCGUCGUGAACCGCAGGGCGCGGAGCGCGCUCUCUGCCGCCGUUGAGCCCGUGCGGUCACCUCACCGUGGACCGACGCCAUUACGCCAAGACCGACCCCGUUUAGCUGCGAAACGACUCCAGUAACCUCUACUGAUGCUGCCUGGCCGCUCAAACCACCUGCCAAUCCACUGCUCUGCCGUAAUCGCUUGCCGGAGAUUCUCCGUUCACGGCCACCCUGUCGAUCUGCCUAUAAAUAGAGGCCCCGAGCUUCAACUCGAGCACCCACCAUCCCUACACUCCCCCUAGAGCACGCCUAGCCACUGGAAGAGCCCCGAGGAGGUCUCCUUCCUCGACUCCGGCCGCCGCGACCCGCCACGGGAUCCAGCCCGAUUCACCCCCGUGUGCGCUCCUCCGCCUCCAUUCUCUUGCUAGUAGCUUCACCUUGCAUCCCUCGUUCUGAACCACGCCUCAAUUUGUAGCUUGCAGCCCUCCACCGGAGUUCCCCAUCCUCACCCGAGCCGCCGUCCGCCGGAGAUAGUGUCGCCGUCGACGUGGUGCUCCCCGUUGGACGAGUCCACCACCCACCGACGCGGAAGUAGACGCUGAAGCUCUUGGUACCCUCCGUUUCUCCUAACUCGCCGUAGUUCGACGCCGGCGUCCACCGCAGUCUUCGGGCGCCGGCGAGCUUUUUAAACCUGACAGGUGGACCCCGCCUGUCAGCCUCUAUGCUAUUCUCCUUCGAACCGUUUUCUGUUGGCGCCUUCGGGCAAUACGUUUUCUCCCUUGCGCUUGCGCAUUCCCAACCGAAGCGUUUUCAGUUUUCUCAGUUAAAACCCUGGAACUUUUCUGUUUCAUUACAGAUAAGUCCCUGGACAGAAACCUUUAUAACUUUUUAAUAAAAAGGAAUUUUUGAGUGAUUCUUUUUUGACAAUCUUAAAAUUUUGUCUAGUUUUUUAUGGGAUUUAUUUGAAAAAUAUUUUGAAAAGUUUCUGUGCAUGUGUUGGUUUUCACGUUAGUACCCGUUUCGUGAUUGCCGUAGGUUCCGGGAGAGGUGAAGGAGCCGCGAACUUCGCCGAGCUAGACUCCGACUUGUCCGAACCAGGCAAGCAUGUUUUGAACAUUUGAUAUGACAGGUGUUUUGCAUGUUCGCGUGAAAGUUUGUGCGUGGCAUAUGAGUGUCGGUAAAUACCUCGUUGCUUGUAAGGCAACGACCCGGUUGUUCCAAAGUCGCGAUGAUCUCUGAUGAGAGAUGGCCGAAUCAUGUGGUGACAUGAAGGGCAGCAAGGUGGUACUGUUGUAGCAUACCAGCCUUGCGUCAUCCGACUUUCUCCGACGUUAACGUGGUUGGAGCCACGUUAUCGUUCCUUUCCCGCAUGUCCCAAAGUUGCGAUGAUCUCUGAUGAGAGAUGGCCGAAUCAUGUGGUGACAUGAAGGGCAGCAAGGUGGUACUGUUGUAGCAUACCAGCCUUGCGUCAUCCGACUUUCUCCGACGUUAACGUGGUUGGAGCCGCGUUACCGUUCUUUCCCUUUUCCGUGCUACCACAUGUCUCAUUGCCAGGAUGCGGUUUAGUAAGUUGGUAACCUCUUUCCGUGUACACACCAAACAGAGAGGCCGGGAUGAUGGUACCUUGGCCCAGGAUUAAAGCCAGUCAUCCGGUCAGGGGGCAUGGGUGUUUCCGGUUGGGACCGAGAGGGGGGGCACCCCCUUAAAGCGCGCGUAUAGAAAUUUGAUCCCAUGCUACGUGAGGUUGUAGCCUCCCCGUCUCAAGGUUUUUCUUGAAUGUUGCCGAGGGUGAUCCCUGGCUUCGGAUGGUUGAAUUGGGUGUGUACUGGUUAGACGUGUUUCUUCCAAAACACCGUAGACGGAACUAGUCCCCGUGACUACUGAAAUCCGUUGGCUGUGGUUAAGUACAAACUCUGCAGAGUCAACUCUUUCCAAAUCAUCGUAUCCAUGAUCAAGUAGUGUAAACAUUAUAUCCAUUUCUAUCCGUGUGAAAAGCUUGCCCCGGUGAACAAGCUCAAGUGGUAAAUCCAGUUUUAUUGUUAUUUCUGUGGAUGGACUAACCUUAUUUUUGUCGCAUGCUUGUGAUAAUUUAUGUUCCCGAACGAUUGUAUUAUUGAGCUGUGAUAUAAGCCCUUUAUGUGACGUCGCGCAGACGUCCGACUGUGGCGUGUACUCGUUUGGCACCAGUAUUAUUAUUCCGCAUUUUUCCGCUCGAGGAGUCUUUCAGACACUCGUUUGGCACCAGUAUUAUUAUUCCGCAUUUUUCCGCUCGAGGAGUCUUUCAGACACUUGUUUGGCACCAGUAUUAUUAUUCCGCAUUUUUCCGCUCGAGGAGUCUUUCAGACACUCGUUUGGCACCAGUAUUAUUAUUCCGCAUUUUUCCGCUCGAGGAGUCUUUCAGACACUCAUUUGGCACCAGUAUUACUAUUCUACAAUUUCCGCUCGAGGCGUCAUUCAGACCCUCGCUUGGCACCUAGUAUUUAUUAUCUCUAUGUCUGAUCGCACUGGUUAACUUGUUCAUGUGCUUCAUGUUUACAUUUGUUAUACCUUAUGUCUGAACUGUCUUGCGAGUACUUUCAUAGUACUCACCUGGCUUGUUGAUUUGGCCAGAUGUUGACGAAGGCGAUCUCUUGGAUGAAGAGUUUGAUAGCGCGUCCGAUGCCUAGAGGAGUCCCAGUCAGUCCUGCGCGAUCCCGGAUGUUGGUCACUUGUUUUGUAUACGCUUCCGCCACCCGCAAUAAGUCUUCUCGAGCCUCACUCCGACGCUCGAAGAGAUGUAGUCUUCUGGAACCAUAUCACUCGCUUCGCGGUGAUAUUUCCACCACCGUUAUUAUCGUGAGUUAGUAGUUUGCCACCCUAUCCGCCGCCUUGUUUUAGCGGCGUACAUGUAAUAAAUUGUUGGGCAGUCUCUGCUCAACCUUGUAUUAUAUUUAGUACUCCUGGUAUUUUUUUUUCUGUGACCAAGAUAUUGUCUACCAGUGAGAAGGAAUUCUUCCUCGCUGGUCCGUAAAAGGGAUUGGUCUCUCAAUAAUUAUUUUAUUGAAAAACCGGUCGUGACAAAAACUAAGGUUGGGCCUUACUGGAGGAGUUUUAUUCAAGGCGAACUGUCAAGGGGGUCCCAUAAAUCACCCAACCGCGUAAGGAACGCAAACUCAAGGAACAUAACACCGGUAUGACGGAAACUAGGGCGGCAAGAGUGGAACAAAACACCAGGCAUAAGGCCGAGCCUUCCACCCUUUACCAAAUAUAUAGAUGCAUUAAUUAAAUAAGAGAUAUUGUGAUAUUCCAAAAAUAUCCAUGUUCCAACAUGGAACCAACUUCAACUUCACCUGCAACUAGCAACGCUAUAAGAAGGGCUGAGCAAAAGCGGUAACUUAGCCAAACAACAGUUUGCUAGGAAAGGAUGGUUAGAGGCUUGACAUGGCAAUAUGGGAGGCAUGAUAUAGCAAGUGUUAGGUAGCGCAGCAUGGCAAUAGAACGAACAACUAGCAAAGCAAAGAUAGAAGUGAUUUCGAGGGUAUGGUCAUCUUGCCUGCAAGGUUCUCAGAGUUGUCGAAAGCUUGAUCCUCGUAAGCGUACUCAAUAGGUUCCUCGUUCACGAACUCAUCUCCCGGCUCUACCCACAGCAAGAACACAAGCAAUGGAACCACAAUCAAAUACGGGAAAUGCACAAGCAACAUUAUGCAAUACAUGCAUGAUAUGCGAGAUAUGAUAUGCGAUGCGUAUGCGUGCUCCGGAAGAAAAAGGAUGAAUAAGGCAGUAACUUGGAAAACCAAGUAUGCCACUGGAAAGAUGAGAUGAUUUCAGCUGAAAUCAAUAUAAAGAUCACUGGAAACGGAUGCACGGUUUGCACAUGGCAAGCAAAACAAGAAUGACACGAUUCUGCGAUUAACAGCAUGAUAGCACUUAGAAUACAUCAAGUAACUAUGCUACAGCACCCUAACAUAGAAACAAAGCAUAUGGCAGUAAUCUACAGGAGAUGCUUGACAAAAGAUGAACACUGAGCUACGGCUAGAUCACAGUAUAACAGGCUCAAACAAGCAUGGCAAAAAUGCAAAAGAUAUCAGGUUAACAGACUUAGUGAAAUUACUGGGCAUAGCAGAAAACAGCAUCAGGUAGCAAUGUUCAGAGCACGAAAUCAACAUGCUACAGGACUUAACAUAGCCAAAUAAGGCAUGGCAUAAAUGUACUAAAUGCAUAGAACAAAAGUCACUUACUGACCAUGAGCCAAAAAUGAUCAGAAGAUAUUAUGGCACCCAUGUAAACAUAGCAAGUUUCGUUAACAGGUUUCAGACAGCAGAAAACAUAGCAUGGCAUUAACAGCAUUAUGAAGGCAUCUUGGUGAGCUUGAUUCACUCAUCACAAGGCAAUUAAUGAGAAAACAAGCAUACCUACAGCAAGAUGGCUUGUUUAUGAAGCUAACCAUGGCAAGAGCAAUUUCAUAGCAUGUAUGGAUCAACUACAACAACCUUGGAAAAAUUGAAUAUCAUGUUAACAUUCUGCCAGAAAUAUUUUAUAGCAAAAGUAGAGCAAGAUUAAGACAUGCUAGGUCACUCCAUAAUUGCAAACAGGGGCAUGGAUGGAUAGAGCACAACUAUAUCUACAAAACAUCCUUAAUGAACAUACUCAAAAUAAGCAUGGAUCUCUCUGUAGACACAUGGUACAUGGCAACAAAAUAACAGCACAUAAAGGACUUAGCAAAAUCCCAAGUCUCUGAAAACAGAAACAUCACGAAGCCUAGUUUGCAUGCUUGUUCUAGUCACCACAUAGAUCACAAAAAUACAUUGCAUACACCUCUAUAAAGAUAACAUGCCAUAGAUCAAAACACCUGUAGAGCUCAUGCCCAUAACAUGCACACAUCAAAUGCAACAAAAAUAACAAAACACCAAGUUCUGAUAAGUAACAGCAGUAAACAUCAUAUAGCACACUUGCACCAGAUAUUUGGGCAUCAAGAUGAACUCAAACGAGCAUGGCACAAUGGAACAAAAUGAAGAGCAUCUCGUGGCGAACAUUUCGAGAUAUCAUGCAUGCAACACAAAGUAGUAUGCAAAGAGUUAUGAGAUGAUGAAGAGAGCAACAUAUGGUGAAAACUUCGGGACUUGGCAGAAAAUGAGGGGGGGAAAGUCAACCUCUAGAUCUGGAUCAGGGUCCGCACGGAAGCCGAGGCGGCCGAGAUUCCUAGCCGGAGAUGGAAAGGAGGAGGCCGGAGGAGGCAUCGGGCGGACGGGGACGGAGGAGGCCGGGCGGAGGAGGAAGGCGCCGGUGAGGUCGCGGGUGCGCGCGGGCGUCGGCGGGGUGCCGAGGACGGCGGNNNNNNNNNNNNNNNNNNNNNNNNNNNNNNNNNNNNNNNNNNNNNNNNNNNNNNNNNNNNNNNNNNNNNNNNNNNNNNNNNNNNNNNNNNNNNNNNNNNNNNNNNNNNNNNNNNNNNNNNNNNNNNNNNNNNNNNNNNNNNNNNNNNNNNNNNNNNNNNNNNNNNNNNNNNNNNNNNNNNNNNNNNNNNNNNNNNNNNNNNNNNNNNNNNNNNNNNNNNNNNNNNNNNNNNNNNNNNNNNNNNNNNNNNNNNNNNNNNNNNNNNNNNNNNNNNNNNNNNNNNNNNNNNNNNNNNNNNNNNNNNNNNNNNNNNNNNNNNNNNNNNNNNNNNNNNNNNNNNNNNNNNNNNNNNNNNNNNNNNNNNNNNNNNNNNNNNNNNNNNNNNNNNNNNNNNNNNNNNNNNNNNCGGCGGCGGGAGGUCGCGGGAGGAGGCGGCGCGGGGCGCGCGAGGGCACGGGCGACGGACGGCGAAUGGGCCGGGAGGGCCCGACUCGGGCUCUCCGGGCCGCGAGCGGUGGAUGGCGGCGACGGGACACGUGUCAUGGCACGGUUGGACGCGGGCGGUGGCAGCGCUGACGUGGCGGCGGCGGAUUGGCCGGGGUGAGGUGGCGGCGGUUGUGUCCGGCGCCGGGCGGACACGUCCGGCGGCACGGAGGAGCGGGGCUAGGGUUUAUCUGCGAUUUGGACGCAAAUUUCGGAGGGGGAGAUGUUUAUAUAGGCAUAGGGAGCUAGGAGAGUCCAAAUGGAGUGCGGUUUUCGCCCACACGAUCGUGAUCGAACGACCGAGAGCGUGGAGGGGACUUAGAUGGGUUAUUGGGCUGUUUGGAGGGGGGGUUUGCUGCAACACACAAAAGGCCUUUGCGGUUACCCGGUUAACCGUUGGAGCAUCAAACGACCUCCAAAAGGAACAAAACCUUACAGGUGGUCUACCGGUGGUAUACCAAGGCCACUUGACAAACCUCGGUCCAUUCCGAGAACGUUUAACACCCACUCACGAAAAGAAACAAGAGGGGUACGCCGGUGCAAGUGGGAGUGUCGGAUUGCGAAACGGACAACGGGGAAAAUGCUCGGAUGCAUGAGACGAACACGUAUGCAAAUGAGAUGCACAUGAUGACAUGAUAUGAGGUGCAUGACAUGAACAAAAUGCAAAACGAAAGACAAAACCCAACCACGGAGGGAAUAUCAUAACACAUAGCCGAAAAUGGCAAGAGUUGGAGUUACAAAUAUGGAAAGUUACAUCCGGGGUGUUACACCAUGGUUCAUCCUUCGUACGGUAAACUAGAGAAACCUCCGUACACGUUUCAUCGUCAUGCAUGGCAGUGGAAUGUACUAGAUAUGGACCACAUCCACUACGCUGCAAUGGAUGGCUACCUUUGUUUCAAUAUCUACAAGGGUUGGAUGAAGAGCAAGAGCCAAGUGUGCGGUUCAAGCAAAGAAGUAUCGCCCAAGAGGAGGAGGGACAAGGACAAAGUCGCGGACGUGGACGAGGACUCCGAGUAAGGUGGCAGUGCCGUUGCUCAUGGUGGUUCUAAUGUAGUGUCUACCGGAUUAGUUGCUUAGUUUAAUUUCUGGUGUGCUUAGUUUUAUUUGAGGGGUGUGUUGCGCUGAGCCCCCAGCAGAACUAUGUUAUGUUUCUUCUCGUUAUAUUUCGUACAUUUCAUCUUUUAGUUGGUAUAGUACUACCACUCGUUUCUUGACAUUAUAUACGUACAAUAUAUAUGGCCAACAUCAUAUAGCCAGCAGUUUAGUUGUCAAAGAAUUUCAGGGUGCUUAGUUUUGUCAAAGAAUUCCAGGGUGCUUAGUUUUAUUUGCGGGGUGUGUUGUGCUGGACACCAUUAACUUAUCAUUGUGAGAAUCGGCCUAUUUUUGUCAUGUAACAUGGUCAACAGGGUUUGACGUGAAAAUAACAAUGUUUAAUGGCAUUUCUGAGCAAACAUCUAACUUAGCGAUGGCAUUUUUUAGAUAUCUAAUUGCAUUUUUGAGCAGGCAUCUCAUGGAUCGAUGGCAUUUUUUGAGUAGUUGUAACUUCUUAUGGCAAAACUGAGUAGUGAUACACAACUAGUGGCAUAAAUAAUAAGAACCCAAGAAUUAUAUAGGGCUAAUUUAUUUAUUUCUUUAUACCUUUGUGUGCGAAACAAUAUACGCUGCCUACCGCCAGAUUUUCUUUACAGAGGCAACAUAGAACUAUAUGAGUGCCCUGUUAAAUUUUGGAAUUAUUCUGGGUUCGUUUGGCCUUUUUUAUACAUUAAUUGAGUUUCUGGUCAUUAAUGUGCAUAAUUGAAAUUUGAACUACAAGCACAUGCUCCUGUGCACCAAAGUUGACUGAAAAAUCACAUGUGUGUCCUCGGGUGAAUUUCUAGGUCCCAUGCAAGAAAUGGGAAUGAAAUUCAAAUAUCUGGGCAUCGUGGUUCGGCUGAGAACAUUGAGAAGCUUGGUUUUAAAAUUCUUGUAAAUCCAAAACACGCCUGAAAAUCAUGAAACUUGGCAUGGUGUCAUGUCAUGGUACUACCAUGCUGUGGUAAAAAAAUGCAGAAUAGGAACAAGUUUUGGUAUAAGUUUCUUGCAAACCAGAGCUUCUCUCAAGAAGGCUCGUGGUUAUGAGAGGGAACGUGUCACCUUUGUGUGCAUAAUUCAAAUAUUAAAUACAAGCACAUGCUCCAGUGCACCAAAGCUGGUUGAAAAAUCACAUGUGUGUUCUCGGGUAAAUUUCUAGGUCCCAUGCCAGAAAUGGGAAUGAAAUUCAAACAUCUGGGCGUCAUGGCUCGGCUGGAAACAUUGAGAAACUUGGUUUUUUAAUUCCUGUAAAUCCGAAACACGCACAAAAUCAUGAAACUUGGCUUGGUGCCAUGACAUGGCACCAACAUGCUGUGGUAAUUUUGUUGUCCGAUUUGCGAAGGCGCACACAUUAACAAUCAACAAAGUCAUUUUGGAACAAGUGUUGUCACACAAUCGGAAACACAACUAUUAUUGAAACUGUGGGCGUUCUAUUUACCAUUUACGUGUCGCCACGCGUUCCCUUUUUUUAUUAGCUAGGAGGCGCCGUGCAGGGUAACUAUUGGAGUACGGGAGGCGUGCGAUCAGACCCCUGCGCGUGCUUAUCGGGAGGAGAGCCCUUUGACCUCCAUCUGCUGUCCACUCCUGUCCCAAGGUACCAUUAAUGGCGCCCGAGCCUCUGUUUAAUGGUGUGGCAAUGUCUCACUCGACGGAGAUUUAAGAGAGAAAAAAGAAAAUCUGAAAAGAAAUUUUUGCACGGAUCUUGAUGUAAGAUCCGACGGACCUAUAUAGCAUAUACUGCGACUUAUAGCAAGACUGAUGAAUAUAUAUAAGGACGACGAGAGUGGAUAAUAAUUGUCUUACAUAAUUAGGAAGAUAAUUAAAAAAGCCACAUGCGGCUAAAAAGAAGAAGGAAGACGCGUACAACGAUCUGGCUCGCUGAUCUCUACUUUCUUUAUACGCUGCAGGUCGCGGAGACUAGUUCUUGCGGCGGGCGAUGAUCUUUUUCAUCAGUUUCAUGUCCUUAAUACGCUACUUGGCAGCAUCCAUGGAUUCCUCCACCAGCCUGUUGCACUCGAUGCGGAGCAUGGCAUUCUCGUCCAUAAGUUUCUUGAUGAUGACGCCCGUCCUCUACAACACGGCAGCGGUCUCCUCCUCCUGCUUCGCCCUUCCGGCGAUCUUCGCCCUCAGCAGGUCGCGCUCGCCCCGGAGCUUCGCAUUGCCCUCCCCGAGUUGUCGGAUGAUGCCGGUAGCCUCGUCCUGCAUCCUCGCCCAGCCGGACAUCUGAUCCAUCUGGCUAUGGACUAUCACAUGCAUGCGCCUGUAAGAGUCCUCGCCUGCCCGCGAGAAAUUUUCCCAGGCCGCUGCGGCGCAGCGGGACCUCCCUGCUGCUUCGGCGACGUGGCGGGACAUCUCUGUUGCUUCCGCGGCGUGGCCGGACCAGUCUGCUACAUCGACGGCGCGACGGGACCUCCAUGCUGCUUUGGCGGCGCGGCGGGACCUCUGUGCUGCUACUGCUGCGCGGCUGGACAUGUCGGCUACUUUUGCAGCGAGGCGGGACAUCUCUCGUGCUUCCUCUUCCAUGCUCACCUCUCCCUGGUGGAAAUCUCUCGACCCAGAACUCACGCUGGCUAUGGCUUGAUUGUUUCUUGUGGAUGAGGAGUUGAGGAGGAAUGUGCAGUAAUCUUAGCAUAGUAGUAUUUAUAACCGAAUACUACUAAUACGCUCCUAAGUGGGAAACUGUUUAAGUUGUGAUCGGUGUGAACAGGUUUGCAAUUAAAUAUAGCGUGGUAGUAGUAGUAAUUUGGAAUGUGACGAGACGCGCUCAAGAUUUAUUGACGGUUCUAGUUUCGAAGUGCGGCACUAUUCCCGGAUGGCGUAACGUGGCACGUUUUCUCGGCCGUGGUGUAGCAUAUGCCAUGGUACUUGUCGUGGAAUUGUCACGGCAGAUGUCCUCGAGCUAGGACUUAGUCGUGGAGCCAUCGCAACUACCAAGCUUGAAGGGGUUAAGCGGGACAAGGAACACGAGGGUUUAUACUGGUUCGGCCCCUUACGGUGAAGGUAAAAGCCUACGUCCAGUUUGAGGUGGUAUUGAUUAGGGUUUCGAUGACCAGGGAGCUUAACUGCUAUGCCUGGCUCUCGACAAGAUCUUUCUUCUCUCUAAACCGCUGCCGGGUCGUCCCUUUAUAUAGGGAGGCUGACGCCCAGCAGCUCUCAGAGUCCCGGCCGGCUCAUAAGAGUGUCCGGCUCGGACUCUCAACUAUUCUUGCCUUACACUACAAGUUCUACCAUAACAAUGAUUGCAACUACGGGCCUUAAGCCGUAUCCGGGUCUUAAGCCCAUGUCUGGCCCACCGUCUUCAAGCUUAGCACCGGGCUUCUGGCAAUGACCAUAGAAUAACCCGGCCCCUCCUGGCGGGUGACUCUAAGGUCUAUAUCCUCAACAUUAGGCCCCAGAUUGAUUUGAGUCGGCUCAUGUCAAUCUUCAAUUCUUCGAUAGAAAACCUCCGGCUUACCAUUGUGUGAGAGCCAUAACCCAGUGUGACGUCACCCUUCGGACUCCGGGUAAUCCGCCGUGACGUCAUCUUCUAUUAUGCCCGUUUUUUACUCCACCAGAUCCGCAACGGAUCUUAUCUUUACUGCCAUCCCAAAAAUCGAGGCGUUUCGUGGGGAGAUAACCACGCCGUGGUCUCCUCGUUUCUCGCGCCCACUUAUGAGCUCGCCCUUAUAAAUAGGCCGGCCCGACGGGCCUUCAGCCACCCUUCUUCCUCCUCGCGCCACUGUUCCUCUGCUCGAGCUCGAACUCUGCCGCCGCCGCCGCCGCCGCGCCCCCGGUCUUCGUCAACCUUGGCCGCUGCAUCACCCUGACUCGGUCGAGACAAACGGCGGCAACCUCCGCUUCUCUUCAGCACCGGUGAGUCCUCAUUACUCCAUAGGGCAAAUCCGCACUAGGGCUUCAUAGUUCUUCCUCUGUUCUUCGUAGUUCAUUGCGGCCCUCAGUAGAUUUGAAUUUUACUGCCUCUUUUUGAUCUUAGUAUAGGGUAGAACUAGUGCGGCGGCUGUUUAGCCCUCAUUUCAAAUGCAAGUAGGCCUCUUUUUACUGCAUAAAGACCUCAUUCGAGCUUAAGAACUUCCCUCGUGUCUGUUUCUAGGUCUAGAAACUUUUUCUUUUGCCCGACCACUUUGAUCCAAAAUAUUUACCGCAAUGUGUGAAACCUGUUUUCACCAUACUUAGUAAAAAACUGCCCUCAUUGAUCCAUGGAGGUUUACAUUUCCGGCUUAAAGAAAACACGCGCCGUAGAACCUUCCGACUUAAAGGAGACCAUGCACCAUAGAAUUUUCCGUCUCAUCUGUGAUAAGGCUGUAGACAAUUUGAGUUACCCUCAGACACACCAGCGGCUUAGAUAACCCGAUGCACUUAGACAUAUAUCAUUAGUCCCCUCCAUAAACCGCCACCUUAAACCUUAACUUGUAAGUCUCCUCCGGCUCAUUAUUAAACCGGACAUUUUUCCCUGUAUCAUAGGCUUCCAACAGUCACCAUGCCUCCCAAAGCUCCUAAAGCCUCCAUCACUUGCAACUGGAUGAAGUCCAAUGUCACCAACGAGACGUUAGCAGAUUUUGUCAAGUCUGGCUAUUUGCCCAAGAAGGAUGUCAUGUCCUACCGUGCCCCUGACCCGUCAGAAGAGAGACCACAUCCAAAGGACGGGGAGGUAGUGAUUUUUGCGGAUCAUAUGAGCCGGGGCUUCGCACCGCCCGGCUCAAAGUUUUUCAGAGACGUUCUGAAUUUCUUCGAUCUGCGGCCUCAGGACAUAGGACCCAACUCAGUGUCCAAUAUCUGCAACUUCCAAGUGUUCUGCGAGGUUUACCUUGGAGAAGAACCCAGUCUGCUGCUCUUCAGAGAGCUUUUCUAUUUAAACCGCCAGAACGAGUGUGCCAACGGGCCAAGUUUGGAGCUAGGCGGCAUCUCCAUCCAGCGGCGGAGGGACUGCCUUUUCCCUUACGCAGAGUCGCCCAGCCACCCCAAGGACUGGAAUCGGACGUGGUUUUACUGCCAAGACACAUCGCCGGCUGAUGAGAGUCCGUUGCCCGGCUUUCGCCCCUCACGUCUGGAGCCGACUCACCCACUGUCAGACAAGCUGACUCAAGCGGAGCGCCAACCUCUGCUCCCCACCAUCAACAAGAUCAAGGCUCUCCUGGGCAAUGGUCUGAAUGGAAUCGAUCUGGUCCGGGUCUGGAUCUCGUGGCGGGUGAUCCCAUUGAGCCGCCGCCCCGGCUUAAUGUGUGAGUACACGGGCCGAAAGGACGACCCCCAAAGACACAGCCGCAACGAUCUUCCUGAAGACGUUGCAGAGGAGAUGACCAAGGCUCUCUUGAACGAGAGCCUGGCAGACUGCGGAAGGACCGGGUUAGCCCCGUUCUGCAAGACCAACCCAGCCCCAGCGGUAAGCCGCUGACCUGAACAUCUUAUCUGUAUAUAACUUUCAUUUGAAUCGUUUUAAGAAAUCAUCAUUGUAUUUUUCAGGCUGAUGAUAAGUUCUGGCGGGUCAAAUAUGACCAUGAGGCGGCCAAGAAGGCCAGACAGGCAAAGAAAGCCGCCAAGAAAGCCGCCCAUCAUAAGAAAGGAAACAGGCCUACUGCUUCAGAGCUGAUGCAACUAAGCGACAGCUCCGAGUCAGAGGUAACCCCUGAGCCUGUAAGCCCUUGUCGUACUUUGUUGUUUAUUUCUGUCCGCCUUAUCAAUACUUGUUCAUCAAUAGGACGACACCGAAGCAAGUAACCCAGUGGUUGAAGAGGUAACGACAUUUUCCUCCGACUCGGAGCCCUUCCCCAGGCUGAAAAUCCGAAGGGUAACCCGGAAAGUAAGCUUUUCACAUCCUUUAGCUUAUCAAGACCCUCAAUUUAUUUUGAAGCGACAGGUGCAUGAGAGCCGGCGGCACACCCGGACCGAUAAAAGCACCGACCUCUCCUCCGGGUUACCUGACGCAUCGAGGAAACGCCGGACCGAGGUGAUCUCAAAAUUGUACCCUUUUCAUCCUUUGGCAGGUGUUAUACGUCAACCGCUCAACUCUUCUGACUCAAAUUAUCAGGAAACUUCCCCCUCUUCUGGCGACUCUAUGCAGUCAAGCCUGCCGGCCUUCAAGACCGUGCCCGGGUAAUGAUAACCAUCUCAUGUUGUACUUUGUCUUCACUUACCCUAUUGUGCUUAACCUUUCUGUCCUUUCAGUGCCCAGGCCAAGAUCACCAAGAGGGCGAAGAAGUCCAAGCCGGUCGAUGAGCCGGACUUGCCUGAGCCAGAGGCAGCCGCUCAAGAGCCGCCAGCUGCCUCUGCACCUGAGGCCGCUGCCCCAACCACCAAGGCAACUGCAGAAGCUUCUGUUAACCUGGAGGCCUCCAGCUCGGCUCAACCAGCAGAUGACCCGGACGUGGUAAUUACCCGGACGGAGUUUGUUGAGCCGGGGAGACCUACUGCGCUGGCCAAGUGCUCCGCCAAAGGGGAGCUGCUAGAGUCCCGCCGGGUUAACCUGGACCUCACUGACUACUCCAACUUGAACAUUGGAGAGAUUGUCUCCGGCUUCGUCAGCCAAGUGCACAAGAGCCGGGACGCAGAGAUUGCCAUGGUGAACCAGAUCCAGCAGAAAGCUGAGGUAUUAUUCUUCUGUCCUCUUACUUACUGCUUAGUUACCUUGACCAUGCUAGCCCCCAAGUCGACGACUUAUGAUUGAGUAUGUUGUAGACUUAGGUUCCGGCUUACUCCAUUGAACCGGCAAUGUGUAGAUAAAAACGUUCAAUAUGCAUUAGCCCCCAAGUGCCAAGUGUCUUUGCUUGGAAAACGCUUGGGACUUUAAAUUUGUAUAGUAACUGUUCAUGCCAUAACCCGGAAUUUUAUACAGGCUGCUGGCAAGAAGCUUGAGGCUGACCUCGCUGAUCUCAAGAACCGGCUGAAGAUGCAAGAGAUGGAGACCCAGAAGGCAAAUGCCAAGUUUGUGUCCAGCAUCGCCGCGCAAGAGAAGCUGAAGACGGAGUUUGACGCUGAGCGGAAGGCGUGGGCCGAAGAAAAGGCCGCAUUGGUGAACCGGGCUGAACAGGCGGAGAAGGCUCUCUCCGAGAAGACCGCCGAGCUCUCCGGCCUAAAGCGCCAAGUGUCCCAGAUGGUGGCCGCAAUCUUCGGUAAGUCGCCUCACCGGCCUUCAUCAAGUUUAAAAUUUUAUAUCUCAUAAUUCAUCCUUGUCGGCGGCUUAUCUGACUCUGUUAAACAGGUCCCAAAAGUGCCAACCUGAACCAGAGUGUGGUGACCAAGCUGAAGGCCGUAUACACCCUGGUGGAGCAGCUCUACACCGGGUCACAACGUGCCUUAGCUGUGGUGGCCCUUUCCAACGAGGUGCCGACUCACCUGGCGGAAGUUCUUCGCCGGCUCGCCGUUCUGCCUCAACGGAUCCAAGAGCUGCGACGGGCCUCUGCAAGAGCAGGAGCGAUCGCUGCACUGAGCCGGGCCAAGGCGUUCCUGCCAGAGUUAGACCCGGCGGACAUCGCCCUUGGCUAUCCAAGCCUGAAGGAAGACGGCACCGCCUUCGAUCAGAAGGAUUUCGCAGCUUGCGUGAAGGCCGUACGCCCGGUGGCCACUCUGAUUGGCAAUGAUACAGAUCUGUCUAAGUAUCAGCCGGGCUACGAUGCAGAAAAUCAGAGGAUACCUACUCCGCGCUAUGAAGCCCUCAACUCGAUCCCGCCGGCUCGUCAGCACACCUUCGCCCCGGAGAUUGACCGGCCGGGUUAAUUGACGAGGAAGCCAAAUUCGAAGCUCUCAGCGGCAUCGACUGGAAGUCAUCAACCUUCGAGGUCUUGGGAUCAGCCGGAGGAGAAGAGAGGAACGAGCCAGAGACUUCAACCCAGCAAGCGUCAUAACUCGGCUGGCGGCUUAUCAAACAAUGCCUCACCCUUUUGGACUCAAUGAGUCUUGUAAUAGAGUAGGACCAAUACUUUAUCUUUGUCGUGCCAUCGCGCACGCCUUGAAUGCUGAAGUCUGUUGAAGUUGUCUCCUUUAUGUUUCUCCGGGUUGUAAUCAAUCAUUUGUUUUCCUUAAUCUCAAAAUAGUUGCCUUUAACUAUCCUGCAGAGAAGGACAAAUCACAAGUCUCGAGGCGGCUUACCGCCCUGAGAAUCAUAAGUUUUAAAUAUACAACCCGGAAUAUGAAUCAAAAAGGACCGGUCUUCAAUUAUAUCCUUAACACAGCCGUAAUAACAUACUUAGCGGCCUGCCAGCAUACUUCCGGCUUAAAUAACCCGGGUAGUAAGGUUGGUACCCCAAUUCUGGUUUACCUGUCUUAAUAACACCCAUUGUGUUCAGCUAAUACUACAAACCAAAGUUAAGCCGACAAAGCGAGACCCGGCCGCACACUCGUUGAAAUAAUGAGACGAAACUGACUAUAAAGUAGAAGAACUUAGGGGCUUCCGGUUCGAAUACGACCAGAGACCCGGGCCAAAGGGGUUAUGCUAGGAUUCGAAUGCGAUCAUAUAGCCCCCAGUGGGUGUGGCGAUGCCAAUCAAGAGGGUACCGACAACUAUGUUCUCUUUGGUUCGAAUACGACCCAUGUUUGAACAGGAAGCCCCCAAGUGAUUUUAAGAAUUGUUUAACGACGCUGAUUCGAAUACGAUCCACGUCGGUUCCCAAAGGGGUUAAACUAUGAUUCAAAUAUGAUCAAAGAAAAUUCCCCAAUGAGCUCGGCACUUUGCCAAUCAAAUGGGUAUCGACAGCUAUGUUCUCUUUGGUUCGAAUACGACCUAUGUUUGAACAGGAAGCCCCCAAGUGACCUUAUUGCUUACGGCUAGAUUCGAAUACGAUCAUACGCCGGAUCCUCCUUCAAGUUAUCAUGUAAUCUUGUAAUGAAAACAACACGUGCAUAUUUGGAGGAAAAAGGACAGAGGUCCUGCUUUAUUGCUUAUCAUAAUAUAUACAUGGCUGAGGGAAAUAUGUACAUUAUGAGAGCCGGUGGCUUCAAGUGUAGUAAGGCCGAAGCUGAGCUAUGUUCCACGGCCGACGGGUCUCUUCCUCCGACUUACGUGAAUCUUUAUGCUCCCGAAUGUCAAUGAGGUAAUAUGACCCGUUGUGCAAAUUCUUGCUGACCACAAAGGGCCCUUCCCAAGGUGGGGAUAGCUUGUGCGCAUCUGUUUGAUCUUGGAUGAGCCGGAGCACAAGAUCACCUUCCUGGAAGACCCGGGAUUUAACCCGGCGACUAUGAUAACGGCGUAGGUCUUGUUGGUAAAUCGCUGAGCGAGCUGCUGCCACAUCACGCUGUUCGUCCAACAAGUCAAGAGCAUCUUGUCGCGCCUGUUCAUUGUCCGCCUCAACAUAAGCCGCCACUCGAGGCGAGUCAUGCCGGAUGUCACUGGGGAGGACUGCCUCUGCCCCAUAAACCAUGAAGAAAGGUGUGAAGCCUGUAGAUCUGUUAGGAGUAGUGUUGAUGCUCCAUAACACGGAGGGCAACUCCUCUACCCAACAACCCGGCGUCCAUUGCAAAGGGACCAAAAGCCGGGGCUUGAUGCCCUUCAGAAUCUCCUGAUUAGCUCUCUCAGCUUGACCAUUGGAUUGAGGAUGAGCAAAUGAGGAGACAUCAAGUCGGAUAUGCUCUCGUUGACAAAACUCUUCCAUGGCGCCUUUGGAAAGAUUGGUGCCAUUGUCAGUUAUAAUGCUGUGCGGAAAGCCAAAGCGAAAGAUCACCUUCUUCAUGAACUGAACUGCUGUGGCCGCAUCACACUUGCUAACUGGCUCUGCUUCUACCCACUUGGUAAAUUUGUCAACUGCCACCCAAAGGUGGGUCUUCUUAUCCUUGGAUCGUUUGAAAGGCCCAACCAUAUCAAGCCCCCAGACCGCAAAGGGCCAAGUAAUUGGGAUCAUCCACAUGAGCCCGUCGUGAGAACCUCUGGCAACCAUCACAUUUACUGACCAAGUCCUCUGCAUCAGCAUGAGCCGUCAGCCAAUAAAAACCAUGGCGAAAAGCCUUGGCCACAAGAGACUUUGAGCCAGCGUGAUGGCCACAAUCCCCUUCAUGAAUCUCACGCAAGAUCUCUUGACCUUCCUCAGGGGAGACACAACGCCGAAACGCUCCUGUAACACUGCGAUGAUGCAACUCGCCAUUGAUAACAAUCAUUGACUUAGCCCGCCGGGUUAUUUGCCUGGCCAAAGUUUCAUCCUCAGGCAACUCACCCCGGGUCAUGUAAGCCAAAUAGGGCAUUGUCCAGUCCGGUAUGAUGUGGAGAGCCGCCACCAGUCGUGCCUCCGGGUCAGGGACAGCCAAGUCUUCUUCUGUAGGCAGCUUGACAGAAGGGUUAUACAGGACAUCCAGGAAAGUAUUAGGCGGCACCGGCUUUCGCCGAGAGCCUAGCCGGCUUAGAGCAUCAGCCGCCUCGUUCUUCCUGCGAUCAAUGUGCUCUACUUGGUAGCCCUGAAAGUGCCCAGCAAUGGCAUCAACUUCGCGGCGAUAAGCCGCCAUGAGAGGGUCCUUAGAGUCCCACUUGCCUGAUACUUGUUGAGCCACCAAGUCUGAGUCACCGAAACACCUUACCCAGCUCAAGCCCAUCUCCUUAGCCAUCCGAAGACCGUGGAGCAAGGCCUCGUACUCAGCCGCAUUGUUAGUGCAAGGAAACAUCAACUGUAGCACAUAAUGGAACUUGUCACCUUUAGGGGAAGCCAAUACAACUCCAGCCCCCGAGCCCUCCAACUGCCUGGACCCAUCGAAGUGAAUAGUCCAAUAUGUGUUAUCCGGCUUUUGCUCGGGCACUUGUGACUCUGUCCAAUCAUUGAUGAAAUCCACCAAGGCCUGAGAUUUGACAGCAGUGUGUGGCACAUAUUUGAGAUCAUGAGGUCCGAGCUCGACAGCCCACUUAGCCACUCUCCCUGUGGCCUCUCUGUUUUGAAUGAUAUCACCAAGAGGGGCAGAACUGACCACAGUUAUGGGAUGACCCUGGAAAUAGUGCUUAAGCUUCCGGCUUGCCAUAAACACACCAUAAAGAAGCUUCUGCCAAUGCGGAUACCGCUGUUUGGACUCGAUGAGCACUUCGCUGACAUAAUAAACCGGCCGCUGAACCGGAUGCUCCUUACCCUCUUCCUUGCGCUCCACCACUAUAGCCAACACUGACGGCUCGUGUGUUCGCCGCCACAUAUAAUAAUAAGGGCUCUUUAUCAACCGGAGCAGCAAGGACUGGAGGCUCUGCCAGCUGCUUCUUUAACUCCUCAAAGGCAGUAUUAGCUACAUCAUUCCAGACAAAGUUAUCAGUUUUCUUCAUCAACUGAUAUAAUGGCAUGGCCUUCUCACCCAAACGGCUUAUGAACCGGCUUAAAGCAGCGAUGCGACCCGCCAAGCACUGAACGUCAUUUAUACACGCCGGCUUAGCCAGGGAGGUGAUGGCCUUGAUCUUCUCCGGGUUAGCUUCAAUGCCUCUGUCAGAAACCAAAAAACCCAAGAGUUUGCCUGCAGGAACACCAAAAACACACUUGGCCGGGUUAAGCAUCAUCUUGUAGACCCGGAGAUUAUCAAAGGUUUCCCUUAAAUCAUCUAUCAGGGUUUCCUCUUUUAUGGAUUUAACCACAAUAUCGUCCACAUAAGCAUGAACGUUGCGCCCAAUCUGGUUAUGAAGACAGUUAUGUACACAACGCUGAUAAGUCGCCUGUGCACACUUGAGUCCAAAAGGCAUAGACACAUAGCAGAAGGCUCCAAAGGGAGUAAUGAACACCGUCUUCUCCUGGUCCUUGACUGCCAUUUUAAUCUGAUGAUAUCCGGAAUAAGCAUCCAAGAAACUUAAGCGCGCACAUCCUGCCGUAGCAUCAAUAAUUUGAUCAAUACGGGGAAGGGCAAAAGGAUCAGCCGGACACGCCUUGUUUAAGUCCGUGUAGUCCACACACAUCCGCCAAGUGUCGUUCUUCUUGAGUACGAGCACCGGGUUAGCUAACCAUUCCGGGUGAAAGACUUCAACAAUAAACCCGGCCGCCAAGAGCCGGGCCACCUCUUCACCAAUAGCUUUCCGCCUCUCUUCAUUAAACCGCCGAAGGAAAUGCCUGACCGGCUUAAAUUUUGGAUCAACAUUGAGAGUGUGCUCAGCGAGUUCUCUAGGUACACCUGGCAUGUCAGAGGGUUUCCAUGCGAAGAUGUCCCUAUUCUCACGGAUGAACUCGAUGAGCGCACUUUCCUAUUUUGGAUCCAGAUUUGCACUGAUGCUAAACUGCUGAGAUGAAUCUCCUGGAACAAAAUCAACAAGCUUAGUUUCAUCAGCCGACUUAAAUUUCAUCGCCGGCUCAUUUUCCGUAGUCGGCUUUUUCAGAGAGGUCAUAUCUGUUGGGUCACCAUUGUCUUUGUAAAACUUCAACUCCUCUGUUGCACAAACAGAUUCUACAUAAGCCGCAUCGCCUUCCUCACACUCCAGAGCCACCUUCCGGCUGCCGUGAACCGUAAUGGUCCCAUCGUGACCCGACAUCUUGAGCUGUAAGUACACAUAACACGGCCGUGCCAUGAACUUGGCGUAAGCCGGCCGUCCAAAUAUAGCAUGGUAGGGACUUCUUAUCUUGACCACCUCAAAGGUCAACUUCUCCACCAUGUAGUUGUUCUCAUCUCCAAAGGCCACUUCCAACUCAAUCUUGCCGACUGGAUAAGCCGACUUACCAGGUACCACACCGUGGAAAAUAGUGUUGGACUGGCUGAGGUUCUUAUCAAUCAACCCCAUACGACGGAAUGUUUCAUAAUAGAGGAUGUUGAUGCUGCUGCCUCCAUCCAUGAGCACCUUAGUGAACUUAUAUCCUCCCACCUGAGGAGCCACCACCAGGGCCAAGUGACCCGGAUUAUCCACCCGUGGAGGGUGAUCCUGUUGGAAAUAUGCCCUAGAGGCAAUAAUAAAUGGUUAUUAUUAUAUUUCUUUGUUCAUGGUAAUUGUCUAUUGUUCAUGCUAUAAUUGUAUUGUCCGGAAUUCGUAAUACAUGUGUGAAUACAUAGACCACAACGUGUCCCUAGUAAGCCUCUAAUUGACUAGCUCGUUGAUCAACAGAUAGUCAUGGUUUCCUGACAAUGGACAUUGGAUGUCAUUGAUAACGGGAUCACAUCAUUAGGAGAAUGAUGUGAUGGACAAGACCCAAUCCUAAGCAUAGCAUAAAAGAUCGUGUAGUUUCGUUUGCUAGAGCUUUUCCAAUGUCGAGCAUCUUUUCCUUAGACCAUGAGAUCGUGCAACUCCCGGAUACCGUAAGAGUACUUUGGGUGUGCCAAACGUCACAACGUAACUGGGUGACUAUAAAGGUGCACUACGGGUAUCUCCGAAAGUGUCUGUUGGGUUGGCACGGAUCGAGACUGGGAUUUGUCACUCCGUGUGACGGAGAGGUAUCUCUGGGCCCACUCGGUAAUGCAUCAUCAUAAUGAGCUCUAUGUGACUAAGGCGUUAGUCACGGGAUCAUGCAUUGCAGUACGAGUAAAGAGACUUGCCGGUAACGAGAUUGAACAAGGUAUUGGGAUACCGACGAUCGAAUCUCGGGCAAGUAACAUACCGAUUGACAAAGGGAAUUGCAUACGGGAUUGAUUGAAUCCUCGACAUCGUGGUUCAUCCGAUGAGAUCAUCCUGGAACAUGUGGGAGCCCACAUGGGUAUCCAGAUCCCGCUGUUGGUUAUUGACCGGAGAGGCGUCUCGGUCAUGUCUGCAUGUCUCCCGAACCCGUAGGGUCUACACACUUAAGGUUCGGUGACGCUAGGGUUGUAGAGAUAUGUGUAUGCGGAAACCUGAAAGUUGUUUGGAGUCCCGGAUGAGAUCCCGGACAUCACGAGGAGUUCCGGAAUGGUCCGGAGGUGAAGAAUUAUAUAUAGGAAGUCAAGUUUCGGCCACCGGGAAAGUUUCGGGGGUUACCGGUAUUGUACCGGGACCAACGGAAGGGUCCCGGGGGGUCCACCAGGUGGGGCCACCUAUCCCGGAGGGCCCCGUGGGCUGAAGUGGGAAGGGAACCAGCCCCAAGUGGGCUGGGCGCCCCCCAUGGGCCUCCCCCUGCGCCUAGGGUUGGAAACCCUAGGGUGGGGGGCGCGCCACUUGCCUUGGGGGGUAAGUUACCCCCCUGGCCGCCGCCCCCCACCCUAGAUGGGUUCUGGCCGGCGCCCCCCCCUCCCAGGGGGCCUAUAUAAAGGGGGGAGGGAGGGCAGUAGAAUACAGCCUUGGGCGCCUCCCUCCUCCUCUGCAACACCUCUCUCUCUCGUAUAAGCUCGGCGAAGCCCUGCCGACAUCCCGCUGCAUCCACCACCACGCGGUCGUGCUGCUGGAUCUCCAUCAACCUCUCCUUCCCCCUUGCUGGAUCAAGAAGGAGGAGACGUCGCUGCACCGUACGUGUGUUGAACGUGGAGGUGCCGUCCGUUCGGCACUCGGUCAUCGGCGAUUUGGAUCACGGCGAGUACGACUCCGUCAUCCACGUUCAUUGGAACGCUUCCGCUCGCGAUCUACAAGGGUAUGUAGAUGCACUCCUUUCCCUCGUUGCUAGUAUACUCCAUAGAUGCAUCUCGGUGAGCGUAGGAAAAUUUUAAAAUUAUGCUACGAUUCCCAACAGUGGCAUCAUGAGCCAGGCCUAUGCGUAGUUACUAUGCACGAGUAGAACACAAAGAAGUUGUGGGCGUUGAUGUUGCCAAUUCUUCUUGCCGCUACUAGUCGUUUCUUGUUUCGGCGGCAUUGUAGGAUGAAGCGGCCCGGACCGACCUUACACGUACGCUUACGUGAGACAGGUUCCACCGACUGACAUGCACUAGUUGCAUAAGGUGGCUAGCGGGUGUCUGUCUCUCCUACUUUAGUCGGAACGGAUUCGAUGAAAAGGUUCCUUAUGAAGGGUAAAUAGAAAUUGGCAAAUCACGUUGUGGUCAUACGUAGGUAAGAAACGUUCUUGCUAGAAACCUACAAACCACGUAAAAACUUGCAACAACAAUUAGAGGACGUCUAACUUGUUUUUGCAGCAUGUGUUAUGUGAUGUGAUAUGGCCAGAAGAUGUGAUGAAUGAUAUAUGUGAUGUAUGAGAUUGAUCAUAUUCUUGUAAUAGGAAUCACGACUUGCAUGUCGAUGAGUAUGACAACCGGCAGGAGCCAUAGGAGUUGUCUUUAUUAUUUUGCAUGACCUGCGUGUCAUUGAAUAACGCCAUGUAAAUUACCUUACUUUGUUGCUAAACGCGUUAGCCAUAGAAGUAGAAGUAAUCGUUGGCGUGACGACUUCAGCAAGACACGAUGAUGGAGAUCAUGAUGAUGGAGAUCAUGGUGUCAUGCUGGUGACGAAGAUGAUCAUGGUGCCCCGAAGAUGGAGAUCAAAGGAGCAUGAUGAUAUUGGCCAUAUCAUGUCACUAUUUGAUUGCAUGUGAUGUUUAUCAUGUUUUUGCAUCUUAUUUGCUUAGAACGACGGUAGUAAGUAAGAUGAUCCCUUAUGAUAAUUUCAAGAAAAGUGUUCCCCCUAACUGUGCACCGUUGCGAAGGUUCGUUGUUUCGAAGCACCACGUGAUGAUCGGGUGUGAUAGAUUCUAACGUUCGCAUACAACGGGUGUUGCCGAGCCUAGCAUGUACAGACAUGGCCUCGGAACACACGCAAUACACUUAGGUUGACUUGACGAGCCUAGCAUGUACAGACAUGGCCUCGGAACACGGAGGACCGAAAGGUCGAGCAUGAGUCGUAUAGAAGAUACGAUCAACAUGGAGAUGUUCACCGAUCUUGACUAGUCCGUCUCACGUGAUGAUCGGACACGGCCUAGUUAACUCGGAUCAUGUUUCACUUAUAUGACUAGAGGGAUGUCUAUCUGAGUGGGAGUUCAUUAAAUAAUUUGAUUAGAUGAACUUAAUUAUCAUGAACUUAGUCUAUAAACUUUACACUAUGUCUUGUAGAUCAAAUGGCCAACGUUGUCCUCAAUUUCAACGCGUUCCUAGAGAAAACCAAGCUGAAAGAUGAUGGCAGCAACUAUACGGACUGGGUCCGGAACCUGAGGAUCAUCCUCAUAGUAGCCAAGAAAGAUUAUGUCUUAGAAGCACCGCUAGGUGAAGCACCAAUCCCUGAGAACCAAGACGUUAUGAACGCUUGGCAGCAGCGUGCUGAUGAUUACUCCCUCGUUCAGUGCGGCAUGCUUUACAUCUUAGAACCGGGUCUCCAAAAGCGUUUUGAGAAACAUGGAGCAUAUGAGAUGUUCGAGGAGCUGAAAUUGGUUUUCCAAGCUCAUGCCCGGGUCGAGAGAUAUGAAGUCUCCGACAAGUUCUUUAGCUGUAAAAUGGAGGAAAAUAGUUCUGUAAGUGAGCACAUACUCAGAAUGUCUGGGUUGCACAACCGCUUGACUCAUCUGGGAGUUAAUCUCCCGGAUGACGCGGUCAUUGACAGAAUCCUUCAGUCGCUUCCACCAAGCUACAAGAGCUUUGUGAUGAACUUCAAUAUGCAGGGGAUGGAAAAGACCAUCCCUGAGAUAUAUUCAAUGCUGAAAUCAGCGGAGGUGGAAAUCAGAAAAGAACAUCAAGUGUUGAUGGUGAAUAAAACCACUAAGUUCAAGAAGGGCAAGGGUAAGAAGAACUUCAAGAAGGCGGCAAGGGAGUUGCCGCGCCCGGUAAGCCAGUUACCGGGAAGAAGUCAAAGAAUGGACCCAAGCCUGAAACUGAGUGCUUUUAUUGCAAGGGAAGUGGUCACUGGAAGCGGAACUGCCCCAAAUACUUAGCGGACAAAAAGGCCGGCAACACCAAAGGUAUAUGUGAUAUACAUUUAAUUGAUGUGUACCUUACCAGUACUCGUAGUAGCUCCUGGGUAUUUGAUACCGGUGCGGUUGCUCAUAUUUGUAACUCAAAACAGGAACUACGGAAUAAACGGAGACUGGUGAAGGACGAGGUGACGAUGCGCGUCGGGAAUGGUUCCAAGGUCGAUGUGAUCGCCGUCGGCACGCUACCUCUGCAUCUACCCACGGGAUUAGUUUUAAACCUCAAUAAUUGUUAUUUAGUGCCAGCUUUGUGCAUGAACAUUGUAUCUGGAUCUCGUUUAAUUCGAGAUGGCUACUCAUUUAAAUCCGAGAAUAAAGGUUGUUCUAUUUUUUUGAGAGAUAUGUUUUACGGUCAUGCCCCGCUGGUUAAUGGUUUAUUCUUGAUGAAUCUCGAACGUGAUGUUACACAUAUUCAUAAUGUGAAUACCAAAAGAUGUAAAGUUGAUAACGAUAGUCCCACAUACUUGUGGCACUGCCGCCAUGGUCACAUUGGUGUCAAGCGCAUGAAGAAGCUCCAUGCAGAUGGACUUUUGGAGUCUCUUGAUUACGAAUCAUUUGACACAUGCGAACCAUUCCUCAUGGGUAAGAUGACCAAGACUCCGUUCUCCGGAACAAUGGAGCGAGCAACCAACUUAUUGGAAAUCAUACAUACCGAUGUGUGUGGUCCAAUGAGUGUUGAGGCUCGCGGAGGAUAUCGUUAUGUUCUCACUCUCAUUGAUGAUUUAAGUAGAUAUGGGUAUGUCUACCUAAUGAAACACAAGUCUGAAACCUUUGAAAAGUUCAAGGAAUUUCAGAGUGAAGUUGAGAAUCAACGUGACAGAAAAAUAAAAUUCUUACGAUCAGAUCGUGGUGGAGAAUAUUUAAGUCACGAAUUUGGUACACACUUAAGGAGAUGUGGAAUAGUUUCACAACUCACGCCGCCUGGAACACCUCAGAGAAACGGUGUGUCCGAACGUCGUAAUCGCACUCUAUUGGAUAUGGUGCGAUCUAUGAUGUCUCUUACCGAUUUACCGCUCUCAUUUUGGGGCUAUGCUUUAGAGACUGCCGCAUUCACUUUAAAUAGGGCUCCGUCGAAAUCCGUUGAGACGACACCGUAUGAAUUAUGGUUUGGGAAGAAACCUAAGCUGUCGUUUCUAAAAGUUUGGGGAUGCGAUGCUUAUGUCAAGAAACUUCAACCUGAAAAGCUCGAACCCAAGUCGGAAAAAUGCGUCUUCAUAGGAUACCCUAAGGAAACCAUUGGGUAUACCUUCUACCUAAGAUCCGAAGGCAAGAUCUUCGUUGCCAAGAAUGGGUCCUUUCUAGAGGAGUUUCUCUCAAAAGAAUUGAGUGGGAGGAAAGUGGAACUUGAUGAGGUGAUAGUCACCCCUUCCGAACCGGAAAGUAGCGCAGCGCGGGAAGAUGUUCCUGUGGUGCCUACACCGACUGGGGAGGAAGUUAAUGAUGAUGAUCAUGAAGCUUCGGAUCAAGUUACUACUGAACUUCGUAGGUCCACAAGGACACGUUCCGCGCCAGAGUGGUACGGCAACCCUGUCCUAGAAAUCAUGUUGUUAGACAACGGUGAACCUUCGAACUAUGAAGAAGCGAUGGCGGGCCCGGAUUCCGACAAAUGGCUGGAAGCCAUGAAAUCCGAAAUAGGAUCCAUGUAUGAAAACGAAGUAUGGACUUUGACUGACUUGCCCGAUGAUCGGCGAGACAUAGAAAACAAAUGGAUCUUUAAGAAGAAAACGGACGCGGAUGGUAAUGUGACCAUCUACAAAGCUCGACUUGUCGCUAAGGGUUAUCGACAAGUUCAAGGGGUUGACUUCAAUGAGACUUUCUCACCCGUAGCGAAGCUGAAGUCCGUCCGAAUCAUGUUAGCAAUUGCCGCAUACUAUGAUUAUGAGAUAUGGUAGAUGGACGUCAAAACGGCAUUCCUUAACGGCUUCCUUAAGGAAGAGUUGUAUAUGAUGCAGCCGGAAGGUUUUGUCGUUCCUAAGAAUGCUAACAAAGUAUGCAAGCUCCAACGCUCAAUCUAUGGGUUGGUGCAAGCAUCUCAGAGUUGGAACAUUCGCUUUGAUGAAAUGAUCAAAGCGUUUGGGUUUACACAGACUUAUGGAGAAGCCUGUGUUUACAAGAAAGUGAGUGGGAGCUCUGUAGCAUUUCUCAUAUUAUAUGUGGAUGACAUACUAUUGAUGGGAAAUGAUAUAGAAUUCUUGGAAAGUAUAAAGGCCUAUUUGAAUAAGUGUUUUUCAAUGAAGGACCUUGGAGAAGCUGCUUAUAUAUUAGGCAUCAAGAUCUAUAGAGAUAGAUCGAGACGCCUCAUUGGUCUUUCACAGAGUACAUACCUUGACAAGAUAUUGAAGAAGUUCAAUAUGGAUCAGUCCAAGAAGGGGUUCUUGCCUGUAUUGCAAGGUGUGCAAUUGAGCACGGCUCAAUGCCCGACCACGGCAGAAGAUAUAGAAAAGAUGAGUGUCAUCCCCUAUGCCUCGGCCAUAGGGUCUAUUAUGUAUGCCAUGCUGUGUACCAGACCUGAUGUAAACCUUCCCGUAAGUUUGGUAGGAAGGUACCAAAGUAAUCCUGGCAUGGAACACUGGACAGCGGUCAAGAAUAUCCUAAAGUACCUGAAAAGGACCAAGGAUAUGUUUCUCGUUUAUGGAGGUGACGAAGAGCUCAUCGUAAAGGGUUACGUCAACGCUAGCUUCGACACAGAUCUGGAUGACUCAAAGUCACAAACCGGAUACGUGUAUAUUUUGAAUGGAGGAGCAGUAAGCUGGUGCAGUUGCAAGCAAAGCGUCGUGGCGGGAUCUACAUGUGAAGCGGAGUACAUGGCAGCCUCGGAGGCAGCGCAGGAAGCAGUCUGGAUGAAGGAGUUCAUUACCGACCUAGGGGUGAUUCCCAAUGCGUCGGGCCCGAUGACUCUCUUCUGUGACAACACUGGAGCUAUUGCCCUUGCGAAGGAGCCCAGAUUUCACAGGAAGACCAGGCAUAUCAAGCGUCGCUUCAACUCCAUUCGUGAAAGUGUUCAAAAUGGAGACAUAGAUAUUUGUAAAGUGCAUACGGACCUGAAUGUAGCAGAUCCGUUGACUAAACCUCUCCCUAGAGCAAAACAUGAUCAACACCAGGACGCAAUGGGUGUUCGAUUCAUCACAAUGUAACUAGAUUAUUGACUCUAGUGCAAGUGGGAGACUGUUGGAAAUAUGCCCUAGAGGCAAUAAUAAAUGGUUAUUAUUAUAUUUCUUUGUUCAUGGUAAUUGUCUAUUGUUCAUGCUAUAAUUGUAUGUCCGGAAAUCGUAAUACAUGUGUGAAUACAUAGACCACAACGUGUCCCUAGUAAGCCUCUAAUUGACUAGCUCGUUGAUCAACAGAUAGUCAUGGUUUCCUGACUAUGGACAUUGGGUGUCAUUGAUAACGGGAUCACGUCAUUAGGAGAAUGAUGUGAUGGACAAGACCCAAUCCUAAGCAUAGCAUAAAAGAUCGUGUAGUUUCGUUUGCUAGAGCUUUUCCAAUGUCGAGCAUCUUUUCCUUAGACCAUGAGAUCGUGCAACUCCCGGAUACCGUAAGAGUACUUUGGGUGUGCCAAACGUCACAACGUAACUGGGUGACUAUAAAGGUGCACUACGGGUAUCUCCGAAAGUGUCUGUUGGGUUGGCACGGAUCGAGACUGGGAUUUGUCACUCCGUGUGACGGAGAGGUAUCUCUGGGCCCACUCAGUAAUGCAUCAUCAUAAUGAGCUCUAUGUGACUAAGGCGUUAGUCACGGGAUCAUGCAUUGCGGUACGAGUAAAGAGACUUGCCGGUAACGAGAUUGAACAAGGUAUUGGGAUACCGACGAUCGAAUCUCUGGCAAGUAACAUACCGAUUGACAAAGGGAAUUGCAUACGGGAUUGAUUGAAUCCUCGACAUCGUGGUUCAUCCGAUGAGAUCAUCGUGGAACAUGUGGGAGCCAACAUGGGUAUCCAGAUCCCGCUGUUGGUUAUUGACCAGAGAGGCGUCUCGGUCAUGUCUGCAUGUCUCCCGAACCCGUAGGGUCUACACACUUCAGGUUCGGUGACGCUAGGGUUGUAGAGAUAUGUGUAUGUGGAAACCCGAAAGUUGUUCGGAGUCCCGGAUGAGAUCCCGGACGUCACGAGGAGUUCCGGAAUGGUCCGGAGGUGAAGAAUUAUAUAUAGGAAGUCAAGUUUCGGCCACCAGGAAAGUUUCGGGGGUUACCGGUAUUGUACCGGGACCACCGGAAGGGUCCCGGGGGUCCACCGCGUGGGGCCACCUAUCCCGGAGGGCCCCGUGGGCUGAAGUGGGAAGGGAACCAGCCCCUAGUGGGCUGGGCGCCCCCCCAUGGGCCUCCCCCCUGCGCCUAGGGUUGGAAACCCUAGGGUGGGGGGCGCCCCACUUGCCUUGGGGGGUAAGUUACCCCCCUGGCCGCCGCCCCCCACCCUAGAUGGGUUCUGGCCGGCGCCCCCCCUCCCAGGGGGCCUAUAUAAAGGGGGGAGGGAGGGCAGUAGAAUACAGCCUUGGGCACCUCCCUCCUCCCCUGCAACACCUCUCUCUCUCGUAUAAGCUCGGCGAAGCCCUGCCGACAUCCCGCUGCAUCCACCACCACGCCGUCGUGCUGCUGGAUCUCCAUCAACCUCUCCUUCCCCCUUGCUGGAUCAAGAAGGAGGAGACGUCGCUGCACCGUACGUGUGUUGAACGCGGAGGUGCCGUCCGUUCGGCACUCGGUCAUCGGUGAUUUGGAUCACGGCGAGUACGACUCCGUCAUCCACGUUCAUUGGAACGCUUCCGCUCGCGAUCUACAAGGGUAUGUAGAUGCACUCCUUUCCCUCGUUGCUAGUAUACUCCAUAGAUGCAUCUUGGUGAGCGUAGGAAAAUUUUAAAAUUAUGCUACGAUUCCCAACAGAUCCUCCCUGCUCCACACUAUAGGCUGCUCAGACCACCGCAAGUAGCGUGGAACCGCCGGCUCAACAGCAUUCACAGCCCUCUUAUGAAGUUUCUGAUCUCGCUUGCACAGACUAGUGGUAAACACAUGAUACUGUCCACGGCUAAGCUGCUUUGGAUUGGUCUGAUAACCCCCCUGCUGCUGUUGAUGACCCUGGCCAGACUGCUGGUUAAAGCCCCCUUGACCGUUCUGAGGAUUAGAAUUUGAGCUGCCGCCCGGGCCAUGAAAGCCGCCGGCGCCUGAGCCGCCGCCCGGGCCGUUGUAAUUCUUAAAGGCCUUCAUGAUUGCACAAUCCUUCCAUAGAUGAGUCGCUGGCUUCUCUCUAGAGCCAUGCCUUGGACAAGGCUCAUUCAACAGUUGCUCCAGCGUCGGGCCUGACCCGCCGCCUCGGGAAGGGAGCCUCCCCUUGCGUCGCUGGUUAUUACCUUGUGAGCUGGCGUUGGCUACAAACUCUAGGCUGCCAUCGGCCUUGCGCUUGCCUCCUCCUUGGUUACCCAGGUUAUGCUGAGGACCCUUGCCAUUGUCAUUCUUCUUUCCCUUCCCUGCCCUUUCAUCAUCUGAAGGGGGAUCCUUGGUACCAUCAGAAUCGGCGUACUUGACAAGAGCCUCCAUUAGUGUACCCAUAUCACUGCAGUCGCGUUUAAGCCGCCCGAGUUUCAUCAUCAGGGGCACGAAACGACAAUUCUGUUCCAACAUUAAGAUUGCAGAGCCGGCAUCCAUCUUAUCUGAUGAAUGUAUGAUCUCCUUGACCCGGCGAACCCAAUGCGUCGUGGAUUCACCCUCCUGCUGCUUACAGUUAGUCAAAUCCACAAUUGACAUAGACUGCCUACAGGUAUCCUUGAAGUUUUGGAUGAACCGGGCUUUCAGCUCAGCCCAAGACCCGAUGGAAUUCGGUGGUAGCCCUUUCAACCAAGUGCGGGCAGUCCCAUCCAACAUCAUGGUGAAGUACUUGGCCAUUGCCGCCUCACUGACCUCCAGUAGUUCCAUGGCCAUCUCGUAACUCUCGAUCCAGGCUGCGGGCUGUAAGUCAGCCGUGUAAUUGGGCACCUUCCUAGGGCCUUUGAAGUCCUUGGGUAGACGUUCAUUGCGGAUAGCUGGCACUAAGCAAGGGACACCCCUAGUCCUGGUAGGGAUACCCACAUUGACGGACGUCGUCGGAUAAGCUGGGGGAGUCUGGUAAGCCGUCAACUGAGGCACCUGCUCCGCCUCUUGCCGCGCUCUGUCUUGGUCUGCUGCGUGAAAGGCUCCAUUAUGAGCCGGGCCAUGGCCAGGGAGUGGGUCAUGGCGUCGGACAUUACUUGAGCCAGUCGCUGAGACCAUGUGUCUGCUGUAACUCGGGCUCCGGCCUGGACGAGGGGUCGAGUGGAUCCUGUUCCGGCUGUAGGAGUACGCCUCUUGCUGCGCCAGUGCUGUCUGAAGGAGUUCCCUGACCCGGCGGGUUUCAAUAGCCGUCGGAGAGUCGCCGUCGACUGGGAGAGCCGCCAGCCAUGCUGCCGCAGCGACCAUGUUCUCCAGCGGGUUAUUAUAAUGACCCGGUGGUAUUGGCACAUACUGAGGCGGGGCAGGGGGCACCUGGGGAGGCCCCAUCACUUGUGGCUGAAUAGGGAUCCCAGACCCGGGCACUAUGAGCCCUGGCGGGUUACUACACCCUGCACCUGGCGUGUUGAAGAGGUUGCGUGGAUCGUAAACCGGAGGGAGUCGAGAUUGGGCCUUUCGAUGCCUCCUUCUCAGGACCUCAUUGGACGCGUUUUGAUCCAUCGAGAGCCGGAAGGACUGCGCUUGAAUCAACUGGGUUUGGGCAUCAAGAGCCGCCCACUCCGCAGCCAUCCUGAUCCCUUCCGCUGCCAGAUCCUCCUUAGCCUUCACUAGAUCCAACUUUAACUGUGCCACCUCCACAUCAUGCUGAGCUUGAUCUGCCGGGUCAACCGCGGCGGUUAACAGGGCUGUCAUCUUGUCCGUGAGAUCCAUCAGCACCUGAGCCGGCGAGGGCACCGGGUUUCCUGCUCCAGCAGCAGGGUUCUGAAUAGGCUGUGCACCGGCCAUAAAGACCCCAACCUGACUGGGCGGCUCAAAUGGGUCCGGAAUACUGUCACCAUCGGAAAAACCCAUGAGCCUGCCAUCUUGAAGUUGAUACAACGAGUUUGACUCAUCGGUGGACGACUCGCCGUCAGAGCCGGCGGCCGUCUCAUCACCAGAUCCAGAUCGAUCAGAGAGCCCUCCAUGGAUACAUCCCACAAAGGCAUGCCUUACGGCAGGCCGGGCCCGGGCGGGUCGUGCACGCUGAGCCGUCUCGAUGAGAUCGGCGCAGAGAUCCGGCUCAGGGCCCGGCUCACCGAUCUUGCCAAUGAAAACAUGAAUUCCGCCGAAGGGGACCCGGUACCCGUACUCAAUUGAGCCGGCGUCGGGGCCCCAGUUUGCAUCGUCGAUGUAGAGCUUGCCGCGACGACUCUUGGUCAUCCGGCCCACAGCGUAUCCCUUGAGCCCUUCGAAGCUGCCCUUCAAGAACUCAAAUCCACCGUGCGCUGGCCCCACGCUGGGCGCCAACUGUCAUGGAAUUGUCACGGCAGAUGUCCUCGAGCUAGGACUUAGUCGUGGAGCCAUCGCAACUAGGAAGCUUGAAGGGGUUAAGCGGGACAAGGAACACGAGGGUUUAUACUGGUUCGGCCCCUUACGGUGAAGGUAAAAGCCUACGUCCAGUUUGAGGUGGUAUUGAUUAGGGUUUCAAUGACCAGGGAGCUUAACUGCUAUGCCUGGCUCUCGACGAGAUCUUUCUUCUCUCUAAACCGCUGCCGGGUCGUCCCUUUAUAUAGGGAGGUUGACGCCCAGCAGCUCUCAGAGUCCCGGCCGGCUCAUAAGAGUAUCCGGCUCGGACUCUCAACUAUUCUUGCCUUACACUACAAGUUCUACCAUAACAAUGAUUGCAACUACGGGCCUUAAGCCGUAUCCGGGUCUUAAGCCCAUCUCUGGCCCACCGUCUUCAAGCUUAGCGCCGGGCUUCUGGCAAUGACCAUAGAAUAACCUGGCCUCUCCUGGCGGGUGACUCUAAGGUCUAUAUCCUCAACAGUACUACUAGUUCUUUUUCUACUGCUGUGUACGUGCAAAAACGGGCACCGUCGGAUACAUAUCUUACGCUUGGCAUUCGAUAGGAAUAGCCUCGUGGCGAGCUAUAGACUAGUCUUUUUUUCAGACGCAUUACACCUAUCUCUCGGGACUUCUCGCACGCACCAUCACUGCUCCCUAGGCCGAUGCCACCCACAUACAGUUGUACUCUGAGGAGAGGUGCACGCAUGCACUCGUCCUCUCUCACACACGCAUCUGUAGCUAUGAAUUUUAGUGUUCUCAACCAUCUGAUUGGCUCAAUCAUAGGUUUCACGUUGCUCCUUGGCCUUGAGGUUGAGAUGUUUUAAACGCGGAGGCUAAGAUGGAGGCGUGAGGUUUUGGUUAAUGUGCGAGCCGCACACGGCACCAACACGACACGAGCUUCGUCUGCCUGGUGCGCAUGCAGUCGGGUGAGUUGUCCAAGUAUAUACACAACCAGGCCCUCGUUGGUAUCCGCCCCUCGACUUUGGCUGGUUAUAGUGGAGAGUAACAUAGACCAGUUACUAGUCUAUGUUACUAGUACCUUCAUAGUGGGUGGUGUCAUAUACGUAGUAGUAUAUGCAUAGUUUUGCUCCAUGGCGCAAUCCAUCGAUACUACUACUGUACAAAUGUAUACAUUUUUAAAAGGCUAGAGGGCGGGGCAGUCUAGCUUGGUUCUUUUCACAAGAGGCGAGGGCCUUUGUGAUUUGAUGGCUCAUUACCGCUGGAAGGCGGGGCCUUGUGAUUUUACUGCUCGUAUAAAUGUGCCGACGACCUGAGGAGGAGCAAAGAACCGUGCGGUAUACUCAAGUUUUCCACUGGAGUACGACGGAGGAGCACGAAACACGGCAACCCAGUGCCAUAUCCUCUACUCUCUACUCUUAUGUAACGCCCACGAUGCGGCUAUAUCUCCCACGUGUCGAGGCACGACUUAGAGGCAGAACCGCAUUGUCGUAUUAUCGCAAGAAGGGUUAUCUUCACACAAUCCCAUGUAAUGAACAAGAAUGGGAUAACGAGAGUUGGCUUACAAUCGCCACUUCACACAAUACAAAAAUUAAUUCAUACAUCAUCCAAAAUCCACACAUAGACCGACUACGGUCAAAUCCAAAUGAAAAUAAGAUAACCCCAAAUGCUAGAUCCCCGAUCGUCCCAACUGGGCUCCACUACUGAUCAUCAGGAAACGAAACAUAGUAACGACUACGUUCCUCGUCGAACUCCCACUUGAGCUCGGUUGCAUCAUCUGCACUGGCAUCGUCGGCACCUGCAACUGUUUUGGUAGAAUCUGUGAGUCACGAGGACUCAGCAAUCUCACACCCGCGAGAUCAAGACUAUUUAAGCUUAUAGGAAAGGAUGGUGUAAUGAGGUGGAGCUGCAGCAGGCACUAAGCAUAUAUGGUGGCUAACAUACGCAAAUGAGAGCGAGAAGAGAAGAAACGCAACGGUCGCGAAGCUAGAAAUGAUCAAGAAGGGAUCCUGAAAACUACAUACGUUCAUGCAUAACUCAAACCGUGUUCACUUCCCGGACUCUGCCGAGAAGAGACCAUCACGGCUACACACACGGUUGAUGUAUUUUAAUUAAGUCAAGUGACAAGUUCUCUACAACCGGACAUUAACAAAUUCCCAUCUGCCUCAUAACCGCGGGCACGGCUUUCGAAAGAUAAUACCCUGCAGGGGUGUCCCAACUUAGCCCAUUAUAAGCUCUCACGGUCAACGAAGGAUAAACCUUCUCCCGGGAAGACCCGAUCAGCCUCGGAAUCCUGGUUUACAAGACAUUUCGACAAUGGUAAAACAAGACCAGCAAAGCCACCCGAAUGUGCCGACAAAUCCCGAUAGGAGCUGCACAUAUCUCGUUCUCAGGGCACACCGGAUGGGCAAGACGUCAGGUUGGCAUAGAUCCGGGUUGCCCAGGGGACGCCGGACAUCGCCCAGUUUGGGCCAGCACUCGAAGGAGCACUGGUCCGGGGGUUUAAAUAAAGAUGACCCUCGGGCUCGCGAAAACCCAAGGGAAAAAGGCUUAGGUGGCAAAUGGUAAAACCAAGGUUGGGCCUUGCUGGAGGAGUUUUAUUCAAGGCGAACUGUCAAUGGGGUCCCAUAAAUCACCCAACCGCGUUAGGAACGCAAACUCAAGGAACAUAAUACCGGUAUGACGGAAACUAGGGCGGCAAGAGUGGAACAAAACACCAGGCAUAAGGCCGAGCCUUCCACCCUUUACCAAAUAUAUAGAUGCGUUAAUUAAAUAAGAGAUAUUGUGAUAUUCCAAAAAUAUCCAUGUUGCAACAUGCAACCAACUUCAACUUCACCUGCAACUAGCAACGCUAUAAGAAGGGCUGAGCAAAAGCGGUAACUUAGCCAAACAACGGUUUUCUAGGAAAGGAUGGUUAGAGACUUGACAUGGCAAUAUGGGAGGCAUGAUAUAGCAAGUGGUAGGUAGCGCAGCAUAGCAAUAGAACGAACAACUAGCAAAGCAAAGAUAGAAGUGAUUUCGAGGGUAUGGUCAUCUUGCCUGCAAGGUUCUCAGAGUUGUCGAAAGCUUGAUCCUUGUAAGCGUACUCAACAGGUUCCUUGUUCACGAACUCGUCUCCCGGCUCGACCCACAGAAAGAACACAAGCAAUGGAACCACAAUCAAUCACGGGAAAUGCACAAGCAACAUGAUGCAAUACAUGCAUGAUAUGCGGGAUGUGAUAUGCGAUGCAUAUGCGUGCUCCGGAAGAAAAAGGAUGAACAAGGAAGUAACUUGGCAAACCAAGUGUGCCACUGGAAAGGUGAGAUGAUUUCGGUCGAAAUCGAUAUAAAGAUCACCGGAAACGGAUGCACGGUUUGCAAAUGGCGAGCAAAACAAGAAUGGCACGAUUCUGCGAUUAACAGCAUGAUAGUACAUAAAAUACAUCAAGUAGCUAUGCUACAGCACCCCAACAUAGCAACAAAGCAUAUGACAGUAAUCUACAGGAGGUGCUUGACAAAAGAUGAACAGUGAGCUACGGCUAUAUCACAAAAUAACAGGCUCAAACAAGCAUGGCAAAAGUGCAAAAGAUAACAGGUUCACAGACUUGGUAAAAAUACUGGACAUGGCAGAAAUAGCAUCAGGUAGCAAUGUUCAGAGCAAGCGAAACACAUGCUACAGGAACUUAUCAUAGCCAUACAAGGCAUGGCAUGAAUCUACUAAAUGCAUAGCACAAAAGUCCCUUACUGACCAUGAGCGAAAAAGGAUACGAAGAGAAGAUGGCACCCAUGUAAACAUAGCAAGUUUCGUUAACAGGUUUCAGACUUGGCAGAGAACAGAACACGGCAUUAACAGAAAUAUGAAGGCAUCUUUGUGAGCUUGAUUCACUCAUCACAAAGCAAUUCAUGACACAACAAGAAUACCUACAGCAAGAUGGCAUGUUUAUCGAGCUAUCCAUGUCAAGAGCAAAUACAUAGCAUGUAUGGGUCAACUACAACAACCUUGGCAAAAUUGAAUAUCAUGUUAACAUUCUGCCAGAAAUAUUUUAUAGCAAAAGUAGAGCAAUAUUGAGACAUGCUAUUUUACUCCAUAAUUGCAAACAGAGACAUGGAUGGAUAGAGCACAACUAUAUCGACAAAACAUCCGUACUGAACAUACCCAAAAGAAGCAUGGAUCUCACUUUAGGCACAUGGAUACAUGGCAACAAAAUAACAGCAGUAACAGACUUGGCAAAAUUCAAGUCCCUGAAAACAGAAACAUCACGAAGCCUAGUUUCCAUGCUUGUGCUAGUCACCACAUAGAUCACAAAAAUACAUGGCAUACACCUCUGUAAAGAUGGCAUGGCAUAGAUCAAAACGCCUGUAGAGAUCAUGCCCAUAAGAUGCACACAUCAAAAGCAACAAAAAUAACAAAACAACAAGUUCUGAUAAAUAACUGCAGUAACAUCAUAUAGUACUCUUUCACCAGAGAUUUGGGCAUCAAGAUGAACUCAAACGAGCAUGACACAAUGGAACAAAAUGAAGAGCAUCUCGUGACGAACAUUUAGAUAUAUCACACGCAUGGAACGGAGCAGUAUGCAAGACGUUAUGGCAUGAUGAACAUGAGCACAUAAUGCAAUAAUUCGGGGACUUCAAGGAUUUUCAGGGUCAACCUUCUUCCAGAUCUGGAUCGGGGGCAGGCACGCGAACCGAGGUUCGCCGGGGUUCUCCAGGGAUGGAGAGGAGGAGGCCGGAGCUUGGACGGAGAGGGAGGAGGCCGGAGGAGGCACCGAGGACGGCGGCGACCGGCGAACGGCGGCGGCGACUGGNNNNNNNNNNNNNNNNNNNNNNNNNNNNNNNNNNNNNNNNNNNNNNNNNNNNNNNNNNNNNNNNNNNNNNNNNNNNNNNNNNNNNNNNNNNNNNNNNNNNNNNNNNNNNNNNNNNNNNNNNNNNNNNNNNNNNNNNNNNNNNNNNNNNNNNNNNNNNNNNNNNNNNNNNNNNNNNNNNNNNNNNNNNNNNNNNNNNNNNNNNNNNNNNNNNNNNNNNNNNNNNNNNNNNNNNNNNNNNNNNNNNNNNNNNNNNNNNNNNNNNNNNNNNNNNNNNNNNNNNNNNNNNNNNNNNNNNNNNNNNNNNNNNNNNNNNNNNNNNNNNNNNNNNNNNNNNNNNNNNNNNNNNNNNNNNNNNNNNNNNNNNNNNNNNNNNNNNNNNNNNNNNNNNNNGAGGCGAUGCACGGGCGCGGGCGACGGGCCGGGAGGGCCCCGCCUGGGCCCCGACGGGCCGGCGCGCGGCGGUGCGGCGGAAGUGGGCGCGGGCGGCGGGCGAAUCCGGAGGCGACACGUGGCAGCGGAGAGGGCGGCGGACACGUCCGUCGACGGGAUUUUUUGUCCGGCGGCGCGAAGGGGAAGAAGACUAGGGUUGCACCGCGAAUUUGGAAGGGGAAGGCACCUUUAUAUAUAGGUAGAGGGAGCUAGGAGACUCCAAAUGGAGUGCGGUUUUCACCCACACGAUCGUGAUCGAACGACCGAGAGCAUGGAGGGGACUUAGAUGGGUUAUAGGGCUGUUUGGAGGGGUGUUUUGCUGCAACACACAAAAGGCCUUUGCGGUUACCCGGUUAACUGUUGGAGCGUCAAACGACCUCCAAAUGGAACGAAACUUGACAGGUGGUCUACCGGUGGUAUACUAAGUCCACUUGGCAAACUUCGGUCCAUUCCGAGAACGUUUAACACCUGCUCACGAAAAGAAACAAGAGGGGUGCGUCGGUGCAUGUGGGAGUGUCGGAUUGCAAAACGGACAACGGGGAAAUUCUCGGAUGCAUAAGACGAACACGUAUGCAAAUGAGAUGCGCAUGAUGACAUGAUAUGAGAUGCAUGACAUGAACAAAAUACAAAACGAAAGAUAAAACCCGACCACGAAGGGAAUAUCAUAACACAUAGCAGAAAAUGGCAAGAGCUGGAGUUACAAAUAUGGAAAGUUACAUCCGGGGCGUUACAACACUCCACCACUACGAGAGGAUCUCGUCCCGAGAUCUAGGACUGAAAGAACUCCGGAUAUUCGGAACGGAGGUGGUCCUCGCGUUCCCAGGUGGCUUCUCGGUCGGAAUGGUGCGACCACUUCACUUUCAGGAAUUUGAUUGACUUGUUGCGAGUCUUGCGCUUAGUUUCUUCAAGAAUAGCAACGGGGUGCUCAUGAUAAUACAGAUCUUCUUGGAGAUCAAUCUCUUCGAAGUUGAUGGUGCGCUCAGGAGUCUUGAAGCACUUGCGAAGUUGUGACAUGUGGAAUACAUCGUGCAUGUUCGCGAAGUUGGAGGGAAGCUCAAGUUGAUAGGCGAGGUCGCCUCUUUUGCCAAUGAUCUUGAAAGGACCCACGUAUCUAGGGGCAAGCUUCCCUUUGAUACCGAAGCGAUGAGCGCCUUUCAUUGGAGAGACGCGGAGGUAGACAUGGUCUCCGAUCUCGAAAGCCAAGUCACGGUGCUUGCUAUCAUAGUAACUCUUCUGGCGCGAUUGCGCGGCUUUGAGAUUUUCACGGAUGACUUUACACAUUUCUUCAGCCUCUGUGAUUAAGUCAUUGCCAAGAAGUUGGCGUUCACCAGUCUCUGACCAAUUGAGAGCAGUACGACACUUUCUGCCAUAUAGAAUCUCGAAUGGGGCCUUGCCCGAACUCGCUUGGAAGCUGUUGUUGUAGGAGAAUUCGGCAUAUAGAAGACAAUCUUCCCACUUCAUACCAAAGGAAAUGACACAAGCCCUGAGCAUAUCUUCAAGGAUUUGAUUUACUCGCUCGACUUGGCCACUAGUUUGAGGAUGGAAAGCUGUGCUGAAGCAAAUGUUGGUGCCCAUGGCCUUCUGGAAGGAGUCCCAGAACUUAGAAGUGAAGAUGCUUCCACGAUCUGAAGAAAUCAAUUGUGGAAUGUCGUGCAAGGAGACAAUCCUGGAGGUGUAUAGCUCUGCCAACUGAGCGGCUGUGAUAGAUUCUUUGAUUGGAAGGAAAUGAGCCACUUUAGUAAGCUUGUCGAUGACAACUAAGAUAGCAUCAUUUCCGCGCUUGGACUUGGGAAAACCAGUCACGAAGUCCAUUUUGAUAUGAUCAAACUUCCAUUCUGGGAUAGCAAGAGGUUGGAGGAGACCAGCUGGUCGUUGGUGUUCUGCUUUCACCCUUCGACAAACAUCACAUUCAUUCACAAAUUGAGAGAUUUCUCGCUUCAUUCGAGUCCACCAAUACGACUGCUUGAGGUCAUGGUACAUCUUCGUACUUCCAGGAUGAAUGGAAAGAAGAGAAUUGUGUGCCUCGUUCAUAAUGAAUAUCCUUAGAUCACCUUUAGGAACCACAAUCCGGUCCUCAAAGAAUAAAGUGUCUCUGUAAUCAAUGUGAUAGCACUUGUAUUUGGAUAGACCCUUGUCGAUACCACGUUUCACCUUCUUCACCAUGGCAUCAAGAAGUUGUGCCUCACGAAUUUGAUCUUCCAAAGUAGGAGAGACUAUGAGGUUGGCAAGAAAGCCUUGAGGAACAACUUGGAGAUUCAGCUUGCGGAAAGCUUCACAAAGAUCCGGUUGAAAUGGCUGAGAAUUAAGCUGUUGCAAUAAGCCUUCCUGCUCAAAGCAUCUGCAAUGACGUUGGCCUUGCCUCGAGUAUAUUCAAUACUCGGAUUCUACUCUUGAAUCAUUUCGACCCAUCGAGUUUGCCUGAGGAUGAGGUUGGGCUGAGUGAAGAUGUACUUGAGACUCUUGUGAUCGGUGAAUAUGUCCACUUUUCUUCCCAACAAGAGAUGUCUCCAUGUUAUUAAUGCAUGGACUACUGCCGCCAACUCAAGAUCGUGAGUGGGGUAGUUCUUUUUGUUGGGCUUCAACUGACGAGAGGUAUAGGCCACAACUUUCUUCUCUUGCAUUAACACAGCACCGAGACCUUGAAGAGAAGCAUCACAGAAAACUUCAAAUGGCUUGGAUUCGUCAGGAGGAGUUAAGACAGGAGCUGUGACGAGUUUCUCUUUGAGAGUGUCGAAAGCAACGUCAGACUCAGGAGUCCAGACAUACUUCACAUGCUUCUGGAGGAGGUUGGAAAGAGGCUUUGCAAUCUUAGAGAAAUUCUCAACGAAUCUUCGGCAAUAGCUUGCAAGACCAAGAAAACUGCAAAGCUGCUUGACAUUCUAAGGAGGUUCCCAAUUCACAAUUGCAUACACCUUCUCGGGAUUAACAGCGAUGCCCUUGGCAGAGAUGAUAUGACCAAGGUAAAGAACUUCAUCAAGCCAAAACUCACAUUUGGAAAACUUCGCAUAAAAUUGAUACUCUCUGAGCUUGUCGAGCACCGAUCGCAAAUGUUUGGCAUGAUCCUUCUUAUUCUUGGAGAAGACCAAGAUAUCAUCGAGAUACACUAGGACGAAUUCAUUGGUAUAGGGGUUGAAGAUGAAAUUCAUCAUCCGAGAGUAUGUUGGAGGAGCAUUGACAAGGCGGAAAGACAUGACAGUAUAUUCAUAAGAACCAAAGCUUGUUCUGAAUGCUGUCUUGGGAAUAUCUUCUUCACGAAUGCGAAUCUGAUGAUAACCCAUUCGAAGGUCAAGCUUGGAGAAUACUUUAGCACCUUUAAGUUGCUCGAAUAGCUCAUUGAUGUUGGGAAGUGGAUACUUGUUCUUGAUUGUCUUCUUGUUCAAUGGACGGUAGUCGACACAAAGUCGGUCCGUGCCAUCCUUCUUCUGGACAAAAAGAACACCACAACCCCAUGGAGAUGAACUCGGUCUGAUCAAACCAGACGCUCUUGUUCAUCGAGCUGUUACUUCAAUUCUUUCAGCUCCUUGGGUCCAAGCUUGUAAGGACGCUUGCAAACGGGUUCAGUGUCGGGCUCAAGAUCGAUAACGAACUCAACUGGCCGGUGAGGAGGCAUACCCGGAAGCUCUUCUGGGAAGACAUCUUGGUACUCACAAACGACUGGAAUUUGAGAAAUAUCAUUCAACUCGCCCUUCUCAUUGAGAGAAAACAACCGAAUGGUUUCAUCACGAGCGGCAUAGAUGAUAACAUCCUCAGAAGAGUGUGUCAAUUGAAUUUCCCUGGCAGCACAAUCAAGUUGAGCCUUGUGCUUAGAAAGCCAGUCCAUCCCGAGAAUUAGAUCAAUAUCCGAGUCACCAAGAACCAUUGGAGAAGAUAAAAAUUUAUAGUUGCCCAUCUUGAUAGAAACAUCCGGAGCCAUCAUUUUGGUAUUCAUGAAUAAGCCCGGAGAGGAAACCACUAUCGGCUUAGACAGAUAGACAGUAUGCAAAUUGUUCAUGGAUGCAAAAGGUCUUGAUAUGAAAGAAAUAGAUGCACCAGUAUCAAAAAGAACUUUUGCAGGAAUAUCAUUAACUGAGAGAUUACCCAUAAUCACGUCAGUAGAUUCCUCCGCUUGAGCUGCAUUCAUCAUGUUCACCUUUGCAGACUUGGGAUUAUGCUUGACCACUACAUUGCUGGAAGAUCUCAUAGGAGGAGGAGGCGGAAGACGCCUUUGGUUGAAGCACUUGUUAGCAUAGUGACCUUUCUGCUGACACUUGUUGCAAGUCACCUCUGAGAGUGGACGAUGAUAAGGAACAUUCGACUUUGGAGCUUGAUUCUGAGACUUGUUCUGAUAGCCAGGGUUGGGUGGGUGGGAAGAUCCAUGGUCACCUUUGUACUUCUGCUGGAAAGGCUGACGAAACGGAGGAGGAGGAGGCAACCAGAACUUCUGUUGCUUAGCAGCCACUAGUGAGGAAGAAGAAGACUGAACUGCGUCCCUGACUCUCUUCUUAGAAGCCUCACACUUGAGCUGAGCAGCCUCUUGCUUCAGUGCCAUAUUGUAGAAAUCAUCAUACUUGGUCGGCUCAAAAAGCACGAGAGGUAAUUGCAGAUCUUGUUUGAGGCCACCUCUGAAUUGAUAGAUCAUGCUCUUUUCAUCAGGAACAUCUUGCUUAGCGAAGCGAGCGAGUUUCUGAAACUGGGUAUUGUAUUGAUACACGGACAUGCUGCCUUGCUUGAGAUUGCGGAACUCCUCACGCUUGCUCUCAACAACACUUUGUGGAAUGUGGUGAGCUUUGAAGUCUCGGCGGAAAUCAUCCCAGGUAAUCACACGACCUCCUCUGGAAUCUUUGUAUUGCUGAUACCACUCGGCAGCUUGAUCCUUGAGUUGAAAAGAAGCAAACUUGACAAAGUCCUCAGGCCUGACAUUGCUACAUUGAAAAUGCUUGUUGAUGUCCACGAGCCAAUCAUCGGCGUUUGUGGCCUCGACACAGUAGCUGAAAGACUUCGGCUGAUUUGCGAGGAACUGGUUGAGGGUAGCGAAGUGAGGCUGAUUGUUGCCUUGGCCUUGAUUUCCUCGAUUGCCUUGCCCUUGGGUGCGCUCUUGCAAGAGUUGCAAAAUCAUCUGAGCAUUGGCGUUGGUGGCUGCCAUGAUAGCUUGCCAUGCCUCCGGAGGCGGAGGUGGUGGCGGAGGGUUCGCCUGACUCCCCUCAUUGUGUUCCGGAUUCUGACGCGUUGGCGGAGCCAUCCUGAAGAGGGUGACAUCCGUUAGCAUCUUGAUAGACAAAUAGACAAGUUGAAUCAACGGAUAGAAAUUUCAACAUAUAGUCUUCACAAUAAACAUUCGAACGAGGAUGAACGAAUGAAUUCCAUAGUAAAUCAUCACACUUCCAUUAAGGUGAGAAGCCACUUGAUAAGAGAUUGAUGAAUAAAAUAACAAGGUGCAACUGGAACAAAUAAGUGGUAAGGAUUACCCAAUCACAAACCAAAUAUCUGCGGGAAGAAAUGCUAAGAGCUACUUGAAUCCCACCUAUAAACUCCCGAAACUUUCUGGUUAUGCAAUCUGCUGUUGGGGAUACAGGGGACACAAAAUAUAUCACCCAAACUAGCAAUCCCUAGAUCCAGCUGUAUCCAUCCCUCAACACAUAACCAAGAAACCUUCGGAAAUCGUGUACCUCAACCUUCGAAAAGCAUCCGUUAUACGAGUUAUGGCAAUACUCCCGAACUCCCGCCCCAGUACUGGGUGGCGUCGAGGUGAUCUCACCAACAACUGCAUAAAAGAGAUUUUCGAUGUCGGCGAAAUUCAGGUAUUCCAGAACUGCAACGAUAAAAUUGUGACGACAACACCUCAGAGCUCAACUCCCCGGGACACUGCCACAACCCCUAAAUGUCAGGAGGCACCAAGAACAAUGUUCUCGUCACAAAACCAUCAGAACGAUUCUAAGAUACCCGCGUGAUCCUAAAAACAAUUAGUGAAAUUUGAGGAGAGAAGAGUCAAAACUUCUACGUCAGGAGGCCUCACCAGAGCGAGGAAGGGACUGAGGAGUAAAAAGAAUCCUACUCUCCGAUAUAUAUAAUCCUAAGACUCAAAACAUUUUUGUUCUAGACUCAACAACGCCAGCGAUUCGAUCAAGCAGGGGGCUCCUAAGUCGGGGAUGGCUCUGAUUACCAACUUGUAACGCCCACGAUGCGGCUAUAUCUCCCACGUGUCGAGGCACGACUUAGAGGCAUAACCGCAUUGUGGUAUUGUCGCAAGAAGGGUUAUCUUCACACAAUCCCAUGUAAUGAACAAGAAUGGGAUAACGAGAGUUGGCUUACAAUCGCCACUUCACACAAUACAAAAAUUAAUUCAUACAUCAUCCAAAAUCCACACAUAGACCGACUACGGUCAAAUCCAAAUGAAAAUAAGAUAACCCCAAAUGCUAGAUCCCCGAUCGUCCCAACUGGGCUCCACUACUAAUCAUCAGGAAAAGAAACAUAGUAACGACCACGUUCCUCGUCGAACUCCCACUUGAGGUCGGUUGCGUCAUCUGCACUGGCAUCGUCGGCACCUGCAACUGUUUUGGUAGAAUCUGUGAGUCACGAGGACUCAGCAAUCUCACACCCGCGAGAUCAAGACUAUUUAAGCUUAUAGGAAAGGAUGGUGUAAUGAGGUGGAGCUGCAGCAGGCACUAAGCAUAUAUGGUGGCUAACAUACGCAAUUGAGAGCGAGAAGAGAAGCAACGCAAUGGUCGCGAAGCUAGAAAUGAUCAAGAAGUGAUCCUAAAAACUACUUACGUUCAUGCAUAACUCAAACCGUGUUCACUUCCCGGACUCCGCCGAGAAGAGACCAUCACGGCUACACACACGGUUGAUGUAUUUUAAUUAAGUCAAGUGACAAGUUCUCUACAACCGGACAUUAACAAAUUCCCAUCUGCCUCAUAACCGCGGGCACGGCUUUCGAAAGAUAAUACCCUGCAGGUGUUGGAAAUAUGCACUAGAGGCAAUAAUAAAUGGUUAUUAUUAUAUUUCUUUGUUCAUGGUAAUUGUCUAUUAUUCAUGCUAUAAUUGUAUUGUCCGGAAAUCGUGAUACAUGUGUGAAUACAUAGACCUCAACCUGUCCCUAGUAAGCCUCUAGUUGACUAGCUCGUUGAUCAACAGAUAGUCAUGGUUUCCUGACUAUGGACAUUGGAUGUCAUUGAUAACGGGAUCACAUCAUUAGGAGAAUGAUGUGAUGGACAAGACCCAAUCCUAAGCAUAGCAUAAAAGAUCGUGUAGUUUCGUUUGCUAGAGCUUUUCCAAUGUCAAGUAUCUUUUCCUUGGACCAUGAGAUCGUGCAACUCCCGGAUACCAUAGGAGUGCUUUGGGUGUGCCAAACGUCACAACGUAACUGGGUGACUAUAAAGGUGCAUUACGGGUAUCUCCAAAAGUGUCUGUUGGGUUGGCAUGGAUCGAGACUGGGAUUUGUCACUCCGUGUGACGGAGAGGUAUCUCUGGGCCCACUCGGUAAUGCAUCAUCAUAAUGAGCUCAAUAUGACUAAGGCGUUAGUCACGGGAUCAUGCAUUGCGGUACGAGUAAAGAGACUUGCCGGUAACGAGAUUGAACAAGGUAUUGGGAUACCGACGAUCGAAUCUCGGGCAAGUAACAUACCGAUUGACAAAGGGAAUUGCAUACGGAUUGAUUGAAUCCUCGACACCGUGGUUCAUCCGAUGAUAUCAUCGUGGAACAUGUGGGAGCCAACAUGGGUAUCCAGAUCCCGCUGUUGGUUAUUGACCGGAGAGGCGUCUCGGUCAUGUCUACAUGUCUCCCGAACCCGUAGGGUCUACACACUUAAGGUCCGGUGACGCUAGGGUUGUAGAGAUAUAUGUAUGCGGAAACCCGAAAGUUGUUCGGAGUCCCGGAUGAGAUCCCGGACAUCACGAGAGGUUCCGGAAUGGUCCGGAGGUAAAGAUUUAUAUAUGGGAAGUCUUAUUUUGGUCGCCGGAAAAGUUUCGCGCUUUAUCGGUAUUGUACCGGGAGUGCCGAAAGGGGUCCGGGGGUCCACCAAGGGGGUCCACCAGCCCCAAGAGGCCCAUGCGCAAGAGAUAAGAAAGAAGGGAGAGUCCUAAAGGGGGAAGGCACCUCCGAGGUGCCUUGGGGAGGAAGGACUCCCCCCUGGCCGCACCCUUCCUUGAAGGAAGGGGCAAGGCUGCGCCCCCCCUCUCCCUUGGCCCUAUAUAUAGUGGGGGGAAGGGAGGGCAGCAACAUCUAAGCCUUGGGCGCCUCCUUCCUCCCCUACAACACCUCUCUCUCUCUCUCGCAGAAGCUCGGCGAAGCCCUGCCGGAGACCCGCUACAUCCACCACCACGCCGUCGUGCUGUUGGAUCUCCAUAAACCUCUCCUUCCCCCUUGCUGGAUCAAGAAGGAGGAGACGUCGCUGCACCGUACGUGUGUUGAACGCGGAGGUGCCGUACGUUCGGCACUCGGUCAUCGGUGAUUUGGAUCACGGCGAGUACGACUCCGUCAUCCACGUUCAUUGGAACGCUUCCGCUCGCGAUCUACAAGGGUAUGUAGAUCCACUUCUUUCCCCUCGUUGCUAGUAGACUCCAUAGAUGCAUCUUGGUGAGCGUAGGAAAAUUUUAAAUUAUGCUACGAUUCCCAACAGUGGCAUCAUGAGCCAGGCCUAUGCGUAGUUACUAUGCACGAGUAGAACACAAAGAAGUUGUGGGCGUUGAUGUUGCCAAUUCUUCUUGCCGCUACUAGUCGUUUCUUGUUUCGGCGGCAUUGUAGGAUGAAGCGGCCCGGACCGACCUUACACGUACGCUUACGUGAGACAGGUUCCACCGACUGACAUGCACUAGUUGCAUAAGGUGGCUAGCGGGUGUCUGUCUCUCCUACUUUAGUCGGAACGGAUUCGAUGAAAAGGGUCCUUAUGAAGGGUAAAUAGAAAUUGGCAAAUCACGUUGUGGUCAUACGUAGGUAAGAAAUCGUUCUUGCUAGAAACCUACAAACCACGUAAAAACUUGCAACAACAAUUAGAGGACGUCUAACUUGUUUUUGCAGCAAGUGAUAUAUGUGAUAUGAUAUGGGCGGAAGAUGUGAUGAAUGAUAUAUGUGAUGUAUGAGAUUGAUCAUAUUAUUGUAAUAGGAAUCACGACUUGCAUGUCGAUGAGUAUGACAACCGGCAGGAGCCAUAGGAGUUGUCUUUAUUAUUUUGCAUGACCUGCGUGUCAUUGAAUAACGCCAUGUAAUUUACUUUACUUUGUUGCUAAACGGUUAGCCAUAGAAGUAGAAGUAAUCGUUGGCGUGACAACUUCAUGAAGACACAAUGAUGGAGAUCAUGAUGAUGGAGAUCAUGGUGUCAUGCCGGUGACGAAGAUGAUCAUGGUGCCCCGAAGAUGGAGAUCAAAGGAGCAUGAUGAUAUUGGCCAUAUCAUGUCACUAUUUGAUUGCAUGUGAUGUUUAUCAUGUUUUUGCAUCUUAUUUGCUUAGAACGACGGUAGCAAGUAGGAUGAUCCCUUAUAAUAAUUUCAAGAAAGUGUUCACCCUAACUGUGCACCGUUGCGAAGGUUCGUCGUUUCGAAGCACCACGUGAUGAUCGGGUGUGAUAGAUUCUUACGUUCGCAUACAACGGGUGUUGACGAGCCUAGCAUGUACAGACAUGGCCUCGGAACACACGCAAUACACUUAGGUUGACUUGACGAGCCUAGCAUGUACAGACAUGGCCUCGGAACACGGAGGACCGAAAGGUCGAGCAUGAGUCGUAUAGAAGAUACGAUCAACAUGGAGAUGUUCACCGAUCUUGACUAGUCCGUCUCACGUGAUGAUCGGACACGGCCUAGUUGAGCUCGGAUCAUGUUUCACUUAGAUGACUAGGGGGAUGUCUGUCUGAGUGGGAGUUCAUUAAAUAAUUUGAUUAUAUGAACUUAAUUAUCAUGAACUUAGUCUAAAAUCUCUACAUUAUGUAUUGUAGAUCAAAUGGCCCACGUUGUCCUCAAUUUCAACGCGUUCCUAGAGAAAACCAAGCUGAAAGAUGAUGGCAGCAACUAUACGGACUGGGUCCGGAACCUGAGGAUCAUCCUCAUAGCAGCCAAGAAAGAUUAUGUCUUAGAAGCACCGCUAGGUGAAGCACCAAUCCCUGAGAACCAAGACAUUAUGAACGCUUGGCAGCAGCGUGCUGAUGAUUACUCCCUCGUUCAGUGCGGCAUGCUUUACAGCUUAGAACCGGGUCUCCAAAAGCGUUUUGAGAAACAUGGAGCAUAUGAGAUGUUCGAGGAGCUGAAACUGGUUUUUCAAGCUCAUGCCCGGGUCGAGAGAUAUGAUGUCUCCGACAAGUUCUUCAGCUGUAAAAUGGAGGAGAACAGUUCUGUUAGUGAGCACAUACUCAGAAUGUCUGGGUUGCACAACCGCUUGUCUCAGCUGGGAGUUAAUCUCCCGGAUGACGCGGUCAUUGACAGAAUCCUCCAGUCGCUUCCACCAAGCUACAAGAGCUUUGUGAUGAACUACAAUAUGCAGGGGAUGGAAAAGACCAUUCCCGAGGUAUAUUCAAUGCUAAAAUCAGCGGAAGGGGAGAUCAAAAAGGAACAUCAAGUGUUGAUGGUGAAUAAAACCACUAAGUUCAAGAAGGGAAAGGGUAAGAAGAACUUCAAGAAGGACGGCAAGGGAAUUGCCGCGCCCGGUAAGCCAGUUACCGGGAAGAAGUCAAAGAAUGGACCCAAGCCCGAGACUGAGUGCUUUUAUUGCAAGGGAAGUGGUCACUGGAAGCGGAACUGCCCCAAAUAUUUAGCGGACAAGAAGAAGGCCGGCAACACCCAAGGUAUAUGUGAUAUACAAGUAAUUUAUGUGUACCUUACCAGUACUCGUAGUAGCUCCUGGGUAUUUGAUACUGGUGCGGUUGCUCAUAUUUGUAACUCAAAUCAGGAACUACGGAAUAAACGGAGACUGGCAAAAGACGAGGUGACGAUGCGCGUCGGGAAUGGUUCCAAGGUCGAUGUGAUCGCCGUCGGCACGCUACCUCUGCAUCUACCCACGGGAUUAGUUAUAAACCUCAAUAAUUGUUAUUUAGUGCCAGCUUUGAGCAUGAACAUUGUAUCUGGAUCUCGUUUAAUUCGAGAUGGCUACUCAUUUAAAUCUGAGAAUAAUGGUUGCUCUAUUUAUUUGAGAGAUAUGUUUUAUGGUCAUGCCCCGCUGGUCAAUGGUUUAUUCUUGAUGAAUCUCGAACGUGAUGCUACACAUGUUCAUAGUGUGAAUACCAAAAGAUGUAAAGUUGAUAACGAUAGUCCCACAUACUUGUGGCACUGCCGCCUUGGUCACAUUGGUGUCAAGCGCAUGAAGAAGCUCCAUGCAGAUGGACUUUUGGAGUCUCUUGAUUACGAAUCAUUUGACACGUGCGAACCAUGCCUCAUGGGUAAGAUGACCAAGACUCCGUUCUCCGGAACAAUGGAGCGAGCAACCAACUUAUUGGAAAUCAUACAUACCGAUGUGUGCGGUCCAAUGAGUGUUGAGGCUCGCGGAGGAUAUCGUUAUGUUCUCACUCUCACUGAUGAUUUAAGUAGAUAUGGGUAUGUCUACCUAAUGAAACACAAGUCUGAAACCUUUGAAAAGUUCAAGGAAUUUUAGAGUGAAGUCGAGAAUCAACGUGACAGGAAAAUAAAAUUCUUACGAUCAGAUCGUGGUGGAGAAUAUUUAAGUCACGAAUUUGGUACACACUUAAGGAAAUGUGGAAUAGUUUCACAACUCACGCCGCCUGGAACACCUCAGAGAAAUGGUGUGUCCGAACGUCGUAAUCGCACUCUAUUGGAUAUGGUGCGAUCUAUGAUGUCUCUUACCGAUUUACCGCUCUCAUUUUGGGGUUAUUCUUUAGAGCCUGCCGCAUUCACUUUAAAUAGGGCACCGUCUAAAUCCGUUGAGACGACACCGUAUGAAUUAUGGUUUGGGAAGAAACCUAAGCUGUCGUUUCUAAAAGUUUGGGGAUGCGAUGCUUAUGUCAAGAAACUUCAACCUGAAAAGCUCGAACCCAAAUCGGAAAAAUGCGUCUUCAUAGGAUACCCAAAGGAAACUAUUGGGUAUACCUUCUACCUCAGAUCCGAAGGCAAGAUCUUCGUUGCCAAGAACGGGUCCUUUCUAGAGAAGGAGUUUCUCUCGAAAGAAUUGAGUGGGAGGAAAGUGGAACUUGAUGAGGUGAUAGUCACCCCUUCCGAACCGGAAAGUAGCGCAACGCGGGAAAAUGUUCCUGUGGUGCCUACACCGACGGGGGAGGAAGUUAAUGAUGAUGAUCAUGAAGCUUCGGAUCAAGUUGCCACUGAACUUCGUAGGUCCACAAGGACACGUUCCGCACCAGAGUGGUACGGCAACCCUGUCCUUGAAAUCAUGUUGUUAGACAACGGUGAACCUUCGAACUAUGAAGAAGCGAUGGCGGGCCCGGAUUCCGACAAAUGGCUAGAAGCCAUGAAAUCCGAGAUAGAAUCCAUGUAUGAAAACAAAGUAUGGACUUUGACUGACUUGCCCGAUGAGCGGCGAGCCAUAGAAAUAAAUGGAUCUUUAAGAAGAAGACGGACGCAGAUGGUAAUGUGACCAUCUACAAAGCUCGACUUGUCGCUAAGGGUUAUCGACAAGUUCAAGGGGUUGACUACGAUGAGACUUUCUCACCCAUAGCGAAGCUGAAGUCCGUCCGAAUCAUGUUAGCAAUUGCCGCAUACUAUGAUUAUGAGGUAUGGCAGAUGGACGUCAAAACGGCAUUCCUUAACGGCUUCCUUAAGGAAGAGUUGUAUAUGAUGCAGCCGGAAGGUUUUGUCGAUCCUAAGAAUGCUAACAAAGUAUGCAAGCUCCAACGCUCAAUCUAUGGGCUGGUGCAAGCAUCUCGGAGUUGGAACAUUCGCUUUGAUGAGAUGAUCAAAGCGUUUGGGUUUAUACAGACUUAUGGAGAAGCCUGUGUUUACAAGAAAGUGAGUGGGAGCUCUGUAGAAUUUCUCAUAUUAUAUGUGGAUGACAUAUUAUUGAUGGGAAAUGAUGUAGAAUUAUUGGAAAGUAUAAAGGCCUAUUUGAAUAAGUGUUUUUCAAUGAAGGACCUUGGAGAAGCUGCUUAUAUAUUAGGCAUCAAAAUCUAUAGAGAUAGAUCAAGACGCCUCAUUGGUCUUUCACAGAGUACAUACCUUGACAAGAUAUUGAAGAAGUUCAGUAUGGAUCAGUCCAAGAAGGGGUUCUUGCCUGUAUUGCAAGGUGUGCAAUUGAGCACGGCUCAAUGCCCGACCACGGCAGAAGAUAUAGAACAGAUGAGUGUCAUCCCCUAUGCCUCGGCCAUAGGGUCUAUUAUGUAUGCCAUGCUGUGUACCAGACCUGAUGUAAACCUUGCCGUAAGUUUGGUAGGAAGGUACCAAAGUAAUCCCGGCAAGGAACACUGGACAGCGGUCAAGAAUAUCCUGAAGUACCUGAAGAGGACUAAGGAUAUGUUUCUCGUUUAUGGAGGUGACGAAGAGCUCGUCGUAAAGGGUUAUGUCGACGCUAGCUUCGACACAGAUCUGGAUGACUCGAAGUCACAGACCGGAUACGUGUAUAUAUUGAAUAGAGGAGCAGUAAGCUGGUGCAGUUGCAAGCAAAGCGUCGUGGCGGGAUCUACAUGUGAAGCGGAGUACAUGGCAGCCUCGGAGGCAGCACAGGAAGCAGUCUGGAUGAAGGAGUUCAUUACCGACCUAGGGGUGAUUCCCAAUGCGUCGGGCCCAAUGACUCUCUUUUGUGACAACACUGGAGCUAUUGCCCUUGCGAAGGAGCCCAGGUUUCACAGGAAGACCAGACAUAUCAAGCGUCGCUUCAACUCCAUUCGUGAAAGUGUUCAAAAUGGAGACAUAGAUAUUUGUAAAGUGCACACGGACCUGAAUGUAGCAGAUCCGUUGACUAAACCUCUCCCUAGGGCAAAACAUGAUCAACACCAGGACGCAAUGGGUGUUCGAUUCAUCACAAUGUAACUAGAUUAUUGACUCUAGUGCAAGUGGGAGACUGUUGGAAAUAUGCACUAGAGGCAAUAAUAAAUGGUUAUUAUUAUAUUUCUUUGUUCAUGGUAAUUGUCUAUUAUUCAUGCUAUAAUUGUAUUGUCCGGAAAUCGUGAUACAUGUGUGAAUACAUAGACCUCAACCUGUCCCUAGUAAGCCUCUAGUUGACUAGCUCGUUGAUCAAUAGAUAGUCAUGGUUUCCUGACUAUGGACAUUGGAUGUCAUUGAUAACGGGAUCACAUCAUUAGGAGAAUGAUGUGAUGGACAAGACCCAAUCCUAAGCAUAGCAUAAAAGAUCGUGUAGUUUCGUUUGCUAGAGCUUUUCCAAUGUCAAGUAUCUUUUCCUUGGACCAUGAGAUCGUGCAACUCCCGGAUACCGUAGGAGUGCUUUGGGUGUGCCAAACGUCACAACGUAACUGGGUGACUAUAAAGGUGCAUUACGGGUAUCUCCAAAAGUGUCUGUUGGGUUGGCAUGGAUCGAGACUGGGAUUUGUCACUCCGUGUGACGGAGAGGUAUCUCUGGGCCCACUCGGUAAUGCAUCAUCAUAAUGAGCUCAAUAUGACUAAGGCGUUAGUCACGGGAUCAUGCAUUGCGGUACGAGUAAAGAGACUUGCCGGUAACGAGAUUGAACAAGGUAUUGGGAUACCGACGAUCGAAUCUCAGGCAAGUAACAUACCGAUUGACAAAGGGAAUUGCAUACGGAUUGAUUGAAUCCUCGACACCGUGGUUCAUCCGAUGAUAUCAUCGUGGAACAUGUGGGAGCCAACAUGGGUAUCCAGAUCCCGCUGUUGGUUAUUGACCGGAGAGGCGUCUCGGUCAUGUCUGCAUGUCUCCCGAACCCGUAGGGUCUACACACUUAAGGUCCGGUGACGCUAGGGUUGUAGAGAUAUAUGUAUGCGGAAACCCGAAAGUUGUUCGGAGUCCCGGAUGAGAUCCCGGACGUCACGAGAGGUUCCGGAAUGGUCCGGAGGUAAAGAUUUAUAUAUGGGAAGUCUUAUUUUGGUCGCCGGAAAAGUUUCGCGCUUUAUCGGUAUUGUACCGGGAGUGCCGAAAGGGGUCCGGGGGUCCACCAAGGGGGUCCACCAGCCCCAAGAGGCCCAUGCGCAAGAGAUAAGAAAGAAGGGAGAGUCCUAAAGGGGGAAGGCACCUCCGAGGUGCCUUGGGGGGGAAGGACUCCCCCCUGGCCGCACCCUUCCUUGAAGGAAGGGGCAAGGCUGCGCCCCCCCUCUCCCUUGGCCCUAUAUAUAGUGGGGGGAAGGGAGGGCAGCAACAUCUAAGCCUUGGGCGCCUCCUUCCUCCCCUGCAACACCUCUCUCUCUCUCGCAGAAGCUCGGCGAAGCCCUGCCGGAGACCCGCUACAUCCACCACCACGCCGUCGUGCUGUUGGAUCUCCAUAAACCUCUCCUUCCCCCUUGCUGGAUCAAGAAGGAGGAGACGUCGCUGCACCGUACGUGUGUUGAACGCGGAGGUGCCGUACGUUCGGCACUCGGUCAUCGGUGAUUUGGAUCACGGCGAGUACGACUCCGUCAUCCACGUUCAUUGGAACGCUUCCGCUCGCGAUCUACAAGGGUAUGUAGAUCCACUUCUUUCCCCUCGUUGCUAGUAGACUCCAUAGAUGCAUCUUGGUGAGCGUAGGAAAAUUUUAAAUUAUGCUACGAUUCCCAUCAGCAGGGGUGUCCCAACUUAGCCCAUUAUAAGCUCUCACGGUUAACGAAGGAUAAACCUUCUCCUGGGAAGACCCGAUCAGCCUCGGAAUCCCGGUUUACAAGACAUUUCGACAAUGGUAAAACAAGACCAGCAAAGCCACCCGAAUGUGCCGACAAAUCCCGAUAGGAGCUGCACAUAUCUCGUUCUCAGGGCACACCGGAUGAGCAAGACGUCGGGUUGGCAUAGACCCUGGUUGCCCAGGGGGCGCCGGACAUCGCCCAGUUUGGGCCAGCACUCGAAAGAGCACUGGUCCGGGGGUUUAAAUAAAGAUGACCCUCGGGCUCGUGAAAAUCCAAGGGAAAAAGGCUUAGGUGGCAAAUGGUAAAACCAAGGUUGGGCCUUGCUGGAGGAGUUUUAUUCAAGGCGAACUGUCAAGGGGGUCCCAUAAAUCACCCAACCGCGUUAGGAACGCAAACUCAAGGAACAUUAUACCGGUAUGACGGAAACUAGGGCGGCAAGAGUGGAACAAAACACCAGGCAUAAGACCGAGCCUUCCACCCUUUACCAAAUAUAUAGAUGCAUUAAUUAAAUAAGAGAUAUUGUGAUAUUCCAAAAAUAUCCAUGUUCCAACAUGGAACCAACUUCAACUUCACCUGCAACUAGCAACGCUAUAAGAAGGGCUGAGCAAAAGCGGUAACUUAGCCAAACAACGGUUUGUUAGGAAAGGAUGGUUAGAGGCUUGACAUGGAAAUAUGGGAGGCAUGAUAUAGAAAGUGGUAGGUAGCGCAGCAUAGCAAUAGAACGAACAACUAGCAAAGCAAAGAUAGAAGUGAUUUCGAGGGUAUGGUCAUCUUGCCUGCAAGGUUCUCAGAGUUGUCGAAAGCUUGAUCCUCAUAAGCGUAGUCAAUAGGUUCCUCGUUCAAGAACUCGUCUCCCGGCUCUACUCACAUCAAGAACACAAGCAAUGGAACCACAAUCAAUCACGGGAAAUGCACAAGCAACAUGAUGCAAUACAUGCAUGAUAUGCGGGAUGUGAUAUGCGAUGCAUAUGCGUGCUCCGGAAAAAAAGGAUGAACAAGGCAGUAACUUGGCAAACCAAGUAUGCCACUGGAAGGGUGAGAUGAUUUCAGUCGAAAUCGAUAUAAAGAUCACCGGAAACGGAUGCACGGUUUGCAAAUGGCGAGCAAAACAAGAAUGGCACGAUUCUGCGAUUAACAGCAUGAUAGUACUUAGAAUACAUCAAGUAGCUAUGCUACAGCACCCCAACAUAGCAACAAAGCAUAUGACGGUAAUCUACAGGAGAUGCUUGACAAAAGAUAAACACUGAGCUACGGCUAUAUCACACAAUAACAGGCUCAAACAAGCAUGGCAAAAGUGCAAAAGAUAACAGGUUCACAGACUUGGUAAAAAUACUGGACAUGGCAGAAACAGCAUCAGGUAGCAAUGUUCAGAGCAAGCAAAACACAUGCUACAGAACUUAUCAUAGCAGUACAAGGCAUGGCAUGAAUCUACUAAAUGCAUAGCACAAAAGUCCCUUACUGAGCAUGAGGCAAAAAAUACCAGAAGAUAAGAUGGCACCCAGGUAAACAUAGCAAGUUCCGUUAACAGGUUUCAGACAUAGCAGAAAACAGAACAUGGCAUUAACAGAAAUAUGAAGGCAUCUUUGUGAGCUUGAGUCACUCAUCACAAAGCAAUGCAUGACAAAGCAAGCAUACCUACAGCAAGAUGGCAUGUUUAUGGAGCUAUCCAUGGCAAGAGCAAAUACAUAGCAUGUAUGGAUCAACUACAACAACCUUGGCAAAAUUGAAUAUCAUGUUAACAUUCUGCCAAAAAUAUUUUAUAGCAAAAGUAGAGCAAGAUUGAGACAUGCUAUUUUACUCCAUAAUUGCAAACAGAGGCAUGGAUGGAUAGAGCACAACUAUAUCUACAAACCAACAGAAGCACGGAUCUCAUUGUAGGCACAUGGAUACAUGGCAACAAAAUAACAGCAGUAAUAGACUUAGCAAAAUUCUAACUCCCUGAAAACAGAAACAUCACGAAGCCUAGUUUGCAUGCUUGUUCUAGUCACCAUAUAGAUCACAAAAAUACAUGGCAUACACCUCUAUAAAUAUGGCAUGGCAUAGAUCAAAAUACCUGUAGAGCUCAUGCCCAUAAGAUGCACAUAUCAAAAGCAACAAAAAUAACAAAACAACAAGUUCUGAUAAAUAACUGCAGUAAACAUCAUAUAGCACUCUUGUACCAGAGAUUUGGGCAUCAAGAUGAACUCAAACGAGCAUGACACAAUGGAACAAAAUGAAGAGCAUCUCGUGACGAACAUUUCGAUAUAUCACACGCAUGGAACGGAGCAGUAUGCAAGACGUUAUGGCAUGAUGAACAUGAGCACAUAAUGCAAUAAUUCGGGGACUUGGAGGAUUUUCAGGGUCAACCUUCUUCCAGAUCUGGAUCGGGGGCAGGCACGCGAACCGAGGUUCGCCGGGGUUCGCCGGGGAUGGAGAGGAGGAGGCCNNNNNNNNNNNNNNNNNNNNNNNNNNNNNNNNNNNNNNNNNNNNNNNNNNNNNNNNNNNNNNNNNNNNNNNNNNNNNNNNNNNNNNNNNNNNNNNNNNNNNNNNNNNNNNNNNNNNNNNNNNNNNNNNNNNNNNNNNNNNNNNNNNNNNNNNNNNNNNNNNNNNNNNNNNNNNNNNNNNNNNNNNNNNNNNNNNNNNNNNNNNNNNNNNNNNNNNNNNNNNNNNNNNNNNNNNNNNNNNNNNNNNNNNNNNNNNNNNNGGCGCUGGCGGCGGGCGAAUCUGGAGGCGACACAUGGCGGCGGAGAGGGCGGCGGACACGUCCAACGGCGGGAUUUUUUGUCCGGCGGCGCGAAGGGGAAGAAGACUAGGGUUGCACCGCGAAUUUGGAAGGGGAAGGCACCUUUAUAUAUAGGUAGAGGGAGCUAGGAGACUCCAAAUGGAGUGCGGUUUUCGCCCACACGAUCGUGAUCGAACGACCGAGAGCAUGGAGGGGACUUAGAUGGGUUAUAGGGCUGUUUGGAGGGGUGUUUUGCUGCAACACACAAAAGGUCUUUGCGGUUACCCGGUUAACUGUUGGAGCGUCAAACGACCUCCAAAUGGAACGAAACUUGACAGUGGUCUACCGGUGGUAUACCAUGGCCACUUGGCAAACUUCGGUCCAUUCCGAGAACGUUUAACACCCGCUCACGAAAAGAAACAAGAGGGGUGCGCCGGUGCAUGUGGGAGUGUCGGAUUGCAAAACGGGCAACGGGGAAAAUGCUCGGAUGCAUAAGACGAACACGUAUGCAAAUGAGAUGCGCAUGAUGACAUGAUAUGAGAUGCAUGACAUGAACAAAAUACAAAACGAAAGACAAAACCCGACCACGAAGGGAAUAUCAUAACACAUAGCAGAAAAUGGCAAGAGCUGGAGUUACAAAUAUGGAAAGUUACAUCCGGGGCGUUACAUCUUAUUAUAUAUUACUAGCAAGAGGCAUUGUUCUAUUGGCGAUAAAAAAUGAUCUAAUUUUCUAGUCAUAUCAUUUUUAGCAUUGUUCUAUUCAUGCCUCGUAGUGAAGGUGACACGUGCGGCGAAACAGCCGAAACAAAAUAAGAAACACAGGAGCAAAAGAAGAAGGAGGAUUAUCACCCCCAAAAAAGAAGGAAGACGCACACACAAGUCUGGGGCGCUGCUCUCACUACAUGAAGGGUUGCUGGCCGCGGAGUCCUAACUGCUUCUUCAUCGCCUCCACGACCUCCAUCUCCUUGCGCGUCUCCUCUGCCAUCUUCAUCAUUGUGUCCAUGACGCGGAUUUCUCGACGCGAGCCUUCAUUAUCUGUUCCACGGCCGCAUUACGUACCUUGACAGCGGUCGGGUGCUCGAUGCGGAGCUUCGCCAACUCCUCCUUCUGUUCCAUGACGAGGGCCUACAACAUCUUCAUCGAGGAACUACUAUUCUCAUGCAGCUUCUUCCAGCCGGCGUUCUCCUCCUUCAGCAGGUCGAGCUCGUGGCAGAGCUUCGCGUUGUCCUCCUGAAGUUGCAGGAUUUCGCCGGUUGCCUUCUUCUCCGAGGCAAUGCUCUUCUUCAGCAGCAUCACCAAGCCUGCGGUCAACUCCCCCUACUCACUGAGCUCAGCGGGCAUGUCAUCGAGGCUCUCCUUCAGUAGCUCCACCAAGCCAUGGAUGAACUCCUUCUGCUUAUUGAGGUGCUUAUUGAGCUGAUCGGGCAUGCCGUCGAGGGAUAACGACUCCAGCCCCGCCAGCUCGGCAUGUUCGCCUCCGCGUCUAGGGCGCUCCUGGGAGCCAUCGCCUGCCAGUGAGAGAUCUUUCGAUGUCUCUGCGUGGUGGCGAGCCCUCUCUUUUUUUCGCAGCCUUGGUUGCCGCUCCCUUGUUACGCGUAGUUCUCGACCUAUAGCUCUGCACACCGGCCAUGGCAAGGACGGACGAAGAAUCAGGACUUAUGAGGAGGAAGGUAGAGUAAUUUUCGGUUAGGUAGUUCCCCUUUUUAUAGCCUAAGUACUAGCACUAGUACUAAAACCUGCAUAGUGGGAACACGUUCAGGUUUGGUACGUACUGGUAGGUGUGAGCAGGCUUGCACUUAAUUGUAGCACUAGUACUUUCGAAUGUGAUGGGAACAAGGUAAAGAUUAAUUGAUGGUUUUUGGUUUCGAGGCCCGAAACGACUCCCGAUGAGUUUAGUGGAACAUAAAUUUCAAGUAGACUGCACUGCUCAGAUUCGUAAAUAUUAUGUUACUGUCAAAAAUUGGCACAAAAUACAAAGGAGACCAAUGGAAGUACUACUAGCAACCCAUGAUUUAACUACUCGCAUGCGCGCAGUGGAGUAGUAAUGUCUUUCUUCCGCCCUCACGUCCACUCAAUUUGCAUGCGUUGUAUUAAUUGACCAUCAAUGAAGUGAAGGACUUUACACGCUUCAAAUUAUCACAUGGGGUGGAUCUUGGUACAAAAUUGCAUCCGCCCGUGUACCCGCGUGUGCGUGCGAGGGAAUGAGUGCGUGCGUGGCGUGCGUGCACAUCUUCGCUUCGUGCAUGUAGCGCCAGUGCGGCUCAGGGAGGACGAGUACAUUCUUCUGGAACCAGCAGCACGUCACUGUGAUCAAUCCACACAAGGAUGUCGCGACAACGCCUCCACAUGUGCCACGUCCCCACGUGGCUUCAUGAACUGUAAGAGAGACACUGUGUAGCGUGCCAUUGUGUUUUGCACAUACUCGAAGUACUAGUAAGGUACAUGUGCAUUGCACGCGUCCGAUUUUGCAACCAAAUUACGAAUAAAUACCACACUGUAGCAUGUAAGCUCUGAGUCAUAUAUGCCUGAUGUAGACCUUCGUUUAAUUCUUAUAGUUCAUCUCAUUCAAAAUCAAUUAUUUUUUAUAAAAACCUAGGGCCUCUUUGAUUCGUAGGAUUUCCAAAACGCGGGAAUAGGAAGAACAUGGGAUUAGAGUGGAAUGUCGUCUUGAAUCCCACAGGAUGGUACGAGCGUUUGAUUGUGCAUAGAAAAAACGCAGAAUUCUUUCAAAGAGGUUUUAGUGGAUGGGAUGUUUCCUAUGAAAUCUAGUGCAAAUGAAUCAUAUGAAAAAAUUCCUAUGGUUUACAAUCCUACGAAUCAAACAACCAAGAUAGGAAAAAUUCCUAAGGAUUAGAAUCCUCCAAAAUUCCUUCGAGAAUCCUUUGAAUCAAAGAAGCCCUAAAUCUAUUUUAUGAUUCAUGGAAUUGUGCGCUGUAAAGCAUAAAGUACAAACAAAGAAUGGCAAUUCAACUAGAAAAAAAGUUUGGGAAGUUACGAUACGGAAGAUUCUAGAACAAAGGAGAACCACUUUUGUUUUGAGAUUUGUGCAUUAUGCUUAAGUUCAACCAUGGAGUCUGCUAGAUUGUACAUGUGGCAAAAUCCAGUGGGGGCUAGAAGAUGGUGCGAGGGGCCGAGUGGAGGGAGACUAUGAAGGAGUGCGCAACUGCGAGAUCGAUAUUUAGAGUGAGGGGGCGAGGACGUGUGCUGUUGCGCGCAGUGGCGGAGCCAUGAAAAAUGUCCCAUGAGCUAGGGGGCCAAGCAUUGCUAAUCCUUUACGAGGAGGGCCAAUUCAUCAACUUAAACCAUUUUUACCAGCAAUUGUCUAAUGAUCACAUUCAUAUUAGCCUCGAUAUAUAGUGAUCUUAGGGGGGGAGGGCCCUUGCUGCCCCCUGUCUUGGCCAUUGUGCGCGCGUCUGAGAGAUGAAGCGGAAGGCAUGGAUGAUGAGAGGGGGGCGUUGGAUAUAUAAUUAAUGUGGGUGUAUUAGCCAUAUAUGUAAUCCUAUAUAGAGAGGUAUAGAUUGAUCGAUGUGGACGUGGGAAAGAGGGUGAGACCUCACUAGAUAUAUAGAUUGAUCGGUUUAUGUGGAAAACUAUGAAAUACCUAGCUAUACAGACACACACACAUAGAGGAACAUCGAUCGUUGCGCAUGCACGCCAGAGAUAAAGAAUGCCCAAUAUGAUGGAGAGGGGUGUGUGUGUGUGUGCCUUCAUGGGAGACCGACCUGAAGAAAAAGAUUGCAUGUGUGCGAUGGAUAAUGCCGACUGGUAGUGUGUGUGCAUGCAUGCACGAGAGAAAGUUAGUGGUACAAUUAUAAAGAGAAGACCAAUGUGUGGGUGUAAAAGACUAGGUGAGGUCAUAAUCAAUAUAAAGUUGAAUUCAAAUAUUUGAAUAAGAGAUCAUGAUGUUUGAAACCUAUGCAUGCAUGAAUAUAACGGAGAUCUGCGCGGUGUGGUUUGGAAACGAGCAUGUUGCAAUGCAUACACAUUGAACAAGGUCAGAUUGGUUUGAAUUUGAGAUACCGAUGGCAGACAUCGUUUGGCCACAUUGCAUCCGUGCAUGGACAAACUAUUCUAAUUGGAGAUGAUGGGUGGCUUUCGCAUCACAUAUCUAUAUCUAUACCCCUAUAUAUAUUAUAUUAUAUAUUUUUUUUUAUAGUGUGCGGAUAACUUUAACUUUGAAAGAUGGUCGUUGGAUGAGGCCAAUCCGAUGGUGCAGAGCUGGCAAAUUUGAGCACUACUUGCCAUUGGAUAUCAUCUAGAUUCCACCAGAUUUUGCCACAUAACUUAAGCAUAAUGCACAAACCUCAAAACACAAGCACUUCUUCUUUGUUCUAGAAUCUUCCGUAUCAUAAUUGCCCAAAUGUUUUUCUACAUGAUUUUUAUUUACUUUAUGCCUUACAACGCACAAUUCCAUGAAUCUUAAAAUAGAUUAGAUUUCUUAUAAAAACAAGAUGAUUUUGAAUGAAAUGAACUAUAAAAAUUAAACGAACAUCUACAUCAUGGAUAUAUGACUCAAAGCUUACAAGCUAUAAUGUGGUAUUUAUUCAUAAUUUGGUUCCAAAUCUCAUGCGUGCAAUGCACGUGUACCUUACUAGUCUAAAUGGUGUAUGUGUGUGUGUGUUGUGCGUGUUAAACACAUUGUACGUAGUAUAUCAUACUAGUCUAAAUUGUCUUUUUUUCUUUUGGGUACACGUUAAACUUGUUCUCCCGAAAUUUCAAGCCGCGCCUUGUUAUGCCGAAAUUUCAAGCUAGCGUCUCUAUCUAUUGUGCUGCGAAACUCCGUCUCUUCAACCCGCGCCUUGUUAGCCCGAAAUAUUUAAGAUAUACCUUUGUCUCGUUGUGCUCCGACAACUCCCUCCAUCUCAACCCGCGCCUUGCUAUUCCAAAAUUACAACGCGCGCGAAAACUCACACCUCCUGUGAAAUCCCGACACGCGAAAUGCCCGUGAUACCCCUGAACCGAAAGAACUGCCUCAUAUCGGUGGGGGUACUUUUGUAACUUACCCCACAUUUUGGACAAGCACGUCCCUAAGCCAUGGUUCCGCACUCCCAUCCCAUCCGCCCACCAUUCGUACACCGAGGCUGGGAAAACCCGCGAAGCCCCACACCCUCCUCCAUCCGCCACCCAGCCAGAGCCUCUUCCCCGACGACGCCGUCCACAGCAACACCUCGACGUCCCUCAUCCACCGUACCGGUUGAGGAUCCGUCGUCGAUCUGGUCGUCCCGCCGGUUCAGCCACCCCGUCCUCCACCUCCAAGGAGCUGCCCCGACGUUCCCCUCGUCUUUCGCGCCACCUUCAUUCCCACACCGCCAUCUUCACCUACACCACCGGAAGAGCAUCAGCAUCACCGUUUCCUCGAAUGAAGUUGCGGCCUAAUCGGCGCCACCAAAGAGGUUGUACACUAAUCGCCGCAUUUUCUUCUUGAUUCGAUCUCACGGUGCUGCCGGCGCUCGGUCCCGAGCCAACACGGCGCGGCUCCAUCCAUCGCGGCAUCGCCGGCCACUUCCUCCACGGUGUCGCUCCCUCGGCGGUGACAUCCACAUCAGUAGGAGCUGCUGCUGCUUUAGCUCUCGCUCGCGCUGCUGCUCUGCUCUUGCUCUCGGUCCCCUGCCUGGUCUGCUCUUGCUCUUGCUCUUGCUCUUGCUUUCGCUGCUGCUCUCGCUCUUGCUCUUGCUUGCGAUGCUGCUCAGAUUUUGCUACACUUCAGUUGACUGAUCNNNNNNNNNNNNNNNNNNNNNNNNNNNNNNNNNNNNNNNNNNNNNNNNNNNNNNNNNNNNNNNNNNNNNNNNNNNNNNNNNNNNNNNNNNNNNNNNNNNNNNNNNNNNNNNNNNNNNNNNNNNNNNNNNNNNNNNNNNNNNNNNNNNNNNNNNNNNNNNNNNNNNNNNNNNNNNNNNNNNNNNNNNNNNNNNNNNNNNNNNNNNNNNNNNNNNNNNNNNNNNNNNNNNNNNNNNNNNNNNNNNNNNNNNNNNNNNNNNNNNNNNNNNNNNNNNNNNNNNNNNNNNNNNNNNNNNNNNNNNNNNNNNNNNNNNNNNNNNNNNNNNNNNNNNNNNNNNNNNNNNNNNNNNNNNNNNNNNNNNNNNNNNNNNNNNNNNNNNNNNNNNNNNNNNNNNNNAGAAGUACCCCACUAUCUAUCUUAGGGUUCAGGGUGGGGGCGGUGGUCGCCGGCGGUGGUGGGGCGGUGGCGUGGAGAUCGCCGGAGAAAAAGGUCGGCAUGGGGGGCCUAGAGGGAUGGCCGGGGCGGUGGCGAACCGGCGGUGGGGAGUGUUUUCGGGGCGGGCGGGGCGGCUCUUUGGCCGGUGGUGGCUGGCGGCUCAGGGGGGUGGAGGUUGAAGAUGAACUGCGGGCCCUUGAUUUCGUAUCCAACGGCUGCAAAAUUGACUGACCAGAGAUGAAAAAGCCAGUCGACUGAUGUGUAGCCUCACCUCUAGUGCGUUCAGUUUCGAUAGUAAAAUUCAGUUUCGACAGCAAAAUUCAGUUUCGCCAGUUAAGUUCAGUUUCGACAGUUAAAUUCAGUUUUGACAGUUAAGUUCAGAGAUGAGCGGCUGAUGUAUACAUCUAGCACUUUGUGGUUAUGUAUUUUACGUCAUCUAUUGGAGAUGCUAUUAGAAUUCCACUCAGGUUAACGUUGUCUCUCUUGUCCUGCUUCAGCCUCGGCGUCGUACAACUCACCAGAGCUGCUCCAAUGACGAAACCCUCCAUCACAGCACAGAAGUACCUCGGGCUCCAUCUCCAGACGCCUAAGAUCUUCUUCCCCUCCUCCGACAGCCAAGUCAGCCGGAGCAUCCUCUCCGGCCAACCCAAUCACGCUGAGAUCGACAUGGCUUCGCCAAAGAGGUUGUACACUUGUUGCAUAUCUUUUUUACUCUACAUGUUAUAUAUAUUGUCCACUGAGCACACGGAGUAACGGGAAAUACGAUUAUUUUAUCCUACUAUAUGACAAGCAGUGAGGUACCAGGCAACUUAGCUAUCCGCGAUGGACUCUCUUGAACGCCAUCAUUAUUUAUCUCUGCGUGUUUGAGCUGUGCAUUUGUCAAUGGCCCUGGGAGUUGAGCUAGUAGGGCACUGGCCUGGGUCCAAAGUAAUAGAAGUAGCACAAAAACAUUUUUUUAGUGUAGGCUUUUCCUUGCUCAAGCCUGCCUACUGGAAUCGCCAGUGCUUGAAAGGAAAAGUGAAUGAAAAACAUAGGAAUUGGAAAGUUUCGUAUGGUACUACUUUUCAUGAAUUUGGUGCAAAGGAAUGGAGCAAAGUAAAAUUGUAGGAUUUAUUCCUUUAGUGUCUCCUUGAAAGAAAAACCGUAGGAAUUUUAAUUUCCACUUGUCCUCCUUUUCAAAUUCCUAUUCAUGAAGCACAAGACUAAGAGAUAGUAGCAUAAUAGCAUUAUAACUGUACAUUUUCUUGUGUUGACUUAAUCUCACCAUGCUUCUUUGCAUCCUGUGAUCUUCCAAUUCUUGUGAACCAAACACCCAGAUUGGCAGAAAUCCUGUGUUUUUAAAUUCUCUAUUUUGCACGUGCAUUCCUAUCCUAUUCUUGUCUAUUUCCUAUCCCUGCAUUGUUAGAAUCCUCAAAUUCAAACAAGCCCUUACACAAUUACUUCUAUUACAGAUAUGUGUCAAAGAAAACCUUGUGUGGAUUGUCCUGCUCCUGCGCUGCUAUGUUCCACCCCAGCUCAGCUGCUCCAACGACGGAAGGGUUCACCACAGCAGGGAUCCGCUCUCCAGACUGUCUUUCGCCGCCUCAGAUCUUCUUCCCCGCCGCCGGCAGCCACGACAACUGCAUUACCAUCAUCAACUGAGCAGAUGACCUUGAGGACUACACGCAACAGAGGUCACACUCUUCUGUGUCUGCUUACGUUAUGCAUCUCUUAAUAUGAUGACAUGCUACUUUAUCGUCGUGUUCACCUAUUAGACUCCGAGUCAGGUCCAAACUUAUGCUGAAACUUGAGUUUUUAAAUGGUUGUGGGGUACAUAUUGGGGCAGCAAUCAGUACUAUCUAUCUACUAUCUGGUUAAUCUCGGGUGUCUACUAUGAGUUUCAUGUUGGGUGCAAACAAACAUUAAAGGAGCCAUUAUCUGUAUUUUUUAACUAAAGCUAUUAUCUGCCUGCUAUCAUUGGUUUCGGGUCUAUCCACAGUUUGCUACCAUCACUCUGGAUUUGUGCAUGCACUCCUUACAUAAUCUCACUAUGUUUUAUUCCUAUGCAUGUCAGUUAUUGUACACAAUGGAACUGAACAUGUAGAACAAAAGAGACGAGCCUUGCGUGGCAAUAAAAUUUCAUGCAGACGUCGCUCCAUGGUGGGCGCAAAGGCAGCCCCCCUCCACCCAUUUCGGAUCGUAAUCAAGAGGAAGAUAAUUGUUCUGAGGGGGAUUCAGAAGUAGAAGUCCACUCCUAUUUACCCCAUGAGGUCUUCGCUCUAACUUGGCAUGCUGAUGUUGGUUAUAUCAUGCAUAUGGUGCCUUGCAUUGCUUACUUUAUACAUCAAAUAUGUCAACUGCUUAGUUUAGACAUGCUUUGUGUGAAUGCCAUCUGUUUAGUUUAUUCAUCGUUUAUGUGAAUUAUGCAAUGCCAUCUUGUUUAGCCAGGCAUCAUAUAUGUGAAUUUUGCAAUGCCAUCCUGCUUAGCCAGUCAUCUUACAUGUGAAUUAUAUCAGGCCAUCCUUUAUUUUCGUUACGUAUUACAUUUGUUAACAAUGUUAGUACAUUCAACUACACUUCGUGUGCAUCAGCCAUUUGACACGGUGAUGGAAAAUUCUGGAGUGAAAUCAAGGUCUCCAGAGCAGACUAUGCUAUCUGACGAAGCGCAUAUCUCGCUGGUUACGGAUAGCUCCUCGGAGGAGGAUUCAGAGACAGAUGACCAGUCAUAUUUCCCCCCCGAGGUGUAUGCUCUAAUUAACUUGGCAGGGUUAUGUUGCUCAUAUCGUGCGUAUGGUGUCUUGCAUUGCGAUGUCAUUUGAUUAGUUUAGACAUGCUUUGUGUGAAUGCCACCUGUUUAGUGUCUAAUUACCAUAUAUGUGAAUUAUGCAUUGCCAUCUUGUUGCAAGACAUUAUAUAUGUGAAUUAUGCAAUGCUAUCUUGUUACAAAGGCAUUAUAUAUGUGAAUUAUGCAAUGCCAUGCUGUUGAGCCAAUCAUCAUGUAUGUGAAUUAUAUCAUGCUAUCAUUUUUUUGUAUUACGUGUUCCAUUUGUCGACAACGUUUGUAUAUUCAACUACUCUUCCUGUGCAUCAGCCGUUUGAAGCGGUGAUGGAAGUAUCUGGAGUGAAAACAAGGUAUUCAGAGCAGACAAUGCUACCUGCUGAAGCAAACAUCUUGCCGGAUACAGAGAGCUCCUCAGAGGAGGAUUCAGAGACUCAUGACCAGUCCUAUUUCCCCCCUGAGGUCUAUGCUCAAACAUGGCAGGGUUAUAUUACCCAUGUCAUGCAUGUUGUCUUGCAUUGCUUAGUUUUUACAUCAUAUAUGGAUUGCCAUCUGCUUACUUGCUUACUAUAUAAAUCAUAUAUUUGAAUUAUAUCAUGCCAUCAUGUUUACAUACACAACAUCUAUCUGAAUUAUGGCAUGGCAACCCAUUUAAUAAAGACAUCAUAUAGUUAUAUCAUCUCAUCCUGUUUAGUGUUUACAGUCAUCAUAUUUUGAAUUAUGUCAUUCUAUCCGGGAAUUAUAUCAUGCUAUCAUGUUUCCAUAGGCGGCAUGUAUGUGAAUUAUGGCAUGCCAACCUAUUUAAUAAACACAUUAUAUAGUUAUAUCAUGUCAUCCUGUUUACAUAGUCAUCAUAUUUUGAACUAUGUCUUUCCAUCUUUUUUAGUUAGCCAUCAUAAUGUGAAAUUGUCUCAUGCUAUCCUGUUUAGUUAGCCAUCAUAUAUGUGAAAUUGUGUCAUGCUAUCCUGUUUGGUUAGACAACAUAAAUGUGAAUUAUUUCGUGCCCUCUUUUAUUCCCCACUAUCCAUUGCACCUGUCUAUCAUACAAUGUGUGUACAUUCAAUUACUUUUCUUGUUUAUCAGCCAUUUGAAUUGGAGAGGGUGAUGGCAGUAUCUAAGGGAGUAACAACACGGUCUUCAGAAAAGAGAGUGCUACCAGUUGAUGCAGAUAGAACCACAAUUGUACUUGCCCAAGAACCUGCCCCACCACACAUAACUCAGACUCUCGCAGAUUGUACCCCUACCCAGUUGGACAAAGAACCAGCUACACCCCUUCUAACACCAACCCUAGCAGAUAGUAACCCGGUUCCAGUUGACACAUCACCGUCUCCACCAUAGAGCACCCAAACAUGAGCAGUUAGUAAGAUAACUGCAGUGCCCAAAGCACGAGGACCACCACUCCGAAUCCCAACUCAACGCUUAAAGGAGAAGAAGAAUUGUUCUCAGGUCAGGUUCUGUAGCUAUGGUUCAUACUCCUUUGCUCUUGCAUCACUGUAUUUACUCAGACCUACUAUUUUCAAAUUUGAAGGAUGGAAUUGAAACUCCAAUGGCGCAACAGGUAUGUUUUAAACUUGUUUCAUUAACUGGUUUGCUAUUGUAACUUGCUCUAUAUUGAUUUCAGUUUCAAUUGAAUAAACAGUUAUGUUCUCAUGUCAUGCACAUUACAAGUGUCUCUAUAGUUUCCCACACUUAUAUUCUAUCUAUUCUGCUUUGUCUUAAACAAAUAUUAUUUGAACUGUGUCUCUAUCUUGAUUUGGCAACAAAAACUAGAAUGAUAUAGACCAUAAAGUGACCAUGGUACAUAGAUAUAUGUUUGUUUCAUGCUGUUAUCCUGUGCACUUUACUACUGAACUGAUUUACCAAAAUGAGUUUCAUAUACAACAUGGUAAACCUGUGAUGUGUCUGCUUGUUUCUCUUUUAGAAUGCGGACAAAAUAUUGGAGAAUAGUACCCCGUUAUGCAAUGGUGAAGGAAGUAAUGCAGAUAAGGUUCAAGAUAGUGAGACAUCCCUAUUGGUCUCCAAGAAAGCUGAUAAAAACUACCUUGACGACAGUGAGAAAACCCAGAAGUCCUGUCUUGAUGUAGUGUUCGAGUUACUGGCCACUACCGCUGGCACAAGCUCUUCGAACUCGUUGCCUGAAUCAGUUCGUCUUCUUGAGUCUCAGCUUCAAGUUGAAAGACAUCGAUCAGAUGUGUUGCGACAGGAAGCUGAAGGACUGAGGAAGUCCCUGCAAAAUUCAGAUGCAUACUUUCUGGUGCAACAGCAAGCGCUGGAGGAUUUAAGCGCCAAACAAGAGAAAGUUAAUAAGCUUGCUAAGCAUCUUGCCAGCACUAUGGGUACCCAGGAUAUUGUUUCUUGAGAUCUUCUGAAGUGGUUUCAGUUCUGGACAUGUUUUGCUGCGGCGUUUAUUUGCACUAUUCGCCAACUUUGACAACUAGUGUAGAUGAUAUGCUGCUUUGUUCCCUAUAUUUGCACUGGUGGCGAACUUUGAUGCCCAGUGGAUGUAAUAUGUGUAAUAGCCGUGAUAGCCUAGCGUAAGUUGCUUGCUUAUUUAUUUCCUUGCUGUCUUGUUUAUUUGUUUGCUUGUAGUUAGUGCUAUUCUUUUUUCGCGGUUUGCUAGUGGCCGCAAUAAUCUUUUUUUAAACUAGGCCACAAUAACCAUGGGCUACAUAUUUACUAUAGUGACACUGGUCCUUAUACGGGCCGUAGAAACAAUGGGCCUUCUACGGGGCGUAGAAACAAUGGGCCUUCUACGGGUCGUAUCAUCAAUGGGCCUUCUACGGGCCGUAUUAUCAAUGGGCCUUCUACGGGUCGUAUGAUCGAUUGCCCAAACAUGGGCCAAUAACAUACCGCUUUAUGGCCGUAAACGGGCUAGAGUUGGAAUCGUCCGUUCAUGGGCCGACCAUAAUGGGCCGUCGUUAAUCGGCCGUAUUUGAUGACGCUAUGAAAACGGCCCAACGUAUUAACGGCCACAAACGGGCCGAUUGUAUGCACGGGCUGAAUUUGGCCCACAAGCAGAAAAUGACAGCAACAGGCCGUAAGUAACCGAAUGCUGGAAAUGAGCCCAAGAAUAAAUGGGCCCUGAGAAGGCCGAAAGAUAACAUGGGCUGGAAACGGCCCAACGGAAUAAUGGUCCGUUAAUGGGUAUAAAGUGAUACACUGUUCAUUACGGGCCAGUUUUACCACGGGCCGUUAACGGGCCGAGGGUUACUAAGGGCCUCAGAUGGGUCAAAAGACGUCAUGGGCCAUACAUGGGCCGGAAGUUAAAACGGAUUGGAAUUAUAUUGGACAGCCCAGAUGACGCUACUGGGCCUAAUUCGGAUAGGCCGUAAAUGGGCCCUGGGUUAGCGGGCUGUAAAUGGGCUAUAUGCGAACAGGCCGUUAAUAGGCUUGCCGUGGGCCGGCCCGCCACCUUUUGACCAAGUCAAACGGGUCGGCCUUUUCACAGGAAUGGGCCUCUGUUGGGCCGUGCCACGUGUCGACGUAUCAUAGGCGCUUUGGGUCCAAUGAGUGGAUGAUAUCUGUCCCAACGGUGAGUCGACACGUGUUUCCUCCAGCCAAUGAUGAUUUUACACGCGGAAAAUCCCCAUUGGUCGGGGCUGUUAACGGGUUAUCGGAUCCAAAACCGGACCCGAUAGCUUAAUGGCGUUCCGUUACGGUGGAUGCCACGUGUCGGUCACCCUUGACGAAAGCACUUCUGUGACGCGUGAUUUAUCGUCAUGGAAGUGGACACUUCCGUGAUGAUAAUUUUGGUAAUGUCAUGGAACACUUUUACGACAGCACAAGUAUGACUAUCUUGAUUCUGUCAUAAAUUUGUCAUGGAUGUACAUGCAUGACAAAAACGCGACCUACUGUGACAAACACAUAUCAUCACGGAAGUGUAUUUUUUUGUAGUGCAUGGUUGAGUGAUGAUUCUUGUUUUUGUUCAAAAAAUUAUAUCUUAUAAUGAAUAAUAAGUCUGACUACCUACAGUAGCAUGUCAUGUUCCUUGCAUCGGUGGCAUGUGAAAUCGGGUUAGGUUGGGCAGUAAUUAAUAAAUAAAUAUGUAAUUGUCGAACCAGGUGUAUACCAUGUUCUCUGGAUCGGUGGUAUGUUCCUUUGGGGAGAAAAAAAAUAAUUGGUUGAGCCAGGUGUAUACCAUGUUCUCGGGAUCGGUGGUAUGUUCCUUCGGUGAGACUAAUAAAAUAAUAUGUGUGUUUCUUUCAAAUUCAAUAAGUGGUUCACAACUUCCCUUUAUUCUCACGAUCAUGCUCUCUUUAGGAAACUUUUGGCACAAUCAGCAUUUGAACUUGCUAAUCUUCUUUUAUCAUUGUAAAAGUUUAAAAUGGUCAAGUCUACUAGUAUCCUACUGCUUUGUAGCACUCUAACCAUUAAUUUUCACUAACGAAGUCUGAAGCAUGCACUGUUUAGAGAUCUACUUCACUUGACAUUCUGUAGUCAGUUCACUAUUCACUAUCUAGUUCUUGUCAUAUUCCUUUGCUUGAGGACAAGCAAAGAUUUAAGUGUGGGGGAACUAGAACUUGUUAAGCACAUUUCAUAUACAUAAUUUGGGCAUUGAAUUAUACCAUUUGUUGAGUUAUGCCCAUCUAUUCUUGCUAAGUUUAGGUGAAUAUUUGCAUGAAAAUCAUAUAAUGAAUCAUUUACUAGUCAUUGUGUUUCUUUUGCAGAAAAGUGCGACAAGGCAAUAUAAUCUACAAGUUUCUGUCUAGAAAGUAUUGAGGAACAAGAUCACGCACAAGAAGAGAAGAAAGAGGGACUCAAGCUUGAAUAAGAUUAAAGCUUAGGGGGGCUAGCUAAAGAAGAGAGGGAUCUACUUGAGCUAAAAGAAGAGAAGAGAAGGGCCAAAGUGCAAUAUGGGCAGAUCUGAUCGAGAGGGGUCAAAAUCCCUAGGGUGGCCUUCGAUCCCCUUCGGGCCUGGCAUCUCCAUCUCUCUCCCUCACCCCUCCUCCACCUCCGGCCUCCGCCACGGCCAGGCCGGCGUGGUGGUGCGCCUCCCCACCCAUCCAUAUAUCCAUCACCAGCGCCGCUCACCACCAGCGCCCAUCUCGCCUGCCAUACCCGCGCGCCUCCACCUGCUGCUGAUUCUCCUUGCCGCUCCCUUCGCCUACCUCGCUGUUGUUCUUCUUCCCGACGUCCUCCAUGCUGCCCUUCUGCUUCUCCUCUGCUUCCCCUCUCCUAGCGCCUCAACUAGCUGCUUCUUCUUCCCCAAACUUUGCUGCUGCUUCUUCCCUCUCCUCACGUCCCUGCUGCUGCACUUCUCCUCCUAACCUUGCUGCUGUUCAUCUCUGAACCCCCAACAUGCUGCUGCUCCUCUCCAACAACGACGCCGAUCUGCAGCACUCCCUCGUCACCAGCCUCAAGAAACGGAGCUGCUGAUCCUCUCCAACGACCCCUUGUUGAUCCUCUCCCACUUGGCUUCGCUGAUCAUCUUCGUCCCUGCUGCUCUCCUUCGCCCGCAACAUCUACAGCCCAGGAGACAACUCUGAAUCUCUCUUCUCUUACUGUAGUUUUCUGAAUUUUUGCUCUGGUUAUUCUGCAGCUUGUAGUCUGAAUCUCAGUUAACUGUUGAUGUGCCCGUGAGAAAACUAGGUGGUUCAACUUGUAAUAUUGUUCUGCUGCCUGUGAUGUUUGAGAUAGUUACAUCAUCUACUCUAUGCUACUGAUAAUAUGCUACUGAUAAUAUGUUCAGUUCGUACUUGUCAUGUGUUAAUUAGUAUUCUGCUACUGUAUGUGUGAGAUCCCUUAUGUGUUUGUUCCUUACUGCAGAAAUUUAUUCAGUUGUCCAUGUGUUAGCUCCAGUACAUGUGCUAUAUAAAUACAUGUGUGUUUUGUGAUGUAAACCAUGUCAGCUAGCUCACUGUGACAAAUUCAUGUUACUAUUUGUGAUUUUAUUUUGUAUUGAAAUUACUCUCUGUGGUAGCCAGUUGGGUGAUCAUUCAAUUUUCAGUCUAUGUAUUAGAUCUGUACCUGUAAU